AGCGGGAGAGGGACUGGGCGCGGGUGGUGGGAGGCGGGGGACAGGGGGAGGCGCCGCCGCCGCCGCCGCCCGCCCCUUUCCGCUGGGGAGCAGCUGCAGCAGCAGGAGCAGAGCAGGAGCCGCGCAGCCGCCGCCGCCGCCGGGGGAUGUGGCCGGCGCCUGCCCCGAGCCGCGCUGCCUCCUGAGUACUCGCCGCCGUCGCCGUCGCCGCCAAGCCGUGCGGGGCCAGGCCGCGCCCUCCCUGGGCGCCCGCCGGCUCGCAUGCCGAGGGGCUCCGGGGCGUAGCUGCGCGCCCGGCGCCGCCUCCGGGCUCCUCCGGCCCCGCCAUGGGCUGCUGCAGCUCCGCCUCCUCCGCCGCGCAGGUGAGGGGCUCCCGCCUCCCGGCCGCCCGCCCGGAUGCCUCCCCCGCGCCGCGCCGCCAGCGGGUGCCCGCUCCCGGUGCUUCUCGCUCCCCCAGCCUCCCUUCAUCCACCGUGCACUCCAAAGACCCCUACCGCUCCUCUCCCUCCCGCGCGUCCCGCAGAUGCCUCUACGCUGGCUCCGGCAGCUGCCGACCCGCAGGCGCCUUUGCGCGGCCCCCGGUGCUCCCUCAGCUCUCCCCUGUCCCUUCCCGACUUGGCCUCCUUCUCCCGGUCACACCUGAGCGGCCCGUCCCGCCCGCCUGCAGGUAGAGGCUACACAGGCGCCUCCUGUCUGCCCCAGGUGGCAUCCCUUUCCUGGCCUUGCUCCUCGGUUCCCACCUCGGUGGAGUGUUCCCCUCCCAUACGCCGACUAUUUUCUGUGUUCCAAGGUGUACCCCCAGCUUGGGCUCUUCACCUCUUUGCUAUCUAAUUCCAGUUUCUGCUCCAUUAGAUAAUCUGUCCCUUUUCUCUUGCCCGCCGUCACCCGGCCGGGUUCAAGUGUUUCAUCGGGUCCCAGAGCCCUUCCACGGCCCUUUUCCCAGCUCCCACUCGCUCGUUUCCUACCCCAUCCCCCCUUAGUGCCUUGACCCCGGGCACCCGGGCCUCUCUGCACACCGAGGCCCCUGCGGGAGCGCCGGGACUGGGCUGGGAAGGAGAUUGGGCACCUGGUGGGUGACGGGAGCAAUACGGAAACUCCCUCUUUGUUGCCAGUGUAACAGGAGGAAGAGGUGCCGAAUUUAGUUUUUCUGUGGGCACUGGAUGAAUGUUGUCGCUGAGAUGCAGAGAUUUCUCCCAGCCUCUACCCUGCCCCCAUCCAAAUUUCGCUAACCUCCUUCCCUUCCAAUCCAAGCUCUUACCCUGGGUGGAAAUGUUUAGACAACUGUUUAAGGAUCAAAUGUAAUAGAACUUGACUGCUGGCCACUAAUAACUGAGAGGACCUGUUUGUAAAUUACCUAAUUUAGUGGAUUAGUGAGUGUAUUUACAAAUACGAUAAAAAGCAAUCAGGAAUACUGCAUCAAACUGUCUGGUGGUGUUGUAUGAAAAAUAGGCUCUGACAAUGCCUGGGAUGUAAUCUCCACAGUUUCAUUAGCGUAGAAUUUUAACAGUGCUCUGUGAUUUGCGUGUGUGUGUGUGUGGGGGGGGGUGAGAAACGGACUCUUGUUUUUAGAAAUAAAGGCUUUUUGGUUCUUGGAAAAGCAAAAUGCUAGUUUGGAGAAAAAAAUUCCUCCAGAAAUCUAGCAUCUGUGAUAAUGCCAGAAGUGUUUUGCUGCUGCUAAAUGACUAUAUAUAACUCAGUUUUAAAUAACCUGCAUUCUUGAUCUGGAAAUCUUGAGAUCUGUUAGAGAAAAUGCCUAGAAUUGCAGAUGCAUGGAGAACAUUUUAUGCUUUAUUAGGUAUCCAUCCUAUUUGUCCAGUUGUUAUGCUGAUGGGUUUAGUUAAACCUUCCCAUUCAGUUAGAAUAGCAAAGAAAAACUAUGUGUGAUGGUGUUAGGAUAGGUCAGGGUUUUCAUAUUAACAUAUAUAGGUGGAAAAUUAUACAGAUCUUUCAACUGCUUAGGGAUAUUUUGGGACAGGGCUUCUAGUUGGGUACUGUUCAUUUAAUAUUUACUUAAAUAUAACCUUCACCAAGAGGUGUCUUUCAUAUAUAUUGCCUUUCUUUUCAGAAUUGGGUUACUUUACUUUCUCUAUUGGUGAUAAAAUGCCUUUAAGACAGGAACGUAUUGAUACUUUAUUGAUAGUAUGUUCAGUGCAUGAACAGUUUAAUUUGGGAGGGAUGGAUUCAGCACUAGCUCUGUUCAGAUAGUGGAUCUUACAUUUGUCUGUCUCCACAUCAUACUUUUCAGAAUGCUGUCAAGUGCAUCUUUUUGCUUUUUCCUCCUCUUCACAGCUACUGUUUCCUUCAUGCUGUGUUCUACACACAAGAUGCAUGUCAUGCACCCAAGGGGGUAUUUUUUUCUGUGGAUUCCUAUAGCCAAUCAGCAACUGUCACAACCUUUGAGUUCAGCUUUGGGGACUUGUAGUGUUCAGUGGAGCAUGGAGGAGGCAGGUUUCGUGCCAAAGAGCUGGUCAUCUUUUUUUUUUUUUUUUCCUUAUUUGAGGUUUUUGGCAUCAUUUUUCAUUUGUGAAGUAUUUCCAAUCUGCUGGCAUUUUAAUGCUCCUUUGAGAAGCAUCACAUAUUUAGAAUUGUAUUGUAUCUAUCUAUAUGUGUAGUUGAAACAAAAUAGGGCUGCAACUUUAAAUCUUCUUUAUAUGUAAACCUUCAUAUCAUCCAGCCUCUCUUAGGGGUAUGGAAUGUACUUUCAGGCAGAAUAUGUUUGUUCCUACUGGAUUAUAAGCUUCUUGAGAAUAGCAGCUGCUUUUGUUUCCUUAUCUUUGUGUUUUCUGCAGUGCUUCACUGUACCUUGUACAUAAUAGUUGCUCAGCAGUAGUCAUUGAAUGGAAUCUAUACACACAAAUUUGAACAUCUAGCUGGCAACUGACAUUGAUUAUGAAUGCAACCCUGACCUAUGUUUCACUUCUAUAGGCUGGCUGGUUGACUAAUUCCACCAAGCCAUCCUCUUCUGAACUCAAACCUGAACUGUGUAAAUUAAAACUUUCAUCCUUUCCCCAUUUCUUUCUAUUCUGUCAUUGGUAUCAUUAGCUUGUAAAAUCGAGCAGAUUUUCUCUUGAUUCCCUGCUCAAUGUUUAUAUUUCAGUUGGAGCCAUGACUAUAAUAUCUUAAAAGAGCUUGUCUGCAAACUCUAAUGAUAACCUGCCUAGUACAUCAAAAUGAUAUUCUUUGAGGUAAACUGCAGUCCAGUGUAGCUUUUCUCAGGGGUAUUGUCAGCAACUUUGAAGCCCAGGUAGACUUUAUCAAUUGAAAUAUGUUGUCUUUUUGUAGUAGGAAUUCACUUUUGAAAUGUAUUGUGUUUUCCCUUGUAGCCUCUUGCCAUGUUUAAGAUACUCAUAAGAGUUUAUAGUGUUCCAAACUUUCAUCUCUUGUAAUUUGUCCUGCUAUUAUUUUCAUUAUUAUUUUCUUGCCAGUGUCUGGAUAUUAAUUUCCCAUCCAAAGAAUUAUCCUGAUUUAGGAUUUAAAUUUACCAGGUGUCACAUUCUAUACUAGUAUUUCAUUGCUGAAGGAGCAAAAUCUUGGCAAAAUAAUUUGUACUAUAUCAGGCAUCUAAGAAUCUUAACUGUCUUAGUCUGGGCUCUUACAGACUCUUAAUUAGGUCUGUCUGUCUUUCUUUUUUAUUAGUGACCAUUACAAGUUGUUUAGUAAUUACUGAAAACAAGCUGAUACAUGUUAGUCUUUGCCUAAGUCUCUUUGAAAAGAACAUAAAAGUAAGAUAGUCUUGGGUUUCUUUCUACAGCCCUAAUCCUCCCUAAGACUCUUAAAAUUUAUUCCCAUCUCUCCAUAAUUCGUUUCUUCCAUUAUAACCUGACAUAAUUUCUAUUCUUGUAGUGUUAAACUUCAAAGUUCACUUGUAAAUCUUCAGAUUUAUUAAAUGUUCUUUCCCAUUGACAAACCAGUUUAAAUGAAGGAGGCUUUUGAAAGAUUACUUAGCAAAUUGUCGUAAGUCUUUGUCGUUAAUGGCUAGAUCAUUAUUUCUCACAGCAGUGCUUUGGAGGCCAGGAGAUUUUUGCAAGUAUUCUGAAGUUCUGUGUCCUUCAAUUCUAACCUUAGAAAUUAAGAAUGGAAUAGAGGAGAAUCUUUCCGGUUGAACAAACGGCUCCUUAUCUGACUGAUUUUAGCAGAAUUUUGUCUACUAUCUUAUCCCAUGGUCUUAAAUUGAGGGCUAUAUAUUUAACUGUCUUAUUCUAGCUCUCGUAUCUUGUUUAAGAGUAAUGAAAAAAUAAUCAGAAGUGAUUCACAAAUACUGGUUAGUAUUUGAGUACCUUAACUGCCUUAAGAUAAUUCUGAUAGAAUUUAUAGUCUAUACCUGCUUUGUAGAGUUUGAAAUCAGGUGGAGAAAUAAAAUUUGAAGAAUAUAGUGGAAAUUACCAACAGAGACUAAGUUGUUCAAUUAAAAUAUGACCUGCAAAAUAAAUCUUGUUGAAAGUCAUGGCAUUAAGAUUUUUUUUUUUUUUUUGCCUUAAGAAUACUGUGCUGUUAGCAUAGAGGAUCAUAAUAAUUUUAAUGUGCCUGUUUUUUUCAUAUCCAUUUCCAUGUUUGAAUCUCUACAGUAACUCAGGUUCAUCUUACUUCCAUUUUACAGAUCAAGAAAUUGAGACUUGGAGAUCAGGAAACUUGGAUCAAGUUGCAGAGCCACUAAGUGAUAGAUAGCUUAUCUUCUGAAUAUGGAUUGUGUGCUUCUUCAUUUAUGUUCACAUACAUAAAUCGCAGCUCCUCCACUUUUUUUUUUCAUUUUUAGAGAAGGUCAAUUUUGGACUAAAGAGUUUCCAAGUUAAAUUUUAUGCCACUAUUUUGAACUUCCUGCAGGUACCACCUGAAGAGUAACAUUGUAUAAUAUAGCAAAGUUAGUACAAUUAGAAUGUUUCCAUGCUUACCAAAUUUUAUGGGAUGCCUCUAGAUGUGUUAACAACUCUGUCAUUUAAAAAUAUUGUAGAUUGGGCUGGGGUUGUGGCUCAGCAGUAGAGUGCUCACCUAGCACGUGUGGGGCCCUGGGUUCUAUCCUCAGCACCACAUAAAAAUAAAUAAGUAAAAGGUAUUGUGUCCGUCCACCACUAAAAAAUAAAAUAUUUUUUUAAAAAUGCUGUACAUCUGGGAAGAUAAAUAUGUUUAAAAAUAUAUUCUGAUACUGGUUAUUGUUUAAUAGCUGUUUUUCUAUGCAGCCUUUGUCCCCCAACUACCAACAAAGAAUGAAAUACUUUAACUUUAUAAGUUCUGGUUGGGUUUUGGGGACUCUGGGAGAUUACUAGAGAUGAACUGGUCUUACCUUCUCACUUUUCUGUAUAUUUAAACCGGACUUUAAAAACUGGGACCAGAACCUACUUAGUCUCAUAAUCUCUUGCUCUUACUGUUUGUUUGUUUGUUUUUGGUACUAAGGAUUGAACCCCUGAAUGCUUGCUGAGCUACAUCUCAGCCUAUUUGUUUAUUUAUUUAUCUAUCUAUUUAUUUAUUUAUUUUCCCAUUAUUUUUGGGGUGGGGGGCAUACCAGGGAUUAAAUCAGGGGCAGUCAACCACUGAGCUACAUCCCCAGCCCUUUUAGAGACAGGGUCUCACUGAGUUGCUUAGUGCCUCCUCGCUUUUGCUGAGGCUGGCUUUGAGAUCCUCCAGCCUCAGCCUCCCAAGCCACUGGGAUUACAGGUGUGUGCCACCAUGCACAGUUUACUGUUAAUUCUUAAUGUUUUAGUUCUUUACCUUCCCAAACUUUGCUACAUAUUACAAUCACUUGAAGUUCCACUGGUAAUUCUCAUAUGCCACCAAGGAACCACACUGUUCUUUACCUUUCCCUAGGUGGUUUCAUCUCUUCCAGUGAUUUCAGUUCUCAGUUACAACCUAUAUGCUGUUAAUUUCCAAGCUGAACUACGGAAUUGAAACAAACCUUUUCUUGGCAUCUAAUUGUCUGAAGCAGUUGAUUGACACCAGAACAUUGUAUAGGUAUCUCAAUUCAGCAUGUCUAAAACCAAAACUGGACUCAACACUUGUGAAUCUGUUCCUCACUUGCAUGUCUUUUUCCUUAUGUCUUAUUCACUGAAUGAGACCCAUGUCUUGAUUGUGGAAACUGGAAACCUGAGGGAGACCACCUUCCACUUUUCCAUUGUAGUCACCACAUCUUGUCUCACCUUUCAACUCCACUGCUAACACCUCUCUUGAAGCCUGUGUCUCCUCCAGUCAGGACCUUGGUUACAGGUUUCCCUAUAUUCAUUCAUACUGUCUUCUGAACUUUUUCUAUACUGCAGACUUUUUUUUUUUUUUUUUUUUUGUACCAGGGAUUGAAUCCAGGGAUGCUUUACCACUGAGCCACAUCCCAAUCCCCCUUUUUUAUAUUUUAUUUAGAGACAGGUUUUCAUUGAGUUUCUUAGGGCCUCACUAAGUUUCAUACUACACUGGCAAAGUUGAGUAGUUGAACUCAAGCUCCUCCUGCCUCAGCCUUCCCAGCCACUGGGAUCACAGGUGUGCCCACACACCCGACUUAUACUGUAGUCUUAAUGAUUUUUGAAAAUCCAAAGCUGACUGAUUGUGUUCCUCUCCUACUUACAACCCUUUGGCCUCUGAUUGCUCUUGGGACAAAGACCAGAAUCCCUGAGCCAGGCCAGCAUGACCCUGUGUGGACUGGUCUAUUCUCUGUGGCAUCCUCAUCUUAUUUGAGGCUUUUGUUUUUUUAAUUUUUUCCUGAUUCAGCCUCAUUGGUUUUCCAGCCAGUCAUGUUCAUUCCUCUGUAGGGCUUUUGCGCGUUCACUUUUAUAAAAGGGUCUUUGCUUCUCUCCCUGGCUGCCUUUGUCUGGUUACCUUGAGUUUCAGCCUCAAGUUCACUUCCUUAGAGAACGCUUUUCUGAUUCUUCAAACCAGGCCAUGUUUCUUUAUUAAACUCUCCAGACCUUUAUUUGUUUCCCUUUUGAGCACUUAAAGCAAUAAGUAAGUAAUUAUGCAGUUACUCUCAGUGUCUACACCAGUUGGAAAACUGUAGCCCAUGAACUAAAUCUGACUUGCUCACCUGUUUUUGUAUGACUUACAAGCUAAGAAUGGUAUUUGUAUCGUUAAAUAGUUGAAAUAAAUCGGAAGGUUAUUACUUAUUGAAAAUUAUAUGAAAUUUGAAUGUCAUUGUCCAUAAGGAAAGUGUUAUUGGGACACAGCCCAGGAAUUCAUUUACUUAUUGUCUAUAGCUACUUUCAUACUACACUGGCAGAGUUGAGUAGUUAAGACAGAGACCUCAUGGCCUGCAAAUGUUAAAUAUUUACUUUGUUACUCUUUACAGAAAAUGUUUGCUGACCAUUGUUCUAGGUUGGAUUGAUGAAGAGGCAACCUUAUCUACUUUGUUUAUUACUGUUAUUCUAUGUAUUUAGCUGUACUGGCACAUGGUAGGUAUUCAUGAAAUGUUUGUACAAUUGACAAAUAUUCCUUUUCCUACCAUCGACAGAUUUCUACUUUAGCAACUCUGGUACUUUAAAAUCUGAUGCAGAAGUCUUUUUGAAAAGAUUGAUUCUUUAGAAGAAGAUAGUCAAUAAAAAUGUCAGCAGUAUUCUGACUUGGCUUGUGGCUAAGUCUGAAUAAAGUUUUUAAUAUAGUAAUAUUUCUUUCCUUUUAAUACUUUGUUUUCUCAUUUAUUUGGAACAUGACAUAGCAUAAUGCUCCAAAUUUGUAUUUAUGUUUUAUAUUUCUCAUUUAUUUGGAACAUGACAUAGCAUAAUGCUCCAAAUUUGUAUUUAUGUUUUAUAUCAAAUUCAGUAUCUUUUUAAAAAGAUAUUUGCAUUUUUCAGUGUUUUAAUAUACUCAACAGAGGAGUGUCCAUUUUCCCCCUUUGCUGGGCUCCUUUCUGACUUCACAAUAUAGUAAUAGUUGUAUAAGAGGACUUAUUUAUUAACAAACAUUUAUUUGAUAAACUUGAAAUUUUUGUGUGUGUGCAUGUGUGAAAAUAACAUUACUUCCUCAUAGGUGCUCUCUAUAACAUCCCACAACCACUAUUUAGACAUUUAGAGAUACUCUAAAGAGUGAUUUUUAUUUCAAUUUUUAGGGUUGCCAGAUAUGUUGAAAAUUAUUAAACAAAAGUGUUUUAUUUCUGGAUACAUUUGUAUAAUGUCAAGUAAGGAAAACAGAAGAUGGGAAAAUGGAAAAGAGAUGAUUACUUCAAGAUACUUAAAUAGCAGGAAAUAUAUCUUGUAGCAUUGUGAUAAUAUGAUCAGGAUCUUUUAAGAUUUGUCAUUAUAAACCACUUAGGAUUUUCCAGCUGUAAGAAAUAAACAACUACAACAAAACACUCUUAAAUCCAAACAAUGCAAAUAUUAAGGAAGGUAUAUUAUUUAUUUUUACGUGGUGCUGAGGAUUGAACCCAGUGCCCCACGUGUGCGAGGCAAGCGCUAUCACUGAACCAUAACCCCAGCCCUCUUCUGUCAUUUUAAGGAAGGUAACUUCCUCUGAUCCAGAGAUGUCUAUGGCUUUUGCUGAGCCAACAAUCUCCACUGAUUUUCCUUUAAUAGGAAAUAGGGAAUACUGCAUAUUUAUUUCUAAACAAUGUCUAGCAAGGGAGAGGCAAAGGACCCAGUAAUUAGUUCAGUCCCACCAGGAUUUCCUUGAGUCUAGUGGGGUAGGUGGGGUGGGUGAAAUAACAUCACAAAAAAAGUAGGACUUAGCCAGCAAGGCAGAGGUGUGUGUGGUUGGGGGAAGUGGGAUCGUGUGGGAAAGAGCAGCUGGGUAAAGCAGUCACAGUAAUCUUACUCUGCCCCGACAGGGUUCUAGCCAUUGUGGAAAACUUGACUUUCUCCUUUGCUCGAUCUCACUGCCUUUCCCCAUCUGACCCAAGGAUAGUUCCAUGUGAAGAAGAGCUGCUGAGGCUGGAGUAAGGUGACAAAGCUAGUUGUUAUUCCUGCAAGCAGUGGUCCCUAAGGACGCCUUAGAGGUUUGAACCUCUUCUCUCAGUUUUUCUAAAUCCUCACUUUUGUCUGCAUUUAUCCAUUUGGUAUUCAUUUUUUCCCCUUUCCCUAAAAAUUUCAUUUUCCUUUCUUCCCACUACCAUUUGAGACACUUAAAGAACUAUAAUACAGAGUAGAAUAUAUUCAAAUACAAUAAAGAGGUAAAAAAAGAGUGCCUCUAUUUUAUUUACCUGCUUAAUUUCAUUUUUUUCUUAUAAGCCAUAAAAAACCCCUGAAAAUUCACAUUAUUAUUUGGGCUUCUCUGAUAUUAAAAAAAAAAAAGAAGAGCUUUUCAGCACGCCAGAUUCAUCUCUGCAAUAAAUAGAUAAUUAGAGACAGGGAAAUAAUGAAAUAAUAUGUAAAUGUUCAAUCUUGCUAUUCAGAUUAAAUCACACAGGCACCGUUUUACACUUGAAACUUUGGUAAAAGUUAACAAAAAAUAUUAAUUGCCUGUGUGGUUUUUGAUGCAAGUAUGCUUUUUUGAUUUCUGAGUAAAUUGGAAUGACCCUCGUGGGAUACUGCUUGACAACAUACAUUAAAAGACAUUUUAAAAAGUUGACAUCCUUUGUUUAGUAAUUCAAAAGCAAAGAAAUAUGCAGGAGUCUUUCUAUUGAAGCGUAUUUAUAAUAGCAAAAGAGCUCAGUAUUAAACAUUACAUUUCUGUUGUGAAACUUUGUUUUUUUAAUGCAAAAUUUAUUAAAAUGUAAUCUAUUACACAUCCCCAUCCCCAACUAGAUGAUCCUUUAGUGAGUAAGUGCCUUUUUGCCUUCUGCAUAGGAAAGCCUUUCUCCACUUCUCUCAAGGAAUAUUCAGAUCUAGAGGACUGAACACUGUUGUACACUAGCAGGAGUAUGGGCUCUAGCUAGAUAAUAGAAGUUUGAAUCUUGACUCUGUCCUCAUCUGGACUCUUCUUUGAUGUCCCAGUUUCACCAGGUGGAAAAUAAUAGAAACAGUAAAACCUGUCUCAUAGACUUGUCACGAACUGUACAAACCAUGAAAAUACUUCAGAAAUUACCAUAUUUAUGUAAACAAAAAUCUCUUAAAUGUUCUGAUAUCCACUAAUCCUUUACUUAAAAUAAAAUCUUGUUUGAGUUUUGGAAUAGAGACCUUGACUUCCAGAAAUGUUAACUUAUGUCAGGGAGGUGAGUGCUGAGAAUGAAACCAACAACAGUAAAAAGGAGAAGCCAAGUGGAGUGGUGGGGAGCUCAGGGAGUGGGGAAAUCAAGGAAGGGUGGAGAGUCAGAGAGUAGGCUUCCUGAAAGUACUCUUCAUCUGGCCUGGAAGACUGGGCUUGGAAAAUGAGGAAGAUGGACAGAUUUUAAUAGAAAGGGAGAAAGAACAUUCCAGUGGAAAGGCCAGCUGGAUCCAAGGCAAGGGACAUACAGUCAGAUGCUGUGUGGAAUUUACUGAGUUGUAGUGUGGAAAGGACACCUGACCCGAGAAGAGGAAGGAGAUGUUACCUGUAGGAAAGCAUUGGUAUUUGAAGGGGAAGGGAAAUGGGUAGCCAUGGAGGGUUUUUCCAGAGUGGUUUAACGAAGUCUAGGAGUAUGCUUGUGCCCGAAGUGGGAGAGAUGGAAAGCAGAGGCCACACAGGAAGCUGUCCGAUGACUCAGACCAAACAGUAUAAAUGGGAAACAGAUGUUAUGGAUUUUCCUGACUUCUGGAUGUGAGGGAUAAAGGAGCAUGUUAGGAUAGAGGUUCAGAAUGCCGUAUAAAGGGAGAAGGGAAUUGUAAGUGAUGAAAGUGGAAGUUGAGACCUGGGGUUGGAGGAAUGAUAGUAUGUGGGGAGGGUAAGGUGAAUUCCAUUUCUUAUGGACUGGAUUGAGGUGAUACUGUUGUUAAUGCCUUCAGCUAGUAUUUCUCGUAGUCAAUUGAAGACCCACAACAGGAUUUUAGAAAAACCUUUUAAGUCAUAAGUAUGGAGGUGAUGCUUUAAGGAUGAGCAAUACCCAAGAGGCAGGAAAGGGCCCUGAAUACCAGAGCUGGUAGAUCGCUAGGAGAUAAGCACAGGGAACAUCGAUGGUCAGUCAUCCUGGGGACUUAUUGUUUGAAGGGCUCUAGGCUAGAUAUCUUAUAUACACUUCCCAUUUUAUUCUCAUAACUCUGAGAUGGGUACCUCAGAUGGAACUGAGGGUCAAAAUGUUAGGUAGCUAGUCCAAGAUCAGCAGAUCAUGUGAAGUGUGGGUAUUUCCUGCUGCAGUAGGGUAGGCCUUCUUAAUGAGAACUAGUAACUCAGUGAUAUGUUGAAAGAACCUUAGUUCUGUCACUUUUGUCACUUAAAUUCAGAGAUUGUGCUAUCUAUUCUCUCUUUAAAUUAUAUGUAGGUUGGUUUUUAAAUCAGCACACCUCAAACUAGUGGUCAGGGUAUGACUAUUUGGGGGCAGAGUCCAUGUAAAUGGUUUUUCAUUGAACUUGAGACUCUAAGGGACUGUCAUUUUCUUUUAAGAGCUUUCACAAGUUUAUCAUGACUCACUGAUUCUUGGGUUUUUUGUUUUAUUUUUGGUACCAGGAUUGAACUCAGGGGUGCUUUAACACUCCAGCCCUUUUUAUAUUUUAUUUUGGGACAGGGCCUCACUAAGUUGCUGAGGCUGGUUUUGAACUCAUGAUCCUCCUGCCUCAGCCUCCCAAGCUGCUGGGAUUACAGGCAUGAGCCAUCCUGCCUGGUGUAUGACUCACUGAUUCUUGAGAAUAUAGUUUUCAGUGUAUAUAUUUAUAUGUUUAGUCAGCCUUUAUCAAAUCCUGGCCUCUGAAAGUGUUAAUGUAAUUGAUGCUCAUGUUAUUAAAUAUUGAGUUUCAACAAGGCUCUGGAGAGCUGUAAGAAAGGAAAGGGUGAAGAAAUGGCCACAGUGAAGUUGAUUUAUUAGCACAGAUUAUUAGAUGUACAUUAAGAUCAAAUUACAAAGGCAGAGAUUCUCACCACUAGGGCAAGAGAUGGAAUUGUUUUGUUUGUUUGGUUUUCACUGUACUUUAAAAACUCAGAAUAUUUAAAAGAGUGUUAUCCCUGCUUGCAAGGCCCAGAAGUUCUUCCAGAUCUGUUUUGCAUGUGAUUCUAUAUUUUUACAAUUCUAAAAGCAUCAAGUAUUAGAAAACAGCUUGAAGACAUUAAGUUUUAAAAUCCAGCAUAGUAAGUAUAUUUUCCUCAAGAAAAACAUUUUGGAAUGUACCCUGCUGGUUGAAGCAUAUUUCAGUUAUGAAGGUUUGGAAGUAAAACUUUAAUAAGAUAUUCCAUUUUAAAAGUGAACGCAAUUCCAGUUUUCUUUUAAAAAGUUUAUAGUUUAGUUUGAUCUGAGAACGUAACCAAGACCAAAUGGAAAUACAUGUUUCUCUUGAGGUAGUUACAAGCAAAAGGAAUAGAGAGUCUCCUGGGCCAGUCUCUAGGACCUGCUGCUUCUCAGUAGGUGUUUCACGUUCUGCCCCAUUUAAUGAUAAAAUGUUACUUCUGCAAGAAUACCUUAAUCAGGGUUUCCCCAAGUCUGUUCUUCCUAAGCACCAGGACUCCAAGAUGAUUCUCCAAAAAAGUGGUCUGAUGUCAGAAAAGUUUGGGAAGUUCUUGCUCACUCAAGUAAUUUAUAAUAUACUUGAGUGACUUGAAAUCUAUCAAGUUUGAGGUUUCCUUCGGUAAACCACUCUUCCUUCUCUAAUUUCCUUGGAGAUCUCAAACUACUCAUAGUACAAACAAUGGUCCACAAGAAAGGCUUUUAAUUUAUAAUAUACUUGAGUGACUUGAAAUCUAUUUACACUAUUUGGCCAGUAUUUCAAAGAACACAUUGAAGUUUGUGAUAUGUGUGGACUGAGUUUCAAAUCUCCGGAGUGGCAAGUUACCUGAUCCAACAACCUUCUUACUUUUGUGGCCAGGAGAAUGGGAAUUCUGAAACAACAUUUCAAGCAGUGAUUUUCCAAGGGUGCUCUGUAAUAUGCCAGUAGUUAAAAAUACAAUGAAAACAAAAUUUAAGGAGGGAUGAGUCCAAAGAAGGUCAGAUAGUCCAAGUUAAAGUGAUUUCCUGAAGGUAAAGAGGAGAAAUGACCCUUCACUACAUUAACAUGCACAAUGACUUUUUGAAUGGGGAGCAGGGUGGGGGAGGUGGUAUGGAGUGAGCAAGAACUUCCCAAACUUUUCUGACAUCAGACUGCUUUCUUGGAGAACCAUCUUGGAGUCCUGGUGCUUAGGAAGCACAUACUUGGGGAAACCCUGAUCAAAUGAUGACUUUUUUUUUUUUUUUUUUUUUGGUUGGAGAAAGAAUGGUGGAGAUGUUUGAUUUUAAAUGUGCCCAAGCAAAUAAUAAGUUCUCAAUAAAUGUUUAUUGAACAAAUGUGGAGGAGGAAUGGGAAUGGGUAUUUGGAGACUAAAAUUUUAGUUAGUGAUACUGUUAAACAGAACCUGUCAGUGGAGGGAAAUGGAAAUGAACCUAAAAAUGAAAACAGUUAACUAUUUAAAAUGUUGAAGUUAAUUCUGGUGGGCUUUUGAACCUGACCUUGCUAGCAUGUGUUCUUCUGUUAUAAUGAGGUCUCUGUGAGCACCUCACAGUCAAAGAAAAGAAAAAAGCCUCAUCAUAAUAGAUACCUCCGGGCUCAUCAACACUUAAGUAUGCCAGGUCAACUGCAUAGGUCAAUAGAUUUACAAGAAUAAGAGUUUCCUUCCCUUCUGUCCACUCCUGUCCCAGCCCAGACCUAUCCUUGUUACUGGCCCACAGUGCAGAAGAAAUGAUGAAAGCCCUUCUGGUCCAGCUCACUGCCUGCCUGGGAGCAGAGUAAGGAGAGCCACAGAUCCUACAAAAUUUGUUCAAAUUGCCACCUGGAGGGUGGAAGCAGCAGCUCUGCAAAAACCAGCCCUGCUGCUGAUGCGCACAGGAGAGAGGAAUCUCCAGGGCAGGGACAAGAUGCAGAAAAGAAAUCAAGAAUGUCAUUAGAAUUUUAAAAAUUCCAAGCUGGCCACACGUGUUGGUUCUGUUCUGCUCAAAGCUGCUCCGUACUGGGUUCAACAGAGAAUGAGACUUCUGCUCUGAAAGCAUGCAGUCUAUUAAGGAGACACUACAGAGGAGAGUUGCUGCUUUGUCAGGGUGCAGAGCCCAGCUGCAUCCUUUUUAAAUAGCCAAGUAUUACUCUGGUUUACAAGGUAAAGUACAGAUAAUUUCUAGGUAGAUUCCAAACUAAUUUUCAAAACUAAGAGCCAUAAUUACAAAAGUGUCCCUGAAAAAGCUGGAUGUUAUUCUUGAAGUAUGAUUUGUGUUGAUGCUUAACUGGGGAGAAUGGAGUUCAGUAAACUUAGGAUAAAUUUAUUGUGUCUAGUGACACAAAGUGAAAGAGAAAAUACUGUCCUUAAGUAGAAAAAAACAAAGGUUCAGAUGCCUAUAGGCAAGUCACAGUGACUCUUCAGACAGUCCUAUAGAAAAGAUGAUAAGUACUAUGUUUAAUAUUUUAAUCUUCAUAUUGAAAUGACUAACAGUUAAGAUGUGAUUUUUGUUCUUUGAUAGAGCAAGGCUCUAGAAACUUAGAACACAUCGAAUUUUUUCUUUUAUUUGGCUAAUUCCUUUUACUGCCUUAUCCAUUCUAGUCAUUAAUCUGCCCUGUCACCUACUAGGAAACCCAGCUGCUCUUGUCAUGGCCCUAGAGUCUCAUAUAUAACUAGGUGCAGAGCCCUAUCUAAUAGUCCAUAGCAACCAAACAGGGUCCAGAGUGGAUUCAGAACCCCCGGUUCUUUAGUUCAUUUCAUAAUGGUGUAUCAGGCCACCUUGUUUCUCAUCCAGCUUUCUCCCACUCAUGCUUUUCUCAUUUACUCUUUAAAUAUUUAUACCUCAUCUGCUUCCAAAAAUAUUUUUAGAUGAUUUGUAAUCAAAUGUAAAUAUAUUUAAGACUUCUGAAAUGAAAAACUGAAAGCUAAGAAGAGGUGGUGGUGGGAUAAAUGGAAGAGGAAGCACGAAUGUGCUGAAUGCUUGAACAGCUUCACCCACCAACAUUUCUAGUCUUGUUUUAGAAUGGUACCGAUUCAGAGGACAUUUUGACACGGAAUCCUUCCACAGAACUGUACUACUGGCACAGACAUAAGAGGUCUAUAGAAUAACCAACCAAGAUAGUCAUGAGUUUUAUAUCAUGGCCACUAAAUGGGUUUUAUUCAGGCUCUGCUUAGAUGACUCCUGCUGUAGAGAGCUGCUGCCGCCUGGUAAAGUUCAUUCUAUUCUCAGGUGUUAGAAAUUUAUUAUUGCAUGUUGAGCCCUGUGUCCAUGUAGCUUCAUGUUGGUCCUGAUUCUGUACCCAUUAGCCAGAAUAGAAUGAAAAGCUGACAUCACGUCUUUAAUACGUGCCAAGUUGUGUGUGUGUGUUUUAAAGUUAAAAACAGUUAGUAUAUGCAACCAUUCUAAAAUCAUGCUGCUAGUCCUUUGCUAUUCUGCGCUCCUCCUAUGCUUCGAUUUUUAAAUUCAUUAUGCAUUGAUGUUUAUUUACUUUUCAUUAAAGCUAUGCAUGCAUAUAUUUUAAAGAGCUUUAAACAUUUCUUUGUGCUUGUUAUUUAAAACAACAAAAAUGAUACCCCCUCAUUUUCUAUUGCCCAGAGGCCAUCAGUUUUAAAUCUAAGAGGUUGUUUUUUUUGUUUUUGGUUUUUUUUUUUUUGCUUUUCUCCUUUUUAUCAUGCUUAUAUGGCUGCUUUCUCAUUUUUCAGUUUUUGAGAUUAAUUUUAGCCUUCUCUCCGGAAGAUAAAGAUCAAGCUCUCUUGCAACACCAAGCUCUUCCUCUACCCCACGCACACACUUAUAGAGAGUUGCUUUUAUUCUUCCACUGUAGGUAUGUCGUGACUGGAUCAGUUUUCAGUCUUUACAUUAUGACUAAUAAAUGCUCUCUCAGCUGAGUCAUGUAGCAUUUUGUUAUUUGUUGCCUUUGGAGACAACAGUUGUCUUGUUCUUCUCUUUACCUAGAUUUCUGUGUACUCUUGAUUAAUUGACUUCUAAACUCUUGCCUACUUAUAUGAAUUGAAGCUGUUAAUUUAAGAUCUCCCUUCACAUCAUAUCUGGGAUUCCUUUAGUCUUUCUUGUAUCAAUCAUUUCAUACUUUAAAAAAAAAUUGUUUAACUUAUAUACAGUAGAAGUUUUCUGUUGUUCAGUUCUAUGAGCUUUGACAGAUGCAUAGAGUUUUGGAACCUCUACCACCAUCAAAAUGUAGACCAGUUCUAUCACACCUAAAAAUUCCCAAGCUGCCCUUUUGUAAUCAGAUCCCUUCCCACCCACUGGCAACCACUGAUCUAUUUCUGUCCCUGUAGUUUUGCCUUUUCCAGGUCAUUUAAAUGGAAUCAUACUGUAUCAACAGCCUUUUGAUUUUGCCUUCUUUCCUUCUGUAUAAUGCAUUAAGGUUUCAUCUGUGUUGCAUGUAUCAGUAGUUGGUUCUUAUUGCUGAGUAACGUUCUAUUGUGUGAAUAUACUAUAAUUCAUCUCUUUACCAGUUUCCAGUUCAGGGUGAUUAUUAAUAAAGCUGCUAUACACACUUACAUGCAAGUUUUUAUACGAACAUAAAUUUUCACUUCUCUUGGGUGUUACCUAGGAGUGGGGUUGCUGGGUCAUAGGGUGUGUUAACUUUCUGUUACUAUAUCAAAUACUUGAGAUAAAUCAACUUAGACCAAAAAGGACUAUUUUUGCUCUAGCUUUGUGCUAAGGUAGCACAUCGUGGUGGGAGUAUAAAGCAAGGCAAAACCACUUGCCUCAUGGCCUGCAAAUGCAAGAGAAAGGAAGUGGAAGGAGCCAGGAUCCCAGUAUCUUCUUCAAGGGCACACCCCAGUGACCUAAAAUCUCCUACUGGGCACCCCUUGCAGGCUCCAUCACCUCCCAAUAGCUCUAAGCUUGGGAAUAAGUCUUUAUCACAUGGACCUUUGGGAUCACUCAUGAUCCAACUACAGCACAGAGUAAGUGAAUGUUUAUAGAAGACUACCCAACUACCCAGCUGUUUCCAAAGUGGCUGUACUGUUUUGUAUUCCCAUGAGCAGUAAAUGACUAUUGAGUUGUUUCACGUCCCUCUCAGCACUUAGUAUUAUAUUAGCAGUUUAUUUUUUUCAGUUGCUGCCAUAGGUGUAUAGUAGAAUUUCUUGUCUUUUCUUUCUUUUCUUUGGUGCUGGGGAUUGAACAUAGGGCAUGGUGCAUACGAGACAAGCGCUCUACCAACUGAGUUAUAUCCCCAGCCCUGUAUAGUAGAAUUUCAUUGUGGUUUUUGUUUGCACUUUCCUGUGACCAGUGAUGUCAUGUGCAUAUUUGAGAUUCACAUAUCUUACUUGGUGAGGUAUCUUUUAAAUCAUUUGCUCAAUUUUAAUAGGGUAUUUUAAUUUCUUAUUAUUUAGUUUGAGAAUUCUUUACUAUCUAGAUGCAAGUCUUUUAUCAGAUGUGCAACUUGUACAUAUUUCUUUCAGUAUGUUUCUUGUUUUUCUUUUAACAGUGUCCCCAUUUUUAGUUUUGAUGAAGUUCACCUUUUCACUUUUUUUUUUUUUUAAAUGUGCUUUUGUUGUCAUAGCUGAGAACUCUUUGCUUUGUUUAAGGUCACAAAUAUUUUCUCCUGUGUUGUCUUCAAAAAUUUUCUAAUUUUCAUUUUGCACUUAAAUCUAUAGUUGAGUAGAGAUAAUUUUUGUAUAUGGUCUAUUUUUUUUUUUAAAGAGAGAGUGUGUGAGAGAGAGAGAGGGAGAGAGAGAAUUUUUUAAUAUUUAUUUUUUAGUUUUCAGCAGACACAACAUCUUUGUUUGUAUAUGGGUGCUGAGGAUUGAACCCGGGCUGCACACAUGAGCGCGCUAUCGCUUGAGCCACAUCCCCAGCCCCUGUAUAUGGUCUAAUUUGAAUUAAUUUUUGUAUAAGGUUCAAGCUGUAAGUUGUUUUUGUUACAUUAUUUUUUUGCUUAUGAAUAUCUAAUUAUUCCAGUAUGCUUUGUUGAAAAAGACUUUUUCCAUUGAAUACUUUUUCAAGUAUCAGCCAUACAUAUUUGGGUUUAUUUCUGAACUUCCUGUUCCAGUGAUCUGUUUGUCUUAACACCAAUGCUACAUGGUGGUCUUGAUGAUUGUAGUUUUAUGGUAUUAUUGAAAUCAGGUAAGUGAGUGCUUUAACUUUUUUUUUUUAUCUUUUUCAAAAUUAUUUUGGCUAUUUUAGUUCCUUUGACUUUCCAUACACAUUUUAGAAUCAGCUUGCCAUUAUCAGAACUAUUACAAAUGUCCUACUGGGAUUUUGAUUUGACUUUCAUUGAAAGUUUGGAUCAACUAGGAAAGAAUUGUCAAAGAAUAUGAGUCUUCCAGUGGGAGUGUGGUAUAGUUUUCCAUUUAUGUAAGCUUCUCCAUUUAUGUAACCCUUCUUUGAUUUCUUUCAGCAGUGUUUCUGUCCCGGUGUUUUCUUUCUUGGUAUAUUCCCUUCAUUUGGCAGAGUGCCUCUUUCAGUAUCUUCCUCAAAAGGGUACAUGCAGGAAAAUUUUUGACCCCUUACCUGUUUUUAUUCUUAUCUCAUACAUAUAUAACAUUUGGCUAAAUGUAGAAUUCUAGGUUGGAAAUUAUUGUCCCUCAGAAUUUUAAGUGUGUCAUUUCCCUGUCAUUUAGCUUCUAGGGUGGCUGUUGAAGUCUUGCAUUCUGAUUCUUGAUUCUUUGUAUUCUACUUGUUUUGUUCUCUCUGAACCUUUUUGUAACCCACGUUCUGACAUUUUUCAGUGAUGUGCCUUAUGUGGAUCUAUUUUCACCCAUUAUGCUGGACACUGUGUGGGCUCUUUAAUUCUGGAGAUUUAUAUUUUGUAGUUGGGAAAUUUUUUCCUGAACUCUUCCUGAUUUCUUCCCAUAUGUUCCUCCUGUUCCUUAACUUCCUUAGGUUUUCUUUAAUUUUGAACACCUUGUCUUUACUCCAUUUCUCAAUUUAUCUUUCAGUAUUUCUAGUACAUUUUUAUCUCUGCUAUGAUUUCUUAAUUUUCUAGGGUAUUUUUUCAUUCUCUUCAGCAUUCUUUUGUUUGUAUGUUUUUGCAUCAUAUGUUUUUAUUUCUAUAUGGAUGUGUGUGUUUAAGUUCACUUCUGUCUGCAUUUGUAUCAUCUUUUUCUCCCUAGUCAUUUUUCUUCUUUAGUCUCUGCCAUUCAUACUAAAGGAUUCCUUACGUGUUUGGUGAUCCUUAGCUAUCUGCUCAUUUAUUUAAGGACAGGAAUCUCAAAGGUUGUUUGAAAGCAUUGUAUUAUUUGAGAAUGAGAUUGUUGACUGUGAGGUUUAACAGUGGGGUGGUCUUGCUGGUGGGUUUCCUUGGGAAACUGGAAUGUUAGUAUUAUUGUUUAAGGUCACAAAUAUGGACUUUACUCUUGGACUGGCCAGGUUUCUCCAAAGAAGUCUUUUCUGGUCUCUUACUACAUAUUAGUCUGGCUGCUAGAGUUCUUUUUUUUUUUUUUUUUUAAGUACCAGAGAUUGAACUCAGGGGCACUCAACCACUGAGUCACAUACCCAGCCCUGUUUUGUACUUUCAUUUAGGGGCAGAGUCUCACUGAGUUGCUUAAUGCCUCCCUUUUGCUGUGGCUGGCUUUCCACUCACUGGUGAUCCUUCUGCUUGAGCAUCCAGAGCCACUGGGAUUACAGGCGUUGGCUACUGCACCCGGCUGGCUGCCAGAAUUCUGGGACCCAAACAAGGCAAGAAGUUGUGAUAGGGGUUAGUCUCAGUAGUCAACACAUAAACUUCCACUUAAUCCUUUUGUUUUCCGUGUGGUCGCUCUCUAUGGUGCAGCUCUCUGGGUAGAAGAGGGGCAGCUCAUUUCCCAACUGUUCAGGGGUCUGUCUGCCCUUAAGCAGCCUUUCAAUGAGUCCUUCUGUUCUUAGCCCCUUGUCACCUCCAGUUCUAGAGAUAUAUUUUCCCCAUAAUUCCUGAGUUUGGGGGGAAUUGUGUGACAUAACUUAGUUUCUUCCCAUAUUUUCCUACUGUUGGCUCAGAACUUGGCAUUUUGGAAUAAGUCAAUUUAUUCUUUCCUGCCAGCUUCCUAAUGGCAAAUAUUUUAAAUUCCUUUAUUAUCAUUUUAGUGGAGUUUCAGAAGGGAGGAGAGUCAGCUAGUCAUUGUUUACCUUAAGUAUACUGAAGUCUGUAACCUGCUUGAAUUCUAGUUAACAGUCUUCUUAAAGUGUGAUGCACAAAUCUCUGCUUGAUUAGAGGUAAGCUAUCCGUGCUUCUAGAUUUUAAUGUUGCCUGCGGUUGAAUUAGCCUGUUCAGUCACUUCACUUACAAUUGCUAGCUGUUCACUAACAGCCAGCCCUAAGCCAACAUUUUCCUCUGUGCUGGUGUUUCUUGUAAUGUCAGUAAAUUAAAACCUGAGUUCAAAACUUUAAUUUUCCCUGGGAAAUUUAGAACUUUUUAUUUGCCCAGUUUUCUAGACUUUGAAGAGCUUUUAGAAUUCCAGUUGUGUUCUCCAGUCAUUAUCCAGUAUAUUUACUAUCCCUUUCUUUUCUUUCUGAUAAUAAUUGGGUCUGUGAGCCAUUUAUGUCUUCAUAUUUAUUGGGGGCAAAGGCCUGCUGAUUGUGGUAUUCACUGUAAUAUUCACAGGUCUGGCUGGCCUGUUUGCUUGGGGAACUCCUGUGGUCAGUAUACUUGGGCCUUAACAUUAUUUGUCAUUUUAUUUUAGUCAUUGCUGAAACUAGUUUUCUUUUCAAAACCUCUUUUUUAGGUAGUCAUUUCUUUGGGAGGUCGGCUCUUUUCUCAAGACCAUUCUCACACUUUCAUAUAUUCUUGACCCUUAUUUUAGUCCAUCCCUCCCAUCUUAUUCUCAGAGAUAUUAAAAGUGGUAUUGACAAAUUUUAAUAAAAUUCAGUUAUAUCAUGUGUUUCCCAAUCUUCUCUCCUAACUGUGAAAAAAGAAUGUGAAGUUAGCAGGAACUGCUUGCUCAGGUACACGUGCUGGCUCUUAUUUGUUGUCUUUUUCUUUCUUUUUAAGUUGUCCAGGCUGGCUUCAAACUUGAUCCUCCUGCCUCAUCCUCAAGAGUAGCUGGGAUUACAGGUGUGCACCACUGUGCCUGCACUAUUUUAUUUUCUAAGUGCCCACAAUUUCUGUUCUAGAACUCCAUCCAGAGUUGAAGUGAUGCUUGGUUACAAAGUGUGUGGCAUUCGCUCUUCCCACUUUUUGAAAAUGGGGAUACUGCCAUGUUUCUCAGUGUUGUAUUGUUCUGGUUCUCUACUGUUGCUUGAGGGCUGUGGGCAGGUGCUCAGCAGCCUUCUUUGCACAAGUCCUCUUGGGACAUGGGCAUGCAAUUUGUCUGGACUACUAGACUUGAACCUUUUCCCUGGGAGGCAGAAGAAGCAGUGUCUCACCUCUGUGUUCUUGGUGCAUUGCCUAGUAGCCUGUAGAAAACUUGUAGUGUUUCAAUAUGCUCAUUUAUUUGAAACACCUUGAGGUUCGUUCUACAUUUCUUUACCUGUUCACCUGUUAGGGCUUCUGUGCUUACAGGCCAAUGUGGAGUCUCAUUCCACUAAAUUUUGGUGAUAUCUAUGAAGUUGUACUUUCUUGGGUUAAAAGUGUCAAGAUUUAUUGAAAAAAGUCUUCUUGGAGUACCUGCACUGUGAUAGAGCUGUUGCCCUGGAGCUCACCAUCCAAUGGGGCGGACAGGUUUGAAGAAGUGUAAUUGUGAAGUCUGCUGCAGGACCAUCCUAUUACAUUGACAUUGGAGGUCAGAUAUGUAAGGUUCUUUUCCCAAAAACUUCUCCUAGGACUAUCUCUGAUUUUUCUUUACAUAUCAUAUCUGACCUCUCCCCUCCAGUGGCUUCUGUCACACUUAUGCAGACUUCCUCUCCACCUUAAUCUGCUCUGUUUCCUUCUUCACUCCCCCGCUCCCCGCCUCUCCCUGCCACCAUGCUUCUCAUUUAUUAUGUUCUGGCCAAGUUCACAGUUUUCAGUCAAGGGGAGAUCCUUCCUGUCUCAGGGCCUUCCUCUCCAUCUGGCUGUCCUCACCUCUGCUAGACUUGCCAUCUCAGUUCUACAACAGCCUUUUGCCUCUACUUUGUCAUUUUCUUUACUCUUGUUUGGCUAUAUUUUUCUUUAAGUGGAUCAUUACCUGUAACCAUUUGCAUAUUUUUUUCUGGCAUUCUUCUUCUAUAUGUUCCAUAAACUCGGGGAUUUUUUUUUUGUUCUGUUGGCUGCUGUAUUCCCAUUGUGAGAAGGGGGCUUGGCACCCAGGAAAUGGUCAGUGUUGAAUGGAGGAUGCACUAUGGUACCAGUUCGCAUUGUUUCUUUCUGCCUUUUUAUUUUCAGCUCAAAACCCUUUGGAUGAGAUGGGCCAGUUUCUGGGCAUGGUUAUUCUUCCAGGUUUACUUACGUUCUCCCUACUAGAGUUAAGUGCUUCAUCUUUAUAGUGUCUUAAAAUUGUACAAAUCGAAUUCUAUUCUUUGAUGUCAUCUGCAUAAAUAGUGGUUAAUUUAAUUUUUCACAUGCUGCUUUUUCCUGUUGGAAUAAUAGGUGAAAAGACCACUGGUUCAAAGUUCAUUAGUUUUCUAAUUCCUAGGCACAUUUCUCAAAUUAUGCUGCUGUUUUUCUUGUAAUCACUGUAAUCUUGACAGGCUUUUUCUCACCUCUUGGCUUCUUCCUAUUGGACCUUGUUAGGCUUGUUAAUUUUCUAUGUGGCAUGGCAUGAUGGUUUUCUAGAAAGUUCUGAUAACUCCUUAGUCUCAUGGUCCCCUAUUUCUUAUAACUUCUCUGGUGGUGCAUUGUUUUUCAUCUAAUUCUAUAUUCUCUGUUUUUUUUCUUCCUUCUCCUCCCCUUGCCCCCAACCUCUUAUUGCUGAUUGGGCUUGGGAAAGGCUUUGUGAGAGAAAAGGAAUGGAAUUGGGUCUUGAAGGAUGGAUGAAUAACUUGAGUGGGACACAGGUAAAGGAACUCUAGCCUGCAGGAAUAGCACAGGCAAAAGCUUAUACACUUGAAAUGCAUAAUUUGUUUGGUAGGAGUGGUUUGAGGUGGCUGGAGUGUGUGUUUGUCUUUAGUGGGGUCUGGCCAGAAGGGAGGUGACCUUCAAUGCUAGGUUCGGGAUUAUGGGUGUUUGUACUCUGGUCUUGUAAUAUUCUUAUAUUUCUGGUGUAGAAAUGACAUUGUUCUAUUUUACAUAAUUAGUUGAGGGUGUUGGGACUAUUUUUAUGCCCUCAGACUUCAGCAUUGCCUUAUAGAAUAGCUUAUACGUGAUAGAUGUUCAACGUUGAGUUGAGUUGAAUUCUGAAAAGAAGGUUUAAUUUUCCCAAGAAUCUAGAAGGCUAGAGUUUUUCUAUGGAAUUAAGUUUUAAAAGGAAAUACAUAAUUUUUAUUGCAUAUGUUAUAAAAGUCUGUAUUGUGGAUAUUCAUUUUUUGUCUUUGUGUCUCCCACCUUGCUUUCCUUACUUAUAAUAUGUAAUCAUUACAGCAAGCAGUCCCUGGAUCAAGGCAGAAUUUGGAAGAUACUUGGCUUCCUCAGUAUCUCUUGUUAAGUUCCUAUUUUUUUGAUAGAACGGUAAUAUUUUUAUACUCUUCUGUGCAGUCUUGUGCAGAUGCAUUCUCAUGCACCUCCUUUCAACCAAAGAACUGACUGUGGCCUAGUGCAGAAAAUCAGGAGACACCUAAGAGCAACCUAUAUAUUAGGUAUAACCUGUUUACAGAUGAGAAAACUGUUAGCAGUUAAAGGACUAAGAUUAUUUAGCUGGUAAGCAAUUGGAAUUACAGCAUAGAUCCUAUGUUAUUUUUUUUCCUUUAUUUUUUAAGUACCCCAAGUUUUACUUAAUGAUUAAUGGUCUAGAGGACAGUGGAAACAAAAACACAAUUUGUGAAAGUGCAGAAAGUGGGCUUUCCCCAUCCACUAAAGGAUGGAAGCAGAUUCAAAGCUUGUAGACUGUGGUGAUACAUGUGGGAAAGUGGGUAGUAAAAGGAAAAACAGAUACUUCAUAACACAUUGCAUAUUAUGUAGAGUCAUUUCAUUCAGCGUGUUUUAAUUUUCAUAUGUUUUUGAUAGUGACAUUGUAAUCUUGAAGGGGAUUUCUCCAUUUGGCUUAAAUUAUUGCUAUUGACUGAUGAUUGUGGUUAGGGUAAGAGUUAAUUUUAAUUAGGGAAGAGUUACUAACAUUUAUUUCUAGGACAUACAGUGAUGGUAAAUUGGGUGUUGGGGGGUCAUUCCUUCAUGUCAACAUGGUUAAUGUGGACCUUGGAGCUGAGUGGACUACAUUUUGCUUUUAUUAAUGCAUCUGAGCUAUGUUUUCCCUUUUUUGUUUUUCCAAUUCUGAUUGAACAGAUCCCCAUUGAAAAAUCUAUAUGUAAACCUAGGAUGCUGGGCUCAUAAACCAUUUCAUGGUAAAUGAUUUGUAUAAAAUUUCAACUAAGUGAAUUUCAUUCAAGCAGUGGGAAUCUUCCAGAUCAAGUUCAUUGCUAGCAAGUGUUGUAUUCUGGGCAAAUUGUCUGUUUCUUUACCUGCAUUCACAGAGCAGUGGUAGUUCAUAUCAUUGUACAUACCCCAUCACAGUUCAUAAACCAGUUUGGCUAAUUACUCUAAAAUUACUGUUUUUGUUUUUUCCUCAACAAUAUGUGUUUAAUUUUUUUGCUCUUAGUAUUAUUAAUAAUAAAUUGCUUUCCCUGGCUCUCAAGCUCUUUAGAGAUCAAACAGAAUUUUUAAGGUGAAAGGAACCCUCAGCUCUGUUGUCUUCUGCUUUUUAUCCACACCCACACAGUCACAUGUUCAUGACUAUGAUAUUUCUCUAUGUUGUUAUUUCUGUAUGCAUAUAAAAAUGCUUUGUGGUGCGUAAAGACAGGGUAGGAUAGAAAUACUGACGCUGACAUUAGAGACAAAAAUAGUGAAUAAAGCUAAUAAACAAUAAAGGGUAUGUUUGUCAAUAAGAUUUGCCUUAGGUAAACCACUGAUUUGCAUUUUACUGGACAUUUCCCUUAAGCAAUAUGAAGCUUCUCCUUUUCCACUUCUGUUUUGCAGUGUCUCCUUUACACCAGCAUCAUACUUAAAAUUCCCUCUAGACUCUGCCCUCCAGUUUAUUGUCAGUCCUUUAUCACUGAGCGAGAACUUUAUUGGAGGCAAUACUGGCUUUUUUUGAAUCAGCAUCUUCACUUCUGCUUCACUGCUUUUAAUUAUGAUGUUGUCCUUGUUUGGAAUUUUUCUCCCUUCUAUCCAAAUUCUGUCCUGAUGAGUCAGCUCAUAUUCCCUCCUUUCAGGAAGCUUUCCUCUUCAGUCCAUGCUGAUCAUGAAGCAAGUUCUCAUGCAUAGACCUUAACAACAUACCAUUAAACUAAAGAACUACUUUCCAAGUAUUGACUUUGCUGUAUGUAGUGCUGUGCAUUUUACAUAUGUUAUGGUGCUAUGUAUUUUACAUGUUAUGGUUAGCCUCACACUUGUGACAGAUGAGGAAAUUAAGGCAUGCAUUGAUUAAGUGAGUUGCCCUAAGUUCAUAUAAUAGCUUCUUUGAAGUAGAACAGAGUUGGGAGCUUCAAAACCUGUGCUCUUUGUACUGUUGCAUGCUGAAAUUCUUUUUGUCUAAUUCCGACUUUGUUAUUGUUGUUGUUGUUAACAACUGAGAGGAUUAAGUAUAAGUCUGGUUUUCCCCAAAUAUGAGGAUCUUUUUUGGACCAAUAUUCAUUUGUACUGCUACCCUAUACAAGGCAUCAUGGGUCCAGUUGUUCAGGAUAAUAAUUUAGCUGUGUUCAAAGCACUUGGGCAGUGCCAGUGUAUACAUUGUUACCUAUAGAAGAGGCAGGAUGAAAUCUAUAGAAGGAGAUUAAAUAAUCACAUGGUUCCAGGGAAGAGAUAAUCAUUUUCAAUGGGAGGAAUUAAGGAUGGUACUAGGAGUUAGCAUUUCUCCUGAGAUUCAAUGAAAGGACUGAAGUUGGAAGAGAAGAUUAUGUUCAGAGUUUAGACUUUGGAGAUGUUGGAGGUUGUGGUUCAAGUUCUUAACAUCACCACUUACUAGUCAAGUAACCAUGGGGAAAUUAGCUAAUGUCUUGACCUUAGCAGCAAUACCCCUAGAAUUGGUGAGAAGACUGGGGUGGGGCUGGGGAGGGUAUAUGAAUCUUUUAGCAUUGUGCUUACCCCAUUAUGCACUCAGUAAAUGUUAGCCCCCAAAAUUAAUUUUUUUUUAAUGAGGAAGAAACUUGAACAAAGGCCUAGAGGAAGCCUGGAGGGUAGGUAUGGAGUUUGUAGAAGAGUUUGGACUUUUGGGGACUAAAUAUAGUGGACAUAGUAGGCUAAGCUUUGAAAAGCAGGUUGGCAAUUAUGGAUUCGGUGAAUCCUUUCAUUCUCAGACUGCUAUUCUCUUCUACUUUAGACAAUGAGAAGUGCUAUUAGAGUUUUGGUUUAGGUGUAGCUUUGUUUUAAUAGAGAAGUAAUAUGUUAAAACCUGAAUUUUAGGAAAAACCUUACAACAAUGGGAAGAAUAGAGUGAGGAUGAAUGCAGGGGUCUAGGGGACCUGCCUAUGAUGCAGAGAUGGGGGAGUGCUGAUAAGAGUCGAAACCAACUUAGUGAUUGGGACAGAGAGGCAGCUUGUAAGAAUAGACAUGCCACCCAUUAUUUCAGCUCCAGAUCAUGUGUACCAAUAGCAAAAUGUUUUUGUGCUUUUUAGAUUAUACAGUUCUUAUAAGUUAAUUAUAAAGUUUAAGUAAUAAAACAAUCACAAUUGUUAUGGUUAGAAUAUGAGGUGUCCCCCAAAGGUCAUGUGAUAGUGUAGAAAUGUUUGAUUAGAUUAUGAGAGCUAUAACCUACUUGGUGGAUUAAUCCAUUGAUGGAUUGAUAAUUUGAAUGGACUAAUUGAGUGCUAACUAUAGGCAGGUGGAGUGUGGCUGGAGGAAGUAGGUCACCUAGGGCAUGCUUUUGGUGAUUGUAUUUUGCCUGGCUCUUCGAUUGCUUUCUCUGCUUCUUUGGACUCAGCAUCCUGUCUGCCAUGAGCUGAGCAGCUUUCUUCCACCAUAUCCUUCUGCCAUGGUAUUCUGCCCCAUCUCAGGCCCAGAACAAUGGAUUCUGCCGUCUGUGGACUGAAACUCUGAGCCCCAAAUAAACUUUUCCUCCUCUAAGUUGUUUUUGUCAGGUAGCUCAGUCACAGUAGUGAAAAGCCAACUAACACAUAAUUCCAACAGAGAUAACCACUAUAUACUUUAAAUCCCUUCCUUUAGAUGUCCUUCAUACCCAGUAUUAGUUAAAUAAUAGUUUAUUCUAGCCUUUAUAUCAUUUAAAGUCUAUAUAGGUGUGGUCACUGUUAUUAUUUUGAGGUAAUUUGCCUUUAUAUGUGUUUGAGUCUGUUUAUAUUUUGUUGAACAAAUGGAAGAUUUUGUUGUUCAUUUUGUCUGUUUUUGGAAAUUCACAUAUUGAAAGGACCUAAAUUUCCAGAUUUCUGUAGACUUUCUUUUUUCCAUGUUAAUAACUUUAAAAAACAGCAACUUUGACAUUGUCUUGGUUUUAUUUAUUUUUUUUUCAAAUGUAUUACCUAAAAAUGCCUAAAAUUUUGUUCUGGUUUAAUUUUUAUUUUGAAGUGUUAGACUUACUGAGCAAAAGAGUACACAUUGUUCUCAUAUACCCUUCAUCCAGCUUUUUAUAAUCAUAGCAUCUUCCAUGACUAGUACAUAUAUCAAUACUAAGAAAUUAACAGUGUCAUAAUACCAUUCACAAAACUACAUACUUUAUUUAGGUUUUUCCAGUUGUUUUACUAUCAUCCCUUUUUUUUUUGUCCCAGUAUCCUGCAUUGCAUUUAGUCAUCGUAUCUCCUUAGUUAACUCUCCCAUCCUGUAACAUUUCUUCUCUUUCAUAACCUUGACCCAGUUUUGUUGUUGUUGUUGUUGUUGUUGUUUUUUGGGGGGAGGCGUACUAGGAGUACCAGGGCCACUCAACCACUGAGCCACAUCCCCAGCCCUAUUUUGUAUUUUAUUUAUAGACAGGGUCUCACUGAGUUGCUCAGCAUCUCACUAUUACUGAGGCUGGCUUCGAAUAGCGAUCCUCCUGUCUCAAUCUCCUGAGCCACUGGGAUUACAGGUGUGCACCACUGGUCCCAGCAUCUUGACCCUAUUGAGAAGUAUACACUUAUGCUUUUAAAAAUAAUGAAUUGUUUAAUUUGAAGUCCACAUGUAGGGGCCUAUAUGAUGUUUAAUUUCUUAAAAAUGAUGUAAAACAGAUCUAUGAUAUUAUGGUUUCAAAAUUAAUUAGAAAUUAGUUAGAAAAAUAAUUUAAUAAACUUGUUUUCCCCAAAGUACAAAGUUAAAGGCCUUAUUGAUGUAAUGAUAGGAAAGUGAUAUUUUAAGAAGCAACCAUACUAUAUGACCAUAGGGUGAAUUAUGACUUUAGCAUAUCUCGAUUUGUCAUGACUCUAGGUUUACCUCACAGAUGAUAGCCCCAGCUUUGAUUUCAUGAAAGACAUGUGUGAAGCAGUGUCAAAGAUUGUAAAUGCAUUCCAAAAUUGAGCAGAAGUUUUAGGAUAGUGGAAAGCCCUACACUUUGUAAACUCAUCUUCAGAGAGGCACGAAUAUUGACUUUUUAUUGGCCAAUUCUGCUUUGGUGCUUGCAUUUUAUUUAUGAAAAAGUGCAUCAUGCCAGAGGGGUACAUGCUUGGUACUUCAGGCCUGUCCCUGAAGGUAUACCUCAGAGGCAAACAUAGACAGUGGAAGUACGAGUCCUCUUUGUAAAAAUUAGUGACAUUUUGAGGUUCGUUUCUAGAAAGUAUUCUCCAGUGUUUGAAGUCUGUGCGGUCAGCUGUGGAAAACAAGUGCAGCCUCCAAUUGCUCUGUUUGCACGUCCAGUUGGAUACAGUUGGAUACAGUUGGAAAUACACUGGUAUUUCCUUGAUCUUGCCCAUAGUGCCCCUGUUUUUUCCUCCUGCAGUUUCAGUUUUGGUGUGUUCAGAUGCCAUGUCACAUCCUAGGAGAACAGUCUGUGAGUCGCCAGGGGGUCUGACAAGUUGAGCCACUCAAAACCCUUUAAUUCCAAGUAUCCUUGAACUGAGGAAGCAGCUCAAUAAAUCUCUAGAACAAGUUUUCACAACUUAACCAUAUGACCGUAUUAGAAUAAAGCCAGCUUCUGUGCGCCACUUCAUCUUCUUCCAAAUAUUUCUUGAAUUUGUGAUGAUUAAGGUGAUAGCCUCAAGAGUCACAAUCUCAAUCUGUCACUUCAUCACCUCACGCAGUGAACAUUCAUUCAGUAAGUAGAAAUUGAGCACGUCUAGCCAGGGACUAUUCUAGGUACUGUGGAUACAGCACAGAACACCGAGCUUCAGUAAAAUGUACAGCAUAGCAGAUGAAGAUCUGUACUGCUGUGAAGAAAAUUAAGUUAGGGAAGGGGUGACAACUCUGUGUGUGUGUUUGUAUGUUUGCAGUUUAUAGCAGGCUAUUUAGGAAAAGCUCCCUGAGGUGAAGGGACAGGCCAGCUAGAUAUCCAGGAAAGGAGCAUUCCAGGGUGAGGGAAUAAAUGUAAACUUCAGGAGAUGAAAAUAUCCUCAGAGGCCAAAGGGGUAGCAGGAAAGCCAGAGUGGAUGAAAUAGUGGAAGGAAGGGACUAGGUCAGAGGUGGUUGGUGCCAGAACACUGAGGAUAUUGUAAAUCAUUACAAAAAUUUGGGCAUUUGCUCUGAGCAAGGCAGGAAGACAUUGAACAGGGGAGCAACAUGCUCUGGCUUUCUGAUCGUGAGUCUCUCACUUUAUUAAAAUGAGUGCUGAGGUGUCAUGGGUAGAAGCUGACAGAAGGCAGUGACAGUUAGAGGUAAUGGUGGCCUGAACUGGGGUGGCUGUAGCAGACAGGUGGUGAGAAGUGGUCAGUUUCUCAUCAUAUUUGGAAGACAGAGCCAUUAGCAUUUCCUGAUGACUUGCACAUAUGCUGUGAGGAAGUGGCAGUCAGGUUUUUGGUCCUGAGGAGGUAGAAUUACUGUUUUCCUGAUGGGGAAGGCUGUUAUGCAUCCUGAACAAGAGGGAGGAGGCUGCGAGUGGUCUGCCUCAUCUCAGGAAUACACUUCAGAAAUUUGUACCCCCUUCUCUUCUCUAUAGCCACUCUAUCGAGGAUUAAUGACUUAAAUUUUCAGUGUCUAAAUCAAGUGUCUUAAGUUCCUUAGUGGCAAGUACUCAAGUUUGUUAGCAAACUGGACUAAAAACCUUGGAUCUCAAAUAGGCUACACUUUGGUAAGCUUAGGUGGCAUUAGACCCAGUGGCUUAGUGAGGAAUAUAGAUGUUUCUGCUGCCACACCUUUUAGUAAACCUGGAAAAAUAUCAAGCAAAUGAAGAAAGAACAAAGUUGAAACCUCAAAAAUAACUUAAAGUCACCCCACAUUUGCAAAAUCAGUUACUGAAAACAGCAGGGCUGAUGUGGGAAAUAGAAAUAGGAUAGAACACUGAAAACCGAGGAACGGUAACCAAGAAGUUCUAAUAACGGUACCAAUAAACAAAACACAAAAGAACACAGCUAAUUAUUGGUGUUUACUCUGGUGUCAUAGGAAGUUUUAUGUAGCCUUAAAUUCUGGGGCUUGUGCUUUCUUUGACAAUUGUCUACUACCAUUUUUUAUGAAAAGUAAAAAGUCGAUUUGGCAUAUCGCCAUUGUCUUAAUACAAGGGGGAAUGCCUGUCCGCUUCCUCAUCUGCAUUCAUAGCUUUGCCAGAUAACUUAAAAGAACAGAAGUGUAGUGGUUUAAAGCCAAUGAAACAGUCACCAGUUGGACCAAAGUAAGUUACUUCUGUUGAUUUUCAGUUUUCUUUUUUCCUUGAGAUUCUCUUUUCUUGCUAAGGCUUUCUCUUUAAUAAUCAUGAGGUAACUUGCCUUGGCUUGAAAGUAUUACAUGCUAGGGGGAAAAAAAAAUCACAUGAGCUGAUUUGACCUCUCUGUUAUUCAGACUCCAUUCAUUCACAUGUUUGCCAGUCAUGUAUGAGGUAAUGCUCAUCCAGGAAGCACAGUGUGGCAGAGCAGACUGCAUUGCUGCCCUGGGGCUCCUUAUCUGACCCAAAGUUACGACCAAAUUCAGAUCUGCUUCUUUAAAGAUAGUCUAGAAUUUUUUUUUAAUUAAAUAGGUAUUCAGUAAGAAACACCCUAAAAUCAAUUUGACAGUGUACUCAAAAAAGUGAAAAAAACCCAACAUUUAUUUCUUUAAAAAAAUCAUUUGAAGACUAGAAAGUUAAAACAUCUUUAAGAAGAACCACUUGUUUAAGAGCUAAUGUCACACUUGACAAUGACAAAUAGAGGAUUUUUUUGUUUACAUUAGGAAUGUAAUUACCUAAGCCUUCUAUCAUCAUUAACAUUGUUCCAAAAGAUCUGACUAGUGCAAUAAACCAUAAAACCAAAGUAAGUAUAAUGAUCAGAAAGGAGAUAAAUCAUAGAAAACAAGAAAAUCAACUAAAAAAUUUUAGUAGGUUCAUGAAAGAUAAUACCGUAGUAUAAAUAUAAGGAGCCAUUCUGAAUCAACAGACCAUUGGUAAGGUAUUAUGUUAGAUAACUCCCACUCUGUAUUAAAAUAAAUUCCGUGAAACCUUAAGCAAGUAGAUGAGAACAAUAUCAAAUAGCUGAAGAGCUUAAAAGCAGUGAGAAAAGGUCCAAAGAUACAUCAAUUUGGCUGUACAAAACUAUAUUUCUAGAAACUGUAUUUCUAAAAAACUCAGAAAUGGGAUGGCAAACUGAGGCAUAGCUCAUUUCAUAACCAGCUCUCCAAGGGAAGGAAAAAGUACACAGAUUUGCUGAUUUCCAUGAUGUGAAGGCUCCCACCAUGACUGAUUUCAAGUGAACAAGUUCAAGAGCAGGAGUUGGCACAGACUCUUGCACAGUUGGAGCUCACUAACUGGCUGAAGCAUAACAAGUGGCAGAGCACGCUGAGAAGCCACUUGUUAUUACUAGCCGCUCAUUUGGUAACCCCAUCUUGUAUGUGCCAUCUUAGGAUGGGUUGUUCCCUUGUGGUCUGGUCUUUAGUUCUAAGGGAAGAUUAGCUUAUUCUCUAGAGCAACUUUGUGGAAAGAAGGAUUUAAUUGGAUUUCAGAGAUGUGGAGACUUUGAAUAUGGCAGCCAUGUUAUUAGGAGUUGUGUAGUUAUUUGAAGGCUGUGAUUGAAAAUCAUUAUUUGGGAAGAUUAUCUGGAGACUAUGAUUGAGAAUUAUUAGUUCAGGGAGUACAGAGAAAACCAGUUGGCAUGAAUUGGGAUAGAGGUACAGAGAGGAAAGAGGGGGGAAAAUGUACAUAUUUUUAAGGGGUUUAUGAAGAUUAAUCUUACAUUAUAAUGAAAGUACCUGUAUACGUAUACAUAGAGGGUUGACUGGUGGGCAAGUGGGGGUGGCCAGAAUUGCAUACUAACCUGUUAAGGUCUGUCUGAGCUUGGAAGCUAGCUUUUGGACAAAUGGUCUCUUAUGAGUAGGAUUUUUUUUUUACUAUCAUAAUUAAAGAUAAUAUAUUUCCAUAGAAUGAUAAACUUAGAUUUCAAAUUCAUGCAAUAAGUAUAGAUAGUAUUUUAGUAUCUUAUAAGCCUUAUAAAUUUUUUUGUUUGUUUUAAGUAGUUAUACAUGACAGUAGAAUGCAUUUAUGCACUUUGAUAUAUGAUAUAUAGAUGGUAAAAUUUCUCAUUUUUUUGAUUGUACAUAUUGUAGAAUCACAUCAGCACAGCCAUAUAUGUACAUAAGGUAAUAAUGAAUGUUUCAUUCUGCUAUCCUUCUUCCUAUCCCCAUCCCCUCCCCUCUCUUCACUCCCCUCUCCUAAUCUAAAGUAACUCUAUUUCUCCCUACCCACCACCUAUUGUGAAUUAGCAUCUGCAUAUCAGAGAAAACACUCAGCCUUGGGUUUUUUGGGAUUGGCUUAUUUCACUUAGCAUGAUCUUCUCCAACUCCAUCCAUUUAGAGUGGGAUGUUUUAAUGACUCACUGGGUAUGCAGACUUACAGAUGGUUUUUUUAAAGCACUUAUUUAUUCCAGUUUGGUCCAUUAACAUUCAUUUUUCUUUGUCAAUUUUUUAAAGAACAUAUUUAGUAUCAGUCAUUUACAGGGGUAUUAAUUUGAUGAUUCAGUGUUCCUUCUCACCAAUUUGGGUGAUUCUGGUAUUUUUCUGUAAUCAUUUUAUGGAUCUUUACCUGGUUUUCAUUACUUCAAAUUCUGAUGUGCCCAUGUAUUUUCCUGCCAUUACUGAUUGUGGAACCACUGAAUCUCAAGGUUGGAAAGGAUUAUAAUUGUCUUCUAGUCGAGCUGUCAAUUUGAUAUUUGAAUCUUCUGUUAUUUUCUUUUCUAAUUUAGACUUAAAUAAUUGAUUGGGUCUUAAUUUUCAAUAGUUGGGUUUUAUCAAGAAAUAGGAUUUGGAGACUUAGUGACCAUAUGUCAUCCUCACACUGAGUAGUCAUUUGGACAUAACCAGCUGGUCAUUCUUUGGGGUAGCUGAAGGCCACUGGUUUAUUUAAUGCUGAACUUUUUGCCUGCUAUUCAGUACCCAUGGCUGCAGGGUGCUAUGACCUUAAGCUCUACACCUAGGCAGCAGGUAAGAGUAUAGGUGGACUUAGGACCCAAAUCCUAUGGCCAGGCUAAACUCAGCUCUGUCAUUUUCCUGGGGUUUCCUCCCUGGUCUGGUCUAUCUAAGGGCAGAGAGAGGGUAUUAGAGGUUGACUGUGGAGAAAUAUAACCUCUUUGCUUUCAAAGUUAGCUAAGGCUGGUUUGCAAGUCCAGGAGCUGCCUGUUUGUAAAUGCUAGGGGAACUUCUCUAGCUGUGUUCUAAAUUAUAGCUCUUCAAUAUUUUCUGCCUAAAGUGUUUAAAUGGAGAGUACUUGUUGUGGUUCAGGUUUUACCAGAGAAUGCCAGCUGACAGCUGCCAAGAGGCUUUACUAAGGAUCCUUGACCUUACAACUCAUUAAGCCCUGGGGCUUUGGAGGCUAUAAUUUUGCUAGUACAUUUAGUGUGCAUCCUUCUGUUAAUAGUAGAUUCAUGUAAAACAGCGUCGUAAGACACGUGUCAACCCAGAAGCCUAAUUUAUUGAAGAUUUAGCUGACGUGCAGGAUAGAAAAAUUUUGUCAGCUUGGCUAGCAUGAAGAUAAAACCAAAUCAUUAUUGAGAAUUAUUUUAUUUUCUCUCUCUCUUUUAUUUUUGGUAGUACUGAGGAUUGAACUAGAGCCUUGCACAUGCUAGGCAAGCAUUCUACCACUGAGCUACACCCCCAGCCUUUUAUUUACUCUUGAUAGAGAAGUAAUGUGGUUUUUAAAAAUCCAGUUCAAAUAUGUAUCUGAUCUUACCUCAUGAGAUAAUGAUGGUUAACAGCUUAGUAUGUGUAUAUUCUUUCAGACCCUGUGUAGAUGCAGUAGCCUCUGUUGCUCCAUGGUUUUAUUUUUCUGUAGCCCUCAAGUUUUGUUAUACAUACAUGCUUGUCAACUUCUGGGAAGCCAGAGGCCAGUCAGAAGGUGCCUGAUGUCAUGGGAUGAGAAGAAGGGGAACAGAUUGGAUGAUUCAUGGUGUAGCAGCAACUCAGUUGCCCAACUGUCUACUCAGUAGUAAUGACACUUCUGCAUGAGUCUGCUCCCCUCAUGCCCCUUUCCCAAGACAGUUUGGAAGGGCAAUAUCAAGGUUGAUUUCUCAGACUUCCAUUUUUCAGUAUAAAUGAUCAAGUCCAGAUCCUGGCACCUAAUAAGUACUAAUAAAUAAAUAGUCCCUUUUUUUUUUUCUGAGAAGCCUGAUCUUUCUGUAACUGUUUAUAUCACAGUCCAGUUUUAUUUUGGCCUAUUUUUCCUUUGAUCUCUUUAAGAUGACUCUCCCCCCCAGCUCUACUGUGAUCUAUUUUAUGAUGUAUUUUAAUUCUCUGUAUCUUUAUUCACCUUUUACCUUUGUAAUGACUGCAGAGGAACUGAACUUUUCUAUGAAAACCAGCACUUUAUCUCAUUAUUCAAUAACUUCUGAUUUCUCAGCAAAUGCGUUUCUUCAUUAAAUUUCAUUACUACCCAACUUUUUAUUUUAGUUAAAGCUCUUCUGCUUUUACCUUAUCAUAUACCUGAUUUGAUAGCUAUAUGAAAAGUGUUUUGCAUGGAGGUGUUGUGAAAUUAAGAGAACACUACAUGUGAAGUGGCCAACAUACCCCUUUUCAAGUAUUUUUAUGUGAUUUAUUUUAUAUAUAUUACAACUUUAUUGACAAGUAAUUGCACAUUCUACAUGUAAUUCACCCAUCUAAAGUGUCCCGCUCAGUGAUUUUUUUUUUAGUAUAUUCACACAGUUCUGUUAACUAUCACCACAGUUUUAAAACAUUUUUAUUGCUCCCAAAAGUAUCUUGAUAUCCAUUUACUGUCAUUCCUUAAUUCCCCUUAACUUUACCCAGCCCUAGGCAAGUUUUAUUCUGUUUUCUGUCUCUAUAGAUGUAGCUAUUCUGAGUAUUUCAUGUGGAAGGAACUAUAUGACAUCUGGUCUUUUGUGUCUGCUUCUUUCACGUAGUGUUUUCACAGUUCAUCCAUGCUGUGGCCUGCAUCACUGCUUCAUUGGACCACACUAUAUUUAAUGGUCCAUACUAUAUUUAAUCACUUAUACAUUGAUAGAUAUUAUUUAUGAUUUUUUAAUAGUAAAAUAGCACUUCACAUUAUUAUAUUUUUUUUAAAUACAAUCAUUUUACAAAACAUAGAAAAAAGUUACAGGUGCCUAGGGAAAACAAUAGUUUGUUAAUUUGUUUCUACCCGUUAAACAUCACUGUUUUCUUUAAAUAUUAAAAAUGAUAUUUGGACAUUUGGAAAUAAUAUCAUGCUUGGUUAUGUUCUAUAAUUUUCCUAUAACAAAAAAUUAACAAUGUGAAAAUAUAAUUUAGAUUAAUUCAGCUACAGAAUAUAACAUACUGUGGUAUCUUUCCUGUAAUUCUUAUGCUUCCAAUUUUUAAAUUUUUCCUUCUCACUUCCACACAGAUCAUUCCACGAUGUUUUAUAUGCUGAGGACAGUAAACAUGGCAGAGCAGAGUAGUCAUGGAUCCUAGAUUCCAACUGCCAGCUUGACGUCCCUCUAGUAGAACUUAUUGUAGGCUGAGUGGCUUGGGGCAUGUUACUUGGUCUCUUUGGCCGUUUCCUUAUCAGUAAGAUGGGAAUAAUCCUGAUAUCAGCCUUAUUGCUUUGUUGUGAAGAUGAAAUGGGUUAAUAAAGCAAAGAGUCAGGUACAUGGAAUAUGUUCAGUGAUAUUAGCUAUAAUCUGCAGUUUCAUAUGGUAAUAGUGUCCCGUAAGUACUUUAAGUGCAUAUAUUAAAACAGAUUAUUUUGUUAAUAUUCCUAAUUAUGUUUGAUCCAAACUUUUUCCACCUUCAAUAAAAUAUGUGCAGUUUUGUUUAUCAUUUCACCAACCAUCACCUGUAAACUCAAAUGGAUCAUGUUUUAAAAGCGAGAGAAAAAAGCAGAACCUGGAGAUGAAGGAGGUAUUAGCAAGAGUAGAGGAGCUGGAAGGUGAAAUAAAGUGACCUAAUCUCUUAAGCUCCAACAUGCCUUCAUUCAUGUGAAGAUAAUUAACUAUUUACUGAAUAAGUGGAUAUUUUAGUAGUUUGGUUGGAUGUGGGAUUCAGAAUUGGAGUUUCCUUCAAUUUUCAUUUAAAAAGUGAGACUUCUUAUGUAUUCAGUAUCAAAACUUCAUUGUACACUUUACAUAUAUACAAUUUUUAUUACUCCAUUAUGUCUCAAUAAAUCUCAGGGAAUUUUUAAGAUAUAAGGAAGGCAUUUCAGUUGCUCUUAUUGUAUUAUUAUUUAAAAGUCACUGUUUUUUUAAUCACAGUUUUCCAUACAACUGUACGCUAAUUCAUUUCUGCUGGUGGUAUCUCCUUUACACAUUUUAUUUAGUUAUUUUUUCAUGAGAGAAAAAUUUUGUCCUCUUUAUUGCAGUUUUUUUUUUUCUUUACACAUUUUAGAAUGUAUAUACGGUAUGGGAAUAAUUUAAAGAUUCUGAGAUGAAUUUUGUGGGAAUUUACUUUUUUUGAAGACUCACAGGGAAGACUUUCUCCUAGCUCUUUGGAAAAGGGCAUUAACAACCAUUUAGGGCCUGGUCUUAGCUAGAAACUUAAAACCUCUUCAAAGGGAUUGUUCCUUACCCUACAAAUAGAGAGCCCAGGUCAGCUGAUCACACCCCUGUGAAGAACAAGAGCUAGGACUGAAACCAGGUUUGGGCUCUUUUUCAUCACUGCACCAGUUUGACUUUCUAAGGUUGCCUCUUCUCCCAUUUUUCUUUAAGAGGGGCCUUGCUCUGCCAAGGUGAGUCUCAGCAUACAGUUUCUAAUGAAGUUUGAAAUGUUCUGAUCUCCCAUCAAUAAGUGUCAGGUAGAAUGACUUAAACAUUUUGAGGGGGCGGGGGGCAUUUCAUACUCUAUUUCUUUAUAGCUGUCAAUAUAGUGAGGAAGUAGAGAAAGAAUAAUCUGGAGAAAUGGAAGCCAGUAUAUUCAUAUUCUCAUAUUCAUAUUCUCUCUCUCUCACAUAAUUAAAUAGCAUUAAUAAUAAUCAAAAUAGGGAAACAUUAUAAAUUAACUUUAAAAAUUACACCAUCUCUUUCCAAUGCUUUUUUACCCUUGUAUGUACUGUUUUACUUAGCUGUAUGACCAGAUCAGAGAGAUAAUUUUAUGCCCUGUUUUUUGCCAUAACUUUUUAUCAUAAUCAAUUUUAUAUGUUACUAUAGAGCUUUCAUAGUUAUUUUUAUGAUUGUAUAAUAUCCCACUCUCAUGUUUAACUGUUUUCUAUUAUUGUGUAAUUAAUUUCUAAUUAUUUCUCAUACAGCCCUGCAUUGAACAUACCAUGUGCAGCUAUUAUAAUGCUGUAGAUUAUUUCCUUUGGUUUUGAAACAUAUUGCUAAAUUAAAAGGGAAUGUCUAAUUUGUGCUACUUUCAGUUUUCAGCAUGGUCUUAACCAGUGUUGCCAGUCUUUGCUUCUGAAAUUUGUUCAGUGGGAGUAGCAUCCUAACCAUUGAAGGAUAGGGGCUAGGGGUUAAAGGUUGCAGUAAGAUUAUGACCAAAUAAAUUUUGGAGAGUUUGUGAUUUAAAGGCUCAAAGAAGUCAUGCACAAAAGACUAGACUUCAUUAGCUUGCAUUUCUAAAACUUAUUUAAAUAUGGAACUUAUUAUUCUCAUAAAAAUGAGCAAACAUCUUUGGGAAAUGCCAUACUGUAUGUUGAUGGUAAAAGGAGCCAGCCUCUAGUGCAAUAGGAUACUUUUUAGGUAAUUGCUCUCAUGCACAAGAGGCAGUAAGGAUGUCUGCCCUAAUAUCUUGCCACCUGACCCUCAAGAAGCUCAUAAUCUAUUGGGGAAACAAUAUAGAUGAUAGAUGAUGGUGUUUAUAUAUAUAUAUAUAUAUAUAUAUAUAUAUAAACAAACAUAUAUAGAAUGAUGAUUACUGUGACAAUGGUUUAGACAUAGUGUGCACAAAGGAAUAGAAAGGAAGGGAACCUAAUCCACGUUUUGUGUGUUCCUAAGUUAUUUUCCAAAUCACAGAAGGGAUUUGGUUCUCUCUAGAGUUUUUAGGUCACUGCCUUAGAACUGAACGUAUGUUUAUUUCUAUGCAUGACUACUGUGGACUAAACACAUCUUCAUCAACUAAGACAGUACCUGAUUUUGAUUUAAAACAAAAUUACUAAUUUCCAACCACUCACCUGCUAUGAUCAGUGUAACUUUUGUAGAAGGCAUGGAGCCUUCAUAAGUCAGUUUUUAUGUGUUCCAUCCCGGAAAGGAAGUUAGAUUGAAGUAAGGAUAUUAGAAUGGAUAUCCAUGAAAUAAAAAAUACAAUAGUAAAACCAAGAAAAUUUAGGAAACCUAUUAGAACUCUGGAGACUCACUCUAAAAAAAUAAUAGGUAGGAGGUUCAAAGUAGAGCUUUGGUCCUUCCAGUCUGUCUGCAGCGUCGUCAGGUUCUGAAGAAGUUUUGACACUUGUAAGAUGUGAUGGGAAAAAAUGAAGCCCAUAAAAACCAUAAUUUUCGAAAGUUAAAUAGCAAUUUUAAAUUUAAAGGACUGCUUACCACUGAUUCAGGAGAAAGACAAACUAGAAAUACUGCCUGAAGAUUGCAGGCAGGACUUGUUUGUGUGAUUUUGAUGGUGUUUCAUUGAUGAUGGAGGCAGAAGAUGUUAUUAGCUAUGUUCAGAGCAGGAUUAACUCAACUUCUGCCCAGUAAUUAUCAUGGGUUUAUGUUCAAGAGAGAGAGUCGUUGAGAAGUCAAAAGGCCCACAUUAUUUUUAUGGGAGUUGGAAGAAGAAUGAAGUCAUUGCCUACAUAUCUCCCUGUGAUCUUCCUAUCAUGGUGUAAAUGCACAACUCAUAAAGCAGCUGUAGUUGCCAUUUCCUCCCUUUUCCUUAAAUGGAUGAAUGUGAUUUAGCGUAAAGUUCACGAACUAAGAAAAGCAGUUGGACACAAAUGCCUGUAUCUUUCCACUCAAUGUAUCUUAUUACCUUUAAAUGCUUGUUAAAAUCAUGCUUUUAUUUUUACCUUUCCAGUAUAAAUUGCCAUCACCAGGCUUAGCAAAUGAAACAGAUUACUUACAGUAACCUGUACGAAGUUAUGUACUCCAGGCCCUUGACGGAGCUUUCCCAAAGGACAGGCAAUGUCUUUCAAAAAAUCCUAUUACAAGAUUUUAUUUGCAGGUGUGAUGAACAGAAAGCUGCAAACCUCCAUGUUUUAUUGCUACCCAACUUCAUCAUGUCUGCUCACUCUAUUGAAAACUGUGGCAAAAAUGAUACACAUCAGCUCUUUUAUUCUUUUGUUACUACUCUGUGCAAAUAAAACUGUAUUGGAGAAUUUAAUGAAGCAGUAUGUCCUUGGAGGCAGCUUUGGAGAUUCUCAGUGUACAACAAUUUGUCUUUAAUACUGUAAAACAGAUUGGCAGGACCAAAAGUUAGUCCUCACAGAUUGGCCAAUGUUUGCCACAUAUGUAUGUGCUCAAGUCACAUAAGUAGCAGGGACCUUGGAGAUAGAGGCACUCAGUGACCAUUCCAGUAGCUUUAGUCUGUACCAGGAAGUGGUUGGGUUAGUGAAAACUGCAGAACAGCUGUGGAACUGUGAGGCUGUUUUAGAAAUGAUCUGUUUACCCAGGAAAUAAAGACUGAUACUCAAGAAAAAAAAAAUUGAAUUGAGGGUUAAUUAUUCAACAGAUUACCCAAUGCUAUGUCAGAAUACUUCUGGGGAUCUGUGGUAGGCAAGAGGUCACAUUUGAGCUUGCUUUAGCCUUCACAGGCAUAGUGGGCCUUUUGCUGGAAUCUGGAAAGGCAGCAGUAAUGGACCUGUGCUACAAAGAUCUGGGCACACAGAACGUUGGCAUUCGUGAACUUGUCAUCGGGUGUCAGCUUCAUGUUAUGUGCAAUUCUUGACCCAUCAGCUUAGCUCUCCUUGCUGCUAACCUGUAAGAAUACAAGCAUGUGUCACUGACCUCAUCUCAAGGAUUAUAUAUAUAAAUAUGUACUGGGUAUUGAAGCCAAAGGUGCUCUACCACUGAUCUGCAUCCUAGCCCCUUUUAUUUUUUAUUUUGAGACAAGGUCUUGCUGUGUUGUCCAGGCUGGACUUGAACUUGUGAUCCUCCUGCUGUAGCCUCCUGAGUCACUGGGAUUCAGUGUGUGCACCACCACGACUGGCAUAAGGAUAAUCUUAAUUCUGCUUAAAGCUCUAAGCUUCAGUACUUUUUUUUCCCUUUUUUAAUCAGUAAUAAAUAUUUGAAUAGCUUCCAAUUGAUGAAGAAAAGUGUAUAGGAAGUGCUGUCAUUGUGAAUUUCCAGCUCAAAUGAGGUUGGAAUCAACACCAGUUUGUCCUUUGUUUGCAGGCUUGACCCUGCCUGUCUACCACUUUUCUUCUUUUGGAUCAGCCUCCCAGGCUGCCAUUUUUUGUUACUUGAAUGUAGAAGAAAACAGUUCUCUGGCUUAUGCUGGGGGAAUGACAAAGGAGUCAUUUAGCAUGUCAGAAAUUCCGAGUUGUAGCACUCUUGAUAUCUGUGGCCAGAUAGUACUUAACCAGGGUUAAUAGAUAUCUCACCAGUGACAUCUAUGUGAAAAUGUAGCUUGGUAAAUACAGCCCUAUACUAGUUAUGUUGGAAACAAAGGAAGUUAUUUUUCCUCAUUUCAAAGACCUCUUACUAACUGCAGCCAUAAAAUCUUUAAGUGUAUAAAGAAAUUUAACACAAAGUGAGAAAUGGUUGAUUAAAAAAAAAAAAGAAAAACAGCUUAAUGCUCUAUAUGCUCUAGGAAUACAUUUACUACUUAACAUUUUUUUAAUGGAACCACCGCCAUCCCCAGUAUUGGGGAUUGAACCCAGAGGCACUCAACCACUGAGCUACACCCCCAAGGUGCAAAUUGUGCAGGCUGACCUUGAACUUACAAUCCUCCUGCCUCAGCCUCCUGAGUAGCUGGGAUUACAGGCAUGCACCACCUCACCUGGCUCUGAGUAGAAAAAUUCUUAUUUGGCAGUCAAUAUUUCCUCACCACAGUUUGCAAAAAUUUUUAGUGUGUUUUGGGGCAAACCACACAUUCUAUUUUAGACAUUUCAGUGUUUGCCUCAGAAUAUAAGCUGUAAAAGUUUAUAAGGCAAUUUCAACAGAUCUCAGAAAUGUUUACUUAAUGGCUCCCCAUCUCUUGUUUGUGCAGUACCUCUUACGUAUCUCCAUUUUGACAUUGUCCAUGAUAUCAUAGUACUUGGUUUGUGUCUUUCCCACUAAACUAGAGCUCAGUGAAGGCAGGGACUAUCUUACCCUUCUUUGAAUCUCAAAUAUAGGCAUUUCUUUCAUGCGAUGCUUAGUGGUGAUUUAAAGAACCAAAGAAAUGCUUAAGAAUAUUAUCUGAAAAUCAGUUAACUGAGAAUAAUUGACUUAACCUUUUCGUAGCACAUUUCCUGUUAUUUUGGAACCUUGCCUACAAAAACCUGGUGUAUCAAGGAAAGAUUCAGAGCAUUAGGUAACAUUACCAUAACAAUAUUUUGAGCAGCUUUAUACCUCUGUCUUAAUUAGGAGGAAGUAGUCUAUAGAUAGUGUGCAUAAAAAGAAUACAAAAAUGGGGCAGGGAGUGUUCACAGUCUUUGCCUUUAGAUAUUAUCUGGGUUCCAGGGCUUUGCACCUUGUGUGCCUCCAUACUUGAGACCUAUUUGACUCUUUUUGUCUUAAGUCUGGAUCAUUGCUUUGCCUGUCUGAUUCAGAAUCAAAGCUGCCAGACUUUUUUCUAUGUAAUCAUCCCCUGGCCUUGGCCCCCUUUACUUGCCCUGUUGUUGCUGAUGCCUUCCAGUGACAAUCAACUUGACCUAAUUGGUAAUGACAUAUCACUUACCAUACUUCUGUGUGUGCAUAUUAUCCAUAAAUAAGACACAGUUCUUAACAACUGCAUCUUCAUUUGAAACAACAUAGAAAGUUAGGUUAAAACUAUUUACAGCCAUGGGUGUGGUGUCAUAGGGUUAUAAUCUCAGCUGCUUGGGAGGUAAAGCAGAGAGGUCACAAAUUUGAGUGCAGCCUUUGUAUAAAAUAAACAUCCUAGGAAUGGGACCCAAGUCUAAGCAUAAAAUUUCUUUAUGUUUCAUAUGUACCUUGCACACCUAUCCUGGAGUUAAUUUUGUACAUCUUUUAUAAGUUUGUGCAUGAAACAAGGUUUCAUGGUGUGGAAAUUUACUUGUGGCAUCAUAUCAAACAGUGCUCAAAAAGUAUUGGGUUUGGAACAUUUCAGAUUUUGGAUUUUUUAAUUAGGGAAAUUAGGAAUGUUCCACCUAUAUUAUAAAUUAUAAAUAUGCUUUCAAGAAUAUCAAUCUUGUAUGCAUGUGCAAAAAGAUCAUGUGAUGUGGAUGCAGUUAUACAAAUAUAUUCACACCUAUAUUUUUCAACAUUGAAAAAGAACUUUCUACCAUGGAAAACUUCAAGUAUUCAUUGUAUCUAGUUUUGAAAAUCUUUCUUUUUGUAUCUCCAAGUUUGUCUGGUAUCAUAUUUCUUCUACCUGAAGAACUUUCUUUCACAUUUCUCGUAGUUUAUAUCUGUUGCUAAUUUUUUUUUGUCUAAGAAAGUCUUUGUUUCUGAGAGGCAUUCCUCUGGGUAUUGAUGCUGGGCCUGUGAUUCUUUCAGCAAUUUAAAGAUGCCAUUCCAUGGUUUUCUACUUGCAUAGUUUCUAAAGAGAAAUAUGUUGUAAUAUUUAUUUUUCUGAAUGUAAUGUCUUUUUAAACAAAAAAUAAUACUGACUACCUUUCAUUAUGACCAUUGUGUCUUUGAUUUUCCACAGUUUGAAUAUGUGUGUAGGGGUGUGUGUGUGUGUGUGUGUGUGUGUGUGUGUGUGUUUAUCCUGCUUGGGAUUCUCUAAUUCUUUAAAUCUGUGCUUUAAUUUUUAAAAAUUAUUUUUAGAAUUUUUUCAGUUAUUAUUUCUUGAGCUAGUUCGUCUGGCUUCUCCAUGCUCUACUUGGGUUUCAGUUACACAUAUGUUAGCUUAUGUGACGUUAUCCAGUAGUUCUUGGAUUCUUUAAUGUUCACUCUUGUUUUGAUUUGUCUUUAAGUUAGGGUAAUGUGACAUAUUUUGAGUUUACUGAUGGUUUUCAUAGCUGUAUUUAGUUUAGCAGUGAGACUGACAAAGGCAUUCUUCAUCUGUUACUAUAUUUAUUUUUUAAUUUUUAGCAUUUCCGAGGCUGUUUCUAAUAGUUUCUGUCUCUCUGCUGGAGUUUGAGGAUUCAGGUUUCUGACAUGGAUUUUCCAUGAACUGUGGUUUCCCCUUCUACAAAAUCGGAAAGUUGGGAAUAUAUGAUAUAGAAUUGUUUUGAGAAUCAAGAUAUCAUGGAUAAAAUACAUGUAUUCCCAUGGACAAGUCCCUUCCCUUUCCUUCUCUGGGUCUCAAUCACUGUCAUUAAAUGUUUGGACUGCAUGAUUCUCUGAUGGGGGAGAGACCUAACAUUUAUUAACAGCUUGUAUUAAUCUCAUGUAAAAUUUGAAAAAGGCAUAAAAAAUCACAUUUAAGAAGUGCUUUUACAAAAUGUUUUAGAUUUGCUAGUUUUACGUGGAAUUUUAAUUGGAAGAAACAUAGCAUUAAAUCUAGUUGCCACUUGGUUAAAUCUGAUAAAGAAUCAUUAAAAUUUUUCAACUGUGGGGUUUCCUGACUCACUUGAGAAAUUUCAUGGCUCAUAACACAUCUCACUCACUCUCUUUGCACUUAUAGAAUUUUAAAUUAUCAGCCUGGCUUCCAACUUUUGCAGUGAGGAAACACUAAUGGGAGUUGUUGCUCUUAACUGACUAAAGGACAAUAGUCUUGUUGGAGCUGGCUUUGGCAUCACAGACUUGUAUUCAUAUCCUGGGAGCCCAAGAGUGAAACCUUGAGCUGUCUAUUUCAGAGCUUGAGUUUCCUUCUCUGUGAAAUAGGUAUGAUGCCUACACCAGAGAGUAGUUUUGAAGGUAGAAGACUACAUGUAGAUUUGGGCCUACUGUCUGAUUAAUGGUAAUCGAUCACCCACCCAUAGCAUUUAGAGUGGUUGCUAAAAUAAAAUAGGUCACUACUAAGUCAAAAUUUCAGUACAUCUAUGGGGAAAGGAAAGUCUAAUAUUCAUUUUAACCCCUUUUUUGGAAAGAACCAUCUGGUAAGAUGAUAUUAUAACAAUAUGGAGAGGAUUAACUGAAAAGAUUAUUGGUAAGUAAUAACAAUAACCAAGCAACUGAGUACUCAGGCAAGGAAUGCCACAUUUCUGUCCUCAAAGCAGCCCUGUGAAGGAAGCACCCCUCCUCCGAGCAGCCUGCCUCUGUUGGAGUGAGGGUGACCAUACUGUCCUUGUGCUCUUCCACUCUGGAUUCUAUCACUGUUUUUCAUACAUAACUCCACUGCCUCCCCACUUAUUUUCUCCAGUGACAGACUGCCUGUGUGUUUUGCACAGCGGUGGCACACACAGCAAGUUGAACUGUUGAGAUGUUGAGUCUUUGGGUUUUUCUUGUCAAGAGUGAAAUCCCUCUUCCUGAUGUCGUAGAUGAAAAUAUAAGCAUUAGCAAACUGUGUGUUGGCCUAAAGCAAAAAUAGUAAGAAAAUUGUUGUAAAGAAAGUACUUGAUCAACCUGAGCCCACCCCCAUACUGUUUAUUAAAACCAAGUAUUUUAAGGGAGCUGUCGAUAUACAAAUUAUUACAGAGUAAAUAUGAUGAAUUUCAAAAACAGUGUCCAAAUUCUGUAUGUGAGUAGUUUUACUAGAAUGGGCAUUAUUCAAGACUGAAAUUAUUUAAUACAAAGAAACAUUCUUUGUUCACACUGUGAGCCACUGUCUUCCAAAAUGCACACCACAAUACCGGCAUUCUUACUCAAACUUGAAUAACACAGGGAAUACUGUCAGAUUAUUUUACAGUUGUUUUUCUUAUCAUCACAAAAGUUGUCACAGAACUUCAUUCCUGAUCAUAGAUUUUUAGAGUUGGAAGGAACCCAAGAGAUCCAGUCUAACUCCUUCCUGCCACCCAAGGGAUAAAGUAAUUUUUUUAAAGUCAUGUAGAUAGCUGAUGUCGGAAGGAGGGAGAGAUAAGUUCUGUGCAUAAUGCCACAGUUCUGCAUUCCUUUGGAAAAAAACUGCCUACUCAUUCUUGGAUUUUUAACGCUAGUUAGAGUUUUGUGGCAAGGUUAUUUUCCAUGACUAACUAGUGUUCUUUUGUUUUCUCAUGUGGGUGUCUGGGAACAAGCUCAGUGUUUUUGUUGCAACAAUUGAACAGUGGAAGGUGGUAACAAGACACUUGUCUAGUUAACACUUUAGGUGUCGGCAGGAGAAAGUGGUUGGGAGCUCAGAUUCUCUGUCCUCAUUGUCAGUAAGGCAACUAUUUUAAUGUUGAGUUUCCUAAACUGGAGCCUGAAUUCCCCCUAAAGUUUUAUGAAGAUUCUGUGAAUAUAUAUUUCAGGAAAAUAAUCUGUAGCUUUCGUGAGAUUAUCAAAAGAUCUACGGUUUAAGACUAUUGUUCUAGAAGAAGGGAGAACUAUGCCAGUUGCAUCCAAGCACUAAUUGUAGGAGAGGCUUCCCUUAUCUCUAGCCCCCUUGUGCCCCCUUCCUACUGACAAGCCUUCCACACAGCUUCCUGGAUCUUUUCUUGGAAGCCACUGGAGGACUCCGGCUUCUUAAUGCAGGAACAUUCCCCAACUUUCUCAGGGCUACCUUCUCUGCUCUGUUUCCAUGAGAUGCUGUGAGACUCAGGGAUGUUUGUUCAUUAGAAAGCUCAGGGGUGUCACUUCAGAUACAUUUUGAUUGAAAAGAAUGUGUGAGCUGACCUGAGAACACAAGACUAUUGCAAAUAAGAGGGGGGGAAAAUGCACUUGGAAUUCCAAUCAAUAUUUUGCAAAUUAGCUUUCAGAAUGCCUCCAGUUCUUUGGUUAGGGAAUCUGUGUUUGAUCUAGGAACUAUUUAAUAUUUUCUAGGAACACAAUGAAAGUCCGUGGAUGCUUGUUCAGGAGUUGUCAGAAAUAUUGAAUUUUUCCUUCUCAAAUUUUAUUUCACUUGGAAGAAUCUACCCCUGAAUAGCAAUUCAUUUUGAUGGGAAUUCUUCCCAGAAGAGAACAUAUAGAGAGCAUGUUCUAAUCUUUUUUUCUUUUUUUAAGUCCAGCAUCUGGACACACAAAAGAAAAAGCUAGCACUAAGACUGAAGUUGGAAGAAUUUGUUCAUUUGUGAGUUUAUUCAUUUUAAAAAGCCUUUUCUGAGAACACAUCAUAAACACUUAGGAAUCAUGUUUGAUGCUGGUAAAUGAGGUGCCCUCUUCCCUUGCAAGGCUUGCAGUCUGCUGGGGAUACAGCUUGACAACUAAGAAUAACAGUUUAGCAUGUUAAACACUCCAGCAGAGUUACCAAAAAAGCACUAAUCUCAUACUGUCCCUGGCCAGGAAGUGGCGUGGGAGUGGAGCCAGUGGAGGGUCAGCUGAGGAGGUUAGGGUGAGUUUCUCUGAAGAGGUGACUGUUGAGUUGUGUAAACUUGUCUGGCUAAGAAGAGAACUAGGUAUAUGAUGAUAUAUUUGUGCCCUUCCCACUUUUUUGGUAUACUGGGAUUGAACCCAGGGUCUUGUGCCUGGUAGGCAAAUGUUCUAUCACUGAGCUACAUCCCCAGUCCUGCCUUUCCAAUUUUAACUAAACUUAACAUUGACCAGGCUCUCUUAUUUUAUGUUUUCAAUUAGAGUUCCAAAAGAGAAUGGAAGCCACUGGAGGACCGUAGCUGCACAGACAUACCAUGGCUGCUGCUCUUUAUCCUCUUCUGCAUUGGGAUGGUAAGGAAACUCACAAAUGAUCCAAACCCACGUUUGUAAUCCCAGGCAACAUGGGGAGUUGGUUUGAGAGGGAACUUGUUAUAUAUGUGUGCGUGUAUGGGUUUUGUCCCUUUUGUAUUGCUUAUAAUUGGAGGGACUAAGAUACCAUUUAAGCAGGCUAUUUCCCCCUCAAAACAGUUCUUUGGUAUCUAGUAACCCUUGAUUGAUUGAUUGAUAGUUUUUUUUUCUUUUAAUGAAAAGUGAGAUCAAAACCAAGGAGCAACUGGGACACUUCUCUCAUUUGCUAGAUCAUUUCAGAAGGCCAGAGCAUUUGACCUAAGUUUCUAUGAACUGUGAUCUUGACCGAAUGGUGAACAGAUCAUCCGUGGCCCUGGAACUGAGAAUCCUGAGGAUUUACUCCACCCAUUCACAUAAGCCUGAGUGUUAUCUUUUUGGACGAAUCAGUUCUCUCAGAGGCUUGAUGUUCCUUUGUAGAAAAGUAGAUGUGUUACUAGAUGAUAUCUAUAGUACUUCCAGUUCUGACAUUUUUAGUUCCUUCUGGUUAGGUGGUUCCCCACUGCUUCUUUCUCCUUCAGACUAUGAGAGGCCCCUGCAGCCUACUGUAUAAUGAGUGCAUUUCUCAGUGGAAGAUCAAGAGACCUGGUGAUUUUCCAAUGGGAUGGGGAGCACAGUCCCUGGUGCAUGGUGCUGGGUGUGUGGUUAUUUGGUGACAUUCCACUCUGCUUUGCCAGGGUGCAUGACGCAGACUUUCUUGGCUUUGGAGUCACUGCCAAUGUGCUGGGUUGGUAAAAAGACAAACACCUGUUUUAGAGCUGUUUAGAAAGGACUUGGAAGUCCUCACCUGGUCCAUCAUCUGUACUUUAUAGAUUAAAACAUCAAAUCCAGAAAUGGAAACGUCUAUCCCCAGGCAACACAGCUAGUUAAUGGCAGAGCUGGGAACAAAGCUUGGUCUCUAUUGGGGCCAGUGCUCUUUUCUACCUCCUUUUCCUGCUUGUGGAGGGGACAGAGUAGAUAACAGUAUUGCUCUCUUUCAUAGUAUUUUGCUACUCAAAAUGCAAAUACACUUCCUCAGGCAGCCUUUGUCUUACUCAAGUAUAUUUUCUUUUUUAAUAUUUAUUAUAUUUUUUAGGUGUAGAUGGGCACAACACAAUGCCUUUAUUUUUAUAUGGUGCUGAGGAUCGAACCCGGGUCCUACCCGUGCUAGGCGAGCGCUCUACCGCUGAGCCACAAUCCCAGCCCUCAAGUAUAUUUUCAACUCUCUUUCCAUACUUUUAUGAAGACCUUUGAAAAUUAUCUCUUAUUCUGUGUCUCUCCAUAACAAAUGCCAUCUGUGAAUCACAGAACAACUGUAAUCUUGGCCAGUGGUCACAUUAUAGGUACCAGUUCUGCCUGUGAACCAAGGAAAAGAAAGUAAAUUUUAAUGAGAUAUAAGAAAUUCAACAAAGUAAGAAGUGUUUAAUUUAAACAUAAAAGUGCAGGUUCUCCAAAAGAAAGAUAUUUAGAAAGGGUCAAAAUAUCCAUUUCCUAACUUAUGAUGUAUGGGAUACUGUUCAAGAGUUUACUUAAUGGAAUAGCAUUGUAAGGAAAUGGCAACUGAAAUGCAAUAUGCACAAAUAUUUCAUGUAGAUGUGGAGAAGAUUCUUUGUUAACAGAAUUAGUCCAUAGCCUUUCCUCACCCCCUAAUGCAACCCUGGGACAAAUAGCAGCUGACCUUUCAAAAUUAUGUUUAUAAAAACAUGUACCAUGCCACCCAAGGUGCUUCUGAUUUUCUGUGCUAAAAUAGCUCAGGAAAGUGCAGUCAUUAAUGUUAAUAGACUGAUUUGGGAGUGACUUGAGACUAAGGAGUUAUUUGUUUACUGAAACGUUUUAAUGCAAUGGUAAUUAAUAUAAUGUUGAUUUUAGUGUGAUGGUAAUUAAGACCCACUGUGUGUACUUUUAAAUGCCAGGCAUAGCAUCAUUUGUUUGGGAAUGAUUUUUUGAAUAGAUUACUUUUAUAUGAUUCAGAUAACAACAAAUUUUGCCAUAUAGAAACUGAAGAAAUUGCCAUGUUCUAUUGCCCAUUAUACUGGCAUAGCAGAGGUUCAAAGUUUUUUUGGUUUUUGUCUUCUGAGUAUUUGUUUUAUGUUUUCUUUAGAAGAUUUUUGCACCCAUGGAGUUCUUUCUCUACUACAGGUUGAAUGUCUCUUGUCACAAAUGCUUGGGACCAGAGUGUUUCAGGUUUUAGAUUUUUUUUUUUUUAAAUUUUGGAACAUUUGCAUAUACAUAAUGAGGUAUCUUGGGGAUGGGACCCACGUCUAAACAUGAAAUUCACUUUUGUUUCAUAUAUACCUUAUGCAUAUAUCCUGAGGUAACUUAAAAUUUUUUUGUUGAUGAUAGACCUUUAUUUAUUAAUUUAUUUAUAUAUGGUGCUGAGAAUCGAACCCAGUGCCUCACAUGCUAGGCAAGGGCUCUACCACUGAGCCACAACCCCAGCCCCUAGCCUGAGAUAAUUUUAUACAUUAUUUCAGUAUACUUGCAUUUGGGCUGCAGCGCAUCACACUAAGUUAUUUGUGGAGUUUUCCACUUGCGGCUCAUGUUGGCACCAAGAAAGUUUCUGAUUUGGGCGCAUUUCAGAUUUCAGAUUUUCAGAUUAGGGAUGCUCGCCCUGUAUUUUUAAAAGAAACCUUCUCUACAGAUUUUUUGAGCAUUGAUUUAUGCUCCACGCUUUCAUAUAUGUGUUCAUCUUGUUAAAUUCUCCCAGUUACCUGGUGAAAUAGGUUUUAUCUCCAGCUUAUAGACGAGGUGUACAGAUGUGAAGCUUAGCUUGUCUAAUAAGUGGCAAGGACAGAACACGACUGGAACUUUCUGAGUGUGUUCUUUUCACUGACUGCUCCACCUGCCUGCUUCCUUUACAGGCUACUUUUGUUACCUUGAAGCCUGAUAUUCAAACCAUGUGUAUGUUCUAUUGUCUUUACCUGCAAUUCUUUGCUCACUUCUUGGUACUCUCAAAAGCUAAAGCUCUUAAAUUAUUUUAAAUAUUGUCAUCUUUUACUCCUCUCUAUCAUUAAAUACUUAUUUAUACGCAUUUAUCUCCUCAUUAUUGAUACUUUUUUUUUAUUUCUUCCCUUAGUUUCAAGGAUUUUCUAUGCUUGAAUUGUCUAGAAUGUGGGGUGUUUUUCAAAAUAAAUUGGCAUCAGACUUCUUGAGAGCUAUCAUCUCCCAUGUUUGAACUUUCAUCACAAUUUUGAAAAUAGUGGACAUAUGCUUACCCUGCUCUAAAAAAUUACAAGUAACGUUGCACUUCUAAAUUUCUGUUUUCAAUUAAGGUAGUAAACGAGUGGUUCUCAACCAUAGCUGUGUGUUAGAAUCAGCUGGAACACUAAAAUACAAACAAAAACAAAUUUCUUUCCUGGGACCCACCUCAAUGAUUAUGAUAUAAUCUCUGUGAUUCUGGUGUUCAGCCAAGGUUGAAACCCUCUGUUAUGGGCACUGAUGAGCCACAGGAGUGUUGAUAAGUGAUUUGUCUAGGUUAGAAGUGUGGCCCUAGCAGCUACUGUUGAAGAUGGAAGUAGGAAGAGGUUUUAGACAGGCCACUUUGGAGGCUGGGGCAACAGUAAAAGGUGAAAAUUUUUAAAUAAGGUAAUGGUAAAGGAGAGAGAGAGAAAUAAGACCAGUAACAUCAAUGGUUAUUAAUGUUGCAGGCAAAUGAGAGACAGAGCAAGGGGGACUGUGAGGUUCUUGUGUUACGGGUUCAGUGUAGAGUUUUUCAGCUCAAAUCCUACCCUAUUUCCUCCUGGGUUCCCAACCAUGGUUUUUAUACACCUCAGGAGACAAGAGCCGCAUGAAUAAACAGUCACCCAUGGGCACUUGAUUAUGCCCAGGGAAGCACUCCAUGGUAAAAAUGACUUGGACCCUGUGGGCUAAAUCCUUCCCAUCUGGGACAGUCUUACUUCAUUCUCAGAGUAAUGUAUAUCAGGGAAGAGAAGAGAGGAAGAGAAAAGGGAGAGCUACACUGGCUCAGAUCAGCUUAUGCCACAAAGGCAGGAAAGAGAGGAGGCUGGAUGGCUCUAACAGGAGUGCCUCCAUGGAAAGUGUCGUCCCUGCUCACCAGCGGCUAGACAUUAUUUUUAGCACCAGACACAGACGCUUAAUACUCGAAACUAUUCAAUGCUGCAUACACUAUUGUUAUCACUUUCCCCAUUUUAUAGAUUAGGAAACAGAAGUACAGAGAUAUAUUCAAUGUGUUCAAUAACUUAUUUAAGAUUUCACAGUGGUACCUCUGACCCCAGGGAAGAAGAAAAAGUCAUCAAAGGUAAACUUUAUACUUUAUUGCCUAGAAUCAAGAACAACAGAAAAAGUUGUUCAGCACAUGGUUCUGUAGGACACAGUAAUCUUAUGUGCCAAUAAGCUGUGGUCUCACAAUGUCUCAAACUCUGACCAAGUAGCUAAACAUUACUCCUCCCUCUACUGUGGAGUUGGGAAGCUAGGAUGAGGGGCAGAAGGAUGGAGAGAAGAAACCAAAGAGUCCUCCCACUUUAAAUCUUGCAUGUGGAGACUAGCAGAUAAUGCUGCUACUAAUGGAUAUAAAGUAUAUAUUGGAAAGGGAAGUGGUUUGGGGAAGUGUGGAAUCAGAAUAUAUGGAAUGGGCAUAAUAGAAGUUGUGGGUAAGGAUAAGAUGGAAAUGCAAAGUUGGAAUUUUAGGCAGUGAUCUGAAUGGGAGCCGGGUUUAGGAGACAUUGCAUAGGUUGGUCCUUCAGACUGCUUUCAAGGACCUUUUUAUUUUAUAGCAUUAGUCUAGUUCCUGGGGCAUGAUGUUUCUACCUCAUUAACCAUGGUUGAGCAUGCAGCAGAUAGAGAGAGAUUCAUUGCAAUAUUUAGUUCACCUGUUUGAUGGUCUGUUCUUAGCCAGAAUCAUAGAAUACAAAGAACAGCAUGCCAAGAAUUACCCUAAGGUUGCUUGAUCAGGUAACUACUCAUUUUUUGUUAAGUCCAUUUCUUGUUUAAAAAAUUGUGGUAAAACAUACCUAAUGUACAAUUUGUCAUUUUAACCACAUUUGCAUAUAUAGUUCAGUUAAAAACAUUUGUUUUUAAUCUACUCUUUAUUUUUUUCUCAGUCACAGUAGUAAACCAAAUGAGUUUAUAUUUCUCCCUGCAAGAAUACUCUUAAAAUUCUAACUUUUUUCUGCUUUCCCAUAGAAUCAUUUUGAAUGAGGAAGGAUUUAAGAGAUUAGCCUAGUCUAAUGGUUGGGACCAGUAAGGAAGUGGGCUUGGAGAAUUCAAAGCUAACCUGCCCAGGCUCAAAAGUUGUAGUAGUGGCAAAGCCAGGAUCAGAUACCAGUAUUCCUUGUCUGUGUUUUAUUCAUUGUUCUAGCUGUCUGUGAAACUGAGCCUCUGAUUUUGCUUCUACAUGCCCCAUUAUUUUCUUUCUUUUUUUUAAUUUUUAUUUUUGUGUGUGUGUGUGUGUUGCUGAGAAUUGAAUUCAGGGCCUAGUGCAUGUGAGGCAAGCACUCUACCAACUGAACUAUAUCCCCAGCCCCCAUUAUUAUUAUUAUUUUUUGAUUGAGAACAUUUCAUUGCUUUUAGGACUUUUUUUGAGGGGUGGGGUGGGGGUGGGGCUAAGGAUUGAACCCAGGGGCACUUAACCAAUGAGUCACAACCCCAGCCCUUUUUUAUUUUUUAUUUUUUGAGUCGGGGGUCUAAGUUGCUUAGGGCCUCACUGAGUUGCUGAGGCUGGCUUUGAACUUGCAAUCCUCCUGACUCAGUCUCCUGAGUUGUUGGAAUCACAAGCAUGCACCACUGUGCCCAUCUGCUUUUAGGACCUUUAGGGUGAGACUUACAUUUGUUUGUGCUCAAUAAAUGCUCAUUGAGUGGACAUUUCCUAGAUUUAUUUUUAUUUGUUUAUUUAUUUGCCUCUUUUCUCUUUCUUAGAGUAAUAAAUUAUAUUAUACUUUAAAGGAGUUCAGAAAUUUGGCACCCUGGCUAAAGUUUUAAGUUUAUUUUUUUAGUGUGUUUACAGAGAUAUUAGUUCUGCACCAGGCCUUCAGCUUUUGUCUAUCUCCUGGGUCCUAAUAGCCUUUCUUGUCUCAGGAUUCUCAGAAGAGGAGAAACAGAAAACAAGUGCUACCCUAAGUUUAAAGUUAUUAAGAGAUUGACCCCAAGCAUUGAUUGAGAUAUGGGACAUAAAUGAGGUGGUUUUUGACAGAGAGAUAGUCAAGAAAUGUUUUCCUUAACUCCUGGGAGACAGCUAUAAUCAUAACUCAUUUCCCCUCAUUAUUUUGAAACAUUUUGUUAUAUUCACAUACUACCUCUACCCUCCAUACAUUAUUUUUAUUGUCUCCCUACCCCCCAAAACUGAGGCCAUCCACCUUUCUCAGUUGUCUAGUAGAAGCUCUAGGUGUGAGUUGGGCACACUGGUACUUGCCUGAAAUCCCAGUGACUCCACACGCUGAGGCAGGAGGAUCACAAGUUUGAGUCCACCCAGGACAAUUUAGUGAGGCCCUGUCUCAAAACAAAACAAAAAGUAAAAAGGGCUUGGGGUUUAGCUCACUGGUAGAAUGCCCCUGAACUCAAUCUCAAUACUAAAAAAGAAGCUCCAAGCGUGAAAUUCAAACAUGCUUGUGAAAUUAAAGUGUAUCCUAUUUUUUCUUCCUUUCCCCUUCCUCCCUUCCUUUUUCCUUAACUCUUCCUCCCCACCCCCUUUCUCUAGUACUGAAAGAAACUAAGCAAAAACUCUUACUUAAGUAGAACUAGACCUUGUGAUGUGAAGGGAAAAUGAGCACAGUUUGUUAAUUAGCAAAUUGUCUUUCUUCCACUUGGGCAGUAAGUACUUACUAGUUGCCAGGUCUUGCCCAUCACCCCAUCGCCCUUGUAUGUCUUUAUCUGAUUCCAGUUGCCUCCUGUGAGUGGAUUUUUCUGCUCUUCCUCUCUCCCUUAAAAUAAUAGUCCUGAAAGCACUUCAGCAGCUCAGUCAUUUUAAGAUUUUAGCCAUGGUUCUCUUCCUUACUAAUAGGCUUACUUUCUCUCUAGUGAUUGCUUUCUAUUCCAUGCUUAUAAAAGCUUUCCUUACCCUCCUCAUCAUUUGCUUCAUUAAUGUGAUUUCACUCUGUUGGAAGCCUUUUCCCUCCCCUCUCUGUGGAGCCAUUAAAUUAUUGAGUGUAUUUUAUAAAGUUUCUCUCACCAUGUUUUAAUUUCAUGUACUGUAUUUUUUCUCUUCUGAAACGAUAUUGCUUCCUGCAUUUGGGUUUUAGCAUUUUUCUUUUUAAGGAGAUUGUAAUUUUAAUUGUAUGUGGCCUAGUUCCCCAUUGUCAUUGCUUGUGCUGUAGAGGAAGUCCCUAGGAUAAUAGUCAUGGUUUCUUACCAUCUUAUUAGCUUUCUAUUUCCCUUUCUUCUCCACCUUCAACUUCUCACCCUCUCUAUUCUAAUGUUUCUGGAAGCUACUAAGAAGUUUAAAUGACCUAUACGAAAAUAUGUCAGUGUCCCAUUUUAGCAUAUAUAUGUAACAUUUAUAAUUUAUGCCCUGCCUACAUCCUGGAGGGAUGUGAGGUAGCUUAUGAUAAAGAAAAAUAUCCACAUGUCCAACAGUACUGUUAAAAAUAGUCAGAAAGGGAAACCAGAAACUGUUUAAAGAAUAUCUAACAACAUACUUAUCAAACAUAAAAAACAAUUCCUAUAAGAAGUAAAAGAAGUUUACUUAUGUAAUAUCUUUGCUAUUCAAGAGUAGUAAUCAAAGAAUAUUAAUUGUGGACUGAGUAGUUUGUGUAGCAAUAAAAUUACUGAUAUUGUUUUUCACCUUUUCUCCCUAGAGAAAAUUUUUAGAAAUUUUUGCUCUAAAAUAGAGAAGCCAAGGGACUUUUGUUAGUCUCCAGUUACCAUUCGUAACCCCCUUAAUCUGAUUUCCCCAUUCAAAUUUACCAUGAACAGCUGCCAUUUAUUGAUCACCUGCCAUGCAGUAGAAUUCAGCUAGGGAUUGGGUAUAUGUUACUUCAUUUAGUGCUCAUCAUUAGGCUGCAGGGUAAAUGGUAUUGCUCAGUGUUGGAGAUGUAGAGAGAGCAGAGUCUAAGUAGGAAAUUGGAUCAAAAUCACAGGUAGUAAGGAAAUGGUGGAAAGAAUUUGAAUUCAUUGUUUCUAAAUCCUAAGUCCAUUCUUUUUCUAUUACUCUGAUGCUUCUUACUAAAGAAAUACAUUGGAAAGUGUGUUAGUAUUCUGGAAUUAUAACGAAUAUCUGAGAUAAUCAACAGAUAAAGAAAAAGAUUUGUUUUGACUCAUAGUUUUGGAGGUUUCAUUCCUUGAUUGGCUGGCUGUGUGCUUCUGGAACUAUACUGGCACCUCAUGGUGGGAACAUGUGGCAGAGUAACAGGAAGGAAAGGAAAGGUCUGGGGUCACACAGGGCACUUCUUCAGUAGCCUCAAGCCCUCCUACUAAGCCCACCUCUUAAAGGUUCUACCACCUCCCAGUAGCAUCAUGGGACAGGGACCAGGACUUUAACACAAGGACUUGAUUAACACCGCUGGGACUGACUGCCCUUGGUGUCCUUGGAGGAGUCAAGAGAGAGGGAGGCAGGCAACAGGGGAGUAUAAGUACUGACCAGCUAUGCCUAAACUGGUGCUAGCCAUUAGUUGCUGCUUUGAGACAGAAGGGUAUUAACAUGUAUUGAGACAUACACUUUACAUAUACAAUCUCAUGUGAUUCUCUUAAUAGUCCUUGUGGUAAGUAGUUUUAGCCCUAACUUAUAAGUGGGUAAACCAAGGCACAGAGCAUUAAGCAAGUUUGUCCAAUAUUACACAAGUAGGAAAUGAAGUCAUCAGUAUUUCAUCAAUAACACAGGUUUAUCUAUCUAGCCCCAAAGCCCAUAAUCUUUCCCAUAUAGCAUUUACUCAUUUCUAAUAACAUUAAUAGCUAAUAUUCAUUGAGCUCUUCCUAUAUGUCUGGCAGAUUUCUUACCACAUAAGGUUGUGUCAUUUAUCUUUACCACAGCCCGAUGAACUACUUACUCUUUGUCUCCAUUUUAAGGGAACUAACUUGAGACAGAUCCUUGGCCAGGAUCUGAGAACCAGAGAAUAGCAAAUCAGGGAGUCUACUUUCUCACAAAGUGUAGUUGUAAGAAGUUUCUUUUGACAAGAGCUACACUCAUGACUCUUCUCUCUCACUUCCCUUACCUGCACAAUGAAAGUAGAAGGGUUUUGUUUAGUUUUUUAGGUAAGUAUACUUACAGGGGGAAAUACAGUUUGAGGAGUGUGUAUGUGCGCAUAGUGUUUACCACUGUGGCCUGAGAUCUAGCAGCACUACUUAGAUAAAGUACUGCUCCUAAUAGCUGGCAGUGAUGAUCUCUGCCUUCCUAGCCACUCUACUGAAGAUAACAAAAACUUACCCUUUUAAUGACCAGGUUGCACAAAAUUUCUUAACCCCAGUCUUUCCCCACAGUAUAACCAGUUCAUCAGCAGUGAUUCCCCUCACUUCUGCUUCCUAUGCCCAGUAAUCUGCUGUUGAGUGUAGGCUUUUACUGCUUUAUUUUGGUCAGCGCAUGCCUGACUUAGCAAGCAUGAUGUGGUUCUGAAGUUUCUCCCCUUUGCCCUUGGUACUGGGAUAAAGCGUAUUCCCACAAGAUGAAGUGACCCUUGCAGUACACAAAGCCAGUGCCUCACUUACUGUCAUUCAGUCUCGAAUAUGAAGAGCUUGGCAGUGCUUGGUGAUGGAGUUCUUUGGCUUGUAUACAGCUUUAGUGCACAAAGGAAACAAAAAAAGUCUUGUGUGCACUGAAGUGAGAAUGAUUCAAAACCCACAUACCUAUUUUUUUGGAUUUUUAACAAUUUAUCCUUUGCUAUUAUUCAUUUAAUAGAAUCCCUUUACACCCAAAUAAAACAAAAGAAUGAACAAAGCUGGGUUUGAUUCUGUGCUCUCAUCUUUAUUGGAUUCUAUGGGCUUAGGUAACUCAUUUAACUUCUCUUGGCCUCAGUUUCUUCAUCAUGGGGAUUAGAGAUAAUGUGUGAUAAAUACCUAGGACAGAGCCUGGCAUUGAGCAGGUGUUCAACAUAGAGAGGCUGUCAUUAUUAUUAUAAAUGCAAAGAUGAGCUAAUGAUGUGAAAGCUUGGGAUUUGUUUUGUUAUGGUAGUAAAUAGUAUUUCCCUGUGGACUUCUUUGUGCUGCUCAUAUGCAAUCCAAGGAAAACAGUGGAAUAGUGUUUGCAAUGAGGAAAGAUAGCGCUUUGUUCCCUUCAGCAGACAAAAGAAACUCAUUAUCGUAUCAAGUAGUGACUGUUGGUAUUGAAAUGGUUUAUUUGUGUGUGUUUUUUUUCUGUUUCUUUCCUAGGGAUUUAUAUGUGGCUUUUCAGUAGCAACAGGUGCAGCAGCGAGACUAGUGUCAGGAUACGACAGCUAUGGAAAUAUCUGUGGGCAGAAAAAUGCAAAAUUGGAAGGAAUACCAUACAGUGGCAUGGACCACACCCAACGGAAGUGAGUAGACUCUUGCUGAAUGAUGAACACUGUGGAAACUUUAAAGGAGGCACAGAGAAAAUCCUGCUUUUUUUUUUUUUUAACCCAGAAAAUAACAUUAUUUUUCUUUUUAAGAUUAUACUGGAUGGGAGAUAGGGAUAAUAAUAGAUAUUGAAAAAUUAAAGUUAUAAAGUAACAUUUUGUGAUGCAUCAUUUAUAGGUACACAUCACUUUCCAAUUUUAUAAAAGAUACAUUUUCCUUGUCAAACUGUGAGAUUUGUUUUGGGUCCUCAAUAUUCAUCUUUUGGGUUUCAUGAGAUUGCUCAUUUAAUUGCUUUUUUCCUUCGAAAGCACUACUAUUUAAUAUUUAAUGUCCGGGGAAAAUAUAUUUCAUCUAAUAUAUUUUAUGUAUGAUGCCAAUGUAAUUGUUCAAACUGUGUAUUUAUACCCCAUCAAAAUUUAUUAGAAUUUUUUUCCAGUAUCAAACCAUAUCUUCAGAAUUAACAAAACUAAUUAUAAGGUAACCAGGCUAAUCCGUCUAAUACACUUUAUAGGAAAAGGCUAAACAGAUAAAAACAUUUUUAAAGCUACAUCAGUUCUUUCUAGUAAGAUAAUUUGUAAUACCUAUUUAUUGUUAUAUAAAUCUAUGGUUAAAAUUUGAUCUCUCUGUAUAAGAUUAAUUUGAUAAUUUUGCAGACUUGAAGAAAUUCAAAUAACUAUUUCUCAGAGAUACUCUUCCCUUAAAUGAAGGAGAGAGAAUGCAGCUCAAGUAAACAAAAUUUCAGUAAUAAUAAUGAAUAUUUGUAUAGCAUGCCAGAGUGGACAAGCAUAUGCCCCCCCUGUGAGGUAGAUCUAACAGAGGCUUAGGGAGACUGAAGUGCCUUUUCUGAGGCCAUGUGGCUGGUGGGCAGUAGAAUAUCCAGAGCAGACUAUGAGCUUCUCUCUUAAUAGGCACCUGCAUCACAUACGAGAAGCAAAAAUUAGACUUGAAGUAAUUUGGAAGAUUGCUUAAUUUUUUCUUCUUUAUGAUUGCUCCUUGAAUUUAACACAAAUUUUAGAUCUUGUGUUAUUUCUUCUAGCAAAAUUAUCCAUAUCUCUUUUGUUUACUUUUUAUCUUGAAAUAAUUUUAGACUCAAUAGACAUUGCAAAAGCAGUAGAGUUUCAUUUUUUUAUUAUUUUUUUUUUAUGUAGCAUGUAUGCGGUAAAAUAUUGCUUAAUUCUUUAAUGCUGUUGACAUGUCCCAAAUAUAAAAUUAGGUAAUUGAGGAGAUGAGAAGCAAAAGGUUCUCCUCUAUUGGGUGCACUGCUCACAAGGGUUGUAAUCAUUUUUAUGGCUCUCUUGGUAACUUGCUAAUGACUGUGAGCAUAUCCUUAUGGUAAGGUUUGUGUAAAUGCCACUCUUCACAUUUAACCUUCUUGUGGUUCCUCAGACCAUGGAAGAGAUUUCAAAUCCUUGGGUUAUUCUAUGUACACUUUGGCCUCUUGUAAAGAGGAACUGCAUAUUAUUCUGAGAAAGUGGCUACUCUUCCCUGAAUGCUUAUCUUCAUUGAGAGCCAUUCAUGUAUAACUUUAAGGAGUAUAAUUUCUCAACUGUAGCUAUUCUUUAGCUCAUAUAUACAUGUUUAAAAUUUAUUUUCCAUCUUUGAUUACCUUUUCUGCAUUAUAAGCUUUGUAGUGCUAUCCCACUUAAGUAUUUCUGUCUAUAAAUGGCAAUUAUUGUCAAUGAAUGGUAAAUUUUUGAACAUUCCUUUUGUGGGUAAAUCUACAGUAUUUGGAUUUGGAAAGUGAAAGAAAGGUAGUAGCCUUCAUUUUUAUUAUCUUUAUUUCAUCUUCCUCUUUCUCCUGUCAAAUGCAUUGAUUUCCUUCUUUUACCACUCAUUUCCUUAUACGUCUUUUAUGAAUUCCACACCCAUCUGUAGCUCUAGAGUGUUUUUAUACCUGUUUCUCUGCUUGGUCACUUUCUCUCAUCCUUGAUCUCCUCAGCCUCUGUUGUAUUACCUAAUGCCUACUUGAACCUCCAUACAUAUUUGUUGAAUAAAUCAACAGAUGAGUCCUCUAAAGUCUUGGGUAAGGCUAAUUCUCUAUUUCAUAAGUUUUGCUUCCUUUGUUAAGAAAAAAAAAUUCUUCUGUUUUUUCCUGUAGCUAAAUUCUACUGAUCUUCAGCUUUCAGCAAAAUGUCACUUUCAAAGAGGUCUUCUUUGAUCUCAGAAUUUAAGCAUUGUGUCCUAUAAUAUGUGCAGUUAUACAUUGAUUGUUCCAUGGAGGGUUGGAUGUACGUAAGUCUCUCUUAAGUGCCAAGAGAGAAGCAUCUCUUAUUCACUACUGUAUCCCCAGGGCACAUCUCAAAGCCUGAAUGUAGUAGGCACCCAGUUAAAUGCUUGCUGAAUGAGAAAAUAAAUCUACUUCAGCAGUGUUCUAAGAAGUGAAUAACUGAGUUUGAGGAUCUGAAUAUUUUGAGAUUAUUAAUGCAUAUUGCAGAAUGGAUUUCCAUAAAAAACGGUUCCAUUUACAUUCCCACCAACAGUGUCUGAGAUUACUUUAUUUUUACUGGUAUUAUUAGUUUUUAUUCUUUACUGUUUUGGUAGACCAAAGAAUGGUGCUUUAUAGUUUUAAUUUGCAUGUGUUUGAUUAUUAAUGAGUGUGAACCCCCCACCCCCACCAUGUGUUUGUUAGCCUCUCAUGAAAACGGUUGUGCAAGCAUAUCUAUUCUUGGUCUUCUUAUCUGUAAUCUGCUCCAUCCUUUAUGCUGUGAUAGGAUUAAGUUCUUUAAAACAGAGCUUUUAUUUUGUCAUUUCCUUGUUCAAAAGCCUUUGCCUUCUAUUUGCUGUCUGUAGUAUCAAAGAUGAGCCCGCUCAGCCCCCACCAUUUCAGGCCUUCUGCGAUCUGGACCCAUUUCACCUCUCCAGCCCUCUCUCACUGUUCCUCAGUGUGUGUUAUUAUUGCCCAUGACCUUCAGUUAAUUCUACCUCUGUGAUAUUCCUUCUGCCUGUCUGCCAAUCUGGGUCUUUGAAACACAAUGGGACUCACAACUCUCCUUAUUAUGAAAUGUUUCAAAACUAACCUUAUACCACAGUGAGUUUUCUUUACUUUGAUUACCUGAACUUUCCUAUCUCAUACUGGUUAUUCUAUUGCCUUCAAUUUGCUAUCUAAUUAUUCUGUGUUUCUCAUCUGUCUGUAUUAAUUAUUGGUUGCUAGGUAACCAUAUUACCAUAAACUUAGUGGCUUUAAACAAGAAGCGUUUCUCAUCUCAGCUUCAGAAUCCAGAUAUGGCUUGCCUUGGUCUUCAACCUUCCAUAGCUUACUCAGGGCUGUAGUCAGUGGUUCAUUUGGGGUCAGUCAGGGUCAGAGUGUAACCUGAGGCUCAGGGGGAGAAGGCUUCCCUUCCAGGUACAAGUGGUUGCUGGCAGCAUACAGUUCCUUGAGGAUUGCUGGACUUGCUGGCUGCCACUAGAGGUCCCCCUUCAGGUGUAGGCCACCUGGAUGGGCAGUUUGCCCCAUCAGAGCCAACAGUGAGAGCAUCAGUAGAGAGUCUGCUAGAAAAAUGGGAGUUACAGUCCUACGUAGUGUAAUCACAGAAGUGAUAUCCGUCCCUCUUUGCAAUAUUCUACUGAUUAGAAGCAAACUCAAGGAAGAGAGGAUGACUCAAGGGCACGAACAAUAAGACACAGGGAUAAUGGAGGCCUCUGAGAGUCUGUCACUCUGCUAACUCUGCUUCCUGAAACACCAUAUUUUCUUUAGCCCUCAGAGUUGAGCACCUAGGAGUUCCAUAAGAAGGGCUUAUUUAAUUAUAGUAAUAAAGGAAGGUAGGUAAUCAGGAGAGGAAUCCAAAGGAGAACACCUUUGACCUAUUUUAACCAGAAUGUUUAAGAUGCCAAGAUGAAUAAAAGAAUUCUAUUAGCAUAAAGAAAAAGUAAUAUUUUCUUAUCGUUCCGAUGAUAAUGGGUUUUUUCCUCCAAGUAGUAUUUUUGACGUGAUAAUACAUUUGUUGCAGUGAUAAGGAUGCACAAAAAGACAGCAGACAAUAUUUUGUGAGAUAAUAUGAAAACCUUAAUUUCAAAUAGAUUUAGUUGAUUUUUAAAUUGGUUGCUUGAGAUACUUAAAACUUUUCUGCAUAGAAAUAGUGCUUACAUAUGGUUCUAAGGCUAAGUCAACUCAGAAAAGCUCAUUUAUAUUAGAACCAAAAAGUGUCAGAGAUUGAAGGAAUCUUUAGAUUAUUUAAUGUGCAAACUCCUUAAAGCAUCCCAUCAAGUAUUUGUGAGUGCCAACUAAAUCCUAAAAUGAGAAUGUCUUGCUUUGUAGCUGAGCUAUUUUUUAAUAAUACUACUACAGAAGACAGGUAGGGUUUAUAAUCUUUUUUUUUUUUUUUUGAUGUUGAGGAAUAGGGUGGUGGCAAUAUAUUUUUGAACUCUGGCAAUUCCGUAAAACAUAUCUAUUCUGCCACAUCUAGAUCUACGAUUUUUCAGGUCUAUAACAUAUAAGCAACCUUACAGUGUAUGUGUCAAUUUUGAGACCAAAAAUUAUUAUUACUCUUUUUUGUAAUAAAGAAAAAUGUUUAUUUAGCUCACAAUUUUGGAAGUUCAAGUUUCAAAAUCAGGACUGUCCUCUAGUGAGAGCUUAAUAGCAGAUGGCGUCAUGUUAGAGUGGGAGUAGGUGGGGGGAGCCCUUGUGGGAGUAAACUACCACAUCUCGAAAUGGGAAGCUAGAGAGUACUGUUAUUAUUAAAAUUCUUCCUGUAGAGGAAGCCCCCUGUCUUACAUAUCAGUUUGGACACAGAGUGGCGAUGCUCCUAUUUAGUUCUAAUGCACCUGAAUUAGUGGGAUAAAGAUCGUGCUGGGACAGAAGGUCUAUUGGUCUCUGGGGAGAGGAUUGGGGCAGGGGUGGGGUAUGCAUUCCCAUGUCCUGAGUUGGGAGAGGAUAUGGUGAGGUGGCAUUGGCUUUUAGUGUGCACAGAUCAUUAUAAAGCUGGGUGAGGCUGGGGAACUGCUUUUAAUUGUUUUAAUUUAAUCACAAUAUUCUUAUUAGAACUCUUCUCCAUCUUGCAAAUAAUCCUAACAGAGUUUAGUGUUCACAUUCUUUGUUACUCUAAGAAGUUCUCAAUGUAUUUUAUUUGUAUUGAUUUGUACAUAGAGGUUCUAAAGAUAGAUUUUUGCACAAAUUUAAUUUUUUCAUUAUAUAUUUUUUUGUCUUUCCUCUGAGGAAGCCAUUUAAAGUUCCAAUCACUGGUAAAAGCUCUGUGGUCAUAAAAUGCCUUUCCCAUUUCAUAUCCUCUGUGUUAACAGGACGUAGAUGAACUAGAGGUCUGAGGAGGGUGAUGGCAUCCAUGAAUGAGUACAGUAUCUAUAAGGGAAGCAUUUUAUUUGACACCACUUUCAGUUUUCUUCAUCAUCUUAGGAUGCCAAGUGAAAACAGAAUUGGAGUGUGUUUUACUUCUUUUGUUCUCAUUCUCAUUGUAAGUUCACAGCUGAAAAUAUUUGUGCUGGGAGGCCCUUGGUAUCAUUGAGUGCCUGCAUUUUACAAGUAAAAAAAUCUGGGGUCUGGGAAACAUGAGAGACAUGAAAAAGAUAUAGUUUUUCCUCAGUGUCCACAGGCGAGUGGGACACACACACACACACACACACACACACAAAUCAGUGGAUGCUCAAGUCCUUUGUAUAACCAGUAUUUGCAUGUUACCUACACACUCCUCCUGUAUAAUUUAAAUCAUCUCUAGACUACUUAUAAUGCCUGGUACAGUGUAAAUAGCUAUUAUACAGUAUUGUUUAGGGAAUAAUAACAAUAUUAAAAAGUCCAUACAUAUUCAGUACAGAUGCACUUUCUUUUCUAAUAUUCUCAUUUCUCUGUUGGUUGAAUGCACUGGCUCAGAACCCAGGGAUCCAGAACCUAUGGAUCUGUAGGGCUGUCUGUAAGAACAGGCUGGCACUCCAGCCUCGCCCUCCAUUGAGUGCUCUUUGUGUUAGUCUGCACUGUGCCUGGUGAACUGUACAGUGAUCCUGGUUUCCCAUCUUUUUUAUUUUGGGGAUCCUUUCCUGCCAGCUUUGGAGAUGAAAGAAACUUAUGGGAACAUGGAGAGAAAAAAGGGCAGGUUAUAUAAAUUGAUAAAGUUAUAACUAAAGAGACUUUGAAAGAACCACAGCACCUCUCAAUCUGUGAAGGCUUUGAAUAAUUUGAAGGCUAUCUUGUCUCUUUCUAUCUCUGUCAGAUAAAGAAUAUGAAUAGUUAUGAUGAACUACAUUAUUCUCAUUUCAUAUUUUUUAUCAUUUGUAUGUUUUAAAUAUUUACUAAAAAAUACCUAAUUUAAAACUGAUAGUGGGUUUUGUUUUGUUUUUGGUAAGACAGUUGAUUGGCUUGAACAGUGGGGUUGUUUUAGAGAAACUCUUCAUUUUUAUAAUCUUCGUGGGUACAGUAUAGAUAGGACUUUUGUGAUCAUUGAUCACCUUUAAAACUCAGAGUUCUGUAAGUUCAGUGUAUCUGAUUCAGUCUACCCUAGGAUCACUGAUUAGCUUACUAACUUAUGUAAAGGGUUAUUUAGGUGAUUGAUAGUGAUAUUGUACUAAUAGGAAGAAUGUAUUCACUCUUUAAACAAUUUCUAAUUUCUGAGUUCUCCAUGCCUAUACCAUGUCAUAUAACCACCUAUUUUAGGGAAACCAUUUUUCUUUGAUUUGUCAAUGUAUAAAACAUGCCUCUUUUGAAGAGUCACCAAAUCUUAUUGAGUGUUCAUACCUCUCCAUGUUUGAAAAAGAAUUAAAAAAAAUAAUAAUACAAAUGAAAUUUGCUAAAUACUUGCUUUUAGGAUCUCUUUAUCAGCUAAGUAUAGUUCUUUGUGUUUAUGUGACUAGGACUUAUUUCUGUGCCUUCUGAUUUGACUGGAAUUUCUAUGUACUGAAGAAAUAUUCUUUACCAUUCCUGGAAAUUCUGCCUAUCAUUUUAUUUAACCCUCAGAAAACAUUAAUUGAAAAUUCAAUUGUGUGCUGGAGACUUUUUUUUAGGGAAAUAUUUCCAGUUUUUUGUUUGUUUGUUCAUUUUAUUUUGGUUUUGUGGUGCUGGGGAUACAACCCACAGUCUCAUGCAUGCCAGGCAGGCACUCCAUCACUGAGCUACAUCCUCAACCUAGAGACCUCUUCUAGUAUUAAUAAAAUAGGAAACAGCCAAAAUGGUCAAAAAAAAAAUGGAAUUUGUUUAAAUUCACUCAUUCACAACUAUUUCUUGGCUGUCUUCUUUGUUUUAGGGACUUGAGAUUAUGUUUGCUCUCUAACUGAAUCGGCACACUUUUAUCUCAUGGAAAUUGUAAUCUAAUAGAGAAAGCAGGACUUCAUAAACUCAUCAGGUAAUCACAGAUUAUUUCAGCUGAAGGAAGUCUUGUGAAGAGAGGUGUAAGGGUAUAAGAGAGGCUACAAUGGGAGGACCAGUCUGAGGCACUGUGGAGCCAGUAAAAAUGAUCUGUGGACGUAUAUCCAACAGCAGGAAGCCUCUGCAUACAUUAUUAAGGGAACAGUAAGUUAUAACACAGUAGAGGCAACUCGACUUUAUUAAUAUAUGUAAAAAUGUACGUGUCCUGGGGCUGGGGCUGGGGCUCAGCGGUAGACCACUCCUCUCACAUGUGUCAGGCCCAGGGUUCGAUGCUCAGCACCACAUAAAUAAAAUAAAAAGGUAUUGUGUCCACUUACAACUAAAUAAAUAUUUUUAAAAAUGUACAUGUCCUUAGAAAAGUAUGGAAUGACAUGUAAAUGUUAACAGUGUGUUGAACUAUUGAAUCAUAGAUGGUUUUUCCUUUAUAUUUAUCUCUUUUUUCUAAGUGUUCUACAAUCAAUAUCUAUUACUUGCAUUAAUGAAAAAUAUUAAAAAGAAAUUUGUAGUCUCUGUCCUUGAAGAGCUUGUUCUGGUGAGGAAGACAGAAUACAGAGAUAAAUGAUGAAGGUGCAAUGGGAACAUCUUGUAUCAGUGUCUGCUGAAUGCUGGGUGACUCUAUUUUCUUGGGUUCCUGACAGCAGGCUGGUGAGGAAAGAAAUAUAAGGCAAUGUGAUGGAAGGACUGGGACCACCAUUAGUUUUCUAUUGUUGCUGUAAUAGAUUACCACAAACUAAGCAACUUAAAACAAUGAGGUUCUGUAAAUCAGAAAUAUAAACAAGCACAGCUUAGCUGGUUCUUUGGCCCAGGUUUCAUAGGCCCUGUUGUCAGGGCUGUAAUUUUUUCUUGUGACUCUGGCAAUGAAUUGUCUUCCAGACUGCUUCAGAUGUUGAUAGUUCUGUUCCAUGUGGCUGUAGGGCUGAGGUAUGUUUCCUUGCCAUCAGCUGGGAGUCAUUCUCAGCUUCUGGGGUCAGCCUGAAUAUUCUCCAGCCUAUUUUCUAUGACUCAUGACUCCUUUCCCCCUAUAAAUAGAUUGUUUACCUAUUUAUAUUUAUCUGGGUAUAAGAGUUGAGAGCACUUGAAAAGUUAGAAGGCACAAACCCUUCUUGUUCUUGAAUCCCUCUGACUUUCUUUUUUCAGGGCAGCAUCUUGAUUAUAGGUUAUACAUGUGGAUUGAAGAGUCAGCCAGUAAUUGGCAGCUGAGGGACAGUUUUAGGUGGUAUUAGAGCCCCAGUUAAACAAGUUGAGGGUCAGGGCAAGGCUUGCAUUCUGUACAGGAAAAGUCACACAGAGUUGGUCUAAGUGUUACCUGUAAAUGAUGAGACAGAAGCUGGCGAAUGGAUGGUCAUGUAGACUGUUGGGCUGACAGAUGGCUCCAGAGCCCACCUUCUAAUGAGGAUGGGAUUCUGAGGAGAAGGCCAGGCCUGGAUCUUGUUGGCUGAGGAACAACAUGGUCUGAGUCUAUAGGGUGGAAUUCUUACAGGCCAGGUGAAGACUGGCUCACAUGGGAAGGAGCUCCUGACUGUUGCAUGGAGUUGUAGAAACACAGAAGAUGGGAGGUGGUACAUUCAUCCCGUGUGCUGGUGCUGGAGUGCCGCAGUCUGGCUGGGCACAAAUCACCGAGCCACCACAAAGCACUUGUAUGUUCAAACAGGAAACUUUAUUGCCGGAACUCUACCAGCACUCCACGCACACUCCCCAGGAACUCUCUCUGCUCUCCCCCAGGCUCCGGGCCUACUCCACUCGGACCCUGGAGAACUUCAUGGGAACUCCAAAGUAGCCGGGCUGAGGCAGCAGGAACCACCCUAUUCCCCACCCUAUUGCCGUUAAGCAGGGGUCCAUAUACAACUGAAUACACAGCUUAACAUAACCAUUAUCAUCUCAAUGGCUCGCUGGUGUCACCUCUCAACCACUCCCUUCUAGCAGAAUGCCACGCUCAUCCCAACUCCGACUCCGCUGUGGCCCUCAACACUGGAGUUUGGCAAAGGUUCUACCCAUGUCAUUGAGGCAUAUUCCUUAGAGCAGCCCAGGAGCUCAUCUCUUGUUCCUAUACUUAAGGACAAUUUUGAGCAAAUGGAGGUAUUCUAAAUCCUUUAGGAUUUUGAUCUUUACUUAAAGGGAAAACACCCUCUUCUCUGUCUCCUGUCAAACACUUUGAUUCCAACAUUAACUUAACCACCUCUUCUAGUUCAGCUUAAUAUGAGAAAGAGCAGCCUCCAUAGAUCCCUCCCGUGAACUUUCAUUUGUGAGCUUCUGUUACCGCUGUUGACCGGUGACGAGUUCUUGCUUCCCCAGUGUUGAAGAAUAACACCAAAGAAGCACGCCGAGGCAAGGUCAGAGUAGAAAUUAGAAGUUUAUUAAAGGACAGCAGAAAAGACUUCUCCCGGAGGAAGAAGGGGACCCAAGAGGUGGAAUCCGUGGAAGGGAUGUUGUCUCCCCUUUUUAUAGUUCUUUCAGUGAUGGAAUGUAGGUGGGAAGGACCGAGGGGUGGGACACAGGUGGGCCAAAGAAGUAAUCUGGUCAGGAAGGACUUCUGAGUCAGCACCUUUUUGCUGGGGGCUGUUCAUUAACAUUUCUUUGAGGUGGACUUUGGCCUAGGGCCUUUUCGGGACUUCAUUAACAUUCCAUGAGUUGUCCUGUGUUUUCCCUGAGUCAUUCUCCGCAUGGUCUCCAUUUUAGAUUUCACUCGAUAUUAGACCCGAUUUACCUAACUACACUGACUACCUAACUUUAAAUCUGGCUUCANNNNNNNNNNNNNNNNNNNNNNNNNNNNNNNNNNNNNNNNNNNNNNNNNNNNNNNNNNNNNNNNNNNNNNNNNNNNNNNNNNNNNNNNNNNNNNNNNNNNNNNNNNNNNNNNNNNNNNNNNNNNNNNNNNNNNNNNNNNNNNNNNNNNNNNNNNNNNNNNNNNNNNNNNNNNNNNNNNNNNNNNNNNNNNNNNNNNNNNNNNNNNNNNNNNNNNNNNNNNNNNNNNNNNNNNNNNNNNNNNNNNNNNNNNNNNNNNNNNNNNNNNNNNNNNNNNNNNNNNNNNNNNNNNNNNNNNNNNNNNNNNNNNNNNNNNNNNNNNNNNNNNNNNNNNNNNNNNNNNNNNNNNNNNNNNNNNNNNNNNNNNNNNNNNNNNNNNNNNNNNNNNNNNNNNNNNNNNNNNNNNNNNNNNNNNNNNNNNNNNNNNNNNNNNNNNNNNNNNNNNNNNNNNNNNNNNNNNNNNNNNNNNNNNNNNNNNNNNNNNNNNNNNNNNNNNNNNNNNNNNNNNNNNNNNNNNNNNNNNNNNNNNNNNNNNNNNNNNNNNNNNNNNNNNNNNNNNNNNNNNNNNNNNNNNNNNNNNNNNNNNNNNNNNNNNNNNNNNNNNNNNNNNNNNNNNNNNNNNNNNNNNNNNNNNNNNNNNNNNNNNNNNNNNNNNNNNNNNNNNNNNNNNNNNNNNNNNNNNNNNNNNNNNNNNNNNNNNNNNNNNNNNNNNNNNNNNNNNNNNNNNNNNNNNNNNNNNNNNNNNNNNNNNNNNNNNNNNNNNNNNNNNNNNNNNNNNNNNNNNNNNNNNNNNNNNNNNNNNNNNNNNNNNNNNNNNNNNNNNNNNNNNNNNNNNNNNNNNNNNNNNNNNNNNNNNNNNNNNNNNNNNNNNNNNNNNNNNNNNNNNNNNNNNNNNNNNNNNNNNNNNNNNNNNNNNNNNNNNNNNNNNNNNNNNNNNNNNNNNNNNNNNNNNNNNNNNNNNNNNNNNNNNNNNNNNNNNNNNNNNNNNNNNNNNNNNNNNNNNNNNNNNNNNNNNNNNNNNNNNNNNNNNNNNNNNNNNNNNNNNNNNNNNNNNNNNNNNNNNNNNNNNNNNNNNNNNNNNNNNNNNNNNNNNNNNNNNNNNNNNNNNNNNNNNNNNNNNNNNNNNNNNNNNNNNNNNNNNNNNNNNNNNNNNNNNNNNNNNNNNNNNNNNNNNNNNNNNNNNNNNNNNNNNNNNNNNNNNNNNNNNNNNNNNNNNNNNNNNNNNNNNNNNNNNNNNNNNNNNNNNNNNNNNNNNNNNNNNNNNNNNNNNNNNNNNNNNNNNNNNNNNNNNNNNNNNNNNNNNNNNNNNNNNNNNNNNNNNNNNNNNNNNNNNNNNNNNNNNNNNNNNNNNNNNNNNNNNNNNNNNNNNNNNNNNNNNNNNNNNNNNNNNNNNNNNNNNNNNNNNNNNNNNNNNNNNNNNNNNNNNNNNNNNNNNNNNNNNNNNNNNNNNNNNNNNNNNNNNNNNNNNNNNNNNNNNNNNNNNNNNNNNNNNNNNNNNNNNNNNNNNNNNNNNNNNNNNNNNNNNNNNNNNNNNNNNNNNNNNNNNNNNNNNNNNNNNNNNNNNNNNNNNNNNNNNNNNNNNNNNNNNNNNNNNNNNNNNNNNNNNNNNNNNNNNNNNNNNNNNNNNNNNNNNNNNNNNNNNNNNNNNNNNNNNNNNNNNNNNNNNNNNNNNNNNNNNNNNNNNNNNNNNNNNNNNNNNNNNNNNNNNNNNNNNNNNNNNNNNNNNNNNNNNNNNNNNNNNNNNNNNNNNNNNNNNNNNNNNNNNNNNNNNNNNNNNNNNNNNNNNNNNNNNNNNNNNNNNNNNNNNNNNNNNNNNNNNNNNNNNNNNNNNNNNNNNNNNNNNNNNNNNNNNNNNNNNNNNNNNNNNNNNNNNNNNNNNNNNNNNNNNNNNNNNNNNNNNNNNNNNNNNNNNNNNNNNNNNNNNNNNNNNNNNNNNNNNNNNNNNNNNNNNNNNNNNNNNNNNNNNNNNNNNNNNNNNNNNNNNNNNNNNNNNNNNNNNNNNNNNNNNNNNNNNNNNNNNNNNNNNNNNNNNNNNNNNNNNNNNNNNNNNNNNNNNNNNNNNNNNNNNNNNNNNNNNNNNNNNNNNNNNNNNNNNNNNNNNNNNNNNNNNNNNNNNNNNNNNNNNNNNNNNNNNNNNNNNNNNNNNNNNNNNNNNNNNNNNNNNNNNNNNNNNNNNNNNNNNNNNNNNNNNNNNNNNNNNNNNNNNNNNNNNNNNNNNNNNNNNNNNNNNNNNNNNNNNNNNNNNNNNNNNNNNNNNNNNNNNNNNNNNNNNNNNNNNNNNNNNNNNNNNNNNNNNNNNNNNNNNNNNNNNNNNNNNNNNNNNNNNNNNNNNNNNNNNNNNNNNNNNNNNNNNNNNNNNNNNNNNNNNNNNNNNNNNNNNNNNNNNNNNNNNNNNNNNNNNNNNNNNNNNNNNNNNNNNNNNNNNNNNNNNNNNNNNNNNNNNNNNNNNNNNNNNNNNNNNNNNNNNNNNNNNNNNNNNNNNNNNNNNNNNNNNNNNNNNNNNNNNNNNNNNNNNNNNNNNNNNNNNNNNNNNNNNNNNNNNNNNNNNNNNNNNNNNNNNNNNNNNNNNNNNNNNNNNNNNNNNNNNNNNNNNNNNNNNNNNNNNNNNNNNNNNNNNNNNNNNNNNNNNNNNNNNNNNNNNNNNNNNNNNNNNNNNNNNNNNNNNNNNNNNNNNNNNNNNNNNNNNNNNNNNNNNNNNNNNNNNNNNNNNNNNNNNNNNNNNNNNNNNNNNNNNNNNNNNNNNNNNNNNNNNNNNNNNNNNNNNNNNNNNNNNNNNNNNNNNNNNNNNNNNNNNNNNNNNNNNNNNNNNNNNNNNNNNNNNNNNNNNNNNNNNNNNNNNNNNNNNNNNNNNNNNNNNNNNNNNNNNNNNNNNNNNNNNNNNNNNNNNNNNNNNNNNNNNNNNNNNNNNNNNNNNNNNNNNNNNNNNNNNNNNNNNNNNNNNNNNNNNNNNNNNNNNNNNNNNNNNNNNNNNNNNNNNNNNNNNNNNNNNNNNNNNNNNNNNNNNNNNNNNNNNNNNNNNNNNNNNNNNNNNNNNNNNNNNNNNNNNNNNNNNNNNNNNNNNNNNNNNNNNNNNNNNNNNNNNNNNNNNNNNNNNNNNNNNNNNNNNNNNNNNNNNNNNNNNNNNNNNNNNNNNNNNNNNNNNNNNNNNNNNNNNNNNNNNNNNNNNNNNNNNNNNNNNNNNNNNNNNNNNNNNNNNNNNNNNNNNNNNNNNNNNNNNNNNNNNNNNNNNNNNNNNNNNNNNNNNNNNNNNNNNNNNNNNNNNNNNNNNNNNNNNNNNNNNNNNNNNNNNNNNNNNNNNNNNNNNNNNNNNGCUGAACUGCACUGGGUCUAAGUUGUUAAACAACUAAGUGGUCAGGGGGGAUUAUCUAAUGGGCAGUUCCUGGAAUUGUCUUAACUGCCACAGGAAUUUCAGGCUUUGAGUGUAGCUUAGAAACUUAACAAUACCUGGUCCUUUACAUUUUAACUCAGGCUUUGCAGCUUAGAAACUUUACUCUUUCACUUUGUAAUACACUUUAGGUAAUUAUUAACCACUGUAAGUAUGAAUUUUACAUUCAUUGGUUCUUUACCUAUUUAUNAAGCACGCCGAGGCAAGGUCAGAGUAGAAAUUAGAAGUUUAUUAAAGGACAGCAGAAAAGACUUCUCCCGGAGGAAGAAGGGGACCCAAGAGGUGGAAUCCGUGGAAGGGAUGUUGUCUCCCCUUUUUAUAGUUCUUUCAGUGAUGGAAUGUAGGUGGGAAGGACCGAGGGGUGGGACACAGGUGGGCCAAAGAAGUAAUCUGGUCAGGAAGGACUUCUGAGUCAGCACCUUUUUGCUGGGGGCUGUUCAUUAACAUUUCUUUGAGGUGGACUUUGGCCUAGGGCCUUUUCGGGACUUCCAUGAGUUGUCCUGUGUUUUCCCUGAGUCAUUCUCCGCAUGGUCUCCAUUUUAGAUUUCACUAGAUAUUAGACCUGAUUUAUCUAACUACACUGACUACCUAACUUUAAAUCUGGCUUCACUUGCCUCCAUCCUUACCCCCAGGCAACCACUGAUCUGUUCUUGUUGCUAUAGGUUUUUUUCCCUAGACCAUCAUGAAAUCAUAGAUGUAAUAUUUUGUCUCUGCCUUUUUUUUUUUUACAUAGCAUAAGGUUAAUGAGAUUCAUCUGUGUUAUUUUAAUACAGCAUUAGGUGGAUCUUUUUAAAUUACUGAGUAGUAUUCCAUUGCAUGGUUAUACUACAUUUUUUAAAUCUAUACAUCUUUUUAAAAUUUCCAUAUUAAAACUUUUUUUUACUAUCAUGAAUAAUACUGCUUUGAAAAGAUGUGUACAUGAUUUUAUAUGGGCAAAUAUGUCAUUAUUCUUAGCUGGAUAUUUAGAAUUGGGAUUGCUGAGUCAUAUUGUGAGGGUAUAUUAAACUUUAUAGGAAGUUGACAAAACUGUUUUCCAGAGUGGUUGCCCCAUUUUGCAAGGAAAGGGGAGGGUUGUGGGCUGUACCUCUCAUGAAAAUUCUGUAUUAUCAGUCUUUUUAUUUUUAGCUAUUCUGGUGGGUGUGUAGUGGUAUCUCCUUGUUUUUACUUCACUUACUUCUAAUGACCAGUGGUGUUGAGCAUCUUUUUUUAAAAAAAAAAAAUAUUUUUAGUUGUAGAUGGACACAAUACCUUUAUUUAUUUAAUUUUAUGUGGUGCUGAGGAUCAAACAAAGUGCCUUACACACGCUAGGUGAGCAUUUUACCUUUAAGCCCCAAUCUCAGCCUUGUUGAGCAUCUUUUUAAGUGCUAAUCAAACAUUCAUCUAUCUUCUUUGUAUUUAUACCUUUUGCACAUCUUUUAACAAAUUGGUUUCUAUUAAUGACUUGCAAGAGUUCUUCAUAUAAUCUGGAUAUAAGACUUUUGUUAGGUAUAUGUUUUUUAAAUGCUUUCUCUAAUCUGUGGUUUGCCUUUUUGUUUUCUUAAAACCAUCUUUUGAUGACGAAAGUUUGUAAUUUUGAUGAAGUCAAAUUUAUCCAUUUUUAUCAAUGGUUCAUAUAUUUGUGUUUUAUUUAAGAAGUUGUUGCCUUUAAGUUCACAAAGAUUUUUUUCCAUGCUUUCUUCUAGAAUUUUUUUGAUUUAGUUCUUGUGUUUUUGUCAAUGAUCUAUUUUGAUUUAAUUUUUGAAUGGUGUGAAUAAAAGCCAAGAUUUAUCUUCCCCAACUCUCAUACAAAAUUACAGUUAUUCAGCAGCAUUUAUUGAAAAGACUACCUUCCCCUUGGAUUUAUCCUGGCAUCUUUGUUGAAAAUAGGUUUUUAUCUUAAGUCGAAACAAAAGGAGUUCCUAGUAGGGGUAGCCACCAAUAUUACAGAGUAAUAGAAAUAGUUUUCCUCAAAUUAAACAAACAAGGAUGUCACCUUUUUUAUACUACUGUUUCAAAUAACUAGUUGAAACAAAUCCUAUAAAAGAGAUAAAUGGAAUGUGUAUAGGUCAUUACAGAGAAAAUAAUACUAUUUGCCAAUGGCAAGGGACUAUCACAUGGAAUGUUUAGGAGAUGCAAUAAAAACACCUUGAAAUGAGGUGCUUAAAUUAUAUGUUAUAAAACAUGUACCUAAGUAAAUUUAGUCAUUUAUCACUAUGCAGAAAAAUAUAAGGAAAAAUAUAAUACUUGAUUUUUUUACAAAAAACUAAAAGCCAAGAAGAUAUAUGUGUGUGUAUACACACACAUACAUAUAUAUGUAUAUAUGGCUAAAUAUAGAGAUUUAUAAUACUUUAAUGGAAAGAAGAGAAAACAAAUAAUAAGAGAAAUUUAAUCUAUUCCUGCGUAAAUAGUCUUAAUAAAGAUGAUGAUACUAACAAAGUUAAUUUAUAAACUUAAUGCAGUACCAGUUAACAUCCCAGUUGGAUGUUGACUUUAACUUUAACUUGAUUGAUAGUAUAAAAUGCAGAGUAAAAAAGUAGCUAAGAAUUUCAGAGGAAAAAAAUAGUUUUUUAAUUAUUCUUAAAAUAAUUCGAAAGGAUUACAAUGAGGUGAAUUUAUUAUAAAACAAUGAAAUAGAACUUGGGAGCCACGGUAGAAGUGCAAAAGAGAUUAGACCAGAAGUCUAGGCUAAUUAUAGUUACUGAAGUUGACACCAGAUUAGCUGGAAACCGUCUGGCUUUCAAGGCAGAAAAAGAAACUUGUAGGUUUUUCAGCAGGGAAUGAAAAUUGAGAAACCACUAGGCAGACACUAUAAAUUGCAUAAGUGGGCUGGGUAUAACACAAUAGGAAAUAUUGGACUUCUGAACUUUGUAUGUGUGCCCCAUACAGAGAAGAUAGCUGCUACUUGGUUUUAGCUGAGGUUUGGCAUGUACACAAAAGAGUCUGCGAUGCUAAGUUUUCAGGGAGUCCAGAAGCCUGUUGGGAGGAGCUCACAAGACUUGUUAGAUCUCAGGAUUUUUAGAUGUUGGCAUUUAGUGUACUGGCCAAACAAAAUAUGUGGGAGUGAAGGGUACCUUAUUGAAUCAAGAUUACAUAUCUAUAGUUUUCACUCUCCUAUUAAUAACUGUAUACUUUUGAGCCGAACAAAAGGAGUUUAGCCAUUCUAAACUAAAACUUUUUCCAGAGUAUAUUUACGAGACCUAAAUAUAGGUUAGUAGCAGUGAUGGAAACAAAAUAGAAGUAGAAGAAAUAAAUUGAUAGUAGAUUAGUACAUAUGAGAAGCCAACUAAAAUAAAACCUGUGAAAGCAAUCGUGUUUAACAAAAAAUAUUAGGUUGAAUGAUAUGACAAAGAAAGCUUCCUUUAGACGGAUUUUCAUCUCAUACCAUGCAAACUAAAUUCCAGAUGAAUUAAAUAUUUUGAAAUGAAUAUUAUACUUAUCUUUGCUUUGGAGAGGAGAUAAUUUAUACAUUGUUAAAGCUAUAAAGAAAUUAAGUAGUACCAAGGUUGGCAUGUUUGAUUAUGAAAAAUUUGAUUUUCUGGUACAAAGAUAAAAGCAACACAAUGGAAACAGUAUUUGCAGUUUUUUUAUGAUAGUAAGAUUUUUCAUGUAAUCGGGGAUGUAUCCAUAAGGUUAGAUGUAGUGGACAGCCAAAGGAUAGUUUAUACCAUAGAAAAUAACAAUAAUAUUUGACCUAAAGGGCUUCGUUUAUAAUAUUAAUACAGUAGUAGUAGUACCCACUUCCUAGGGUGUCUGGGGAAUAAAUGUGCAGUGCCAGAUGGGGAAAAGCAGCUCUUUGAACCAACUUCACAUGUGUAUUGUUUACAAAGCACUUUUUAUCAUUCUUCUCAUUGAUUCUUACUCUAGCCCAGGACAGUUUUUAAGUUUUCUCAGUGGAGACUUUUAGGGUUCACUUCUUCCACAGUCACAACUUAGUCUUUGUCACCACCUUAACUGAUCCACCCGUAAAAUCAAUCCAGAAAAUUCAAGAACUCACCAUUCUGGCCUCAGGUUUCUCUUUCCAACUCACAUGUUCUUUUUAGCUACUGCAGCCAUUCUUUCAUCUUUAGUCUAGAAAAUACUUCCUUAGUUUCUCCUGAGUGGUCUUUCCUUUUUACUUUUACCCUUGUUUUUUCCUGUAACAUAUUUUUUCUUUUCAUAAUAUUGUGACAAUAUGUAGUAUCUACCUCUGCCUCACUCUGCCUUCAACAAAGAUCUGCUUCUAUUUUGUUUCCAUUGCUGCUAUAACCUAUAACCUAAGUGUGAAGGUCAAAGGAAUUGAAUGGACAUUGCAGAUACCUGAAUGAUUAGGUUCAUGAAUAGGCACACAAGAAGAUGCUUAAUAACAUUAGCCAUUGUGUUAGGCAGCUUUUUGUUGCUUUGACAAACUACCUGAGAAAGUCAACUAAAGGAGGAAAGAUUUAUUUUGGCUCCUGGUUUCAGUCCAUGACUGGCUCCAUGCUUAGGGUCCUGAGGCAAGCAGAACAUCUUGGCAGCAGGAGCAUAUGGUAGAAGCCAUUCUUCUCACAGUAGCUGGGAAGCAGUGGCAGUGGGAGGGGCGGGGGACAAGAUACAAUCCCCAAGCAUAUGGCCUCAAGGACUUACUCCCUUCAACUAGGUCCUGCAUCUACAUUUUCUACCACCGCCCAGUUGUGCAUUCAUCUAUGAAGACCUCAGUGGAUUAAUCAGUUGAUGAGGUCAGAGCCCUUAUGACCCACUAACUUCCCCAAAACCGCAUCUCUGAACAUUGCUUCACUGGGGGACCAAGCCAUCAACACCUGAGCUUUUGGUGGACAACUCAUAUCCAAACUACAACAGCCAUCAAAGAAAAAAAAAAUUCAAAUCAAAACCACCAAUCCACUAGAAUAGCUAGCUGUAACAGAAAAAUACAGUUGAAAGUUUUAACAAAAAUGUGGAGAAAUUGGAGCAUCUAUAUGUUGCUAUGCAUUGCUGCUGGAAAUGUAGAAGGUGCAGCUGCUGUGGUAAACAGUCUGGCCAUUCCUUAAAAUAUUAAACAUGGAAUUACCAUGUAUAACAGUAUCACUCCUUGGUGUCUACCCAAAAGAAUUAAAAAUACAUGUUCACACAAAGACCCGUACAUGAAAAUGUUGAUAGAAUUUUUCAUAAUAGCCUAAAAGGAAAAACAGCACACAGACUGUGGAUGCAGGACCUAGUUGAAGGAAGUGAAGCCUUGAGGCCAUAUCCUUGAUGAAUGAGUCAACAAAACAAGGUAUAUCUACAGAAUGGAAUAUUAUUCAGCCACAAAAAGGAAUGAAGAACUGAUAUUUAUUAUAGCAUGAGGAAUCUUGCAAGUGUUACACUAAAUAAAUUAAUGCAGCUACAAAAAGCAUAUAUUGUAUUAUUCUACUCAUAUGAAAUGUCCAGAAGAAGCAAGUUUAUAUGGAGGAAAAAAGUUGAUUAAUAGUUGUGUAGGGUUGAAGGAGAAGAGAUAUAGGAGAAUGUGACUGUUAAUAAAUAAUUUCUUUUGGAGUGAUGAAAAUACUCUAAAAUUAUAUUUUACUGAAAAACUCAAUAAAAUAUACUUAAAACAUUGAAUUACACAGUUUAUAAAGGAAAACUUUAUGGUAUGUUAAUUAUACCUCAAUCAAGUUGUUAAAUUAAAGAGAAAAUGAACUCUCUUGCCCUUGUCUCAUGGCACAUACCGUUUCUCAGUAUGAUUACUAGAAAAGUUGAUUUUGAGAAUACCCCUGAUUAUGUAGUAUGAACAAUGAACUUGUUUUGGAGGUGUUCUUCCAGUAAACUUUGCUAAAUAGAAAAAAGUCUUUUUUUUCUUGUAGCUCUUGUAAAAUAUUUUUAAAGAUGUUUUAUUUGUUUUCUUGCCUCCGCUUAGUAUAAGAAACACAAUUUAUAGUUAGUGAUUCCUGGAUUUUAUUUUGGCAGUGAUUUCUCCCUUGAUGGUACAAGGAAGAGACUGGCUUUGCAGCUAAACAGAAAAAUCAUUUUUCUCCCAUGCUUUUUCAGUUCCUGCCUUUGUCUUGUUCUGUUUGUAUAUCUUUGGCUUGUGUGUGUGUGUGUGUGUGUGUGUAUGGGUGGGGUCUUCCUUUUAAUGUCUUUCAUUGGUACUGACAGUUGGUUCAAAACUGUGAAAUAUGAAUUCUCAUUUGAGGAAAAUACAUGUCAAACUGUGUAUGAUUUCAGGAGGGUCACGGAUUAGAAAUCUCAGCGGCAUACUUGCUUUGGUGACCUCAUCUACUUCCAGGUGUAAAUUACCAUUUAUAUGCUGAGCAAUACAAAUUCUCUAUCCCUGUCCAGGUUUCUCUGCUAGGAACUAUAGCUAACUGUCUGGGUCUACUUGGAUGUCCUACAAAUACUACAAAUACUUCGUAUCUUCUUAUCCUUUCUAAACCGCCCCUCCCCUUUUUUUAAUAGAACGGGAUUCCAAACCAGAACACCCCAACCACCCUGGUCUGAAUUGAUACUAAGCAUGAUCCUUAAUUUUUCCAUGUCCUCUACAUGUAUCAGUCAUCAAGUUUUGUUUGUUUGUUUGUUUUCAAUCUUUUGAAAUUUGUUCCUUCUUGUUACUAUUCCCACCAAUGAUUGAAGGCCUCAUUUCUUGGUGGAAAUCCUGUAGCUUCCUGACUAGUCUCCUUAUGUUCUGUCUUGUUCAUUCUCCAUAUUGCAGCUGAUAAACUCCCAACAGCUUCUCAGCAUCUUUAACAUGGGCUCUAAACUUGUCAGCACCGUUAAUAGCACUUAGAAGGCCCUAGACAACUUCACUCCAGCUCUCUCAUCCAGCCACCAUGUCUCAUCACAGUACGUAUCAGUCAUGCUGAUCUUUCUUGUUUUCUCAGCUGAGCCCUGUUUUCUCUCACUUUAUGCCCUGGUGGGCUCAUUCCGUCCCUGCUUAUCCCCUUUCCUCCAUACCUGGCGAACUAUUAUCCUUCUUUACAUCUUGGCUUUAGAUAUUUCUUUUGUGGGCAUCUUGUCUCCAUUCACGAGACCCAUCUGAGGGUCUGUCCACAUGGUUUACAGCUGUCUCCUUAACUUCUGGACUGUGAAUGCUGGGAAGCAAGAUGCUUGCUGGCAUGGUUCUGUUUAUCAUUCUAUCUCUAGUGCUUACUUAAUCCUAUAUCUGGCUGAGUGGGUAUUUAAUAAAUAUCUGUUGAAUAAAAGAGAGUUUUUUUCUCUACCUAAAAUAUCUUAUUACCAACUUUAUCUUGACCUCAGCUUCACUUGAGAAAAUUUUGUACAAUUACCAUCUGUUUAUUAAUUCAUUAAAUGAUUAUGGAGCAUCUUCAUUGUACCAGGCAUUCAUUAUUUUAGGCACUAAAGAUAUAGUGAUUCGUAGUCAAAUAUCCCUGCCUUUCUGAAGCUGAGAUAUAUAUAUUACAUAUUAUGAGAGAGAGAGAGACAUAUACAUAUAUACAUACAUUUUGGUGGAGACAGAUAAUAAACAGAUAAAUAAGUAAAAUACACAGUGUGUAAAUGAAAGUGCUGAGGAGAAAUGAAUGAAACAGGGAAGAUGGAGAAGGCGCAUCAGAGUAGAGGGUUGGCCUUUUAGACAGAGUAGCCAGCAAAGUCUUCAAUGAGGAGGUCAAUUUUGAAGGAAGACUUCAAAGAAGUAAGGGACUAGCCUUGUUGCUCUCUAGAAAAGGAAAAUUCCAGGCAGAUGGUACAAAGGCCCCAAGGUGUGUGCCAAAGAGUUUGAGGACUAGAAAGGGGACUAGGGGAGACCAGUGGGAGUUAAGGUCAGAGAGAGACAAAUGUUCUCUGAGUGUUGUUUCACAAUCUGAUCCCUGGGGGUCCUCUGCUAUUUGAACUUGUUUUCAGCUGUUGAUGCUCUGAACUACCAGAAGGAACUAUGAAAUUCUCCCUUCUUAGCAGUUAUCUGUAAAUCAAGGGCCAGAGAAAUGCUAGCAAAGGAGGCUGUGGUGCCAGUUAGCUUCACUUGAUUCUUUGGGGAUUGGUAAGGUUCAUUCUUAGUAUUUGUGGUACUUUCCCUCAACCCCAGGAGAUUUCUGCCUUUUCUUCAGGAUGGGGGACACAGUGAUGACAUCCCUGUCAUCAGCCUAAAUAGAUGAAGCUUUCCAGUUACCACAAUCCUCCUCUCUUUCUGUUCUCUGGUCUGUUUUAGUUCAUUUUCUAUUGCUAUAACAGAAUACCAGAGCCCAGGUCAAUUAUAAGCAAUAGAAUUUAUUUGACUCACAGUUCUGGAGGAUGGGAAGUCCCAAGAUGAAGGGGCUACAUCUGAUAAGGAUUUUCUUGCUGCAUCAUAACAUGAUAGAAGGCAUCUCAUAAUGAGUGAGAAAGAGAGAAAAAAUGAAUAAACAUGCCUACGUGUGCACAAGAGGGCCAAACUUCCAGUUUUCCUCAGGAGCCCACUCCUAUAAUCACUCUACAGAUAAUGGUAUUAAUCCAUUCAUGAGGGCAGUACCUCUUAAAGGUCUCACCUCUUAAUACCAUCGCAGCAACAAGUAAAUUUCAAUGUACAGAUUUGAGGGGACAAACAUUCAGACCAUAGCUUCAUGCAGGCUGGGGGUGUUGCGAACAUUGUACAACUCCCUCUGCCACUGUCUAGGGUUGAUGUAUUGGUUGGCUUUUUGUUUUGUUUUGAUGCUAGGGACGGACUUGAGGCCUCCUGUAUGUUAGGCAAGCAGUCUACCACUGAGCUACACCCUCAACCCCUGCAGUUACUAUUUUGAAGACAAAUUGCUGCUCUCAACUUGUUUCUUAGCUUUGUUCCAGAAAGUUGGGGCCAACAGGAUUUAAGUUAAUUAUGUGUUGCGGUUAGUUGGGUUUUACUGACUUUGUUGUGCUGGCCCUGGAGCUCUCUCCUGUUAUAACACAGCUCUCCAUGGGCAUUUGAGUCCCACCCCAGAGGAGAUGACUGGACUUGCCUUGCUGGCAUUUCCCAUCCCCAGGAAAUAAGAGGCCUUCUCUGUGCAGAAUCCACUGUGGGUGGAGUGUAGCCUCUUGGGGCUCUCUGUAACCUCUAGUUAGUAAUAGCAGAAGCCUCUGCUAGACUGCGGGUGCUUUUCCUUUCAUGUGAUUCACAGCGGCAGCAUACUCUGUAGAAAGGAGCUAUAAAUUGUAAAUUGAUAUGAGGUAAUAAUUGGAAAAAUGAUCAGACUCCAUUUUUAUUCCCCUUCGGGGAAGACACGCAUCAGGAAUCACUAAAGCAGAAGACGACGGAGGGCUUUUCAUCCAGCUCUCCAGCUUCAGUGCUGCAGUGCUUCCGUCCUGAUUAGAGGGGAGAGCAGCCAAAUUCGGCAGGAGGCGGCCAGCAGACCUAGUAUCUGCUUGCCACCUCUUGCUCCAAAAAGCCUUGCCGCAGAGAGUUACCAUGGCAGCAGGAGGCAGUUUAAUGGCAAAGGCUCAUCUCUGGAGCAGUGCUGCUGCACCCCAGCCAUUCCCGCCCUGGCCUUCAACCCAAGGGGCUGGGUUUACCAGGGCAUCACUGUGCCAGGGCCAUGUGAGGAGUGCAUGUCGCCCAAGGGGGUAGAGCUGUAAGAUCCUCCAGAGUCUGAGGGUGGCGACCUCUUCUCUUCCUGCUUCUCCUUGGUGCAUAGCUCUUUGAUGCCUCAUCCUAUAGUCGACCUUAUCAAAUCAUUUGCAGUUCCUUAAAUAUGCUCUUUCAUGCUUCUCUGCUUUUAGGCAUGCAGUUUCCUUUGCCUGGAGUUCUCCCUUCCCCAUCUGUCUGGAAAAUUCCUACUCAGUUUCAAAAUGUAGCUAAGAUACUGCCUCCUCCUUCUUAAUGCUUCCUCUAACCCCUUACUGUCCAGGCAGAGCUACACAGUUUCCACUGCCAUCUCGACCUUGUCAUGAAUCGCAUGGUUUCGAAAUGAUUAUUAUAUUUUUGUCUCUUCCUCUCUAGAUUAUAAGUUACUUGCAUUCAAAAACUGUUUUAUGAACCUUUUGUCAAACGGCCUUACUGCAGGAGUAAAUACUUAGUAAUGUUGGUUGAAUGAAUGGGAUGUUUUCCUUUCACAUCAUCUGGUUUAAUCCUUAUCACGGGUGUCGUCCUACCUGGAGCAGAGCCCUGCAUCUUAUCCAGGUGGGACUGUCUGCUCAGACAUCCUAGAAGAGUAAGCUGAUUUAAUCAGCCCCAGAUCACUCUCCAUUGCAUGUAUUCUCACUUUCUAAUUUGAAUUGGAAAGAGUAAUACUUGGGAAUCAGUCUCCCCAGCAGUCAAGCUAAUGUGGCCUCGUGUUGGUUGCCUGACUUCUAAAUCAGUUCCCUCAUUUGUUGGAUUAGGAUGUUGUAAGGACAGAGCCUAAGAUGCUUUGUGACUCAGAGUGAAUUCUUGGUCAGUCUUCUGUACCUUCUCCUCUCUUCAGCGACGAAAUUAAAAGCAAAAUCCAGCUUUAAACUAGCUUUGAGCCCUCUCUGGCAUCAUGUCAUUCAUUUAGUUUUACCUUCUUGCUGUGCACACAGGUGCCUUUCAGAAGUCCCCCUCUUUGAGUGGCUCUUGUGCCUAUUUCUGAGCUUUUGUGUCCCUCCUUUUGCCUCAUUGUUUUGUUUCAUCUCGUGUGCAUCUGUCCUCUUGUUCAUUAUGUAGACAGAAUGUUUUAUUUAGAUAUUUCUUCUUUUCCUGCCUUUUGGACAUAAUUUGUUCUUGUAUUUCAAAAUCACCAAUUUAAAGUGAAUUUAUUUUCUAUCUCCUUCAAAUAAUACUAGAAGCCACCUCCACCAUAAUGUAGAUUUACAUGCCUUACUUGCUACCCUCUGUAUGUUGGCUUUGCACUUUGGUCUGAGUAUUUUUUUUUCUACUUCCCUCUAACUUUUCAGUUCAAUGCUUGCUUAGGGUGUUUUGCAAUUCCCUUUGCAAAUGCGUUCUGUGUAUCAUGCUAUCGUGCUGUGUGCGUGUUGUGCGUGCCAAUGUCCUCAGGUAUCUAGGCUGUUUAGUUUCUGGCGUAUUUUUCUCUAAUAUUGCUUCCCAUCUUGCUUUCAUUUCUACUUUUGGUAUUUUGUUUUAUUGCAGUUCCUCUAAAGGAUGUGAAACUUAACAAAGCUAUUGUUUUUAAUAGGUCUAGUAAAAGAACCACUAAGAACAGCAAUGAAAAACUUGCUUUUAACUUAUAUUUAUGAAUUAUCUCUGACAUUGGUUUGCUAUAUUGGAGGGAUGCAGCAGAGAGGCCAAAGUGUGUCAUCAGCAUUGCCUGAGAAGCUUUUGCAAAAUUCAUGUGCCCAUCCUUGUCCCCACCAUUUGCCUGGUGGGACUGAAACUGGGCUGGGUUUUGAUAAAUCUUUCUAGAAGGUUUUGUGGCUUUUUUACCUGGUUUUUUUUUGUUUGUUUGUUUUUGUUUUUUGUUUUUUUACCCUCUCAGUUGAAAACCACUGAUUCAUAGUUUUAGUUACACUCAGCAGUCCCUCCUUAUCUUCAGGGAAUACAUUCUAAGAUGUUAGGCAGACUUCUUGAAACCAUGGAUAGUACCAAACCCUAUAUGUAUAUGAUAUUCUUUCAUAAAAUUUAAUUUAUAAAUUAGGCAUGGAUAGAGAUUAAAAUAUUGACUACUAAUAAUAGAACAGUUGUAACAAUAUACUAUAGUAAAAGUUAUUUAAAACUUAUGAAUCCUUUGUACAAUUCUCCAUUUAAUGUGGAAAUAUGAAUGUGACUCCGAGGUUAAGCACCCCUUGGUUUAAUUUCUAGGACCAAAAAGAAAAAAGGCGCAGUGUUAGUUUUACAUUAUUAUAUAGUCGUUAUGGAAUUCCCCUCAUCCUCCUUUCUUAUUUCCUUGUGCUGGACCUGUUCUGGAGGACUACUUAGUUCUCAUUAAGGUUAGUAACCUAGCAGUCAUAAACACUUCCAUGCAGAUUUGUCUUUCAAAUGAAGACUAAAUAUUAGUAUUGUAGUCCUGUUUUAUGUUCCUAUCAGAAAUUAUUGAAUGUAGUGCCUUGCUAUCAAAUGUAAAAUUUGUGAAAGGCAAGUAGUUUUCUUAAUAAUGAUGGGAAUUACAGAGUAUAUGUUAGGUACUUUAUAUAUAUAUUAUCGAUAACAUUUAGCAAACUCUGACAUAGGUCAUGUACAGUUUUACAGAGAAGAAAACUGAGGCUUAGAAGGAUAAAUAUGGUGGUGAGUGACUGUUAUCACAGUCCUUAGGAGGCCGAGGCAAGAGAAUCACAAGUUAAAGGCUAGCAAGAUCCCAUCUCAAGAGAGAGAACCCAAAGCAAGUUCAGGUUGGUCUAACUAAAGCAUGGUGUGAGGCUGCUGCUCAGUCACUAGUGUAAAUCAGGGAAUGUGUCUUAGGGUGGAACGUAAAUACAGUGGGGGCACUUUUGGCAGUGAAGGAGGCAGAAGCCCACAGGACAAUGAGUGUUUCUGUUCUCAGGAGGCUGUCAGUGAGAGCCUCAGCCCAGCUGCAAGGCCUUGGCAGCCUCUGUCCUUUUCCUUUUCCCUAAGCCUGGUUUUCUACAAUCGUGUGAUUUCUCCAGACACUUCUCAGGGCAUUGCUCAUCACUUAGAACUUUGUACUCCUCUCCCCCACCUUGUAUCCACCUCAACUCCCACCUGCCAAGACACACCACAGUAUUGUGAGGAUAAAAUCAUUGAUACAUGUGAAGAGUUCAGUGUAGCACAUGGUACACUGUACCACGUAAGUACACAGUAAAUUUAGCUACCGUUACUGUUAUUGUUAAUGGUAUUAAUAGUGGUGUUGGUGUUAGCAAUGGUCAUUGAUUCAAAGGUUUAGGACUCCCUACACAAGGACCUGGGUAUUUCCUGUCCAGAAUCUGGUUUUGUGCAGUUCAUAGUACCCACACCCAGGCACGGACAUGCUCAAUUGGGUGCAAAGGAUAGUUGGAAGGAGAAUUAGUAAGAGAAUGCUUUUUUCUACCCAAAGGUUGCCAGAAACAUUUCUCUCUAUGCCCUUACUGCCUCCUGUCAUUAGCAUGGAAACUGUCCAUGAAUCCCACUUCUAAACCACAUUCCUUUUCUGGCUUCUUUGCAUUUUUUUUUUUUUUUUUUAGAGUUGUUAGGAUUUAUGUUUUUUUUUUUUUUUAAUUUAUAUAUGACAGUGGAAUGCAUUACAAUUCUUACUACACAUAUAGAGCACAAUUUUUCAUAUCUCUGGUUGUAUACACAGUAUAUUCACACCAAUUCAUUUCUUCAUACAUGUACUUUGGAUAAUAAUGUUCAUCACAUUCCACCAUUAUUAAUAACCCCAUGCCCCUCCAUUCCCCUCCAAUCCCUCAAUCCCUCUGCCCUAUCUAGAGUUCGUCUAUUCCUUCCAUGCUUCCCCUUCCUACCCCCCUAUGAUUCAGCCUCCUUAUAUCAAAGAAAAUAUUCAGCAUUUGUUUUUUUUGGGAUUGGCUAACUUCACUUAGCAUUAUCUUUUCUAACUUCAUCCAUUUACCUGCAAAUGCCAUGAUUUUAUUGCUAAGUAAUAUUGCAUUGUGUAUAUAUGCAACAUUUUUAAUCCAUUCAUCUAUUGAAGGGCACCUAGGUUGGUUCCACAGUUUAGCUAUUGUGAAUCGUGCUGCUAUAAAAAUUGAUGUGGCUGUGUCCCUAUAGUAUGCUGUUUUUCAGUCCUUUGGGUGUAGACUGAAGAGAGGGAUAGUUGUGUCAAAUGGUGGUUCCAUUCCCAAUUUUCCAAGAAAUCUCCAUACUGCUUUCCAUAUUGGCUGCACCAAUUUGCAGUCCCACCAGCAGUGUAUGAGUCUACCUUUUUCCCCACAUCCUCGCCAACACUUAUUGUUGUUUGUAUGCAUAAAUAGCUGCCAUUCUGACUGGAGUGAGAUGAAAUCUUAGAGUGGUUUUGAUUUGCAUUUCUCUAAUUGCUAGUGAUGAUGAACAUUUUUUCAUGUAUUUGUUGACUGAUUAUACAUCAUCUUCUGAGAAGUAUCUCUUCAGGUCCUUGGCCCAUUUAUUGAUUAAGUUAUUUGGUUUUUUUGGUGCUUAGCUUUUUGAGUUCUUUAUAUACCCUAGUGAUUAGUGCUGUAUCUGAUGUUUUGCUCCCAAGAUAUAGGUUCUCUAUUCACCUCACCGAUUGUUUCUUUUGCUAAGAAGAAGCUUUUUAGUUUGAGUCCAUCCCAUUUAUUGAUUCAUGAUUUUAAUUCUUGUGCCACAGGAGUCUUAUUAAGGAAAUUGGGGCCUAAUUCCACAUGAUGGAGAUUAGGGCCUACUUUUUCUUCUAUUAGAUGCAGGGUUUCUGGUUUUAUUUUGAGUUGAGUUUUGUGCAUGGUGAGAGAUAGGGGUUUAAUCUCAUUUUGUUGCAUAUGGAUUUCCAGUUUUCCCAGAACCAUUUGUUGAAGAGGCUAUUUUUUUCUCCAAUGCAUGUUCUUGGUACCUUUGUCUAAUAUAAGAUAAUUGUAGUUUUGUGGGUUAGUCUCUGUGUCCUCUAUUCUGUACCAUUGGGAAUCAACUUAACGAAAGAGGUGAAACAUCUGUAUAAUGAAAAUUACAGAACCCUAAAGAAAGAAAUCAAAGAAAACCUUAGAAGAUGGAAAGAUCUUCCUUGCUCUUGGAUAAGCAGAAUUAAUAUUAUCAAAAUGACCAUACUGCCAAAGCACUAUACAGAUUUAAUGCAAUUCCAAUUCGAAUUCCAGUGACAUUUCUUAUAGAAAUAGAAAAAACAAUCAUGAAAUUCAUCUGGAAAAAUAAGAAACCCAGAAUAGCUAAAGCAAUCCUUAGCAGGUAGAGUGAAGCAGGUGACAUCACUGUACCAGACUUUAAACUACACUGCAGAGCACUAGUAACAAAAACAGCAUGAUAUUGGCACCAAAACAGACUUUUAGACCAAUGGUACAGAAUAGAGGACACAGAGACUAACCCACAAAACUACACUUACAUUAGACAAAGGUGCCAAGAAUAUGCAUUGGAGAAAAGUUGGCCUCUGCAUUCUUUUUAUCUAUGUAGAACAUUAAUACAUUAAUGGUUUUGGAGUCGCUAAGAGGGUGACUGUUUUUGGUUUUGUUUUGGUUGUUUGGUUUAGUGCUUUAUACUAUAGUUUCUACCGGCCCUUCUUGCUGGGUUCCUGGUCCCCUGGCUGCACUGAAGUGUGCAGUGUGCAAAGGCCUCUCUGGUGCCCUGCCACUUUUUCUACUUAACUGUUUUAUUUUUUUUUCCUGGUUUUCUUUUAUAGCCUCUAUCCUAGCACAGACAUUGGCUUUAUUCUUCUUGCUUCUCAGUUUUUCCACCUUAUUCUUCACUUGAUCAUAGCCAGAAAGCUGAGAAGUGAUUGCCUAAUUCAUACAUCCGGUUACAUUUCCAGUUGCAGAUUUGAGUUACAUUGUGGUAAAGACUAUGACAGAUGGCUCGAUUUUAUAAAACUUUCCAAGGACUCAGUAGAAUUGAGCCUGUGGAUGGAGGUUCUUUACUCAAGCCUUCCUUCUGACACUCCCUCCCUCCAUCCUUGCUUCUCUCAGCUGAGAGUGUUCUGGCCUCACUUUCAAUUUGGGCAAGAGAUAACAUCUGUAAUCUUUGUCAUGUCUUCUGCUUUAUCACAUUAAAAUUAUCUAUUGUCCUGUGAAUUUUAAUUAAUCUUCCCUUUUUAAAAAUACAAAUGUCCAAGAUCCAGGGGGAAUUAUUUAGGAUUGAGGGAUUAUUUUGUCUAUCUGUAAUGGACCUUUUAAAUAAAUAGUAUUUAUUGCCUUUAUCUCAAUUCAAAAGUAAUUUGCAUUCUUUGUAGAAAAUGAGAAUUCUGAAAAGUAAAAGAAAGGAAAUCAAAAUCACUUUAUUCUAACACCUAGAGAUGACUGAGAUGUUGGUGUAUCUUUCCUGUUUCCAUUCAACUUUAUAUAAUCAAUUCAGUACAUAUUAAUUUAUAUACACAUAUUCGUAUUUAUAUAUUCAUUAUUUUAAAUAUAUUUUAGGUGUAGAUGGACACAAUACCUUUAUUUUACUUGUUUUUUUUAUUUUUAUGUGGUGCCAGGGAUAGAACCCAGUGCCUCACACAUGCUAGGCAAGCACUCUACCACUGAGCCACAACCCCAGCCCCUAUAUAUAUUCAUUUUGAUAAUUAAAAUUAACUGAAUUAAUUAAGGAGCAUUUAUAGCUUGCAUAAAAACUAUAAUUCAUGUCAUUGCUGUAUUGGGAUAUUCUAGUAAAUUUUUUAGUACAAGUUUGACAAAAUGAGACCACUAAAUAGAUAAUUUCUCAUGAUAAAACCUAUAUGCACACAUCACAAAAAUGUUACUGUUAGAAAAAUACAUUCUGAAAACUUUGUCCUUCAGUUACCCCAUUCCCACUUUAUAUGUGUAAGUGGUUAUUUUCUAAAAAUUACUGAUGAUUAGAUUAGUGAAAUGUUUAUUGUGAAAGAGUAUGUUCUUUGCUUUUAGGCUUAAUCAAAUACACAGUGAAAUAGAAUGUGUUUUGUGAAGUAAUAUCUCAGUUUUUUUCUCCACGCUUUAGGUAUGUGUUCUUUUUGGAUCCAUGCAAUCUGGACUUGAUAAACCGGAAGAUUAAGUCUGUAGCACUGUGUGUAGCAGCAUGUCCAAGACAAGAAUUGAAAACCUUGAGUGAUGUCCAGAAGUUUGCAGAGACGAAUGGUGAGAUUUUAGGCCAUCUACAUCUACACUCCAAUCCUUUAUCUCACUGUUAAAUAUUAUGUCUUUACAUUCCCAUAUGAAUUUGUCCUGACAUUAAAUAAGUGAUCAAAGAACCUUAAAAAUAAAAAGAAUUGAAGUAAUUUUGGAUUUCCUCAUUAAAAAAUAUUAGAGUCAACCUAGGAGCUUAUUAAAACUCUAGAUAUUCACCAUACUCCGUGGUAUGUACCUAUAGUCCCAGCUAUCAGGAUGCUGAGGCAGGAGGUUCCAGGUUGUUUGAGCAACAUAAUAAGAUUCCAUCUCAAAAAGUAAAAAAGCAAAAACUGACCACACCAUAGAUUAUUUCACACCUUUACUCAAAAAACAAGACAAAACUCUUAUUAGAUUCCUAGGCCCCUGCUGGGGAACUUCUGAGUAGGUCUUUGGGUUCUGGAAAUUUGUGUUUUUUAUAAAUGCUUCAGGUGAUUUUGAUAUAUAGCCUGAUGAGUAUUUGGAAAUUAUUAGACUACUCUGUAAAAUUUGGAUAUUUUCCUUUCUUGACAAGUGUUGAUUAAAAGUAUUUCAGUUUGGGCCUGUGUGUGUGUGUUUUAGCCUGUGAUUAACAGGGUAAUAUGAAAAGGAAAAUUUGAAAAUUUCAGAUAAAAGUAUAAAGUAAAAAUCAAAAGUCUUCCAUCAGUUCUUUUUUCAAUGUGUUAGUGUACAUAUAACUUUGUGUUCUGCUUUUUAAAUUUAACAUUAUGUCAUGACUGUUUCUGUAAGAAUAGGUUUGAGGAACUUUGAGGUUAAAUGUAUGGGAAUUAGCUGAGAAAACCAGAAGAGACAGUUUUAUGUAAUCUAGCUCUGUUCCCUUGAGAUUCGUAUCUUCAAAUAUGUUAUCCUCAGCUCCAAAUAGCUUGUUUCAGUUAUCUUCAGAGAAUUUUUGUUUAAACCACUUUGGAGGGUUAGGGUGCUGAUGGCCCCUCAAGCCCAGGUUUUUGAACUUCCUUGAGUUUCAUGAUUGUGUUUUGUAUUUAGUACUCCUCAGGCCUUCCCAAAUUCAAGGCUGUUUUUGGUUCCUUGGAUAGCAGCUGACUUGAUUUGUAUUCACCCAGUGUAACUCUAGAUGGGUGGAGAUACAGCCUGGGGCUAUAGCUAUGCACACAUCAGCAAGACUCCUGCAUCUCUUAGAUGGGGUGGGAUAGGAUUGCUGGCCUUCUGGAGCUGCAGGACUGGCAACAUUCCUGGGCUACCACUUCAUGCCCUAGGCAUAAGAUGGUAGAAAGGGCAUGCUGUUUAUUUGAAUCUGGAUUCCAAUUCUGAUUCAGUCACUAAUUGGCUCUGUAAUGAGUGGUAGCUUCUCUGAAUCUAGAUUUCCUAAUCUGAAAAAAAAGGUGAAUUAAAAAUAAUACCUCCGUGCUGGGGUUGUGGCUCAGUGGUAGAGCCUUGUCUUGCAUUCAUGAGGCAUUGGGUUCAAGCCUCGGCACACAUAAAUAAAUAAAAUAAAAAGUAUUUUUCCCAUCUACAACUAAAAUAAAGAAGUAUUUUAAAAAAUAAUACCUCAUAGGUUAUGAAGAUUAAAUAAGAUGGUGCAUGAAUAAUACUGGGCAUGUGAUAGGCAGUGAGUGAAGAGGUGCCAAAUACUGUUUAAGAUCUCAUUUUUAAUCCCCACAUGAUAUCCCCACAUUUGCCUUGCUAAGCCUUUUUUCCAAACCUACCAGCUUUAUCAUUAUCAGGUUUCUUAGGGAAGUCUGAGUUAUUCCUGAAGGGUUUUUCCAAACUCUUACACAUUAUGAGUAGAUCAAUAUACCUGAUAGGUGGUAUUUUUUUUUAAUAUUUAUUUUUACUUGUAGUUGGACACAAUACCUUUUUUAUUUAUUUAUUUUUAUGUGGUGCUGAGGAUUGAACCCAGGGCCUCCUCGCACAUGCUAAGCGAGCACUCUACCGCUGAACCACCACCCCAGCCCUGAGAGGUGGUAUAUUAAGAGUAUGGCCUCUGAAGUCAGAUGUUUGGGUUCAACUGUUGGUCCUUCUGCUUAGUAAUUGUGAGACUCUGGGCAAGUUGGCUUUACCUUUCUAUAUCUCAAUUUCCCCAUCUGUGAUGCAGGGAUAAUGUAUAUACCUAAUGUGCCUCAUUAGGAUCUUUAUAGUAAGUCAAUAUAUGGAGAAAGAAUACUUAUAACAAUGUAUGGAAAAUAGCAAGUUGCUAAAAAAUGGUCUUGGCUGCUGGUGUUGCCAUUAUUCUUCUGCCUCCAAUUUUUGUCUAGUUCUAACUCCUUUACGUAUUGCUCUCAUGCGAUGUUGCUAGAGGUUUAAUUAACACCAACCCAUUGCUCAGAAAUUAUCAGUGGUGAAAAACAAAAGUCUCUAUAUGUCUUAUACUGGCAAUCAAAACUCUGAUAUAAUCAUAAACUUGUCCGCUUUGAACAUGCCCUCUCAAACCUACUGGAUGUAAACCUUGGCAUCUUGAAACUUAGCUGUCAUCUGAAGGGCCAGGCAAGAGCUACCUCUAGCUCAGUUAUAUGGCCUUGCUUGAUGGUUCCUUUAGGAGAGAUGACCCAUGCCUUCCUGUUGGCCUGUGUUGCCCGCAGGCCAGUGUCCUCCCAAAUGAAACUGAUACCGAGUGUGGUCUAUUUAGGUCUAGUUUAAGAAGAUGCUCCUGGUGUGUUUUGCAGCUUUGCGUUUCCCACAGUGUUUUGCAUAAAGUAAGUGUUCAAGAAGUUUUAAUCAAUAAACACUCUUUCAGAAAACAGACUUCUUAAAUCAGUGCCCAGCUACAAAAGCACCCUUAGGCUUUGGAGUUGCUGUGUAUAAAAUAAACCAGUAAGUUCAGUAUAAAAAAAUAAUGACACAAGAAGCACAUAGUAGAGGAUGGUAACUUCAAAAGGCAAGUAGAAAAGCUGUAUAGUUCAAAUGGAAAGGGAGCUUCUGGUGUGGAGGCCUGCCUAUCUUAUUUUAGGAAAAAAUCCAAGUUGGAAUUUCUGAAUUAAUUUUUCAAAGAAUCUCUGCUGUUUCUUUGGAUUGGUGACUUAAAAUUGGACCUGGUAAAAUUUAGUUGCAAUAUUACCUUUAUCACUGAGAGAUUUCUUUCUCUGCUUUUUACAUUAACUAUGCUCCCCUCCUCUGAUCUUUAUAACUUAUCUUUUCCAUUAUUUGAAGUACAAGUUGAUUGAAAAGGAACAGGUAAUUUUUAUUGGUAUCUAUAGCCAAGGUUCUAACAGAAAUAGUUAGAAAAUACAGAGGCCUUUUUAUCUAAAAUAUUUAAGGCUCAAUUAUUAAUUUCAGAGGAGUGUCUUUGAGGGAUGAUUCAGGUUUAAGUGGGAAAUUUUCAAAUCUGUAAAGUAAACUAGUUAAAAGUCCAUGAAAGAGCCUAAAUAUAAGAGCUACAGCUGUAAAACUCUUAGAAGCAUCAUAGGGGAAAACUUACAUGGUAUUGGAUUUCAUCAUUACUUGCAUGGAACUAAAUGAUACCAGAAGUACAGGAAGCAAAGGAAAAAUUAGAAAAAUUGUCAUGUCAAAAUUAAAAACUUAAACGUAUUAAAGGACAAAAUCAACAGUGAAAAGUCAACCCAUAUAUUUGGGUUGAGAGAAAAUAUUUGGAAUGAGAGAAAAUAUUUGCAAAUAAUAUAUCUAUUAAGGAGUUACGAAAGAAAAAGAAGUGUUGAUGAGGCUAUAGCAAAAUUAGAAAUCUUGUGCACAGUUGGUGGUAAUGAAAAUGGUGUAGCAACUAUGGUAAACAGUAUAGAAGUUCCUUAAAAAGUUAAAAAUAGGACUAAUAUGAUCCAGUAGUCCCACUUCUGAGUGUAUAUACAGAAGAAUAAAAAAGAGGAUCCUCAAGAAAUAUGUGCACAUGUAUGUUCAUUGCAAUAUUAUUCAAAAACAGCCAAGAGGUAGAAGCAGCCUAAAUGUCCAUGGACAGAUUAAUAAAGAAAAUGUGAUAUACACACACAAUUAAAUAUUAUUUUGCCUUAAAAAUGCUGCAACAUGGAUGAAACUUAAAGAUACUAUGCUAAGGGAAAUAAGCCAUUCACAAAAGGACAAGUACUAUAGGAUUCCACAGUUAUGAGGGCCCUAGAAUAGCCAAAUUCAUAGAGACAGAAAGUAGGAUAGCAGUUGCCAGGAGCUAUGGGGGAUGGGGGGGUAGAAGGAAGUCACUGUGUAUUGGGUUGAGUUAUACAACAAUGUGAAUGUAUACAAUGUACUAAAUUGUACAAUUGCAAAUGGUUAAGACAGCAAAUUUUAUGUUAUGUGUAUUUUACCAUAAUUUAACAAAAAUGGAUACUGGGUGAGGUAGUAACUUUUUAUAUGCUAAUUCUAAACCUGAUUUUAAAAUGCAAGGUAAAAUAAUAUGUUUCUUUCUUAUCACAAUGAAAAUACAACAUAAAUCCUUUUCAAAGAAUUUCAAGUUUCCAUGACAACAUUUCAGAGUACUUUUUAGCACUUACCAACAUCCAUUCACAUGAACUUUUAUUAUCUUUAGAAAUUAUUGAAAAUUUUAUAAGGGGAAGCUGUUGGGUCCUAUAGCAAUAUUUAAAAGAAAUACAUUUGUUAGGCAAGUAAAACGUUCCCUCAAAUCUUCGUUUCUUUGACAAGAAAGUGGAGUUGUUUCUUGGAUAGAGUUUAUGGGAAAGCCUUUGUCAAGUAUGUCUGACUACAAUAGAGUUCAGAAGAAAAAGCUGGAAAUUAGAUUAGUUUUGUGGAGAUGUUGCCUUCUACAAAGAGCUUUGAAAGCGGGCAGGAGAACUUAGAUGAAUAUAAAGAUACAGUCUAGACUGAGUUGGGUGGUAGGUCAACAAGUAUACAUUUUGGUUUUAUGGUUUGUAAUUCAUAUAUGACAUGAAUAACAUAAACUUGAUGCUAGAAAAGAAAAUAAUUUUAAAAUGUUCAUUAAAAGGGGGGAUAGGAAGGGCAGCAGAAUACAACAGACACUAGUAUGGCUGUAUGUAUAAACGUGGCUGUAUAACCAAUGUGAUCCUGCAAUUUGUACACGUGGAAAAAUAAGAAUUCAUACCCCAUUUGAAUCAAAUAUAUGAUAUGUCAAGAUCAUUGUAUUGUCUUGAGCAACCAAUAAAAAAAUGUUCAUUAAAAAAAUCAAAGUUGUCAAGUACCAUAAGGACUCAGUAUCAAAUUUCUUUCAGUUCUUUAUCAUCUUCUGCAGUCAUGUAUAAAUUUUCAGGGGGCAGGAUUAUGCUCCAUUUAUCUCUGAAUAUCCAGGUUCUCAUAUAGGAGCUCACAAUGUAGAUAUCCAUAACUGGUUGUUUUUUUUUUUUUUUUUUUUUUUUGAAAAAAAUGAUAGACUCGAUUUCCCUAUUCAUCUCUGUUGCCACUUAAUAAUUUCUUAUGCUCUCAACACAUUUUGUCCUCAAUUCUGUAUCCGUGUGAGUUGCCACCAGCAGGUAAAUUGUUUAGCUUCAAUCCAACCAGAAUUGCUCUGAAAUCAGUUCUUUUUUAUUCAUCUCUAAAUAAUUCAUCCUAUUCACUCAUUUAUCUCUCUUAUACACACUCUCCAAGUGAUUAUUCAUACCUUUUCUUCCCGUAAGCCCUCUUGUUCAUCCUGUUUGCUAACCUAAUGCCCUACAGAGAAAAUUGAAACCAUCUGGUAAGAGCUCCCAUCUGAGUUCUUAUUUUCAGGAGAGCAUGAAUGUCAUCUCACUCUCACUUUCUUUCCCUCCAGUUUCUAAUGAACAGUUUUCUUUUCUCCUUUAUUUAAUCAUUAAUUUUGAAAACUUAAAUAAUACAUACAUUGUAGGGGGGGAGGGAAUGAAUCCCCCUCCUUCUGAAGCUGACUUUGGCUUUCUAUGUAAUUUUGGUUUCAACCCAACCAUGCUUUGACAGGUGGUGAAGGAAGGGGAGAUGGUGCAAGUUCCGGCAAUUCUUUCUUUCUCUCCUCUCUAAUUCUGGUUAGGCCCACCACCUCUGGUCAGUAGUCCACUAUCAUCCCCAUUAUUCUGAAUUCUGCAUCUGAAUUUUAGAUAAUUUAAGCCCAGAGUUUUGUUUCAACUUGUCAUUUAUUGGUGCCUACUAUGUACCAUGCACUGUGCCAGAUGUUUUGCGUGUUGUUUUGUUCUUUUCCAUUUGCUAUCUAAAUACUAACCAGUGAUUUAGAAAUAAAUGCACAUAACCUAUGAGUUAGAGGAUGACUGCAUAUUCUCAGUUGGUGCAAAUACUAAUCAUGAGAUUCUUAUUAUCUUUUCCAUUAUUCUUAUUUUUCUUUUGUUUGCAUCUCACUUAUAGGAGUGAAAAAGCAGUACCAUUUGAGAGUACUUCUUUAAUGUACUAUAUUUUGUAGAAUUCUGAGAGGUUUAUGAACUGCCAUUUGGACAUGUUCACUUUUUGAUUUUUUGGCUUUUUUGUUUGUUUAUUUUAGUACCAGGCAUCAAACCCAGGAACACUUAACUACUGAGCACAUCCCCAUCCCUUUUUAAUAUUUUAUUUAGAGACAGGGUCUUAACUGAGUUGCUUAGGGCCUCACUAAGUCACAGGCUGGCUUUGAAUUUGCGAUCCUCCUGCCUCAGCCUCCCGAGCCACUGAGAUUACAGGCAUGCAAUUACAGGCAUACAUCUGGCCCAUGUUCACAUUUUGAGUAUGACUGUCCAGUUUGAUCAUUAAUGAUCAUUGCUUUGGCCAUUUAAAACUUUGACAAAUUAUAUGAUCCAUUCAGAUAAGAAUUGCUUUUUGUGAGAACUAGUAAGACUUUCGGUUAUCAUUAUCCAGUCAUUAGGCUUAGAGUCAAUAUCAGUAGAUCAUCAGUAUAUUGCCCUUUUUCUUACCAGUUAGUAACAAUAUAACUUAAACCACAGAGUUAGCAUGGAUUCUUUUUGGCAUAGUCAAUCAAAAGUUUGGACUUGAAAACAUUUAUAAAUGAAUAAUUAUAACAAUUAAUUUAAUUUCCUCCAGGUCAAAGAAAGCAGGGUAGCAGGGAGACGCUUACAUUUGAUAAUAUAAUUUAAACUAAUUCCUUCCUCCAACAAUUAGUAUCUAUUAAAGAUGCCAAAGAUAUAAGGUACAGUCCCACAUUUAAGGAGCUUGAGUUAUAGUAAAGUUAGACUUUCCUUGUCCUCCACAAUACCUAGUAGAAGUCUUGCACAUAGAUGUUCAAAAUUAAUUCAUUUAGCAAAUAUUUAUUGUGUACCCAGGAUGUGCCACUAAUGGCUAACAGGUAAUGUCAUACCUCAGCUAGCUAAUAGAUGGUACUUUUUGGAAAUUGCAAAUAUGUCUGGAUUUUGGGGGUUACUAGAAAUUGAAAUUAGGAAAAUUGUCUCCUGUUCUUCCAGCAUGUAAAUAUAUAGUUUUCUAAUUAGAGGAUGAGAGAUUAAAUUCAUUGGACAUCACAAAGCAAUAGAAUUUGUUUUUCAUAAUGAAAACUGAUCUGCAUUGAGAUGUUUUUCUACUCAUUGAAAAUUUUCUCCAUCAUAUUUCAAGGACUAUAUCUUUUGCCUAAUUUUAAUAUAUUAUGCAUUUGUGAUAGCAAAUUAAACAUAAUUUUAUGGCCCAAAAAAUAGCCCCCAAUACAUUAGCUCUUCUUUAUAUAUUUUUAUUUCAAAUAAUUUGGUGUUUAAACCAUUGGUUCACAACUAAGAGUGCCUCUGCCUGCCCAAAAACAUUUGGCAAUGUUUAGAGAGAUUUUUGGUUGUCAGAACUGGGCAAAGGUUAUCUAGAGGAUAGAGAUCUGUCAAACACUAGUGACACACACAUACUAGGCAUACAUAUUUGCUGAGUGAAUUAAUGCACAGGACAGCCCCCUAUAAUCAAGCAUUGGAUCAGGAUGUCUGUUUUUAUUAAAUAAAAGGCAUUGGAGUGUUACUUAUGUACCAGUAGAUGGGACUGCAGAUAUUUCAAAAGCACCAGGUCCCAGUUCUCAAAGAGCAUACUCUAAAAAUGGAGAUGAUAGGUAAACAAAAACAAAUUACAAAAUAAUAUGCUAUGUUUUUUAAUAGCGCUAAGUGGCAAAUAGCUUUGUUGGGUGGGUCAGAGAAAGCUUGACAGAGAAGGUGAAGUGUGAGUGAGUACUGUGUAGUAGCUCUGCUCAAACUUUUAGCACUCACUCAGAUGCUGUUCCUAGAAGGACAGAGCAAGCCCAAGGAAUAGCAUGUUAAAAGGUCAGGAAGCCUGAUAAACAGAAAGAAUUGAUUAUAUGCAGUUCAUUGUAUUGAGGUGAGCCUGGAGUUUUAGCUAGAAUCCUGCUUUAGGAAGCCUUGAAUCCAAGAAGUGUGGACUUUAUCCUGAGGAUAGGACUAUAACAGAAGGGAUCUGCAUUUUUGAAGACCAUUCUGAAGGUCAUGUGCAUAAAGAGGGAGAUGAGAAUCCGUUUUGGGAGAGGAUUUAAACUGCCCUGAUCAAGAAGAUCUGAGAUUCUAUAGGAAGGUCUGAUCAAGCACCUUGAAUGGUAUGGGAAGGUGAAAGGUAAAGAAGAGGACAUGUGACUUGCAAAUUUUACCUUGGGGACUUCAAACCAUUAACCAGGAUAGAAAAUAUACAGGAGGAGAGUGAGUGAUUGAAGUAAUUUUUUUGUAAACAUUAUUUUUGAAGUAUCUAUGGAACAUGUUUUUGUGGUUUGUUUUCCUAAGAACUUAAUAUUUGUUUGAUUUUGAUUAUUAGGAAUGACACAAAAGAAGCAUAGUGACCUAAGAGUAAAGAAUUCUGUUUCUAAAUAUGCCAGUGAUUGCUUGUAAGGCCCUGAAAGUAUUACUUAUUUUUUUUCUCUGCAGCUGUAAGUUUUGAAGUGUAGUGAUAAAAAUGUACCUCUUAGGAGAGUUGAUAUAAUUGAUAUUGAGCUAGAAAAUAAAUAAUUAGAUGUUAUAAGCCAUUUGAAAAAUUAUAGUAUUUAAACAUUCUGAAGAUCCUAGUAGACAUUUGCCAUGAUAAAUAUUUGUAUACCCAGAUUGGGUUCCUAAGAUCUCUCAUUUUGAUAGCCUUUGAAUAACAUUGGCUAAAUUGCCUGGAUUGCCUAGAUAAGCCUUUGUUUUUUAGUUUUUUUGAUUUUUUUCAUUACUCAAGUAUGAUUUUUACUUAACUUUUGCAUCUGAAGGAAAACUUCAUGUCUUACUUUUUAUGUCCAAACCUCUUGUGCUGUGUUGUUUAUACUUUCACUGUAAAAAAGUAAAUGAUACUACCUUUAAAAGGUUCACUGAAUAUGCAUUAGCUGAUAAACAUGAAAAGAAAAACAAUUUAAAAUAUUUGUCAUUACCAUUUUAAUGUUCUUCCUCCUCUGUUCAUCAACUGUUUGAGCAGGAAAACAGCAAAGUGACUCUUCUGGUUGUUACUACCAACACAUUGUAAAGAUCUUUUUCCUUAAACCUAUUUAGUACAGGAUCUGCUUAGUACUGGCCUGUGUCCCAGAAGACCAUCAGAGAUAAGGCUAUUAUCCUUUUAUUGAGUAUUAUCCUGGGAAAGUAUUUAUAAAAUUGAACUCUGUGGCACCUGCUGACCUCUUUUCUAAAUGAAAAAGGGUGGGGAUGGAAAUUGUGUUCAGUGAAUUUAGAUGAAGCAGUAUGUUUAGCAGCACUGACAGCAGAGUGCUUUAGUUAGUGCCUUUUAUACCGUGCAAAUUGAUUCCAUCUUGGACUUUGAAAGAAAUAAGUUGACAAUUCAUAUCAAGAAGUUGACAGUCACAUUCAGGGCUCUGCAGUUAUUGGCAUGGUUGCUAUUUUUUCAUAAGCAGUUCUAAAAUAGAACUCACAGCUAUUUUAGGAUUAAUCUAAAGUGUUUGCUUGCCAUUGCUGUCAUGUUUUUCUAAAAUUGCUAUAAAUAAAAUCUAGUGGUAUUAUCUUCAAACCUGAGAGAAUACUUUUGGAAGACUUAAAUAUUUAAAAACAAUUUUCAUCCUUAAUGUUUUUCUUUUCCUUUCCUCUUCCUCCCCUUCCCUUCUUUUUCCUUGCUUUCUUCCUUCUUUCCUUCCUCUGUCUCAUGGUGAUGGAGAUAGAAACGAGGUCCUCAAAUAUGUUAGGCAUAUGCUAUGCUAUUGAGCCACAUCCCAGUUCAUGUGCUUAACUUUAAAAAAAAAAUCGUCAUUAAAAUGAAAAAGAACAGUUUAAAAAAAAUUUAAACCUAGUCUCCUAUGAAAUCUUAUCAAAAGCUAAAAAUGUGUGAAGAACAGUGCUAUGUAACUUUCAAGUAUCGCUCUAAAAAUACUAUUGUGGCUUGCCAUGGUAAUACAUUCCUAUAAUCCCAACGACUCAGGAAGUCUGAAGUAGGAGGGUUGCAAAUUCAAGGCCAACCUCAGCAAUUUAGUGAGACUCUGUCCAAAAAUAAAAGGACUGGGGCCUGGCUCAGUGGUAAAGGACCUCAGGGUUCAAUUCCCAGUAUAUUUAAAUAAGUGUGUGUGUGUGUACACACACACACACACACACACACACACACACACAUAUAUAUAUAUAUUGCAUUGUCAAAUUACUUGGAUUAUAUUUGUAUAAAAUAUAUGCUACAUAUAUUUAUGUAAAUGUACUAUUAUGGCCCACAUAUUUAAACACUUAGGCCCACAUAUUUAAACACUGAUUUGAGGCAGCUGAGUUAAAUGGUGGUUUAUGACUUUUUGAAAAUUAUUUUCAUUGGUCAGACAAGAAAUAACUUAAAUAAACUCACUCCCAACUUUGUUGUCCCAGCAUACCAGGCUGUGUUCAUUUUCUAUCUUCCUUUCCAUUUCCUUCUCAUGCUUACAUGCCUUUUCCAUUAAUUAAUUCAGUGAUGAAGUCUGCCAUGUUUGCCUCAUAUUUUAAUGUUUGCCUCAUGGUGGUAACAGUGUGAAGUCCAUUAUCACUAUAAUGCGAAUGCAUAUUUAUUCUGUUUAUAUUUAAUAAUAAGGCAUUAGUUCAAGUUAGAAAUCUGACAGGAACUUCAGUUAAUCAGAUAUAACCUGUUGUGUAAUAUAGAAUGCAGUAGAUCAUUGGCAUCUUUAAGGCUGGAAUGUAAAUCUCCUCGCCUACCAACACCUAUUGUGCAAUGACUCUUCCAGGAUCCCAGUCACUUCAUUAUAGAACUAGCAGGUCAGUAAAAUAACGCAUUCUAGAUCUGCUGGACUGUAUCCAUCUGAAUUUUCAGUACUGCUUAGAUAUGUAUUAGCCAAAUAAUCAGAAAAAUAUAUGGUUCUUUGUUUAACCAAUCUUUGGUUAGAUUUAAGUUAUCUUAAACUAUCUGAAAACUAGGGAUUGCUUAUAAAUUUAUCAGUUUUAUCAAUUGUUCAGUUUAUUUACAGUUAGGCGUAUUUCCUGAAAUAAGAAAAAGUAAUGUAUUAUCUGAGUGUAUUACUUUAUGCAGUAAUUUUAAAUAUGUAGUAGUGGGAAGCAUAGGAACAGAGAAUGUUUACAGUUGAGAGAUGUGGUAUUUUGUCCCAACUCUAUCACUUACUAGCUCUGUGUUCUUGGGCAGGUUAUUUACCUUAUGUCCUAGCCUCUAUUUCUAUGGUAAUGAUGCAUACAUGUAUGUCAUCUUGCAUAGAACCUGACAUGGGGCAGAUACUCAAUAGAAGUAGUUCUAGUACUUAUAGUUAUUAUCUUUAAUAUUAAUUAAAAUUUGUACAAUUAAUUACAUUGUCAGUAAUAAGAGUUUUAAAUGAUUGAGGGCUAAUGAUAUAGAUCAAAUCAGAUGCUUAUGAAUUCUAUAAUGUUUGAAAGUUAUAUAUGAGAGUAUUAACAUCUAAAAUUAAAGAAAAUGAGAAGAUAAUUUGUCUAGAUUCUGUUCUGCCAGUUAACAUAUAACUUUUCUUUCAACAGGCUCAGCACUAUGUAGCUACAACCUAAAGCCUUCUGAAUAUACUACAUCUUCAAAAUCAUCUGUUCUUUGCCCCAAACUUCCAGUUCCAGCGAGGUAAAUUUUAUUGCAAAGUUGUUAACUUGUGACUUGUUUUUAUAGGUAAAUUUCACAUUGUAUGUGUUAUUCUGAGAAAGGAGUUACUUUGAUAACUUGUUCCAUUACUUUUACAACAAAAUUUUAGAAAUAGGAAAAGAUAUAAAAACAUGUAUUUAUCUUUAGAAAAAUGCACACCCAAACAACUUUUCUAGUUCUGUUAUUUUACAUUUCUUUAGAACCUUACUUUUUUUUAAAAUUUUCGUACCAUAAUUUUCAAAUACACAAAACUGCUGAAUCAUUCUCAAAUUUGCAACAGACUUAGAAACCAAGUCUCACAGUCUCCAGAGAUCCUUCGAGGUUAAUCCUAGUAUUACUUCCUGGGAUUGCUUUUUAAUUUACUUUGUAAAUUUAAAAAGCAUGCCAGUGACUAUUCUCCAUACAUUGUUUGAAGUUAUAUCCUUUACAUACGUUCACUGUAUUAGGCUGUUUGCCACGCCUUAUUCAAUAAACAUUUAUUAUUAAGUACCUGCCACAUGUGAUGGAUAUAACAGUGAUCUCACAGUAGUUAAAGUGAAAGUAAAUUUUUAAAUUUAAAGUAGAUGUAAAAAAAAAAAAUUCUCAAGCAUUGUAGACUAUAUCCCCAGAAUUAUGUAUGUACGUUUAUGGAGGUAUAUACAUGUAUGUGUAUAUACACAUAUGUGAACACUUGCAAGUAUGUCUGAUGUUGAGAACCAUAAUGUGAACUGCUGACAGAAUGGCAUGAGAAAACUUCUCUGGGGGGAAACUGACUCUAAGCCACCUUUAUUAUAUCUUAAUAUAUUAUAGGGAACAACUGAGUAAAAAAUUUUGAGAUUUGAAACAUGAAAGCAGAUCAUGUCUACAUUUUUUAGGAAUAUUUAUGGCUAUAACUUGUGCUUUAUUAACUUGAAUUUGAAAUUUUCUGUUAGUAGGAAAGGGAUGUAUCAGUUAAAUUGAUUUCUAGCUCUUUUAGUCUUGUGAAGUUGCUAUUGAAAAUCAAAAUUUAUAGCCUAUAGAUAUAAAAGUAAAGGGACUAUUUUAAGAGAUACUCAGUAAAAGGAACCUAAAAAUUAUGGCCUUAAAGUGACAGGUAAGGAGGUCGAACUCAUAAAAAUUAAGGAUAUGAGGAAGGCUGCCGCAGUGAAGCAAAGGAGAUCCUUUAAAUACAGUUACUGGAGAACAUUUAUUGAUAUAAAAAUAAGAAAAGCCCUAUACACUUAUCUACCUAAUUGCUACAGUUUGUUUUAUCUGUACUUUAAGUAUAGAGUCUUUCUUUCAAGACCAAAACACACUGAGGUAGAAUAAUCAGAAAUCCUGGAUAUGGAAAGAAGGUUGUUCUGCUCCUGGAUCAUUGUGGGAGGGCCAGGAUGGGUGGCUGGGCUCAUACUGCAAAUCCUCCCCCACUUGGAUCUCUGACUCCCCUGUGUUGAGCACUGACUGUUCCUGGUUAUUUCAGAUAUCCCAGUCCUGACUACCCACACACUUCUCACAAUAUCCUCUAGACAUUUACUAGAAGGCAAAGGAUGGUAUCAGGGGUGUUAAGUUUAUAGCUGGAUGGACCUGGCUUCUAACAGGGUCAUUAUGUACCUCACUAAUCUAAGACAAAAUGCUGAACCUGUACUAUCUGCAAACUCACUCCCACUGUGUUCAAAGAUCCUUAUGUUUUACUUAGUACAGUACCUCCCAGUCGAAGUAUCUUAGCACUUUUGUCUGAACUAAGCUUGUUGGAAAGUAAAACAGAAGGAAGACAAAUAGAAGCUUGUAAAUAUAAAAGUUAUUUAGCAUUUGGCAAACAAAGUGAAAGGAUGAGAGAACAAGAUAAAUUUGUUUUAAUAAAAAAAAAAAAUUGGAGACACUACCCCAUUCUCACAUAGCAUUAAGCCACCAAGUCUCCAAAAAUGAGUAAGACCAGAACUCUGACCUUCAAUUCACAGUCUAGUAAUGACUGCAUUUUUGUUAACAUUUUCUAACACCAGGCAAAACUGGUAAGUAGCCCUCAGCAUCUUUCACAUCUCACACAGGAACUUGAACUUUGAGUCUAGAUCAGUAUGGCGGUGAAUAUCACAUCACCAUUUUCUAUUUGUCAUCUCAAACAAGACUCAACCUCUCUAAAAAACCAAGGUUUCUUGUGUGUGAAAUGGGAAUAUUCAUACUUGUUCUAUAGAGUUGAGACUCAAUAAGAUAAUAUACAUAUCUAUUAUUGUGCUUGGCACUUAGCUUAGGAAGUAUCAUUUCUCUCAACUUCCAGAGCCAGCAAUAGCUGGUUUAGAGAACACAACCAUAAACUAAUUUGCAAUGAAAUUCUAAUGAGGCAUAAUAAUCAAAAAAUUAUCAUUCCUAAGAGCAGAUGCCUAGAUAGACCAAUAUUUUAUCCAGAUUCAUAACUCUUUAUUGGUGAAAUGCCAAGCAUGGUAGCAAUAUGAACAAUAGCUAUCCUGUUUAUUUGUGAUGCUAACUGUUGCAAUGCUAACUGUUGCCCACAACCAGAGAAAAACAGCAGAAAUAGAAACAGAGUACAUAAAUUCAGUUUAUUCAUCAUUAGAGUACCUCUGGAUGCCAGAAAGGUUACGAGAUACUAGGGAAUUAAUAAUAUGAUAUGGAAGCGAAAAAUUGACACUCAAGAAAAAAUGUUUUUUCAUAUUUUUAAGUAGAAGAUUCAAGAGUAAGUUAAUAUUUACAAAUCAUCUACUAUGUGCCAGCUAAUAUACUUUCACUAAUAUACUUUCACAUGCAUUAUUUAAUUUAACCCUCACAAAAGCCUUUACAGAUACUGCCCCUAAUUUAUAGAUAAGGAAAUGGAAGAUGAGGCCAAAGCCACUUUUUUUGUUGUUGUUGUUGCUGUAAAUCAGAGUUUGAAUUCAGGAUCUUGUAGCAUCUAUACCAUAGUUAAGUGUGUUUUUUUUUAAAAUUUAUUUUUUAUUUUUUAAGGAGUAGAGGAGUGAAGGAAGGGAAAAAAACAAACAAAAUAGAAAUGUAUGAAAAAUCACUGUUUACUGCCAUUAAAUUCUUAUCUUCUUGACUUAUUUACUUCCUGCCUUUUGUAUUCUAUUAUAGGGAUCUUAAUGGAACCCUUUAUUGGUAUUAUUUCUUAAAUAAAACUUUUAGCUAGAAACCAUGGGUGAUUGCUUAUUUUUAGCCUGAGAUUCUAAAAUAAUUAUAUGAGGUACAACUCCUACCUUCUUUUGUGAAGCAUAUGGACAAGAAAUAGUAGACACUCUUUGUCCUUAUACUUUAGGGAGUUGAUUAUCUGUGAUAAUCUGGUCUUAAAGGCAAAUGGAUGGUAUAUUUGCCACUGUAAGAUACAAUUUGCCCAUGAUGGUUAAUUUUUAAAAAUCUUUAAAAGAUUCAGUAUGAAUUCAUUUUGUUCUUGUUGACUCAUGUUUUAAUAAUGUGAAACAACAUCAGUUCCUAAUGGGACUACAUUGACUUCUUAAACAUUCAAUAGUCUGUGCCUUUGAAAGGUAGAAAAACUUACUGUAAAUAGAAUACUUUAUGCUUUUCCUCUUAAUUAAGAAGCACAAAAUGUGUCAUUUAGGUUAGACUCUAAAGUAGAAAUGAUCUCAAGCACUAAGUUCUCAGCACUAUUAUUUCCUCAGAGGUCCAUGGUAUGAGCUAAUUCAUCUUAAAUUCAUUAAAUCAAAUGGGAUUUAAAUGGUAAAAUAUAAGAGAGACAUUUCAAUGCCAUGAUUACUCACUUUUUUUUUUUUAAUAAGAAAAUAAAUCCAGGGACUGAGGGUGUAGUUCAGUGGUAGCAUAUAUAAGGCCCUGGGUUCAGUUGCCAGCACAGAAAAAAAAAAAAGAAGAAAAAGAAAAAAAUUCUUGUUUCAAAAUCCCAUGGCCUGUAGAGUUGUUUCUUUUUUGGGAAGAAGUGGGAAAAAGAAUGACAAGGGAAUCUGCUGCUUUUUAGCUAAGCAUUUAAUUUUCUUUUUGAACAAUGUGUUCAUAUAUUCUCUUUUAUUUACCUUCAAUUUCUGUUAUUCGUUAGGACUAAGAGCAGAUUUUUACUAUAAAAUAAACAAAGCAGUUAAUCAGCUUGUGCUAAUUUUAUAUCUUUAAACUUAGAGCCGUCAGAUUGAAUUUUAGAGUCAAAGAUUAUUGUUAUUUUGCCCCAAUUCUUUGAAGGAUACUUAAAAAAGCACUCUUUCCAAAAGGUCAAGAGUUUAUAUACAUUUUUAAAAUGACUCAAAAGGAUAAGUUCUGGGCAGAUGUUACUCACCAUUUCCUCCUAAAGGAAAAGAAUUAGGAUUUUGAGAAUGCAGUCCUUCCCUUUCAAAUCAAGGAUCUUCAUCCUGAGUUUGAAAGGCAGAAUAUACUGGCUCUGCUGCUCCUAUAUACUUUUAGAGUCAUUGAUUUGUAGGUGGUCUCUUUUAUGGUGAUGAUCUGAAGAGACUUACAGAGUCCUUACUCCUACCCUUUUAGCAAGCAAAUGGACAAAUGAAGAAGAAAUGGAGUAACACACAGCUCUGCAGUGUUAGGAGAAGGUGGGCUUUUACAGUUAUCUGACAGGAAAAAGGAAAUGAGUGAGUAGGACCAAGAAAAUUAGUGGCAUUGUCAACAAGAAAUAGACAGCAAUAUCCUUAAGGUAGACAUAUUUUAUAUUUGGGGUUGAAGGCAGGUGAGUGAAGCAGAGGCUUCAUCAGAGAUGAUAAGGUAAUAUAGACCGAUGAAGAUUUAGAUAAUUAUGGAGCAGAGAAGAGUUUAGUUUUGAAGAGAGAGACAUGCUUUAAUUAAAAAUAGGGUUAGAGAAGUUCUUAAAGGUGUUAACUUUGCAGAGACAACAUCAGAAAAGAAAGUCGUGUUACAACAAAGUUGUCAGUAAAGACUUCUACCCCAAAUCAGCCUCCAUUAACUGAGAAAUUUAGGGUCCUUUUUGAUUCUUCUAAUUUAAUAUCUUUUUACAUCAUUAGCAAAACAACUUUUGAUCAAAAGACAAUGACUUACCUGCCUGUAAAUCAAACAUUAUACAGAAUGGUCUGGCUUCCUGCAGUUUUUAAUAAAAAGUCAAAUCUUUGGCAUUAACUUUCACUAACACCAUUUUGGAGCUACUCACAAAUCCACAGUCAAGGACAUGAGAUAAUAAAUGAAUAAAUCACAUUGUUACAUCAUCAUUUUUGGAUACAUUUUACUGAAGCAUAACUAAAAUAAGGCUAAAUCUUUCAGUUAUUUUGUUUCAUGAGUAUAAAAGCAUAAGAUAUUUCUUAUUCUUACUACUGGUGGUGCUCACUGUCAUUUAAGAAAAAACGAUAGGUAGUUAUUCUCAUUCUUAUUUGAAAAAUUUUUUUUUAUUUGAGGGAGGAAAGAAACUGUUUUGUUUCAGGUCAGACAAAGUUGUUUUGCUGAGAUUGGAAACCUUGGAAUUUGGUAUCCAACCACAUAAUCAUAUCCACUAAUGGACCCAAAUACAGUGCCAGCCAAGAACGAGAACACAGUUACAUCAUUCUAAUAAAAAAUCUUAUGUCAGACCUGCCAGGGCUAGUUCUAUGAACAAUUCAAAAACUGUGGUUUCAUAUUAAUUAUGGCUGCAUUUUAACUUAAUUCACCCACUAAUGCAUAUCUGUGCACAGACAAUGUACGGGUUCUGUUAGAAUCUUGACAAGUCACAAUGAAGGUGUAUCUAUAGUCCUUUGUUUAAAAUUCUCUCACUGAUUAGAUGUGUAUUGUCCUCUCAGAAGUUGAAGCAGAACCAUGUUAUUACAAACCAGAUUUAUGUCACAGCUCAUGCACAGUUGUUUCUUUACAAGUCAAAGCUGUAGUCCAUGUAAGCUUGGAUUAAAUGUUAACUGAUUAAAUAAUUGGUUGUUUUCACAGUUUUUUGAACACAUAUAAUCUUGAAUUAUUAGUUACAUAUAAAAAGAAAAUAAAAUGGCACAGAAUUCCAGAUGUGUCAGAUAUUUUUCACUUUUAUAAUAUUAUUUUUCUUAUCCCAUUUUUAUUAACUUCAUAACUCUUUUAUGGAGUGAUAUCAUUGUCACUUUAGAUAUAAUUUCCCUUUUGUAUUAUUAAAUUAUAAGCAUUUCUAUACAUUAGCUCCCACUGUUAUUGUUUUGAGUAGCUGCAUAUUAUGCUGUAUGUUGAUAUGUUGGCAUGACUUUGUUUAUAUAAGAGUUACUGAGGGGCCUGGGACUUGGGCUGUAGCUCAAUGGUAGAGUGCUUGCCUAGCACGGUUGAGGCACUGGGUUCAAUCCUCAGCACCACAUAAAAAGUAAAUAAAUAAAAAUAAAGUUAUAAAAAUUAUAUUUAAAAAAGAGUUACUGUGUGCCCUGAACACUUUUAUUAAUCUGAAAUUUUAUAAUGCUAUUUUGUUAGAGAAGACAUUCUAUUAAUGGUGGCACAUUUCAAGUACAAGCAUGUGUGUUUUUUACUUUUAAAUUGCUUAUGGCCAAAAUUCAUUUUCAGUUCAAUGAAAUAUAUGUCUGUAAGCUUUGUCAUCUGCCUCUUGACUGGUAGAUGAGGAGUUUUAAGUGGUUUUGCUUCUGGUAGCUCUGUGUGUGUAUGUGUAUGUGUGCGUUUCUUUUCAGAAGGGGAGGGUAAUGUCUUCUGUUGGAACAUGCACUCCACCCUCUUUGAUAAGGCUUGUGGUAAGAUUGCUUCACUACCCAUAACAGUCAUCUUCAUAGCAUUAAGCACAUAGCUCUUAGCACCCAUAAUGAUGUGUGGAGGGUGGAGUGUAUUGCAGCCAUAUUCACCUUUCAUUUGUGUGUUUGAUGUGGCAUUUAUAUUAAGUAGGAGUAAUUUUUUUUCUGAUUUUUUUUUUCUUGUGUCACCAGUGCACCUAUUCCAUUCUUCCAUCGCUGUGCUCCUGUGAACAUUUCCUGCUAUGCCAAGUUUGCAGAGGCCCUGAUCACCUUUGUCAGUGACAAUAGUGUCUUACACAGGCUGAUUAGUGGAGUAAUGACCAGCAAAGAAAUUAUAUUGGGACUUUGCUUGUUAUCACUAGGUAAUUGUUUUUCUCAUUAUUAGCUAUUGCAUAAUACUGCAGUAGAAGACUGUUCUUUUAGCCAAAAUAUGAAUACAACUGGGGAUACUUGUAAAAUGUUUCACUUCCCAUAAUCAAAAUAAUUGUUUCAGAUUAUAUAUAAUUAUAAACAUGUACAUAAAACUAUGUAUACAUGUAUAUAUAUAUCUGAAACUUAUUUCCCUUUUUUUCUUUCUUUGGGGAAAACUUAUUUUUCCAAACUUCGGUGACUCAGUCUAUGACUACCUUUAAUAUGAUAGCAGGAGGCUUCUUUUAAUGAAUCAACAACCCUAUGUUUUUGGUUAUGAUUCUAAAAGGUCUAUUUAUUUAUAAAGAGGCCACCUGUUCUCUUAUAUAUUUACAUCUAAGAAUAUAGAUUUCUUACUUUUGAAGUAUGUGAUUUACUUUUCAUUGCUACAGCUCAUAGUAUCAUUAUUGCUGGAAAAACUAGGAAAUCUCCACUCGUUAGCCACUGAGUUUCUAUCAAUAAAUAGAUAAUAUAAUUAACUAAAAAUUUCAUUUUCAAGGUGAAAGCUCACUAUAUUAGUCUAGAACUAUAUGAGGGCGUAUUGGAGUUUAUAGACCUUAAUAGUUGAGAGAAAUAACUGGUAGGAACCAACUGUUUCAUUAUGUAAGUUAAAUUAGUAUUGAUGCCUGUUAAUAACAAUGGUCACUGAGAAGACAAAUUAUAUUUCCUUCUUCCCUGUCAUUAGAGAGUUUUUCUUUUUGCUUAGGUAGUACUUGACUCAAUUGUAAUAAUGCUUUCCAUAUGAAAAUCUAAUUCUGUGGUAUUUGAAGGGCUCCCAUCUGUAUUUCGUUCCUGUAUAUUUAUUACAAAAGUGAGUACCUUAAUAAUAGUUCUAGACAGAGAUCCUAACCAUUUAUUUGGGUUUACAAAUGGCCCAAAGAAGCUUGACAAUUAGUGUAACUUUAUGUAAAAAAUACCUGGUUUCUAAAACAACUGAAUUCAUAAAACCAAAAGUAAAAUCCGAAUCUUAAAAAUAGUGACAAUAAUAUUGUGAAGCAUCAGAAUUCCAUUUUUUAUUAGAAUGAUUAUCUUUGGAGACUUAAUAACAUCAUAUAAACCCAAAAUACCUUUGCUCAUUUGUUUGUAGAUCAUUAAAGAUAUACAAAUUAUUAUUUCAGAAAUAUAUUUCCUUUUCAAGGGUUAAAUCAUCCCUUUCUUUUUUGAGAAUUCUACCUAUGAUUUUAGCACAUUGGGAGUUUGGGACAGAUAAAGGGGUUGGCUAAGUGACUCAAACUAAACUUUGCUCAUUUUUGAGGACAGACUUUUAAUCAGUUGAGAAAUGAGGUCAGAGGGAUUUUGGUCUCAUUAGUCUUCAGGAUAUUAUCCUGUAGGGUCAUACUCUCCCUUGGAGCUCUGGAGUUAAAGAUAAAAUGCCAGAUAAAGAUAAAAUGCCAUGUAGUAUUAACUGACCAUCAGAGAAGUUGGUCCUAAAAUGCACACAUCACUCAAGGCAGUAUAGCACUAACUUAACUGAUUUCUGUCUACAUGUGAUAAUUUUUCUUGUCACCAACAUGACAUGUCAUUCUCUACACUUUGUCUGCUGGCAUGUAUGUCUGCAUGUCUGAUGUUUUCCUCCUGGUGAGUCCACAACAGUCUUGUGCUGUUUUUGAGUCACCAAUUGCAUUUGCAUGAAUUCUUUUCUGUAGUUUAUAAACCCACACAGUUAGGUGCCUUUGGUUUCAAAUGAUGCUAUUUAAGUGGUACAAGUAGCAAAAUCAAAAUGCAAGAGCAGCCAGUUUCCUUUCUUACCUAAAUUGUGGUCAUGAAGUAGUCAAUAGCUACAGAUUAUUUCCCUGGGGUGGGGGGGAACAACAAUUAAAAAGCCUUCUCUUUAUAUUCUAUGUUGUCAAGUAAUAUUCUGCAUGUUCUCUAUUUAUCUUUCCUGCAGUUCUAUCCAUGAUUUUGAUGGUGAUAAUCAGGUAUAUAUCAAGAGUACUUGUGUGGAUCUUAACAAUUCUGGUCAUACUGGGGUCACUUGGUAAGUUAUUUAUUUUAUUGUUUUCAUGGUACCUCACUAAUUCCAUGAUAGCAAAUGGAAAUAUAAAGAAAAAAAUAGAAAUUUUAUUUCUACAGGCUAUAUCUUCUUAAAGCUUUUUUUUUUUUUUUUUUGCCUUAAGAAUUUCAUAACUAUCAGGGGUUGGGGGGCUGGGGUUGUGGCUCAGUGGUAGACCGCUUGCUUUGCACGUGUGAAGCACUGGGUUUGAUCCUCAGCACCACAUAAAAAUAAAUAAACAAAAUAAAGAUAUCUACAACUAAAAAAAUUUUUUUUAAAGAAUUUCAUAACUAUAUUCCCCUCUUUUUCACUGCUGUUACCAUUUGAAGUCUAGAACUUUCUCCUAUGUAUGUAUGUAUAGGUAGAUAUAAAUGUGUAUACACACACACACACACACACACACACAUCAUUUAGGUAAAACUUUUUAGCUGAACAUGAAACUCGAACUUUUAGUAAAAAUAUCUGCCCUCAUUUACAUUUAUAAUCCUAACUGCUAUCUUUGGUUUUACUGUUGUCAUCUGUUUUAUGUUUUACUGAAAUUUAUGCUUUCUUAUUUUGUUUUUUCCAUCUUUGCUAUAUGACUGUAUUUUCUCUGAUUAACUUCACCCUUGCUUUGGGUGAUAUGUUUUAUAUUUUUAUAUUUUUUCUUCUAUGAUUGGUAACAUGUGCUUUCAGAAAAAUACUAUGUAAUCAAGAAAUCUAUGAUUACUAAAGGCUAAAAUGUCACAUGUUGAGUUUUUCCCUGCCUUUUUAAAAUUUAACAUAAACUUUUCUUCCUUGUAUCCCCUACUCCCUUCUACUUAUGCCUACUUUUUAGCCUUGUCAAGUAAUCUGAGCUUUUGUAUUCAAGUUAUUAUUACAGUUAAAAUAUUAUUUUCACCAUUUUUAUCUUAAAAAAUUGUUUACAUUUGCAUUGAAAAGUUUCAGAAAUAUAUUCAUAUUUAAGUCUUCCUGGACUAGUUUUAGGAACUACUGGUCCUGUUUGCAUACACCUUAAUUCUUGGAUUCUUAACUUUUAAUUCAUCUUUAUAUUGACUGGAAUUCAAGUAAUCUAUUUAUGGAGGACUUGUGGGCUAUGUAUGUUCUCAGUUCUUGUUUCUUUAAGAUUGCCUUUUCCUUCACAUGUGAAUUUUGAGUUUGUUUGGUGUAAAAUUCUUCAGGCACAAUAUUGUAUCUGUACUUUUAUUUCAGAAACGAACUCAGAGACCAGUCUAAUUUUUUUUCCUUUACUCAUUGCAGGCUUCACCUACCUAGAUGUUUAUUUGAUUUUAAUGUAGCCUUAUAAUUUAAAGAUGGUUCUGAUCCUGGAUCUCAAGAUUAUCCAUAAUCUUUUGGGGGAGGAUCUUUUUCCAAUCUGAAAUUUUUUCUUCAUCUCUAUAUUUGAUUACCAUUUUUGUUUCAGUGUCUUUUUUCUUAAAGUAGUUGUUAUUCUUCAACUAUUGUCUUCCAUAUUAUCAUUUCAAUGUUUUUAUCAUAUUCUUUUAUAUUCAGGAGAGUUCUUCAAGUUUGUUUUCACAUUACUGACUUAGUUUUCCACAUUAUCAGUUCUGUCCCUGGCUUCCUACAAUGAGGAUCUGAAUUUUGUUGUCCCAGUUUUGUUGUAUUUGUAGUUCUUCCAUCUCUACCACAUUUGUUUUCAUUUCUGUUUAUAGCUGUAGUAUCUAAUUCUGUGUUUACAUGAACAGGUUUUAUAAUAAAUCUUAAUUUUGAAUCAUAACUCUGCCAUUUCCUACAUACGUAACAUUUGGCACAUUAUUUAACUUUACUAGAUUUCAGUUUCAUCAUUUGUAGACUUAAUAAUAACUACUUAACAGUACUGUGGUUAAAUAAGGUGAUAGCCAUAAAGUGAUUAGCUCACAUUAUAGCACCAAUCUAAGCAUUUGGUGAACAUCCCCAUGGCUGUAGUGAUCAACGUCCCCAUCCUCCUUGACAUAAUCAUCAUUAUCUCAUCUGUUUUCCUUGAACUUCAGCUUUCCCCAUAACUUUUUAUUUCAGUUUAUAGAGAACACAUUUCCUUCCAUUUUUUGAAUAUGUUACAUAGUUUUCCAAACAAUUUUCUUGAAUCUGCAGGAUUUCAGACAGGAAGAAAUUUUUUUCACAGACUCCUAAUUGUUUUGAAUUCUUUAUAUCUUCGACAGAAGAAAAGUUCAUGCUUGGUAUUUGUCAACAGGACAUGGGUUUUCCCUUUGACCUAUUAAUUAUUUAUGUAAAUCCAGAUGCAGGAAGGUCGAUGUGCAUGGAGCUUAGCCCAGUUUUUUUGUAUCUCCUUGGCAUUUAUCUUAUCCAAUGUAAGCUCACAGCUCUGCACUAAAUCUUCCUUCCUAAUUGUGGCCUACAAGGCCUUUCAGGGUGGUACAGUUCUCUGCCACCUCUUUGCCCACACCUCUAGCACUUUCCCCCUUGCUCACUGCAGAUGUCACAGUGGUCUCCUCCUUUCUCUAUACUAGCCAUGGUCCCACCUCAGAGUCCUAGAACUUUGCCUGUCACAUUUUUUCCUUAGAUAAGUUCAUAGAUUGUGCUCUCUCUCUCUCCUCAGGCUUUCAAUUCUCUUACACAGACAUCACCUUCCAGUGAGACCUUGCUUACCAGUGUUAUAUAAAAUUGCAAUGCCCUCCCAACACAAGCACUAUCCUUCUUACCAAAUUUUUUCCCUUAGACUCAAUAUACUGUGUUAUCACUUGUUUCCUUAUGUUUUGUUUCCCUGUUACUAUAUAAGCUCAUGAGCAAUGAGAGUGGAGACUUGGUUUUAUUUACUCCUCCAUCCCCAGAUAGAACAGUAAGUGCUUUAGGCUCUCAAAAUAUCUGCUGAAUGGAUUGAAUGAUGGUAUAUAAUUCAGCUUUCUUAUAUAGAGUUGGGCUUGCCUCCCCCUUCAGUCUGGUUCUCUGAACUAUGAGACAGCAUUGGAGAUGAAAUAAAUACUUAUCCCUGACUCCCACUGCUAUCAGAUAUUUCCUGUUUUUGCCUUUAUCCUUGGUAGGAACUAUUCCUUUGAUCUUCAUUUAUUCAUUGUGCAAACAUUGACACAGAAUCAGUGGUAUGACUAUGUAUCUAUCGGCACUAGGCACGAGGGUUACUAUUUACUUUCAGAGGUACCUGUUAACUGGCUGUCUCUCAGCUUCAAAGUCAAUGAUAAAUAUAUGUGGAGUUAGUUUAUUUGAUACACUGAAAGAUUUGUAAAUGCUUAAUGUGAAAGACAAUCAUGGAAUAAUUGGUAUUUCCCUAAAGCUGGCAAAAAGUGAGAGCCAUAUACUUCCCUGUUUAAUGAUUUGCCAUAGCAUCAGUGCCAUGAUGAUAUGCAGGAAAGGUCCAGAAUAUUGAGGAUUUAUGUCACAGAUUUUCUUUUGCUCAUUAUUGCAAAAACAAUUUUUUUUUUUCUCCAGGUGGCACAGGUGUACUAUGGUGGCUGUAUGCAAAACAAAAAAGGUCUCCCAAAGAAACUGUUAUUCCUGAACAGCUUCAGAUAGCUGAAGACAAUCUUCGGGCACUCCUCAUCUACGCCAUUUCAGCUACAGUGUUCACCGUGAGUACAGGCUCAGGUGUAUCUUUCAGUUCUGUUUUUAAUAGCAGGUGAUCAUCAAUGAAGCAGAAACUCACCUCUAGCCUUUGCAGUCCUAACCCUGAUUGCCAUUAGAUGAAACUUUUGUCCCACAGUAUACAAAAUGCUUUCAAGUCUGCCGGAGGCUUCCUUAAUUAACGAAUGCUCUUUUGAUCAACAUUUUGCUCUAUCCUGUCUGCUUUUUGAGAGAUUUCCACUUGGAAUUUUUACAUUAUCACUUACUAAGAAUAUAUUUAUUAUAGUCAUAAUAUACUUUCUAAAAACCAAUUCUCUUAAUGGUGUAAUAGUAUGUUGAGAAAUAUAUCACUAUUUACUUGUUCAUGAAUUAUUUUCCCAUUUUUUUCCUUUCAAACCUAUCUUUUAAUGAUGUAUAUUAUAUCAAAAAUAUAGGUGAGAUUCACUGCUCAGGUGUUACAUAGUAAAAUUAUAAAUUAUCAUGUGGUUAAAUAAUCUGUCUUGUAUCUUUAGUUCACUGUUAUCUCCUUUCUGAAGAAAGGGGUGGGGGCAAUCUAUCCAUUUCUAGGAGCAAUCCCAAGCAUUUUAUGAGCAUCAAAAAAAAUAAAUAAAUAAAGCCACCAUAGAACUGUUGUACCAAAAGAUAACUUUGUAAUCAUGAGUUAAGUACAGUUCUGUAUGCGAGCUACUAGGGGUAGGGAUAGGAGGGGAGGGAGGCAAAGGGUGAAUCUGCUGGGACUCCACUUUUAUGGAACUCUUGGUCCAGUAACAGACAUGAGAUACAAAUAAAUAUCUCCCAGACUUUUAGGGUGAUGGCAUAUUGUCCUCUCACCCUUUUUCAGAGUGACAAGAAUAUACCUAUUCAAAUGAAGAGUCUCAUCUUGACUGAUAAAUAAACCCAUUUUGAUGGUAAUGAAGGGUAAAGGGAAAGGUAGAGGAACUCUUGGCUUUAAUAAAUUGAGAAACUUCCUAUGGUUAGCUUUAAAGGACACUUUGUAACCAUAAUACAAUUGAGAACCAUUACAACUUCAAAAAGAGAUCCCAAUUUAAAGUGUUCUUGGGAUUCAGAAAAUGAUACUUCCAGGUUUAGGAUUAAUGAUACUCCCAGGGUUAAACUAAACAUUUCUACCACUUUCCAUUUGUUUCCACUGCAAAAUAGUAACUGGACCUUUCCCUCCCUUCUUCCCAUUCAGGUUAUCUUGUUCCUGAUAAUGCUGGUUAUGCGGAAACGUGUUGCUCUCACCAUCGCCUUGUUCCACGUGGCUGGCAAGGUCUUCAUUCACCUGCCCCUACUGGUCUUCCAGCCCUUUUGGACUUUCUUUGCUCUUGUCUUGUUUUGGGCAUACUGGAUCAUGACACUUCUUUUUCUUGGCACCACUGGUAAGAAGAUGUGUUGCUUCUUUCUCUUAGAGAUAAAUCUAAUUUGCAUUCAAAUAUUCUAAAACAUCAGAUUGAGAUGGGGGUGUAGCUCAGUGAUGGAGCAUUUUCCUUGCCUGUGUCCAGCCCUGGGGAUUCAAUCCCCAGCAAAACACACACACACACACACACACACACAAAAUCAGAGAGAGGACUAUUUGUAAGUUUGCUGUUAAAGGUCCAAUAACCAAUAGCAGUGGUAUAGGUCUUCAGUAAUCUACUUCUUAUUUGUGGUUUUUAGAGCAUACUAGCAGUGUGGGUCUAGACCAGGUAAAGUAUAAAAUUGCAGCUUAGUUUUAAGAUGCUCAAGGAUUUGAAGUGAGUUCCAUACUGGCUUAGCUAUCUGGAUCCAUUCUGAAACAAAUUAAUGAGUGUAGCACCUCUCUAGAGUUGCUUAAAAGCCCAGUUAGUGCCAAAGACCAACUUGCUCUUUGAGAUUUCCAACUUUGGAAAUAUCCUGAAUCUAACUAGGGCUCCUGCAGAUGAUACGGUUCAUAGUUAGACUCUCCGACUUACUGGUAGCUUUAUUUAAUAUCAAAGGCUAAACCUACAAAGAAUUAAUUAUGAGGAGCAGUGUGGGGAUAAUAAACUUGUGUGCAACUUCUCUUUUCAUUCACCACAAGGAAUAUAAUCUUAAUUUCUAAACAGUUAAUAAUUUAGAUCUAUAACUACUAUAAAAGUCCUAGCUCUGAUAACAUUUGAAGUGUUUGAAAAUUCAUGCCUAAAUAACAGAUAAUGUAAUAAAUAACAACUAUAUUCAAAUAGAACAACUUUGAAAAGCUUUAUAUGAUACCUUUGAGGAAAUCAAAAUGCUUAAUUAUGUGUUUAAUUUCACAUAAUUAACCCUUUUAAAGGAUCGUUACUUUUGUCUCUUAAUGAAAUAGCAGUAGAAGCAUGAAGUUUGUGGAUUACGGGUAGGGAUCUAUUGUUGGAAAUGAGAUAAACUUAUAUUUAAUAGCCACAUUUUUUGGUUUGUACUUUAUAUGCCGCCUUUUUCCUUCCUUGACAUUUUCCCAGGCAGUGCUGUUCAGAACGAACAAGGCUUUGUGGAGUUCAGAAUUUCUGGGCCUCUGCAGUACAUGUGGUGGUACCAUGUGGUGGGCCUGAUUUGGAUCAGUGAAUUUAUUCUAGCAUGUCAGCAAAUGACUGUGGCAGGAGCUGUGGUGACAUACUAUUUUACUAGGUGAGAAUUUGUGCUUGGAAAACUUGGGUUCACCUAAGUGCUCAUGUCUGCGGUGGGGAGGAAAAGGGAACAGGGCUACUUUCACUUCUUUAAAAAAAGUAACUGGAAAUGAAUAUGACAGUGUUGUAGCUGAUAAUUCUGGGAGGUAGGAAAGUAGAAGGCUAUUAUUUUAUUUUUUACCCUUUUCUAUAAUUGUCUCUUUAUCAGAAUAGCAGGUCAGGAUAUAAUUUAGUUUAAAAAAAAGUGAACUUUGUAAUAAUACCAAAUGUACUUUUGUUUUAUAUAAAUGUCCACCAAAGGACUUGUAAUUUGUUUGAGUCAGAAGUGUUGUGAGUCCCCUUUGCUGACUUCAGAGCUGAGUAUUAAAGCUAUAAUCUUCACAGUUUUUUAUUAAAAUGAGGUACCAGAUCUAUGUUAAACAUCUUUUUAAAUUCCAUUUUCUUAUUAUAUAAUUAACUCCUUCAGAAUUCAUUAAUAAAAGCUUUGAAAGCAUAGUUUUAUUUAACUUAAAGUCAUAGAGCAUAAGAACCACAUGAAACUAGCAUAGGGAAAUGAAACAUUAAUUUUACGUGAUGUAUCCAUAGCAUUUGCAUUAGGAAAAUAUUACUUUGCCAUUUUGUCAUAAAGCUGGAAUAAGAAUAAUGAACUGACUUUUCACUGCAUUGAGCUUCAAACCAUGCUUGUGUUUUCACCCUGGUCUGAGCCUUGUUUUAAUUAUUUUUUUGGUCAUUAAAAUAGGGAUAAAAGGAACUUGCCAUUUACACCUAUUCUGGCAUCAGUGAAUCGCCUUAUCCGUUAUCACCUGGGUACUGUGGCAAAAGGAUCUUUCAUUAUUACACUAGUCAAAAUUCCACGAAUGAUCCUUAUGUACAUUCACAGUCAGCUGAAAGGAAAGGUAAGGGGAAAAUGUUUUUUCUAUGGGGAUGUGCCGCACUUAACCUCUCCAGUUAAAGCACCCAGCAAUGCUAAAAGUUGUGUGUGACUGUUUUCUUCAGAGUCUUCACACAGUGGAAUCUAGUUCUUCCUCCUUGUUUCCCUUCAUGCACUCUGUAUGCUCUGGCAGAAUUCAUCAAAUCACUGGUCAUCAAGCGCAUCCUGUGCUUCUCUUGUGUUGACUCAUUCACUUUCCUCCUUAGAUCUUCUUCCCUAUCCGUUUUUUUGUUUUUUUUUGGUACCAGAUAUUGAAUUCAGGGGCACUCAACCACUGAGCCACAUCCCCAGCCAUAUUUUGUAUUUUAUUUAGAGACAGGGUCUCACUGAGUUGCUUAGCACCUUGCUUUUGCUGAAGCUGGCUUUGAACUUAUGACCUUCCUGCCUCAGCCUCCUAAGCCACUGGGAUGACAAGUGUACAACACCGUGCCUGGCUCCCAGCCCUUUGAUUUGUUUGUUUGUUUGUUAGUUUGUUUUUGAGAUAGUAUCUUGCUAAAUUGUUUAAGAUAUUGACAAGUUACUGAGGCUGGCUUCGAACUUGGAAUUCUCCUGACUCAGCCUUCCAAGCCACCAGGAUUACAGGUCCUGUUUUUCUUUUUAAUUUUUUUAUGAGGUGUAUAGUGUGAUCCUUUGAUACAUUUAUACAUUGUGUAAUAUGCAUGUCCAUGUGUUCAGCAUAUUUGUCACCUCAUAUGUUUAUUGUGUAGUAAGAACUUUCAAAAUCAUCUCUUCUAGCUGUUUUGAAAUAUCCCAUAUGAUAUUGUUAACUAUAGUCUCCCUGCUAUAUAGUAGAACACUAGGAGCUGGUCCUUCUAUCCAACAGUAACUUUACACCUACUGAUCAACUCUACUAGAAGGAAACAGGAGAUGCCCAUGACAUUGGUUUCUGGGCAAGAAUUUGUUAGAUAAGGCCCCAAAAGCAAAAAUUAACAAAUGGGAUUACCACAAACUACAAAAGCUUCUGCACAGCAAAGGAAACACAAUAGAAUGAAGAGACAGUCUACAGAAUAGAAUGAAAUAUUUGCAAACUAUACAUCUGACAAUGGGUUAAUAUCCAGAAUAUAUAAGGAAUUCCCUGUCAUUAACUGAGAAAAUAGCAUGCAAUUCAACAUAGUUUUGCUCAAAUGCUACCUCUCCCUGGAAACCUUUCCUGAUUCUCUCCAUCUCCCAUGCAAUAUUCAUAUUCCACCCCCCCCCUCUUCAUUUUCCACUGUAACACUUAGUAUUUUUACCAUAUUCUGUUUCUAACCUUAUAUGCUUAGUGUUUUCUUCUCCUGGUAGAUUGUAAGUCCCUGGUAGCUUUCCAUACCUCACUGUAUCAUAUAUGCAAUGAGGACUACAAGAAUGUUGAAUUAAUUAAAAACAAUUCAGCCAUUCUGUUUUCAAGAAGAUAAGGGUAGAUGUGGAGGUUUUGAAGUUAAUUUGUAAUUCUUAAAUUUUAUUUACAUUUAUUUUUCUAACAUUUGAAGUCUUCUAUAUGAUGGUUUGGUUGUUUUAUUUUUUUAAUUAUUUCACUUUUUUCCCUCUGUCCAGGAAAAUGCUUGUGCACGAUGUAUACUGAAGUCUUGCAUUUGUUGCCUUUGGUGUCUUGAAAAGUGCCUAAAUUAUUUAAAUCAGGUAAAAUAUUUUAAAUCUUUCACUUUCAAAAGUAGAUUGUUGUUUCUGCUCCCAAGAUUAAAUGAUUGAGCUUAACUGAAAGAUGUUGUUUUUUUGUGGUAUUAUAUUGUACAUGUUACUUGAUCAAAUAUAGACAUACUUGAAUCCUGUUCUUCUUUUUUACAUUACUAUGUGUUCUUACCAGGUUCAUUAUUAUAUUAAUCUUAAUUUCAUUUAUGAAUAAAAUGUCAUUAAGGUUUUUUUCUGAGACAUUUAUCUCUUAACAAUUCACAUGCUUUUUAAAUAUUAUCUAAGAAUCUUUACUCUGUCAUUCUUGAAUUAUUUUAAAUGUUGUUUGAAAGCUUUAGUUUAGUGUAAAGCUAUUGAGGCAUUUGUUUCUUUUUUGCAAUUAUCUACUAUCAUUCAAAACCAGUGUGUUGUCUGUUGCUCCUUUUUUUUUUUUUUUUGGUUCCAACUGCUAAGCACUGUGAUGUUUACCAGAGAAAUAUUAUCAAAGAAGUGCUGUUUCUAAGGUUGAGUGGAAUUGAUACAUAUGGGACACUUAUAGUUCUUGGGAGAGUAGGUUGACUCUCUGUCAUUCUAUAUUUGAGCAUGUAGGAUUAGCUGUGGAAUACUCCCCUUUCCCUCCCUCCCUGUCUCUCUCUCUCUGUCUCUUUCCCAUUCCCUAAAAAUCAAUUCUAAUGUAUUGAUGCCCUCAUCUAAUAAGCCAAAGACAAAAUUGACUUUCUCACCAUUUACCUCUAAUGAUUGAUUUUCCCACCACUUAGCUCUAGCAUUGCACUUUCUAUUCACUCCAGGAUAGCUGAAAGGAUGCCAAUCCUGGAGCCCUGGUAUUGAGCAUGCCUGGACUUUGCUUUAUUGGGCUGUAUGGUUAAUACAAGAACAUAGGUAUGACAUUUUAUUAGCAAAAUACAUAUUUUCUAUGGAUAAACAAGAGUUUGGAAUCUCAUUUUAAAAUAAUAGUAACACCCAUAACAACCUGAAAAAUUAUUCUUUGAAGUUUGGUUUGAGGCCAAGUUAUCCUUAUCAAAAAGUUGAUAGAUUCACUAAAAAUCAUCAUCACUACAUUUUAUAUCUGUCUUACCCUCAGAGAGGCCAAUUCCUGCCUCCUUGGCUCAGUUCCUACUACCUUUCCCAGGCACCCUUUGCUUUCGCAGUUUCCCAGAUGUGCCUGGAAUGAAUUCCUUCCAACAGCUGAUCAGCUCCUACUGAGCUUUAAUGACUAUGCCUGAGCAACACCUCCAAGAAGCUUUCCCUCAUCACCCAGCCCCUCCACAGCUUCCAAGACACCAGUUCAACCCCAUGAAAAUACUGGGAAAUUAGAAUUAUCUGUUCCUUCUUUAUUGUCACUUUAGACUUUCAUCUCCUUAAAGGCAGGAAUCUUAUUUUUUUAUCUUCCCAGAAGCUAACACAGUUCCUGGUACACAGUUCCUGGUCUUUGUUUUCUGAAUGAAUUAUGAGUUUUACUAGUGAAUAUUUGGUUUCAAAAAGACUAACAGGGUGACACAAAACUACAAAUAAGAAUCUCAAAAGGAGAUAUGCAGUUAUACUGAAGGAAGGAAACGUAACAUCAAGCUAAUCAGUAACCAGAUAGAUAAAAGAAUUUAGAGUUUCCAGCAUAUCUCUAAGCUAAAGGUUAGUCGCUGACUUAGUACUGAAGUCUUAUGAGGCUGGUCUUUCUUGUACCAGUUUUGUCCAUUUUGGAUCUUCAUUUUGUAGGUAUGAUGUUUGAGGUUUGAAAGGAAGCAUUGAAAUAGUAAUCAAACAAUGAUUUAGGGAGAAUUCCGAACUCUUAGUAGUUCUUUUGGGGAACAUGAAAUACUACAGUGUGGGGACUGCUCAUAAGAAAGGUUUCAUUCAAAAUGUGGUCAAUAUAUUAGAAAACUUCCUGCCACAACAGGUUGAGAGCAUAGAAAUGAGUUGCCCAUAGAAUGUUUUAAACCACCUUUCUAUGAAAUGUUUCCCAGCUAGGUGAGCAUCCACCAGCUAACUUUAUUAAGUGUUUGCCGUGUGCCGGGUUCUGUGCCUUAUGCUCCACAUGCAGCAUCUCCCGUUUAGAAUUCUGUUUUGUUUUUGGAAGAUGAGUAAUGAUGAGUUAAUGUCCCUUCAUGUUUCCUCCUGUCCUCUCUUUUGCUGUGUCUUCUGAGGCUUUCAGAAGGCUUGAGCGGGUGAAAAUCCAGACACAUGCAAGGCCUAGUUGAGGUAAUAUCAUGGACGAAACAGGCAGAGAUCUAAGAUAAUGGAGUUGGCUAGAGACCGUGGUUAAUUGGAGAGCUCAUGUUCCCUCUGAGGUAGACAAUCAAUGCACCAGUCUCACAGACUGCGGCAAUGUGAGAAUUUAUAGACAAUUUAUUUCUUUUCUAAUAUUUUUAGAAUUCCAAAAGUCUAUGUUUUGCCUCCUGCUAUUAAAAUGUUGAUAAAAAACAAACUGAGGGCACCAGAGUAAAUAGAUGUUAGGGCUACACAAUAUGUGUUAUCCAGGGGCCACCAGUUCGCUGCCACUGCUUUAGAGAGUUUACAGGAUAGUCGUAGAGAAGAGUGUUGAUAGGCCUUUUGUUGUUUAUAAUAAAGGUGCUAGAUUUUGCAAACACAGAGUGAACUGUGAACUGCUCUUUGUUCUGCAGGUGCAUAAUAUGACACAAAAGUGAUGAUAUAUCUAGUCUAACAGAAUUCACUUUAGGUAGAGAGAUUGUUACAACCAUAAUGUGUUUUUUUCUGGGCAUUGGAUCACGCAGGCCUUGUUUUAUUUUGCCAUUUGUAGAUAGUACCUUCAACAUUGGAGGGUAUCUAUUCUCUCACUUAUGAGCUCUUAAUUUUAUAAAGCUUUUCUCUACAUAGUGUAGAGCAGGAGUUACAGAGAAUGUGUUUUUAGUAGACUGCAUACCUGGUGCUACACUAAAUACUUUAUAAUACAUUAUCAAUUUCCACAACUCUGUGAGGCAGGCAUUAUUUCCUUUAUCAUACAUGGGAAAAUUAAAACAGGCAUCUUGUAACAGAUCACAUGACCUAGAGGUAGAGGAAGUUUCAAAUCCAAGUUUGCAGUUCUUUCCUUUAUGUCACACUGCCUUCCACCUUUAUGCACCUUUAUGUAUACACACACACACACACACACACACAAGUUCAGCAUAGAGAAUAUCCAAACUUUCAUCAAUUUUCAUAUCAAAUUUUCAUGUUUCAAACUGAGACAAGUAAUGAAUUUAAAGAACAUUUAAUUAAGGUUUGUAUUUUAGUUAGCUUUUUCAUCACUGUGACCAAAAGACCUGAUAAGAACCAUUUAGGAAAAGAAAAGUUAAUUUUGGCUCACAAUUUCAGAGGUUCAGUUCAUCAUCAGCUGACUCCAUAGCUCUGGGCACAAGGUGAGGUAGAACAUCAUGGCGGAAGGGUGUAGUAGAAGAGCGCUGGUCAGUUUAUGACAGCUGGGAAGCAGAGAGAGCUCCACUCACCAGAGACAAAAUAUAAACCCCAAAGGCGUGCCACUCCCCCAACCUACUUCCUUUAGCCACACCCUAUCAACUACAGUUACCACCAGUUAAUCCUUAUCAGUGCAUUAAUCCACUGAUCAGGUUACACCUGUAAUCAUCUAAUCAUUUCACCUUUGAAAAUUCUUGCAUUUUCUCACACAUGAGCUUUUGGGAGAAUACCUCAUAUCUAUAAGUGAUAACAUACUUUUGGCAACAUACUUUUAAUUCUCAUGAUCUUUAAAAAGGUCUAAGAACUUUUUUAAAGUCUAAGAAUUUGAACAAAACUUUUAUUAAACCCUUUGGUGUGGGCUUGCUGUCAUACCCUAUUUCAGUCCAUUUGGGCUCCAGUAACAAAAUAUCGUGAACUAAAUAUUUUGUCUACAACAGAAACAUGUUCCUCACAGGUUGAGAAACUGAGAAGUCUAAGAUCAGGGCAGUGGCUGAUUUGGUGCCCUAUGAGACCAAUUUCCUGGUUCAUAUAUUCCACCUUCUGGCUGUGUCCACACAUCGUGGAAGAAACAAGACAGCUCUCUAAGGCCUCUUUUCUGAGGGUGUUAAUCCCAUUGGUUCACCUUUACCUUCCAGUGCCAUCACUUUGAUGAUUAGGUUUCAACUUAUGAAGAGUUUAGGGGAGAGCUCAGGUGUUCAGACCAUAACAUGGCCCUCCAUCCCUGGUUCCAAAUAAGAAAGGAAUGUUUGUAGUUCACUUUCCUCAAUUUAUAAGAAUCCACAUAGGAGUUGCCCAUAUUGUAUUCUCCUUUUCUUACCACUGCUGUCCAACUUUCCCCUCUAAAGGGAGUCAUUAUGUAAGUAUUUUAAACUUUAAGAGAGUUUCUGUGUCCUUCAGUGAUGAAAGAAAAGGUGUGGAAAUUGUGCUCUGGGACAGGUGUCCAAUAGUCUUGAUUAUCUGCAUGGAGACCCUUUGCCUCAACAAUUUUUUCCACAAAACCAUAACUUUUCCUCUAAACUUUGUCAUGCAAAAAUACUACCAGGGGUCACUGGGGAUCAUGCAUUCUUUUUAAAAAGAUUCCUGGAUGAUGGUCAUCCUUUAUCUCACUUCUGGGAUUUGGGUGAUCUCAAGCCUGAGUGCUGCCUGAGAAGAUCUUUGGUGUGGGCUAAAUGUUGAGCUGAUGCUUCUCAGGAGCAGUUUAGCUCAGGUUAAGGAAGGCUGCUGAGAAAAUAGGUGGACUAUCAAAAAAUAGUCUGCAGAAAGCUCAGAGAACAGUUAUCAGGGAAAACCACUCAGAACUUCUUGAGAACCUUAGCCUGAACCCUUUUAGACUAGGAGGUAUAGAAACAGAGAAAUUUCUUUGUCCUGCUUGUGAUCUGUAGCACAUUUUUCUUCCUGAAGAGAUCAUCUUGACUUUUGUGUAUUUCACACAGCUCAUCUUCCUGCCCUGGGAGUAAGUGAAAGAACUAGCAAAAUAAUUACUGACUUUUUUUUCAGUUAGGUGGUGCACAGAAUGGCAGAAUUAAUGCCAAUAUGGUUAAAUUCCUGUAAGAGUAUCCUACCCUGGAACUUGCGGGUAGAGAAAAGGCAUUAUGGAAGCUUCCUUCCUGUCUACAAAUAAAUAGGCUUCUGCUCCAAAAACAGAUAGGAUUCAGCAGGAUGCGGGGGAAAGAAAGAAGCAAAGGGAAGAAUAAUAAUUCUCAGAUGAACUCAGAACCUUUUAUAGUUUAGUUAGAAAGGGUUAGGCCCCCUGCUGAAGUCAGCUGGCCAGAGAUAAGAGGAGAGAGAAUGGGGGUGCCUGUAUCUUCUUUUGCUUCUGUCUCCAGUUUCCAGGAGGCUCUUGGUGAACCUGGAAAGGGUAAACAGCACAAUGAGAAUGGGUUGUUCCUCAUUUGGAGUUUGGUUUAAAUAGGUCAUCCCAUUUCCUUGAGUCUGGACAUAAUGAUACUUUUAAUAUUAGGAAGUAUCUCAGAAUCGAUAUAAAUAGUAAAUAUGAUAGGGUAUUUUCUGCCUGAAAACCUGUUAUUAAUAACUGGUUCAUUAGUCCUAUGGAAAAUAAGGAGUUGACAUCCCUGAUCAUUAAAGAGCUCUGUCAGUUAAAUUGUUAAACUAAAGAAUUACUGUGGAAGAUGCUAAAAGACUGGAUGUUGUGGAGGAAGUUAUUUAAACCUGAAAUGAGCACAUGUGGUUUGUAUUUUUAAAAGGAUAAGAAGGUGGUCCCACUGUAAAUGAGAUUGAUAUUGAUCUUUGGUAGAACAGAGGUCAGCAGAUUUUUCUCUGUGAAGGACCAGAAAGUAAAUACUGUGGCUUUAUGGGCCACAUGGCCUCUCACAUCUGCUCAGUUUUGCCUUUGUAGCCUGAAAGCAAGCAUCAAGAGCAUGUAAACAAAUGAGCGGGCCUGUGAUCUAGGAAAACUGUAUUUACAAAAGCAGUCAGCAGGCCAGAUAUGGCCCGCAGGUGGUGGUUUGACCAUCCCUGCUCCAGAAUAAAUUGGUAAAUGGGUAUUUUUGUGAGUACUUAGGAAACUAGUGAGAGCUGGGAACUGUUCUGUGUUCUUUGAGAAUAGGUCUGGCUAGGGCAGUUCUUCUUCAGCGUUUUUUUUUCAGCAGGGUUACUGUUACACAAGAUCAAAAGUAUAGUUUAUUUUUACAUCACUGAGGCAUUUUGCAGAAUGUUUCAAAAGAAGUUUUUGUACCAGUUGGAAAAAAUGUGGAGCACUGAAGUUUUAUGUAGUUAACUGUUUGUUCCCUCCUAUCUAUAAAAGAAGCACUGGCAGAUGACAAUACAAAGGAGUAAGCAGUGAAUGAAUGCUAACAGAAAAGCUUGAUAGUAUGAUUUCUUAAAAAUAGUUUAUAUGUUAGCUUUUCAAAUAAAAAGACCUAGAAAUGUAAUAUAGUAACAUUCUGAUAGUAAAUUACCCUAAUUUAUACAAUUACACUGUGAUUCUCAAAGAAGGCUAUAAUUUUCUACUGUUCAAUUUCUGAAAAAAAAAAAGUUUAAGGACCACAGUUAGUGACCUGUUCAGUACGGUUCUCUUCACUUGGCUCUGAAAUGUAUUUCAUUUUUCAUCAGCGAAUUUUAUCAUCUAAUGGCAAAUUAAAUUUUUAACAACCAAAACAUCUUCAUACAGGUUCAUAAUAACUAACAAGCAUACAAUUAGAAUACUCAUAAGUUAAAGACUUUGUCUUCCAAGAUUCAGUAUUAAAAGUUUAAUAGGCAGCACAGUAUGAAAUAAACCCUCAAGUCUAGCAGUUUCCCAUCAAUUACAAUAGUUUGCCCAUACUAAUCAUUUAAGUCAGCACUAACCCAAAAAUUCCUCAGGACCAAAAGUUUUAAUCACUAAGUCCAUAUACUCUCUCUUCUGAAGACUCAGAUGGAUUUGAGGUAGUGGUACUUCUUUACAUUUUCCAGAAAUUAGCAAUGCAAUUCUACUUUCAGAAAAUAAAAUGUCUUGCAAUAAAAAUAAGAGUCUGUAACCAGUGGUUCAAAUAGACAAGGGCUACAGAAGCAAGUGUAAUUAAUGAAAGUUUGUCAAUUGGGACUUGGUAUUCUACAAGACAGAAUGCCCAUCUCAAUCUAGCCUAAGCAAGGGAAUGAUAUUAUUAUUAUUAUUAUUGUUAUUAUUAUUACUAUUAUUGUUGUUUUUCAGCAGCAGCAAUAUAUUAGCUUCUAUACUCAAAAAGUCCAGAAAGCUGGCUAGUUUCCCAGCUUUCUGGGGGAUGCAAAUACUGUCACCAGAUUCAAGUACCCAGAUUCUCUGCUCUUGACUUCAGCCUCAGUUUCACACUGUGACCUCCAAUAGCUUUUCCUGUUAGUUGGCAAAACAACUAUGCCCAUUAUACUUCACCCCUUUCAGGCAACCCAUGCCUGUGGAGGUGAAAGGAACCCUCUUUUUCCCAGAAGUCUCAGGGACCAUCUUUUUUACCUCAUUGACUCUGACUACUUAUGUAAUGACAGUCUGACAUUUGGCCAGGUGGGCAGAGCACACUGAUUGGCUCAUAUCAGUGACCACCCAUGCUCUGAGCUGGAGAGGGAGUCAACCCCACUUAGACUCAUCAGGAAGGGCUAUUUUCUCAAAUGAGGUCUGGGGUCCUGUUCCCAGGAUGGAGAGGAGUAUAAAGUGUCAGGCAUGAAAUAGCUGUCUACUGUAGGGCCAUGAGAAGCAAGAGUAUAGAGGAAAGCCACCAAGGAGAAGACGAUGGGUAUUCUGGAUAAAACCACACACUGAUCUGAUGCUCGUACUUACCGCUGCCAUUUAUAAAGCAUCACUGAAAUGGUUUAAGUGUGUCACUGAUAUUCAUAAUCAUGAACCUGAGACAUCUAGGAAAGAUUAAAUUAUGUUUGAUUUACUAAGAUGGGGAAGAGGUUAAUGGAUGUUAGAAAGGUUUGUGUAUGUUUUAAUAAAUAACUUUUUAAAGGGCCGAAACUAAGCUAACUGGAAAGCUCUUUUUAUCACAUCAGGUGUUUUUCCCCAGUGUUUCAUAUUUCUUUGUGCUCAGUCUCAAUUUGUACCUCAUGGAUUUGACUCCAAAGUACUCUUAAAAGCUGUGUUUUAACUAUGCAAGGUUUAUGUCUUUAAAAAGUCAGUUUAUUAUUGAAAUACUGUGUUUUCUUUUGUCCAGAAUGCUUAUACAGCCACAGCUAUCAACAGCACCAACUUCUGCACCUCAGCAAAGGACGCCUUUGUCAUUCUGGUGGAGAACGCUUUGCGAGUGGCUGCCAUCAACACAGUGGGAGACUUCAUGCUAUUCCUAGGCAAGGUAAGACCAAGUGUAUUGUCUGAGUAAACUUUUUACAAAAAUGUGCCUUUUAGUUUAAAAAUUCCCUACCUCCCCCACAAAAAAACUAACCCAACUAAAAGUACUUAAACCAAAGCAUGCACUUACAAAGUCUUUAAUAUGCAUCAGAUACUUUUCUAUGUCCUUUACAUGUAUUAUGUUUAUUUAAUCCUCACAACAAAUUUAUGUUCUAAGUACUGUUAUUCUUGUUGGGGGGACAGAGACACAGUGAGGCUAAGUAUCUUGCCUUACAUAUUUUGUGUGUCACCUUACAUAUUUUAAACAAUAUAGAAUUCAGAAACAGUGGAUUAAGGGUAGCACUCCAUCUGGAGCCCAACUUCCAGGCUUUCAGUCUUCACUCUGUCACUUACUAGCUGUUUGACUUGAGGCAAUGACAUAACCUCUCUGUGCCUCAGUUUGCCCAUUUGUAAAAUUAGGAUGAUAAUAGAGCCCAACUCCUAGAGUUGUGAAGAUUAGACUGGUUCAUACACAUAGAGUGUCUAGGACACUGCUUGACACAUUGUACAUUUUUAGUGAAUUUUAGCAGUUUUCCAUGACUGUUAGCUAUUGCUGUUGUUACUGUAUAUAAACCCUUUUAAAAUUGAACUGUUAGGGAAUAAGGCUUCUACUUUCCUUAUAAGUGUCUAAGAAGAGAAAAUUUAUUCCAUACUAUUAAAAUCUGCAAAAUAAUAAAUAGCAUUCAUUAUAAUUCAAUUUCAUUGUAGCUAUUAUUUCCAACCAUAAAAUAGAAAAUUUUUGAAAAAAAAUGAGGAAAGAAUAAGACUUGCAACAUCUCCACCAUAAUCUGCUGACUCUUACCUUACCAUUUCUGUAUAUCACCUCCAGUGUUACUUCAUGGGCUUUCGUCCUACAGUACAAAAAUCAUAACAUACAUAUCUGUCUGUCCUACCCUUUUUACUACACAGUGUAUCAUAUACAUUUUCUAGCUUGCGUUGAUAAUCUUCCUAGUUCCUCAUUAUCAUUAUGGUCCAUAUUCCAUCAAAUGCUCUUUUUAAACCAUCUCUUACUAAUGAACACUGAGGUCACUCCAGCUACUGCAUUUUUAAAAUUUUUUUUGAAAUAAAAAAAAAUCUUUGGUAUGGAAAACCAAAGCACUGUGUAGUGUGAAGUGAGUAGGAUUGCAGGCAACUUUCCUCUGAAAAGAAGAAGAAAUGACAGAUAAUUAUUUUUGAAAAUUUGUGAUUAAAUUUAUAUUAUAGCCAAUUUGUUCUUAUUGUGUUUUUACGUGGAAGAAAAUUUUUACAGUAAAGAUAGAAUGAAUUAAUCUGAGUUAAGAAUUGGGAACAUCUGACACUGUUACUGUUAUUGUUUAUGUGCUUUCUGUUUAAUUCAGAAAGGCUUCAGAUUCUUUAUUUUUAAACAUAUUUAUAAUCUGUCUCUAGAGCUAAGAAGGAGAUGAAGCAAAAUAGAAUAAAAAACAUGUAUGUACGUGGCAUUUUUUUUUUUUUAAGAGAAAAACCAUUAAGAAGGAAAGGGAGAAUAUUCUAGUAAGUGGCAAUACCAGUGAUGGUGGUGAUUUUCAUAAGCUCUGAUUGAGGCGCUUCCAGCCACUAGGCACUGAGCGAGGAGCUUUAAUGAACGCAGCACUGGCCCUCCCUGUGAGACGGGCUUCAUUUUAUAGCAGAGGAAACCAAAGUUCAGAGACAGAAUUAAAUUGGCCAGAUUUAGAGAACUGGGACAUGGCAGAACCAGAGUCCACUCAGGUUUGUCUGACUUCCGAGAUUAAUCACUGUGUGCUAUAAUUGCCUCAGCAGACAUUAAAUUUGCCCUCAAACCUUCCCCCCAACACUUUUCUUUUUCUUUCUUCUUUUUAGUCAAUAAUUUUGAUAGUGGUAAACUACCCCAGAAAGUAAUUCUAAAUAUUUAAAAAAGGGUAAAAAAAGGUGUUAUAUAUAAUAGUAUAAGAGUGACCAAUUGUAAAUAAUCUGAAGCCUAAUAGUAGGGAAUUGGUUAGGUAUAAUAGUCUGAUGGCUGUUAUUCACCUAUUAAGCCAUGUUUCAUUAUGAGUUUGUAGUAUGAAGAAGAAGUGCCUAUAAUAUAGUAAGUGAAAAAAACUGAGUAAAAUUAUAGUAAGACUAUCACAGUACUGUUUAAAAAUGUGUACAAGGGGCUAGAGUUGUGGCUCACUGGUAGAGCACUCACAUAGCAUGUAUGAGGCAUUGGGUUUGAUUCUCAGCACUGCAUAUAAAUAAAUAAAAAUAAAGGUCCACCAACAACUUAAAAAAAUAAAACCUAAAAGUCUUUAAAAAAGAAAAUGUGUAUAAGGACUGGAGAUAUAGUUCAUACCUAGCAUGCAUGAGGCCCUGGAUUUGAUCCCUAGCAAAACCCUCCCCCCCCAAAAAAAUAGUUAAUUAAUUAAAAUUAAAAUAUGCAUAAGAAAAAUAAUGAAAAUUAAUAUCACAAAUGUUAACAACAACUACCUUUGGAAAUAAGGAUAACUCAAGCCCCUUCCCUUAUUUUACCACAUUGAGUGUGCAUUCUUUUUAUAAUGAAAAAAUAUAGAAGAUAAAAUAUAAUGUUUUAAAGUUGCCUUUGAGUUUUUCAAUAGUCUAUUACUUGUUGGUCAGAAUUUUUCCUAUAGAUUUUUAAUAUCCUUUUAUUCAUUCAACAAUAUUAAGUGUUUACUAGUAAAUGCUAUGGGCUAUUCUGGGUGCCAAUUAUAUAUUAGUCAAUAAAUUUGAUUUAAAACUUGUGGAAAAGGAAAUUAUAUUCUUGCUUUCACUUGGUAUUGUAUUUGAACAUUUUCUGUUAUACUGAAAUUUUUCUAACCAUAGUUGUACAUCUAUUGUUUCAUUUAUUUAAUCUAUCCUCUGGUUUGUUUUGCAGCUAAAAUGUUCCUAAUAUUUUACUAAUAUACACUGCAGUGAAACAUCCUUGCCCACAUCAAUUCUGGCUUCUUUGAAUCAUAAAAUCCUACAGUUGGAAUUAAUUGGAGUUCUUGGCAUGCAUUGCUAAAUUGCUUUCCAGAAAGAUAUAAACAUGAUAUUAAUAACAUCAUUGAAAAGGACUUUAAAAACCAUUAAAGAUUAAUUUUUAUUUAAAAAAAAUCCAAAAAGAAGAAAACUAAAAGGAAAAAAAUACCUUCUGGUUUCUAACAUACUAAGAUAAGAUUAUUUAGUUUUCCCUUUUUUAGGAAUAUACUUCUGAUUAUAGAAUCCAGUAAAUCUUAUGAAAAGAGUUUCUUUUAUUACAGUUGAAUGGCUGCUAGUGUGCAGAAGUAUUUUCUGAGCAGGAAGCCAUAGUGAACAUUAUAAAAGAUAAAUGCCAGGAGCCUCACUAUUGAUACUUACAGCAACUUGAAUGAAUCUUGAGAGAAUUAGGCUAAGUGAAAAAAAAAUCCAAUUCCCAAAGAUUAAUACUGUAUGAUUCCAUUUGUGUAACAUAUUGAAAUGACAACAUUGUGAGAAUGGAUCUGUGUUCGUCCACAAUAGGGAUAGCUGUAAAAGGGCAGAGAGCAGGAUCCCUGUGAUGCUGUGGGUAUUCAAUCUGUAUCUUGACUGUGUCAGCCUCAGUAUUGGUGGUGAUAUUGAAGGGAACUGGGUGAGUCAUACAUGGAAUCACUCUGUUACUUCUUACAGUGGCAGUUGGAUUCACCAUUACCUUAAAACUUAAAAUCCAAUUUUAAAAACUUUAAAAUCCAAAACAGAACAAAAAAGUAAUGUCAUAGGUUCCAUUUCUAUGGAGCACCAAUGAUUUUUAUGGAAGAGUGAAUUAGAUUUAGAAGAAACCAUAGGUCCUCUAGGUUUGCAUAAGAAAAGAAAUUUAUAAGCUCUUAAAUAUUUCUAAAUCCAAAAAUAUAUUGAUAUUUGCCCCCAGUAAAGCUAUCCCUCCAAAAAGACAAAAUGUCAUUUUCUUCUGUGUAAAAGUAUUUUACCUCUAUCUGGUAAAAUCUUUCCUCACAUUAAUUAUACCUUCUAAUUGACAAGUUACUUGACUUGGAUUAAUAAAAAUGAGAAUGUGGCCGGACACGGUGGCACACAUCUGUAAUCACAGCGGCUUAGGAGGCUAAGGCAGAAGGAUUGAGAGUUCAAAGCCAGCCUCAGCAACUUAGUGAGGCACUUACCAACUCAGCAAGAUCCUGUAUCUAAAUAAUUUUUUUUUUAAAGAGAGAGUGAGAGAGAGAGAAUUUUAAUAUUUAUUUUUUAGUAUUUGACGGACACAACAUCUUUGUUUGUAUGUGGUAAUGAGGAUCGAACCCAGGCCGCACGCAUGCCAGGCGAGCGCGCUACCGCUUGAGCCACAUCCCCAGCCCUAAAUAAAAUAUUUUAAAAAGGGGCUGGGGAAGUGGCUCAGUGGUUAAACACCCCUGGGUUCAAUCCCCGAUACCAAAAAAAAAGAGAGAAUAUGAAUUAUUACUUAUAGGUGCUAGUUUAUUGUAAACAAAAUGUUUCAAAAUACAGGUUCCAAGAUGAAAGAAUAUCAUAAAUAUAGGACUUAUGGUGGCAAAAAAAGAAAGGGAUGGAGGGACAAAUAUUGCCAGGCAUUGAGUUAAAUGCUGUUGUAAUCAUGGGAUAUGUAUAUUGUUGUCUCUUUUGAAGAUGGAAAAAUAGGAUCAGAAAGGUUAAAUGAACUUGCUUAAAGUCACAAAGUUAAAGUAAUAACUCAAAUAAUUCAAACCUACAUCUGUAAAACUCUAAAACUAGCAUCCUCUCUCCUUCCUGAUUCUUACACCCUACCCUGUAUUUGAAUCUCUUCUGCUGUAUCCCCAAUAACUUGUCCUCUAUAACAGGAGUACCUCAACUUUUAAAAUCACAUGCCCUAUUAGAUAACGAAUUUGAGCACAAUUCCCCAACACAUUUACCUUUAUUUAUUGGUGACAUGUACACAGCUCCUACUAAUUGGUGCAUUAUAAAGCAUACUAAAAAAGGAAAUUUUAAAUGUAUGAGAAAUAGAAAUAGAAGUUCCAGAUGAUUCUGUUGAAUACAUGUUAGAGCACAUGUACCCCAUCGUGGAGAUCACAGAUCUAGACCAGCAUUUCUUGAGAUAUAUGCUGUGUACCUUAUCAGUGCCUGAGAUAUUUUUCAAAUGCAUUUUGCUGGGCUUUAUUUCACAUUCAAUGAAUCAGACUCUUGGGUUCAGAGUCCAGAAAUCUGCAUUCCUAGCUUCUCUAUAGUUUGAGAACCAUUAUUAUAUCCUGCUUCAAUAAAUGCAUGACAUACAUUUCUUUGACUUUUUUACCUAACCAUCACUGGUUCUUGAAGUUGUUUCUCACAUGACAUAAUAUCCAGGCUUCAAUCUCAAUUUUUGUCUCAUCUACUUUGUUUGAGCCACACCUUCUUCCUAUAGUUGACUUUAGCAUUUCCAAUGUGGUUUGACUUUUAGGAGCAUCAUAAGGGCAUAAAGAACCCCAGCCCUCUAAUAGGGUAGAUAUAUAAAACUUAAAGACAGUAUAAGAAAUAACUUAUUCUAAAAUUGAAACCACAAGAGGGAACGCAAAUGAAUGUAAUUAACCAUCUGUGAAAACCACCCCAGAAAAUAAGCCACUGUAAGAGGUGAUUCAUAGGUAUAUUGCCGUCCCUCCCUGGUGGUCUAGUGGCUAGGAUUCAUAAGUAUAUUGCCAUAAAAAUGGUGGGAGGGGUCUUCCAAAACUUGGGCAAACCCAGAUUUGCCCCAUAAAAGUAUCUGAGAGGGAUUGAUUUAUAGUUGAACCAAUGUAUUUUCUAAUGCAUUAUAACUCAUGGUUGAGAUAACAGUGAAUGAGAGGUGCUUUUAUGUUGAUAAACAGAGGGAAUAUGUAGGAGUUUGCCUGUCCUAAGCACUAGGUAAGGAAAAGUGGCUGUGAGUCUAGAGUACUCCUUCAUUUCCUUUAUUUAGUGUGUGAUGCUAGGGUAAUUAAAGGGCUAAGGAAGUGUGUAUCUAGGAUUCAGUACAAUCCAUUACUAGUAUCCAAGUAUUUGCUAAGUUUUUAUCUAGAAAGAGCAGUGGUUGGCAUUUUAAGUCCUUUAUUGAAUGGAAUCUGUUCUUUUCCCUGCUCUGUGACCUUGCACACAUUGGCUAGAAUCUCUGAGCAUGUUUCACAAUCUACCAAGUGGGAUUGCUGUUUACCAUAAACUAUUAUUAAGUUAUUGGAAAGCUUAACUAAAAUGUAUUUAAAUAACCAUAAAACACUGAAAAUGUGAUGUAUAAAAUGAUGAAAUAUCAUAAUAGAGUUUUCUGACAAUAAACACAUUAGUUAUUUCUCUUAUUUUUCUAGCAUGGGUGUUUUUGGCAACCUUUUCUUCACAAUUCAAAUCUAAACUUCAUAGAAAGUUUUAAAAAUUUGCCACAUAUCUACAUAAAGUAAAAUACAAAACAGAGGAAAUUUUCUAAGAAUAGAGAUGUUUGUUACAGCAUCAUUUAUAUCUUAAAACAAUGUAAAUCUCAAACAAGAAGGAGAAUGAGUAAAUAAAUUUUAAAUCACCCAUAAGGUGAAAUUAUGUAGUGGAGUAUUUAUGAAGCACUUAUAAUGAUGCUAUAAAUAUUAAUGAAGAGCAUUUUGAUUUGUUUUUAUAAUAGGAUUUCAUAUAUGUAAGAAUACCAAGGAAAAAUACAUACCAAUACCAAUGUCAGUAGUUUUUUGCUGAGCGCUAAGAGUAUGUAUAAUUUUUUUAAAUAUGCAUAUAUUUAUCUUAAAAAUUGCCACAGAUUCUAAAGAAGGACCAGCAUAAUAUUUGGAAAAUUGUGUUUUCUUUACCGUAAACCAAAAUCAUUUAAAGUAUGAUUUUUAAAUUUGUAUUCUAUGAUGUAUAUAUAAAUAAAUGUACAACUGUGUAUAUGGGUAUUAUGAAUUAUUUUUUAAAACUUUUUUUUUAAAAGUUUUGUUUUUUAGUUGGACACAAUACCUUUUUUUAUUUUUGUGUGGUGCUAAGGAUCGAACCCAGCACCCUGCACAUAUUAGACGAGUGCUCUACCAUUGAGCCACAACCCCAGCCCCAAAUUACACUUUUUUACCUGAAGUUUGCUCCCAGUGCGCUCUAUCAAUGAGUUACAUUGCCAGCUCUUUUUAUUUUUUGAGAUGGGUUCUCACUAAAUUGCUGAAGCUGACUUCAAACUUGGGAUCCUCCUGCCUCAGCCUCCCAAGUGGCUGGGAUUACAGGCGUGCACCACCAUAUCCAGCUGUACUUCUUAAUCUGAGAUGGCAUGACCCUUUGCAACCAUCCUUUAUAACAGUAAAGAGAAUUUUAAGUUUGCAAGUGAUGAAGAAAUGGUGGUUUUCUACAAUAGAAUAUUAAGUGUGCUCUUUGCUGUCUCUGCUUCAGGUGCUGAUAGUCUGCAGCACAGGUUUGGCUGGGAUUAUGCUGCUCAACUACCAGCAGGAUUACACAGUAUGGGUGCUGCCUCUGAUCAUCGUCUGCCUCUUUGCUUUCCUAGUCGCUCAUUGCUUCCUGUCCAUUUAUGAAAUGGUAGUGGAUGUAUUAUUCUUGUGUUUUGCCAUUGAUACAAAAUACAAUGAUGGGAGUCCUGGCAGAGAAUUCUAUAUGGAUAAAGUGCUGAUGGUAAGUACUUCAAAAAUGCCCUCUGCUGCUGGAGGAACAGAAAUACUAAUAAAAAUAUUUUGCAAAUCAUUCUCCAUAUUUAAUUCCCACUAUAUGCAACAGAAUAAUUCAGAAUUAAAUCCGUAGCACUCACUCAUGAAUGAGACUAUGCAUGAAGAAAUCAGGGAAGAAGUCCUUCCUGGCACAAAGAUCAUUUCAGAUCCACCCAGCUGAGCCAUACUCAUUAGUGGUCCUAAAUACACACUGUCCUAGACUCUGAUGCUACUCUCUGAAGUUAGACAGAUUUGAAUGGACUUUUAAAUUUGCCUUGUAGCCCUUGAAUUAGAACACUGGGCCACUGCUGUUCUAAGUACCUUUUCCUGAAAUGGGGCUUAAGGACAAAAAUGUCUUAUUUGCUAGUACCUGUCCUUCACCAGUCACCACCUUUCGAAAUGCUAUUGCUGUCAACCCUAGUUAAAAGUCAUUGCCCUAAAAAUACUAGUCUAAACUGAGGGCAUUUCUUAAUGAAUACAGACAACUGACUUGUGAUCAAUAUGUUGUUUUGUAUUUUCAUAUUAGUCUACAUCUGAAUCUUUACACAGAUACUUUAUUCAGAUGUUUUUUACAGUUAGGUAACCUCUGUAGAUCCCCUAAACUAAAUUCUGAAUUAAUUCCAUGUUAAAAUGGUUUAAGUACUAUUUUCUUCAGUGUUAAAUGAUACAAGAUUAAAGGUAUUUUUUAAUAAUGAGGUGAAAUAUUCCUUUCUCCAAAAUAGGUAAUAUUAAAAAGAAAAUACUAAAAUAAUAACUUAUUUUCCAAGAGCAUGAUUUGCCCAGUUAAAUUGAAAAUAAGUAUAUUAAUAAAUGAACUAGAUUUGUUUCAAUAGCAAAAAUCCAAAUGCUUUAGCUGACCUAUUUGGUACUAAUUAUCACUUUUACUGAGAAAAUCAUCAACUAAAUUUUGGACAUUUUCCUAAUGCCUAAAUUAAUUCUAACUGGUUGUUUUCAUAAUGGAUGUGAUUUAGGAGCACUGCAUCUCUCUUGUGAUUAAAGCAUUUAGAAAAUGUUGUGUUUUUUUUUUAAGCUACUGAUCAAAAGCAGAGUAAAAAAUAGGUUUUUUUCUGUUCAGUUUUCUCUGUAUGAAUGAUAAUGAUAAGGAUGAGGAAGUGUUCCAUAAACUUUGACAGAAUAGAAAUGUUUCCUUUGGGGCAUACUUCUAUUUUAACUACUUCUGACCACAAGUUCUAGACUCUUGCUUUAGGAAGUGAUGUCAAAACCAGGUAGACAUUUUUUAAGUGUCAUAUUUAUAGUUUAGGUGUUUAAAAAAAUGUAGAUUAUGCUCAGCAGUAUUAUUGCUUUUACCUCCUUGGGUCUUUUAAAAGUGGAGACUUAUGAAAUAAAUUGUUCUUUUUUCAUUUAACCUUAAUAUGGAAAAAAAUAGCGCAAUAUUCUAAGUAUAGAAAAAUAGUCUCUUAAAAAUGUUAGGUGUUUUUUCUUUCCAGAGUAGAACUAAUGCUAACUCCUGGACCCUUGAUGAGAUUGCCACAGUACAUGGAUGGAAAGCAGAUUUUUUUUUUUUUUUAAUUUUUUAUUGUGGGUUGUUCAAAACAUUACAAAUUUCUUGACAUAUCAUAUUCCACACUUUGAUUCAAGUGGGUUAUGAACUCCCACCUUCACCCCAUACACAGAUUGCAGAAUCACAUCAGUUACACAUUGGAAAGCAGAUUUUUACGACAGCAGAUUACAAUCCAUCCCUACAAAUUUAGCAGCUGUCAUGUAUAAUACUAUAUGUUAUCUACUGCUAUACCAAGAUUGAGUCAAAUAUGCAAAUGUUCUUUAGAAUUCAUCUACUGACCAAAAUCUGAAACUAUCUGAACAUUGAUGCCAUGUGGUCCAUAUUUUGCAGGAGUUUGUGGAAAACAGUAGGAAGGCAAUGAAGGAAGCUGGUAAGGGAGGCGUCGCUGAUGCCAGAGAGCUAAAGCCGAUGGUAGGUGGAGAUGAGGAGGCGGCCGCCCUCCGAGAAUUUCACUUUCACUUCUUCUCUAUCUCUGUCUUCACUGACUGCACUUCUUCAGGAGAAGCUUUUGUUAUCUGUAUCACGCAGGAUGUGCUGCUUUUUCUGUUUGUGUGCUUACCCAUCACUUGGAUGGCAGAGUUCUUGUCACAGCUGAGACCACUUUCUGUAAAAGUAAGCUGAAAGGAACAGCAUCUUCUCCAGUGUCAUGGGGCUAGGGGGGACAGUUUUGUCCCUAAGAUGCAACUGCUGUUUCUCUAUUUUUUUUUUUUUAACUGUCAAUUUUAAGUUUUCAUCCAUCUGAACAUUUGGGUGUUCAUUUGAACUGACGGUUUGAUUUUUAUCAUUUUGAAAAGUGGUAGUACCAAUUCCUUUCAACUUGCUAAAAGUUCAUAUUCCUCCUUUUUAUAAAUAAUGUUCUGUUUACAUUGUGGUCUUUUGCCCUUUGCUGAUUUUUUUCUUCUGUUGCCUGGAUUGUACCUUCUUUGUUUCUUAAGCUAUUUUUCUUCCUUUUGUUCUUUCUUUCUUUCUUUCUUUCUUUUUUGGUAGCAAACAAGGCUGUUUCCAUCAACACCCACAUUCCCUCUAAGUAAGACUAUCUGGUCUUCUCCCAGUUUACUUGUGAAAAGAUUGAAUUUCUCUGGCAAUUUUAUACAUAUUCCCACUCUACUCUAAUUUGAAAAAAACAAAUUAAAGUUAAUCAGCAUGCAAAUCCUGAGUUGUUUUUGCUAUAGACAUCCUCACUGUGGCCUAACCACAGAUGUCUCCAGCAGGUAUGUUGUCCUGCUAAUCAGGACAACAGCAAAGAUGCUGCCUACCCUGUGGUGGAAGGGAGGACUCAGGAAAGCUUCUUUCCCCCUGUUUCUGGGUUGUCCUCAUUGCUCAGGAAAUAAAGAUUUCAAGCCUAAAACUUAAAAAGACAUACAUAAAAUCUUAAAAUAUCAAUUUGCUUUUCCCUCCUCUUCUGUCUUUCCAGUGAUUGAGACUUUGAUUAAAGCAUUCUCCAGUAAAGGGAGAAAUAUUUAGAAGCUGAGAUUUAACUAAUUUGGCCACAUCCUGGUAUAUAUUUCCAUAUUAUUCUUUAGUAAAUGAUAGAUGAAUUGUGGUCGACUAAAAUGCAAAUAUCCCUUUUUUUUUAACCCCUAAUUUAUAGGCAAUAAUCCCAAGAGAAUGGCCCAAGUUAUGUGGCAUUCUGCCAGAAACCAAAAAUUUUAGGAAGAGUUGUUUUCCUAAGAGUAUUUUCAGUUUUAAACCAGUGUCUUUUAACCCAACAAUGCAUUUAAAUCUUCUUUCAGUUUUUGUUUUCAUUUUAUGUUGUUCAUCAGUUCAUUGCCUACCAAGGAAUGGCAAAAACCCUCCUCCACUGUGUCCCCAGAUACAUCGUUUCUGUGCAUUGUUCUUUUGAUGCUUCAGACAUUGCAUUAUUUUGGUACCUAAGAGUGAUGUUUUAAGUAGUUUUAAAAUUCCAGAAGAGAGAAAUGUGAAAUGUUGCUCACAAAGUAGGUUUGUUUGUUUGUUUGUUUGUUUGUUUGGGGCCCUGGGGUUUGAACCCAGAGGCACUUAACCACUGAGCCACAUUCCUAGCACUUUUUUUAAUAUUUGAUUUUAAGUUCGAGUCUCACUAAGUUGCUUUUUGAACUUUCAAUUCUGCUGCCUCAGCUUCCUGAGCUACUAGGAUUAUAGGUUUGCACCACCACACCUGACCAGAGUAGCUUUAUUUUUUAAGCAUUAGUACCAUAUCUUUCUUCUCUCUCACACUCAGUAUGCAUGAUUAGGAUUGACCCCUACCAUCACUAUCCCCUUUGUCAUAAAGAAUUAUCAAAGAAACUGCCCCCAAAGUUUGGGGCUUAGUAGACUGUAGAUUUGCUUAUUUGUAUUUGCUCACAUUAUUCUCUUAGAUGAUAAGUUCUGUGGAAGAGUAUCAUGCCUAUUUUGUAAUAUGUCUAGAAACACUUCUGCUGUCUGCCUUCUUCUUGAAUAUGGGGUAUUUUAACUUAGGGUUUAUUUUUAGCCUAUAAGAUAAUGUUCAGGAAAGUGAGGUUUAAAUUUUUCCUUUUGACAGGGGAUCAUUGAACUAACUAGGAGAACUGCCAGUAUUCUUGGAAUUUUUCUUAAAAGAGCCUCACAAGUUCAGAAAGUUUAAAGAUCUAUCAGGUCUUCCUACAGUUCCUUAAAAUUUAUUUUAGAAAAAUUUACCAAACGUGAUGAAGAGGUUUAGGAAAAUCUCGCCGUCUGCUAUUGUAUAGGUUAGAACUUACAGGGAAAAAGGAGGAGGAGACCUGGGCUCUAUAGGGACAUAGGCCAGAAAAGGAUGCUGUGCAUAUCUCCGAGAUGAUCCUAAAGGAAAUGUGACCUUCAACAUUCAUAGGAAUUUCAGCCCCAAGAAUACAGGGGCAGGGAGAAGGAGUCUCAAUCCAUUUUGCUCUUUUACUGUCUGUAACCAUGUGUAUCUGUAACAUCAUUCAUGAUCUCCUUUUAAUGGUAAUUGUCUAAGAUUAUACUCUGUAUGACUUUGUUUUCUAGGCUUCGGGAGCAAGUUCUGCUUGAACCUAGCCGACGGUUAUGGAACCCAUUGACAUUCCAAAACAAUAUAUACACAUAACUAUGUAUUUGUGUGUGUGGGUGUGUGUAUAUAUGUAUAUGUAUGUGUGUAUAUAUAUGUAUAUGUAUAUACACACACACACAUAAUCAGCCAAAAUCAGAGAAAAGGAACAGGGAUUUAAUACCUUUUUUAUGCUUAUUUUUGUCAAACAUGUACUCCUUUCAUACGGGUGGCUUUUACAAGGCAACUUCCGUCAUUUAAUGUUUUCAAUUGUAAUUGUCUUAAUGGAAAUGUUAGAUUCAUAUCUGAUUAACAUUUUUAAUAACUUAGAGGAGAUUUUAACUUUAGUCACUUAAAUUAGAUAAAAUUAUUGUACCAAAUUCUUGUCUAAAGUUUAUUCAGGGGUGAUUUCCCUGACGUGUGUAUAAAAUAAAGAUCUUAUUUUACUGAGGCGUGAGUCCUAGUGCCUAGGACUCAUGUGCUUUCAGAUAAAUAAGCAAUUUCUGCAAUCAGUUUUCCCCAAUCAAAGAAGCCAUGUCAUUUUACUUUUAGAAACAUAACAGGUGGACCCAUUAUGGGAAUUUUCAUAAUAGCUCAUACAUUUGUCAGCCAACAUUAAAAAGUAACCAACUCCUCAGGUAUUUGUAGUUUACCCUAAUGCUUCUAUAAAAGAAAGUAGGAAAAAAGAAAAGGGUAGAUAAUCUUUCUUAUGCAAACUCUUUUCUUACAUUUUGUCUUUUUUUUUUUCCCACAUUUUAGUAACAUCCUCCACACAUUUGUGUGCCUGAUUUGAAAGGAAGCUGGGGCACCCAGCAAGUUUAGCCUUUAAUUUUAUAUGUAUUGAUUUGUAGAUUAACGAAUGCUGGGAGGAAUAAAAAAGGGAUAGAAACCCGGAACAUAAAGCAUUGAAAAUUCCAGUGCUUGGGCUUCUGCUUCAGAGGAAACAGUGGCUUAGGGUUAAACGGCCAUUUUAUUCAAAUGCUUGCUAUAAAAUCUGAAAAAACACUGGCAGGUGCUCCUCUCCUUGGCAAUCCAUUGCGUAUCCAGAGUUCUACAAUGUUUAACUAAAGAAUUGGUUAAUAUUUUGAUCCUCAAGUGUGAAUGUUCUUUAUGUUUGGGAGUGGGCUUGGGGUUUGGGGUUUUUUUUUUUUAAUUCCUGAAGCUUACCAGAUAUGAAUGGCUAAUAUUCCAUUGUUCUGCUUAUUGUAAUGGUGAAUGCUUUAAGAAAAAAAAGUGUAAUUUGCUAAGAAUAAUUCAUGAUCUGUUUAUGCGAUAACUCCUUUUUGUUACAAUUUUUUUAAAAAAGGCUAUUUUUGUUAAUGUAAAGUAAAUAUUUCAGAGCAAAUUUUUUAAACUUAUUGCACUAAAUACAGGCUCUGUACAAAAAAACAAAAACAAAAAAAAAAAAGCCUCAGCAUUUUAUCAUUCCAUGGAAGGAGAAUCUUUUGAAAGAAAGCAUUGCCUCCUAUCAGAAUUAGACAGCGAAGUAGACUGGUAUUAUGGAAAUGCAUACAAUUAAUGUCACUAGGGCUUAAUAAACAGCUGUUUGCUAAUGUGCUUCCUUUCAAAGGGUUGGACCUUUAAAUUGCUGCAAAAGGUAAAUUGUAUUUUUUUUUAAGUAUCUGUGUUCUUUAUCUAGCUAGGCUAAAAUUUGCUAAAUGCCUUGGUUUCUUUUUCAAAGCUCAUGUAACAUUUCUGAUUUUUCAGAAUAUUUGCAAUAAGAAUCUGGAUUUUAAAAAAAACAACUUAUACACACAAUUAAGAGUUCAUGUCUUAGCAAGAUCUGGGAAACCAACAUUAUGAGCGUAGCUAUUUUGAAAAAGUAAUUCUCCAGAAGUUAACAUUUAACAUCUAGUGUCGCCAAACAGUGUCACUGUACUCUUUUAUAUCAUUUGAAAUGGAAUAAAUAUAAUUAUGUAACUAACAACUGUCCAAAUAGGUGAGAGAGCAAAUCAUGUAAGAAAAUUCAGAAUACUGUCUGUUCCAUAGCCACACAGAUUUUGGACAUUCAGAAAAUUGGGAAAUAAAUUUAGAGUUGGCAAAAGUCUGGAAGAUGGGUAUCAAAACGGAAGACAUUUCGGGAGCUAGCUAUUUUCAGAGGUCUUCCUCCAAAGUGACCUGACAGAAGUCUUGAACUUGGAAACUAGGUUCUACUCACUUGGACAUCCCUGCAUCAUGGACUUUUGCUGCCCCCUGUUUCAUGUGCUCCCAAUAUCAGCUAUUUGGAAGCCACCAGGAAUGCUUUCUAAUUAUCAUUUGCAACUAGAACUGUAAUCAGAAAGAAAUUUUGUAUUUUUGUAUAACUUGAUUGUGUGCCAUUUUAUAUAACAGGUCCUGUUUUACAAAUAAAUUUUGUUAUUACUAACAUUGUGUUUAGAAAUUAUGAUCUAUGUGUAACCAUGUCCUUUGAGUUCCAAAUUAAUUUCUAGGCUGUUUUCCCUAAGUAAAUUUGUGUGCCAUAUAAAUAUAUGCAAAUGUGCAUAUAUAUUACACAGGCACACAUAGAGAGAUAUUUGAUAUAUCUCUCACUCUCACAUGUGCUUCAUUCCUUGAUUAAUUUGAUAAAGCCUCCUAGAGGCUUUUCAGCAAUAUUCAAAUGUUUUGCAGUUAUGUUCAGAUAUUUCUGCUGCCUCCUUCAUUCAUUGCAAAUCAUUCUUCAGCUAGCUGUGGGCUGCCUUAUUGCUAUUUGCUCACUGCCUCCAUCUUCUGCCCAAGUGAGAAGAAUAGAUGAAGAUCAGAAAUUAUCUGUGAAAUGUGGAUACCUGAAAAAUUUUAUAAACCAUUGAUUCUAUGUUGUGGUUCAUGUCCUUUUCUGUGAUGGUUCUACAAAACGGUCUAUAGGAGUCCUAUCUCUAGAGUUCUAGUUAGGGUCCCCUAUUGUAAAUGGUAGUACUGUCCAGAGUGUCACUGUGGUUUCUACCAUCAGAUAGUUAAUACUCUGGCAUAUAGUUUAGACCUUCUAGAUUACUUCCUCAAAAAUAAACUAUGCUGUAAUAUAAUAGGGAAGGUAAAAGGUUCAAUUUCAGUGUAAGUCCAAGAAACCCAUCUUCAAUUGGAGGCUUUACCAGUGCAAUAAUUAAAAAAAAAAAGUAAUUUAACAAGGACACUGAGAUUGUAUAAUCUUUGCAUGAAUGAACAGAGUUCAAAGUAGAUUGUUGAUCUAAACCACUUAGUGCAAUUGUUAAUGUUUAAGAUUAAAGUUUUUAUCCUGUCAUACAGGAUAAUUAAGUCCUACGUCACUGGAACUUAAGUAGCUUAACUGUGUGUUGGUCCUAAACUUUUUCCAUAAUGGUUAAGGAGGGGGGACUUAUUGAGUCUAUUUAAAAAUUAUGCUGGAAAUAUGUUUCUUCUUUACAGAAAUGAUCUCUUACUCUUUUCUUCUCCCCCCAUCCCUCCAGUGAAGGGCUUUAAGCCCCUGAUUAUAAGUUCUUCCAACACCAUUGACCUUGGUAUCUGCCAAGGGCUCUCUUGCCUUCCCAAGGCAAUUUCAGAAUUUAACCCAGUAGUAAGCGAUGAGGAGCUAACCCCUUUAUCCUGUUCCUGAGCUCCUUUAACACAGAAUAAUACCUCUCUUUCCCUCUUACUAAAACAACCACAGGAAUUGCGUGCCCCAGAUAUUUGCAAGGCCAUAUAGUACCCCUGAGCCUUCAAACAUUUCCACCAUGCAGACUCACUCACUACUUACUAAAGGCUACUUCAAGAGGUUUCCUAACAUGCAAAGUAGUAUUGUGGGAUUAGUUCCAAAACCAGAGCUGUCAGUUACAGUGAUUGAACAAUUUAUUUUAUGUUGCUUUUGUUCAGAAACCUUAUCAUUUGAAUUGGAGUUUCCAAUAGCCUUAACAUAGCCUCUAAGAAGUUUCCUUCAAAAAAUGUUCACUUCUCAAUAAGUAAGUUUGCUAUCGCUUUCUUUGGCUACUUUGAAAAGAAAAAAAAAAUCUUCAGAGUCUGGAAGCUUAUCAGUGCACCUGACAUGGUUAAUAUUUGUAUUCUUUUUAUGUAUUUCAUCUGACAGAUAGAAAUGCUUACUGAGAGUUAAGAUGUGGUCUGUGAAUAUAUAUUGGAGAAUUGUGGGUUCAUAAGUAAUGCAUAAAGCAGAAAUUUGUGUAUGCUAUAUUCAUAGCACAGAAUCCUUUUGCUUUAAAUGUAUAUUCAUAUAGCUCUGUGUACUAAGAAAUGCGUGUUAGCCCUUUGGAAAAAUAGGCAUUGUUCAUAAACAGUGACUGUUUUGGGAAUUAACUCAUCUUUGUUGAGUGGCACGCCUAAACUUUGAAAAAGCAGAAACCUUGGGUGUAUCAAGAGGAAGUUUAAAGCUAGAAAUCUUUAAAAACAAAACAGAAACUAAUCAUAUUUUAUAUACUAAUAAAUUUAAAAUAGCACACUUUUCCCAUUCAGAUUUCACAAAUUUUAGCCAAAUUAUUAUAUUCCACAUUUUAAUUCAAGAAGACAAUUUUAACCCAAGAUUUAAAUCUUUGAAAAUAUCUUUCUUAUAAAAAAACUUCAAUGUGAAGUUUUUAACAUUGUGAAUUUCUGUAUAAAGCCAUUCUUUUCUAUAAAAAUACUAUAGAGCCCUUUCUUCCUCCCCCUCUUGAUUUUUAUAUGUAUAAAAAUAGACAAAUGAUGAUUCAGUUUCAAUUUUAUGUGAACAACUGCCACUUUUGUAAAUUACAUGGACAGAAUUUAAGUUUGGUAUUUCUAAGGGAAUUCAUUAGAAAAUUUGCUUAAAAGAUAUGAAAUUGUUAGGAACCCAACUAUUAGGCUAUUCUUCAGUUUUGAUGCUUUACAACCUAAAUUAUUUUCUCCAGACCAGAGAACUCAGAAUAAUGAAGCUUUUAGUUGUGUUCUAAUCAAGAUCCAGUCGAACACAUAAAUAUUAAUUUAUAAAUGUUCAGAAUUUUUCCACUUAUAAUUGCUAAGACCUGAAUUCAAUAUUUAAUAUUCAAAAGCAGGUACAUUUGAGGGGCCAUUUGUCCCUUCCAACUUAUGAAAGCUGUGGACUAUCUUUCUCUUAAAUGCACAUAGCACAUCUGUUUUAAAUAUUUUAAAUGCUCAUGAAGCGGCUAGGUGUCCACUAAAGAUCCUUUUAAGAUGAUACUUUUCAUCUCUGGUCUGGAAUCUUUUUAUAACUUAAGAUUUUGUAUAAUUUAAUACCAGAUUUGGAUAGAGAAACUACCCUGAUCUGAAUGAAUAACAAGAUGGUCAACACUGAAUUUUCACAAAUAGUAAGAUGUCUUGCCUUAGACGUGUGAGGGUCUGUGUGUUCUGGGGGUCUUUUUGCAAGAUACCAAAUUUUCAAUGAACAACAAUAGAAAAAAAAAUCCAAGAAGUAAUUAAUAGAAAAUCUUCGUAAUUAUCCAUCUACUUAAACACUUGCUUGUUUUUAUUGUAGCUCAUAUAUGACAUUAUGCGAUAUAGUGUCAUCAGUAUAUCACUGUCUUAAAAUAUAUCUUUAAGUAUCACCCAGAAUAGUUGAAGAUGAUGAAAAAUUAGCAAACUCAAGUGUAUGGAGUACAUACUUGCCAAAAAUUAUGAAUGGAAAAUUGGAGUAGAUGCUGGGAGUAGAAAUUUAAAAUGUGUUUCCCCAGCUUCUCCCACCCCAACUUAAAUCAAGGAGGUGUUUACCCUUUUUUGAUUAUCUUCUCUUUAGAGCAGCCUUGAACCACUGUGCCAGUGGGGCUGGGCCUCCACUCCCCAUGUCCACUCAUCUUCCUUCUCCAGGGAAGCUUGUGGAACUCUCCACAUCCACAACUUACCACUAGGUGAGUGUGCUGCAGCUACAAGGCAGCUCUUCGGGAAGGGCCCUUGAAUGAAGAAGGCAGGAAGCCUUAAGGGAGUUUGAAGUUCUGUUGAGAUCUGAUUCCAGUGGAUCAUGGUUUACAUAUUAGACAUCAGACCACUCCCUACCUUCUUAGGCGGAAGAAAGCAGAGAAAAUUUCCUAACUGGCUGGUUAAAGAAAAAGGAGAAAAUUCAGCUUCCUGUCCCCUACACCUCUAAAAAAGAUGUAAUGAACUUUCAACAACAGCAAAUGGAGAGAUACCACUGGUACAAGUUUCUGUAUGAGACAGAAAAGGGCCAAUGUCCAGCCUAAAUUUGAUAGGUCCUUUUGUCAUAGACAGGUAUGACUUUUAAAGAGAGUAUUCUGACCUUUGUGUAUGAGCCUUAUCCCCAUCCUGCUAGCUGGAGAUGUAGUUUGAUUCAGUUGUUGCUCAAGAACUAUGUGUUAAAUCACUCCAUGUGAGUUAAGAUCAACAUUGAAAAGACUUAGAAUAAAUGGGCAGAUAGAAGGGGUGCCACUAAAAAAAAAAUGUAAGGGACUUCUUUAUUUAUUAUGCUGAUAAUCAUGUCAGGACUUUUUCAUAAAUUGUGUUAGAAUGUGACAAUAAUAGAAUAGCUUUGAAGACUAGUGGUUUGAGAUGGGGACUAUUAUGUAAAUUUCCCCUACCUUGGUACCUGUAUUCUAUGCUCAGAACUUCUUUUUGACCCCUCUUGGUUUUACUAGUUUUGAUUUUUGGAGGUAAAUCAUGUAGGGAAUGUUCUCUUUUUUUCUGCUGGGUUGUCCUAGUAGUACUAGAUUCUGAUGUUUCCUAAUUUCUUUCUUCCCUUACAAGAGUACUGGGAGUUCCAUAACGAAAAGGAGUUUCAAUUUUUACUGUCAGAAUAUUCAUGACUACUUAAUACUCUUCUAAUAGAUCUUGUACCUAAUGAAGUAAAUUCAAGUAGAUUAUUAGCUGAUCUCAUUACAGGAGGAAAAAAACCUUCCUACUAACAAAGGUGAAAGCAAGUAGAAAAGUGUCCAGAGUAUCUAACAGGAUGGCAGGGGCUCAGGAAAAACAACCAAAGACAAAAAAAGCCUUUCUUCUAAAGACCAAAGGCCCAGCUUCCACAUGCUGGUUUGGCAUAGCCUUUCCAAACUUAACUUUAGGACAGAACUCUUAGGAUAAGGCAACCAAAUUUUAAAGACCAGUCAAUAUAAUGGGGACCUGCUACUGCUCUCUCAGGCACUGUGUUUUCACAUCCAGUGUCAAACCUGGCCCAUUGUAUGGGGUAAUAUAAACAGAAAAUGGCACAUCGAGCUCUCCUGAUGUGUAAUCCAGCAUGAGAAGUACAUUGUGGUGCCACAUAUUCCUGAUGCCCUUUUGUUCAUUUGCCCCCCAUCUGCAUCCUAUUUCAGAAUGUCAUAAAUCUUCAUGUCAUGUCCUGUCUUUGUCCAUUACAAACUGGAGGACUGCAGCUAAGCCUUCCAUAAAGUCCACAGUGUGGGAUCAUUUACCUUAGGAUUAUGUGGAUUUUUUUUUCCUUGUUACAGUGUCACUACACUGUAUGCAUGUGGGGAAACAACCAUGUAGGUGCUUGAACAUGCCCCCCACACAGUCAUAGCCCUGGUGUUUGUGACUGUCGUCGUCGACACAGUGCAACUCUACAGAUGGAGCAUUAUGCUCUCAGAGGACUUAAAAAUAUGUAUAUUAAGCAAUUAACUUUCUGGAGUUAUCAAAUCUUGCUGGGAAAUUAACUUCUAAGAGCUCUGAAUUGGAUGGCGUUCCAUCUGGCUUCAGAGUACGAUGAGCUUAUAUGAAAUGGAGCUUUGAAAUGUUUUUCUUGUGCAGAAAUAUGAACUAGAAAAAAAAAGUGCUGAUUUAAUGCUAAGUUUUCUCUGUGUACUGACUCAGUUGCCAGAAUUAUAAUGAAAACUGUAUUUUAGUCUAACAAAUGUAUAGAAUUUUUUAUGUAAUAAAUAAAAUUUUAUAGGAAAGAAUGUCACUGUCUACUGUGUUGUAACACCUCCCCAUGCCCAUAGUGGUGACUGAUAGGAAGUGAUCAUGGUUUCAAAUUAGGUCCGUGUGCUACAAGGAUAUCCAAGAAUUUCCCAGCUAUUCUUUUCUAGCAUCUUCCAGGAUCCAUGGGCUAUGGAAUAUAGACGUACUAAAACCAAUUUGUGAAGUGCAGAGUUCAUUCACUGCACAGCCAGGCUUCAUAGCUGAGGUCUUGAGUGGCCAUAAGAAUGCUAAGGUUGCAACUGAAUUCAGUUAUUUGGCAGAGUAAAAGAUGUCCCCAUGGAAAACAUUGUGCCUGGUGCAGUGCCCUAAACAUGAACUGAAGCCUUGAUUUAUACUGAGUGGGUAUAUACACUGUGGGGUGCUGUCAUUCAGGCAUAGCUGUUUCCCAUUAUAGUCUAAAAAAAUGAUUGUUUAAAAGUAGUUUUUAAGUGAUAUUACAGACUAAGGAAGGGAUGUUCUUCCUAAGUAGAAGACCUGUUGAAAUACCAAUAAACCUCUUCUAAUUUGUUUCGUAGUUUGGAUUUUCCCUGAGAGACUAAUCUACAGAAUGCCCUUCAUUAGCUAAUGUUAUAAUGAUAGCCUUGGUGUUGAUGCCAUCCUGCCAAAGGAGCUGUUAGAGAACACUUGUGAGGAGUCCUCAGACAUGGGAGGUGUUUGAAAUACUGAAUAGUACUAACCAAUCUGGAGCGUUUUUCUUUUUCCUUUUGGGGACAGUUCUGAUUCUGUUUGCAUAAUUUCUCUUAUAUAAUCUUCAAGAGUCUGAAAAUUCUCACAUUUUCCUAAAAGCUAUCCAGAAGUCUUUCUCUCUGUAUGGCUAUGAAAAGUACACUCUGUAGUUAACCUCAGGCUUCCCAAAAUAAAGACAAAUCCAGAGGGUUCAGGAGAUACAAUGCAGGCACCUGCUGACAGGAAGGGACACAUUUGGAGAGAAAUGCAUCAUUAGACAAUGACAUUAUUGUGCAAGUGUCACAGAGUGUAUUUACAAAACUACAAUGGCUUCAGCAUCACUAGCUGAUACAGUCUCAUUGGACCACUUUUGUGUAUAUGGUCCAUUAUAGAUAGAUAGAUUGAUUGAUUGAUUCAGUUGUAGGUGGACACAAUUCCUUUUAUUUUUAUGUGAUGCUGAGGAUGGAACCCAGUGCCACACGUGUGCCAGGCAAGUGCUCUACCACUGAGCUACAGCCCCAGCCCCUAUAUGGUUCUUUAUUGACUGAAAUUUCAUGAGGUGCUUGACUGUACUUGUGCACCCCAGCUCAAUGUAUAAGUAGUGAUUAAAAUUCGAGCUACUUCAAAUAGCUGUACAGCUCAAAGCUUUUAUAGAUGUUGAACAGUUCAGAAAGAAGCCAGUGUCCUAUGAGGCUCUUUGGCUUCUAUCUUAGAUCAGGUUCUGUGAAACUUAACUCAUGGGAUUGUACCAUUUCACAGGGGUUUCUUGUUUGUUUUAGUUUUGGCAAAUGGUAGUGAAACUUAAGAAAUGCUUUGUGAUUUAAGUUUGGUAUUAUGCCUCAUUUGUUAUCCAAAUUCUGGAAAAAAAUAACUUAGGAGUUUCACCGAAGGUUAAAUUUAGGAUUCCAAAAAAAGUAGACCUAGCUAUCAGACCAUUUCAAAAAAUUCAGUAGAAAUCUAAAGCUCUCUAGGUGUUUACAAGCUCCCUGGCCAGGUCCUUCAGACUAGGGAGGCCACCUUAAGGAGGAAUUGCCUUUAAUGUAAGAAGGACGCUUUCAGUCAAGUUCACAUUGCAUCCUCUAACCUCUAAUUCCCAGCUCUUUGUCAGUCCUGGCAAAGAGGAAAUCAAGAAAGAUGCAUAGCUUAAAGUGGUAAAUAAGAGAAAGCAUAAAUAGAAUUUCAAUUGGAGGGACUGGGCAGACAUUAGCAGUAACAUAGGAAUCAAUGACUUGGAAUCACAUUCACAAUAUAGUCAGUAAAAGGGGGGGAUAAAGCAAUAUUUAUAGCAUAUUCUCAUGUAAAAUAAAUGGUAGAUGCUGUGUUUAUCAAUUCUAAAGACCCUAUGUUGAAUAGGUUAAUUGGAAAUUUUGGUUAAGGAAAAGAAUUAUUUUAAGACAUUCACCUAAGAUUAAAUUUAGGAUUCCAGAAAAAGUAGACCUCACUGUUAGACCAUUUCAUAGGCUUUUCAAAAAGUUCAAUAGAAAUCUUAAAGCUCUCUAGGUAUUUAUAAGUUCCCUGAAUUUUCUAAAUCUACAAGAUAUAAUGUUCAUUGACCAAUCUUUGACAUAGUUAUAUCAGUUCCCAUUUUUAUGACUUUUGACUUUGAAGUUGCAUUAAUAAUAUCAAUAAUGUAACCACCCCAAAAUGUAAUAAGGUGAAAUCAAUUUUUAAGAAACGGAUCAAGAAUUUAGAGGUACUUAUGAAGCCCAUUGAUUGUAGACUGCAGGAUUUUUAUAUUUCUUCCCAGUGUUUAUGUUUCUAAUCCAAGAAUAGUAUUUUUAGCAUUUUACCUUUAUUGAAACUUUCAAAAGCAUUCAAUUUUUCAAAGCAUUAGUUUUCACAGAAACUACUGUUUUCCUAUUCACUGUUUUUAUCAGUAUACAUAAUAUUUAAAUAAACCAUUAGAGUAACCACCACACCUGGCAUAACAUGCUGGAAUAAACACAGCUAACUCUUGCCAAGCACGACCCACUGAUGCUGAGAACAGAGUACACAAGGCUUCAAAUAUAGGCUCCUCUCCAGGAACAUUCGGCAUGCAAUAGACAUCAACCAGUACAUUCUACAGAAGGUGGAAGAAUGUCAGUUAAUCUGGCACAAUAAAGUUAGCUAAGGAAAUCACUUUGUUUACAUCAGAAUGAUAAUUAUGAUUAUCUAUAUUGUAAGAUUAUGGGUGACUUGAAUUCGUUUUUUUUUUCUUAUCUAUGUUUAAAAAUUUCUCUAUUGUAUUUGAAUAUGAAAAAAUAAGUGAUAAAGAAGGGAAGAGUUUUUUAAUAAAUGGUAUUUAGGACAAUUGGCUUUCAGCUUGAAAACAAAUCUAAGUCAAACCAAAAUGGAUUAGGGAUUUCUUUUUAAUUAGACAAGGGAAAGAAUGGGGAUGAUUUGAUAAGUUUAGAAGGAUUACAAAAAAUAAUAGAAAUAAUAGACUGUGGGAGUUGAUGAGACCCACAUAUCACAUUUUGUGGAAGGUGUGGUGAGCAAGGCCCCUUUCAGAUGCUUUUCCUAAGCAUGUCCACCUCAGUAGUCACUUCAUUCAAUAAGCAUUUCCUGAGGCUUCUCUGGUCAGGCAGAACUGUAUUCCAGGAGCUCAGCAGUAAAUACUCCCUGAUCUUAAGUAACUCACAGCCUAAUGAGGGAGACAGACAGCAGCAAGAGUUAUGAUGAGAAGUUGAAGGUGCUUUGGGAACACAAGGGAAGGUGUUCAGGUCAUCAGAAGAAGCGAUCUGAGGCUGAGUCUACAAAGAAGAGCAAGCAUUAGCCCAGUGAUGAAAAGACAGUGGGGUGCCUCUGCACAGAGAGAACAGAACAGCAUGGGCAAUCAGCAGCAGGAGGAAAUGCAGGCAGAGCAAAGAAUAUGUGGAUGUGCAGCUAGAAGUAACACGAGAGAGGAUACAGGAGUCUUGCAGGUGUGUGUACAGACCUGAACUGUGAGCUGUGGGAAGCCUCUGACUGGUCCUAAGCAGGGUCAUCUAGUGGUAUGGAGGCUGGAAUGGAGGUAGAAACAGAAGAGGGAGAGUUGGGAAAGGAAGAGGUCUGAAAGGAAGAUGGAGAAGAGGAGAGGUCCAGUGGGAAACCCAGCAGACCUGGUAACCAGAUUUAGGGGGAAAUUGAGAAAUAAAUCAUGGAGGCCCACACUCAAACAGGGCACACCAUCUCUUUGUUGAAAGAAGGGGGCUUGUGCCAGAUGGUCAGCUGCAUCCAGGAUCUGAUUCUCUAAUUCACUGAAUAUUGGAAAGGCUUACAUUUUCUUUUCAAUACCAUCUUUUGCAAAAUUUCUGUAAUAAUACAAAGGAGCCAGUGAGACAAGAGUUGGAGGUCCUCAAAAUAUUUCUCUGCACCAGCAAAAAAAAAAAAAAAAAUUCCAUUCCCUGAUGAAUGAAAUCUACCUAAUUUCUGGUUUUCAGUUGAAAAUUCCUAACCUAACAGUGGCUUAUGUAGCUGCAGACAAACUUGGUCUCAGUGGCUCCAGCUCUUCUCUUCUGCAUUGUUACCUUAACCAUCUGUUUGCUUCUAUGCUAAUAAGAAAUAACAUUCAGUGUUUCAAUAUGUGUGUAUAUAUACAGAUGUAGAUAUAUUUAAACAUGUAAACUUUUUCCAAAAGACAUAUAUUCAAAAAAAUCUAUUAAAAUAAAAAUAUGGGGCCAGGGUUGUGGCUCAGUGGUAAAGCGCUUGCCUAGCAUGCGUGAGGCCCUGGGUUCUGUCCCCAACACCACAUUAAAAAAUAAAUUAAAUAAAGGUAUUGUAUCCAUUUAUAAUUUUAAAAAAAUUUAAACAUCUGAAAGCAAAGAUAUAGGAAGAAGCAAGUAUAUGAGGCUCCAGAACUCCUAUGGUCGCAGUACAUUGAGGUGACCAUAAAUUCUUUGAGCUUCUUAGCAACCUGAAAAGAAAGGAAAAUACCAAGAUUUGUAGAAUUUUAUUCACUAGUAGAAAAAGAUAUAUGCAUUCUUUAAUCUAUUGUGAAAGCAAAAAUAGUCUGCAUAUGGCUUUUGAAUGGGGGUUUGGAGGUGCUGAGCUGGUAAUAUUCUAACAUGUAAUUUUCUGAUGCUUUAAUUGAAUUUCUUAUACAUAUUUUAUCCAAAUCUGACUCAGGACUUAAGUGUAAGUAAAAGAGAAAGGAUUUCUUUGUUUAUUCUAAAGACAUUUAAUGAGCCCUGUAUAACUGAGGGUACAGGAAUGAAAAUCCCAGUCUCUGCCCUCCAAAAAUGUAUAGUCUGUUUAGGAAGGCAAAGGGAUAAGCGGGUGAUUGUAAUAUUUUGCCAGCUGCUGUAACAGAGUUAACUCAGGAGUGACAGGGAGACCCCCCACCCCAAAGUUGCAAGCAGUAAGGAAAUGGGGAUAUAAUAAGUAAAUAAGUCUUUGGGGGAAGGAAGGUAGAGAGUGUUCCAAGCAAAGCAACAGCAUAUGUGAAGAAAAGACACAUCAGUGAGUCUGUACUGAGGAGUGGGUGUGGGAUAUACAAUUGGAGAAGUCAAAAGAGAUCAGAUGUAUUGGGUCUUAUGGACCAUACCGAGGGACUAAAUGUUAUGCUGAAGAAAAAGGAGAUUCAAAAAAAAAAAAAAAAAGGAGAUUCACUGAAGAAUUAUAAGCAAAAGAGUGCUUGAUGAUAUUUGCAGUUUAGGUCAACUUAUGCAGGGAUUCUUUCUUAACCGUGCAGUAAGGGAGUAUAAUGUGGAAUGAGUUUAUUCUGGUUCAGGAAAACCAGGCAGGAAAAGCUUUUUUAUUAUGCCAAAUAAGUGAGGUUGAGGUCUUCAGCUAGGGCACCAGCAACAGAAUGGAGAGAAAAGGAUAUUUGUAAGAGCUAUUAGAAAGGUAGAACCAUCAGAUAAUCAAUUGGUAUAAGGGGCCAAGUGAAAGAUGGGAAUCAAGUAUGAAUCCCCAGGUCCUGAAUUGCAUGCAAUACUGCAUUGAAAGAUCAGUUACUUUUUACCUAGAAAGAACCACGUAAAGAUUGCCAGGCGUGAUGGUGCAUGCCUGUAAUCCCAUGGGCUCAUGAAGCUGAGACAGGAGGAUUGUGAGUUCAAAGUCAGCCUCAGCAAUGGCAAGGUGCUAAGCAACUCAGUGAGGCCCUGUUUCUAAAUAAAAUAUAACACAGGGCUGAGGAUGUGGCUCAGUGGCUGAGUGCCCCUGAAUUCAAUCCCCGGUACCGCCCUCCCCCCAAAAAAGAACCAUGUAAAGUUGAAAAGCCCUGUUUAGUAGAGAUAAAAGAUGCAAAAGCACUGAACUAACAGUUGGCAUAUCUGGAUUCAUCUCGUUUCUCCAGCCCAAUUACAGGUUAUUUGUCCUCUCUGUGCCAAAAUUUCCUCAUCUGAAAGAUGAAAUAUGUUCAGUCCAUGCAGUAGGAUUGUUAUUAUAAUUAAAUGAAGUAAUGCAUAGGAAUAUAUUUUGAAAGCUGUUAAAUGCAACAGAGUUGUUACCUCCUUAUUUCUGAUGCCUAAAGGAGCCAGCAUAGUAUAAGGAAGAAAGCAAGAGAUUGGGAUCAUGAAUAUGGAUUUGAAUCUGUCUCUGCCACUUGCAUAAGAUAGGCAAACUGAGAAAGUCACAAAAAUCUUUCUGAGGUUCAGUACCUUCCUUUGUAAAAUAGGAAUAAUAAUGUCUUAUGGAUAUUUUGUAGAGUCAAGUGAUAAUUUGUUCACCUACUCAAUCAUCACCUAACAGACAUUGAGUAUCUACUAUGUGCUAGAAGCUGAGAAUAUAGGAUUGAACACAACAAGGUAAAGUGUCUUUUUAUAUGUGAAAACUAAUGGUGUGGUGAUGUGGCUAAAAUGACAGAUUAGGAAAUUCAGAAACUUUCUCCUUCCACUAAAGGAAAUGACUAAGCUGUCAAAAACAAUUAAAUCAAUUUUUAUCAAACUCUGGAAUCUAAUGUGUAAAAAAAAACAAAUUUACAACUUGGAGAAUGCUAAAUGAAAAGAGAGAGAGAGAGAGAGAGAGAGAAUCAAAGCAUUUUUAACUUGCCUGUAUGGCAUCCCCAGCUCAGUAGCAGCUGUGGGGACAGUGGCAUGAUACAUGUUUCUGAGGUGACUUCCUGGUGCCAGAGUAACCAGCGUGAACCUUGUUUUCAAAAAAAUUGUGGUUGUUUGUUUUGACCUGUGUGAUGGCUUCCUGAAGGAUCAUCUUGGAGAUUUUUUUUUUCUCUCCCACCUUCUUUAGAACCUUCUUAAAUCUGAAGUAAUUGUUCCAGUGAUGUUUGUCAAAAAUAUUUAAAGGCAAAUAUUAGAUGACGCAACCUGGCGUGAGGAAUAACACAUGCAGCAAGAAACAGAUGAAAAAGCAUGGGCAGAAAGAAGCUAACGAAGGACUUAUAUGGGGGAGUGCGAACUUUGAAAAGUUCCUCUGUUUACAAGGAAAUUCAGAAUGCCACACAUCCAGGGCUAGAUUUGGGGGGCGGGCAGGGUGGACAAAUGAGAAGACCAUGAAUAUUCACCUCUGACUGGUAUUUAGGAUGCAUGAAGGAAGAGAAAGCUAAAGCAGAGUUGUAAGAUGCCUUGCUAAGCAUUAAGUGGUUUUUAUACACAGGGUGGAUCUACAAAGACUGGAAGAAAAAUUUUUUGGUUUGUUUUAUUUUGGCUCUAAGUAUUUAAGAAAAUAUUUCAGAUUACUAGCUGAGAAGAGACUUUGGUGACCAUGCAGACUAAUCUUUAGGGAGAAUACAAUUUUUAUCAAAAAAUAGUUUAUAAAAGUCACUGAAUAAAUAAGCAAAUACAACCCACAGCAAGCAGGGAAAAAAAAAAAAAAUAACAAGUGAAAACCAAGAGCAGCACAAUGUCUUACUGAAUAGAGACUAUCAACAAAGAGGUAGAAAUUCUAAAAAUGGAAUCAAAUAGAAGUUCUGGAGUUGAAAAGUAAGCUGAAAUGAAAAAAAAAAAUUACUAUCAGAGUUCAACAAGGGAUUCAAGCAAGCAGAAUAAAGAAUCACUGAAUAUCCAGGCAUGGUGGUGCCUAGCUACUACUCCAAAGGCUAAGGAAGGAGGAUUGGAAGAUCAAGGACAGCCUGGGAAACUUAGUGAGACCCUGUCUCAAAAUAAAAAUAAAAAGGGUUGGGGGUGUAGCUAAGUGGUGGAGCACUAAGGCUCUGGGUUCAAUUGGAAGGAAGGAAAAUAAUCACUGAAUUGAAAGAUAAGUCAACAGAGACGCUUCAAUUGGAAGAUUUAAAAAAGAAAAGAAUGAAGAAAAACAGAGUCUAGGAGACUUUUGCAACACCAUCAAACAUCCACAUAUACAUAAUGGGAGUCCCAGAGAUAAAGGAGAGAGAGGAAGGGGCGGAAAGAAUGUUUGAAGAAAUAAUGGCAGAAAACUUCUCAACUUUGAUUAAAAAAAAACAUAGGUGUGCACAGAAGCUCAACAGACUCCAUCGAGGAUAGAUAAAGAGAUCCACACCAAGACAGAUUGGAAUUAAUGUAUCAACAAAGACAAAAAUACCAAAUGCAGCAAGAGAGAAGCAACACAUGGCAUACAAGUGAUUCUUAAUAAAAUUAUAUCCUAAUCUUUUAUCAGACACCAUGGAAUCCAUAAGACAGUGAGAUGACAGAAAGUGCUGAAAGAAAAAAAGAAAAGUUAAUCCACAAUUCUUUUUUUUUCUAUUUAUUUUUUAGUUGUAGAUGGACCCAAUACCUUUAUUUUAUUUAUUUAUUUUUAUGUGGUGCUGAGGAUCGAACCCAGGGCCUUACACGUGCUAGGUGAGUGCUCUACUGCUGAGCCACAAAGUCAACCCCCAGUCCACAAUUCUUUAUCCAGAAAAGUAUUCUUCAAAACAAAUGGGAAAUGAAGAUAUUUGCAAAUAAACAAAAGCUGAGAGAGUUUGUUGCUAGCAGACCUGCCCUUGAAUUCUAAAGAACAUUCCUCAGACAUAGAUGAAAGGACACUAAACAGUCACUCUAGCCAUACAGAAAACUGGUAAGGUAACCACAUAGAUAAAUAUAAAACUUAGUAUUGUAUAUAUAUUUUUUUAUCUCUCAUUUUUCUUUCUAUAUGAUUUAAAAGGCAAAUGCAUAAAAUAAUAAUUAUUAAAUCUGAGUUGGCAUACAAAAAGGUGCUCAACAAGAUGUGCUCAACAGAAGGCCACAUUUGCCUUGAGCACCAAAACUCUGAAGCCCAACACUGAGUAGCUGGAUAAGUUCAACAUCUCUCAGCACUUCUGGAGCUGGAGAACUUGAGCAGGGUGCCAGACAUUACAGCAGUCAAGGAAAUGAAGUUGUUGGUGUUGGAAAAGCUAUCAAUCUUUUUAUAGAUCCUGAACUGAAAUCUUAUCAGAAAUUCCAAGUCCAGCUAGUUACUGAAUUGGAGAAAAAAAUCCAGUUGGAAGUAUGUGGGCUUUAUUGCUCAACUAAAUCAAUUUUUAAAAGUUGUGUAAAAAAAUCGCCAAAGGAUCCCAGGAGCCACACCAGAAACCUGUGCACAAUGCAAUCUUGGAUGACUUGGUCUUUCCAAGUGAAGCUGUAGGCAAGAGACUGCACAGGAAACUGGAUGACAACUGGCUUGUUAGUGUUUAUUUGGACAAAAGACAGCAGAAUAAUGUGGAGCAAAAGAAUGAAACUUUUUCCUGUCAAUAACUAGCUCACAGGCAAAGAUGUUAACUUGGAAUUCCCUAAGUUUUGAUUGUUGACAAAAAUGACUGAAGUAUCAUUCACAGUUUAAAGAAACGUACCAUAUAUCAAUUACAGCACAAGGGGGGAGCAUGGGGCUGCAUAAGAACAGUUUUUAUGCAUUACUGAAGCUUAAUUGGUGUCAAACUAGAUUUGUUAUUAAACUAUUAACUGUACCACCAAAGUAACAUUAAGAAAAUAACUGAAAUGUACAUUCAGAGAAGGAAAGGAGAACAUAAAAACAAUAACACUACAAAAUAGAUUAAACACAAGAAGGAAAGAAUUGAGGAAUAAAAAAAGAUAUGACAUAGAAAAUAAAAAGCAAAAUGGCAGAGCAAGUCCUUCCUUGUCAGUAAUUACUUUAAAUGUGAAUGGAUUAAACUCUCCAGUUAAGAGGCAGAAUUGGCAGGAUGUGUUUAAAAUCAUAGUCCAAAUAUAGUGUCUCCAAGGGACUCUGUUUUUUCUAUCCAAAUAGGUUGAAAGAGAAAGGAGGGAAAAGAUAUUUCAUGAAAAUAGUAACCAAAAGGGAUCUGAAGUGUCUAUACAAAUAACUGAAAAACCAGGCCUUAAGGUGAAAAUUGUUACUGGAGAAGAAGGAUGUUUUAUAAUGAUAAAAGAGUGUCCCACUGGGGUUGAAGUUCAGUGGUUGAGCACUUGCCUCACAUAUGGGAGGCACUGGGUCCGAUCCUCAGCACGAUAGAUAGAUAGAUAGAUAGAUAGAUAGAUAGAUAGAUAGAUGAAAUAAAUAUCUUUUUUUUUAAAGAGAGAGAAUUUUUUAAUAUUUAUUUUCUAGUUUUCGGCGGACACAACAUCUUUGUUUGUAUGUGGUGCUGAGGAUCGAACCCCGGGCCACACGCAUGGCAGGCGAGCGCACUACCGCUUGAGCCACAUCCCCAGCCCUGAAAUAAAUAUCUUAUGUCCAUCUACAACUAAAAAAUAUUUUUAAAAAUUAAAAAAAAAAGAGCGCCCCGUCAAUAAUAUAUAGCAAUUACAAACAUAAGUGCACCUAAUAAGGGAGCCCAAAAUAUGUGAAACAGAAACUCAGAAUUAAAGAAAGAUAGAAAAAUCAACAAUAAUAGUUGGGACUUCACUGUGUCAUAUUCAAAAUGGCUAGAACAACUAGACAAAAAGUCAAGAAAAUAGAAAACUUGAACAGCACCAUAACAUAGCUGGAUCUAACAGAUAUCUGUAGAAUAUUCCACCAACAACAUUAUUCCCAAGUGUACAUGGAAUAAUCCCUAGGUUAAACUAUAUAUUAGUCCAUGAAACAAGCUACAGUAUAUUUUAAAAGAUUUGAUCAUCUAAAGUAUAUUCUAAAUCAAAAUGGAAUGAAAUUAGAGAUCAAUAACAAGGAAAUAUGGUAAAUUUAUAAAUUUGUGGCAAUUAAACAAGACUUCUGAAUAAUCACUAGGUUGAAAAAUAAAUCAGGGAAAUAAGAAAAUACUUUUGGAUACAUGAAAACAUAAAUACUACUUAAAUUUAUGAGAUGAAGCUAAGUCAGUACUUAAAGGAAAACUUAUAAGUGUAAAUACCAGCAUUAAAAAAGAAGAGAGCUCUCAAACCACUAACCUAAACUUCCACCUAAGAAACUAGGAAAAGAAAAGGAAACUAAAAGCAAGCAAAAAGAAUAAAAUAAAGAUGAGAAUGGAAACAAAUGAAGAAAUAAAUAAAGGAAUCGAAAGGCAAUUAUUUGAAAAGAUCAACAAAAUUAAUAAACCUUUACCUAGUCUAUCCAAGAAAUAAAAGAAGACUUAAAUUAUUUAAUCAGAAAUUAAAGUAUUAACAUUACUACUGUCUUUGUAGAAAAAAUAUUUUUUUUAAGUUUAUAAGAGAAUUCUAUGAACAAUUGUACCAUAACAAAUUAGAUAAUGUAGAUGGAAUAGACAAAGUCCUAGGACACACACAUACUACAAAAUUGACUCAAGAAGAAACUGAAAUUCUGAAGACUUAAAUAGAUUGAUUUAGUGCUCAAAAACUCCUCCCACAAAAAAAGCACCAGAUGACCUAACUGAUGAAUUACUAAAUGUUUAAAGAAGAAUUAAUACCAUUGUUUUUCAAACUCUUCCCAAAAAUGAAAGAGAAAAGAAUACUUCCUAACUCAUUCUAUAAGACCAACAUUGCCUUAUACCAAAAGCCAAAUUGAGAAGAAAAGAAACUACAGAGCAGUUUUGUUUCUAUGGAGUAGCAAUGAACAAUCUGGAAAAGAAAUGAAGAAAAUUUCAUUUAUAAUACUUUCAAAAGAAUAAAAUACUGAGAAAUAAAUUUAAACAAAUUGGUGCAAAACAUUUACACAGAAACAUGUAAAGCUCCAUAAUAAGUAAAUGGGAAGACAUCUAUGUUUAUGGAUUGGAAAAUGAAUACUAUUAAGAUGGUAGUGCUACCCACAGUGAUCUAUGGAGUCAAUACAAUUCUUUCAAAAUCCCAAUUUUUCUCAGAAGUGAAAACCGUGUGUUUGAAAAUUCAUGUGGAACUUCAAGAGUUUCCAAAUAGUUAAAGGAAUCUUCAAAAGGAAGAAUAUGGUUAGAUCAAAGUGGAUCAAAGACUUAGGCACUAGACCAGAGACCCUGUGCCUAAUAGAAGAAAAAGUAGGCCCAAAUCGUCACCAUGUCGGCCUAGGAUCUGACUUCCUUCACAAAACUACUAAAGCAUGAGAAGUAAAAUCAAGGAUCAAUAAAUGGGAUGGAUUCAGACUAAAAACCUUCUUCUCAGCAAAGAAAACAAUCAAUAAUGUGAAGAGAGAGCGUACAGAAUAGGAGAAAAUCUUUACCACAUGCACCUCAGAUAUAGCAUCAAUCUCCAGGAUAUUAAUCUCCAGAAUUCAAAAAAUUUAACAACAACAAAAAAAAAAAACCCAAUCAAUAAAUGAGCUAAAGAACUGAACAGACACUCCACAGAAGAAGAAAUACAAUCCAUCAACAAAUAUAUGAAAAAAUGUUCAACAUCUUUACAAUUAGAGAAAUGCAAAUCAAAACUAAAAUUUCAUCUCACCCCGGUCAGAAUGGCAAUUACAAACAAUACAAGCAACAAUAAAUGUUGGUGAGGAUGUUGGGGGGAAAGGAGUGUACACUCAUACAUUGCUGGUGGAAAUGUAAAUUGGUGCAAUUAUUAUGGAGAGUGGUAUGGAGAUUCCUCAGAAAACUUGGAAUGGAACCACCAUUUGACCGAGUAUCCCACUUCUCAGUUUAUACCCAAAGGACUUAAAAUCAACACAUUACAGUGAUACAGCCACAUGAAUGUUUAUAGCAGCUCAAUUCACAAUAGUUAAACUAUGGAACCAACUAGGUGCCCUUCAACAGAUGAAUGAAUUUUAAAAAGUUUCAUAUAUAUAUUAUUAUGAAAUAAUAUUAUAUAUAAAAUGAAAUAUUAUUCAGCCUUAAAGAAGAAUGAAAUUAUGGCACUUGCUGGUAAAUGGAUAGAGUUGGAGAAUAUCAUACUAAGAGAAAUAAGCCAAUCCCAAAAACAAAGGCCGAAUGUUCUGAUAAGUGGCUGCUAAUUCACAUUGGAGCAGGGGGCUAGGGAAGAACAGAGUUACUUAGAUUAGGUAGAGAGGAGUGAAGGGAGGAGAGGGGGUAUGGGGUAGGAAAGUUAGUAAAAUGAAUCAGACAUUAUUACCCUAUAUACAUGUAUAACUAGGACCAGUGGAAUUCUACAUCAUGUAUGACCAGAAAAAUGAGAAAUUAUACUCCAUUACAUAUGAUGUAUCAAAGGGAAUUCUACUAUCAUGUACAACUAAUUAAAACAAAUUUUUAAAAAGAAGAAUAUGGUUGGAGAACCAAGGCAUUCUAAUUUCAAAACCUACUACAAGGCUUCAAUAAUCAAUAGAUCAAUAGAUACUGACAUAAAGAUAAACAUUAAAAUUGGUACAGGUGCAAUAGAAUUAAAGUACAGAAAUAAAUCCAUGUGUCUGAUCAAGGAUACUAAGACCAUUCAGUGAGAAAAGAACCGUCUGAAAUUUCAAUAAACAAUGCUUGUUCAACCUGAUAUCUACAAGCAAAAAAAAAAAAAAAAGAAUGUGGACCCCUACCUCACAAAAUACACAAAAAUUAAUCUAAAAUGGAUCAAAUGCCUAAAUACAAAAACUAAAACUACAAAACUCUUAGAAGAACCAUCGGGGUAAAUCUUCAUGACUUUGUAUUUGACCAUGGUUUCUUGGAUAUGACACCAAAAACACAAGCAACAAAAGAAAUAGGUGAAUCAAACUUCAUCAAAAUUAAGAAUCUUUUAGUUUGAAGACAUAAUUAGACAUAUGAAAAGGAAACCCAUAGAAUGGGAGAAAUAUUUGUUCCUCAUCUAUCUAGUAAGAGCCUAGUGUCCAGAAUAUAUAAAGAACUUACCACUUUAACAACAAAAAAGAUAAACAACUCAAAAUGAGCAAAAGUCUUCAAUAGACAUUUUUACAGAGCAGGUUAAAAAAAAUGGCCAGGACAUUUCUUGUAGAAAUAGAUAAAGCAAUCAUGAAAUUCAUAUGGAAAAACAAAAGACCCAGAAUAGCAAAAACAAUUCUAAGCAGGAAGUGUGAAUCAGGUGGCAUAGCGAUACCAGAUCUCAAACUAUAUUACAGAGCAAUAGUAACAAAAACAGCAUGGUACUGGUACCAAAACAGGCGGGUGGACCAAUGGUACAGAAUAGAGGACACAGAAACCAAUCCACAAAACUACAACUUCCUUAUAUUUGAUAAAGGGGCUAAAAGCAUGCAAUGGAGGAAGGAUAGCAUCUUCAACAAAUGGUGCUGGGAAAACUAGAAAUCCAUAUGCAACAAAAUGAAACUGAAUCCCUUUCUCUCGCCAUGCACAAAAGUUAAUUCAAAAUGGAUCAAGGAGCUUGAUAUCAAAUCAGAGACACGGCGUCUGAUAGAAGAAAAAGUUGGNGACAGACAUUAAACAGAGACAUGAGGUGGGAGGGAAAAGGAGAGAAAAGGGAAAUUUCAUGAAAAUGAAAGGAGACCCUCAUUGUUAUACAAAAUUACAUAUAAGAGGUUGUGAGGGGAAUGGGAAAAAAAACAAGGAGAGAAUUAAAUUACAGCAGAUGGGAUAGAGAGAGAAGAUGGGAGGGGAGGGGAAGGGAGGGGGGAUAGUAGAGGAUAGGAAAGGUAGCAGAAUACAACAGUUACUAAUAUGGCAUUAUGUAAAAAUGUGGAUGUGUAACCGAUGUGAUUCUUCAAUCUGUAUACGGGGUAAUAAUGGGAGUUCAUAACCCACUUGAAUCUAAAGUAUGAAAUAUGAGAUGUCAAGAGCUAUGUAAUGUUUUGAACAACCAAUAAAAAUAAAUAAAUAAAUAAAAAUGUCCAGGAAAAACAUGAAAAGAUGCCAAAUGUCAUUAGGUGUUAGGGAAAUUCCAAUCACAACAAUGAAAUACAACAUCACACCCCUAGAAUGGCUAUAAUCAAACAGACAAUAACAAGCUCUGAUGAGAGUGUGGAGAAAUUACCAGUGGAAAUAUAAAGUGUUGUAGCCACUGCGGAAAACCAGUUGGGCAGUUUCUCAAUAAGUUAAACAUGGAAUUACCGUAUGACCCAGCAAAUAUACGCCCAGGUAUACAUAGACCCCAAAUGAUUGAAAACAGAUGUUCAAACAAAAAGCUGUACACAAAUGUCCAUAGUAACAUUUUGCACAAUAAUCAAAAAGUGGGAACAACCUAAUGUCCACCAGCUGAUGAAUGAAAAACUAAAUAUGGUAUCCACAUGAUGAAAUAGUCAGCCAUAAAAAGAAAUUGGUUACUGACACAUGCUACAACAUGAAUGAGCCUUAAAAACUGGUAAGGGAAAUUAUGGUAAAGGAAAGGAGCCAGACACAAAAGGCCACAUUUUGUCUAAUUCCAUGUAUAUGAAAUGUUCAGAAUACAUAAAAUACAUAGAGAAAUCCAGGCUCUCCGGAGAAGGGGAAAUAGAGAAUUACUGCUUAGUUGAUACAGGGUUUCCUUUUGGAGUGAUGGAAAUGUUCUGGAACUAUGGAGUGCUGCUGGUUGCAUGACCUUGUAAAUGAAUUAAAUGCCAAUUUUAAAAUGGCUACACUGAUAAAUUUAAUAUUGUGUGUAUUUCACCACAAUAAAAAUAAAAGCCAGUGAUAUUGCUAGCUACUAUUUUUAAACUGUAUUUUUAAAUCAUUUGAGACAUACAGAAAAGCUGAAAGAAUAGUAUGAAGAAUGUUUAUAUACUCUUCAUUCAGAUUCCCUAAAUAUUAUUAUUUUAUGACAUUUGCUUUAUCAGUUUCUCUCCUUCUCACUCUUCCUCCCCUACCCCCAUGCCACUUCUUUCCUUCCUCCACUUCCCAUGCUCUGCAGACCUUUACAUUUGGACAAUUGUCCCACGAAUGACCUUUAUGUUUGUUAAAGACAAAUUUUGUCCCAGUCAAGGACACCCCUAGCAUCACACAUUACAUUUAGUCCUCAUGUCUCUUCCAUUUCUUUUAAUUUGGAACUGUUGCUCAGUCUUUGUCAUUCAUGACCUUGAUAUUUUUGAAGAGACCACUUCCCUUAUAGAAUGUUCUUCAAUUUGUGUUUGUCCUAAGUUUUCCCAUAAUUAGAUUCGGUUUUGCAUUUUUGCCAAAGACAGCAUAUAAAUCGUGCCCCAUCCUUCCCAGGGCACCAUAUCAGGAGGCACAGGAUAUCAGCUCAUCCAUCAUUGUGAUGUUUAGGUCACUCAUUGGUAAGGGGACCUUCCUGACCUCAACACUGUAAACUCACUACUUCUCACUUUGUAAAUAAAUAGGAAUCUUAUGGGGUGGGUAUCUUACAGAGAGAGAUUUUGAGACUAUGUAGAAGUCCUAUUUCUCAUCAACCUCUCACUCCCUAGCAUUAGCAUGUAUUCAUAUACCUCUUCAAACAACUUUUACUGUAGUUUUGACCAGUGAUUUUCCCAUUCCAUAAUUAUUAAUUCCUACCUGUAUUCAUAAGGAAGAGCUUUCCCUGUUCUCUUAUUAUGUAUUCAUUCACUGAAUAAAUAUUUAUAAAUAAAUAUAGAUAAAUAUUUAUUCGGUGAAUAAAUAAAUAUCAAAGUCUGGAUUCUUUCAUUUUUUUAUUACUGUCAUUUAUUUUUAUGCCCAAUUUGUCUCUGAUUUGACCAAUAAGAGCUCAUUCAUGCUGGCUCCUGUCCUUUUGACCCGUCCUGUAAUUCUCCGAGUGUUCUUAUUUAUUGACACAACCAGAUGUUCCAGGGUCAUCUUGUGCUUUCUGUAACUCAAGACACUCUAAUCAGCCAGGUCUUCAAGGAGUCCUAGUUCCCUUCAGUGAAAAUUGGUAUUUAGAAACCAAGGUCUGGCUUCAUUGUGAAAACAAUUACUAAAAAGACCAAAAACUGACUUUCUACUUGAUGAAACUUUGGAAAACUUCAUUAAAAUGUUUUUGUUUGUUUGUUUGUUUUGUGGCACUGGGGAUUAAGCCUUGGGCCUUGCACAUUGUAGGCAAGUGCUCUACCAGUGAGCUACACACCCAGUCUCCUUGUUUGCUUUGUUCAAUUGAACAGUGUAUGAAAAUAUUGGAAAUAUUGCAAUUUUUCCACAACCUUAUACCAAAUCUGUUUUUAUUUUAUUUUUUUUAAAUCAAUAAUCAAUGUUUUUAUGAACGUUUACCUUCUGUCUUUGUCCAUUUUGUGCUGCUCUAACAUAGUAUCUGACACUGGGUGAUUUAUAAAGAACAGAGAUUUCUUUCUUACAGUGCUAAUGGCUGAGAAGUCCAAAAUCAAGUGUUCUGUAUCUGUUGAGGCCUUUGUGCUGCAUUGUCCCAAAAUCUCUCUCCAUAAGAAGGUGGAAGGGAAAUAGAGGGUGAGAGGAAAUUCAACAGGGGCCAAACUCAUCCUUUUAGUCCCACAAUAACAAAUUCACUCCAGUAAUGACAUUAACCCAUGCAUAGCCUAGUCCCUUUUAAAGGGUUUCACCUCUUAACAUUGUUGCAUUAAGGAUUGUUUCCAACACAUGGGUUUGGGGGAACAUAUUCAAAUUGUAGUUCCUUUCUUCUACUCUUACAUAGAAAUAAACAUUUCUUGCAUAGAAAUAAAAUGUACGUAUAGUUGCAAAUAUAUAUCAGGCCACUUAUGUCUUCCUUCUUUCACUGAUAUGAAAUCCUAAAUAUUUCUCCACAUUGCAGCAGGGCCUCAAUCCUCUUCUCUUACAGGGCUUCCCACAGUUCCACUGAACUGCUGUGCCCUGUGCACCAAGACCUUCCUCCCCCAGUGUUUGGUAGAGGGGCUUGAGAGUUUAGCUGUUGAGAUAGUCCUGAAAAUCAAGCACCUAGGUUUUUGUUUCAGUUGAAUUUGUUCCUUCAGUUAACUUCCCAGAAGUCAAGAUAGAUAUAUUUUUAAAAAGAUGUGACAAUGUUUAUCCCCUUCACCAUAUUUUCUGCCUCAAAUCCUUCACAUUUCUUUCUCUUUCAUGGAUGCCUGGAGCUCCAACAGUGAGUUGGAGCUUUCACUGGUCAUGAUCAAGUAAUAAAACACAGAUACCUGGUAGGUGCCAGACUCCACGCUGUGUGGUGUACAGAUGCAUGAUACGUGCGCUCCUGCACCCACAUUUUACUCCUCAUAACAAAUAUACAAAGAGUUCUUAUCCACUGAAGUUGAGAGGGCAAGGAGAAUUCGCCCUGAGGUCUUUCUUGCUCCAGAGCUUUUGAAGCUGCCCCUCACUCCCACAGCCAGCCAUGUGACGUGUUUGCAUCCCCUAUGUAGGAUAUGCAUCAUCUCCCCUUCCUAAGCAUAAACCUGGUUCUGGGACCUGACCCUAUUUUUUCGUAAUUAUAAAGGGCAAGGCUCAGCUGCUAAACAGACCUGAGAAGAAACAGGGGUGGAACAGUCAUUAAUUGAAGGAUUGCCUGUGGCUCGCUAAUUAAUUUCAACCCAAGGGAGGCCUGUAGCAGAGAAGGCAGACUACAGAUAUGAGUGACAAAAAAAUUCCAAAAUAAUCGUUACCAAAAUAAGACAUGCUUACACCUCUCUCACACUGCCCAAAGGCAACACAUUGUACUAGUUAAUUAAGAACUUGGAUUCCAAACUUAGCAAUAAACCUUAUAAGCUGUAUGACCUUGGGCUCUAGGAUCUCUUGACCUCUGUUUUUCCAUCUAUGUAAUAGAGUAAAAAUAGGAUCUUACUUAAAAGAAUUUUGUGGAAAUUAGCUACAUGAUUCCAUGAAAAGUGCCUAGGGCAAAGCCUGGCACAUAGUAAAUGCACAAUAAAUAUUAACUCUUAUUGUCCUUAGUCUUGAUCAGUUUAAUAUUUAUAUCACCAAUAUGAGUAAAGAAAUGGAAGGAGUGGCCAAGACUACAGGCUAUCUUCAAAUAUCCUCUCAGUUUUUGAUGGUAGAAGUCACCUGAUUUUUAAAUGGAUACAUAGCCACACUGAACAAGUACUACAUUUCCCUUGUAGCUAAGUUGUAACCAUGCAACUCAGUUCUGAUCAGUGGUAUAUAAGAGGAGAUGACAUGUGACUAACAGGAAAUGUCUUUAAAGCCCUUUCCUGGAUUUCCUCCUCCCUGCUGGCUGGGUUUCAGACCGGAGGGCUUGAGGUCCAGCAGCCAUCCUGGAUAAGGAAGUGACCUUGAAAACAGAAAACCCACAUGAUAGAGCAGCAAGAUAGAAGGACACUGUGAUACACUAUAUCAACUCUGGGCUGACCACCUUCAGACUACUUGAAUAAACUUCUGUCUUAUGGUAGCAGCUGUUAUUUAGGAUAUAUCCUGAAUGGGUGAAUAAAAUCCUAACCAAUACCAAAAGAAUAACUUGCUUUUAAGGUGACUUAAUGCUGACUAUAUAAUUCAUUGAAUAACCGAGCUCAGGAGCAAUAGACUAAAUUUGAUAGCAGUUAGGCAGUGGUAAUGUAAGGCACUUCCCAGCAUCCAUAAAAGCAGCCUCUCAAUGGCCAAAUGAGAUGAAUGUGGCUUGGGGAUCUUUUGAACAGAACAAGUCUUAUUAAGGAGAUGGCGGAAUUUCUGUCAUAGGGUAGGAGACAGUAAUAUGUGUCCCACUUCCUCUUACCCUUUCCCCAGAAGCAUCUGACUUCAAGGCAUACUUCAUACAAAUUGACAGUGGGCUGUUUCAGUUCAGGUGAUUUUUAGCUCUGUUCCUAGCAGGGCAUUCAGCAGGAGGAAGGAGAUGACUCUGCCUUACUUUUUGUAGGUCAGUCAGCACCUGGAACAUAAGAAGUGGGAGUGUUGUCAGAGAAAGCCUGGAAAAAACAUCUAUUUGGAAAAGAGACAUCUUGGGAUAGGCAAGAAAUGAUCCCUGAUUUAAGUACCAAAAGGAUGUCAGGGAAAAAGAGUUUCUAUAAUCACGUCCUGCGCCUGUAAAGGGCUCUAAUGUUGCUAAGACAGAUUUCUAUUUCACUAGUCAACGAACAUGGGUUAAUCAUCUGUAACUAUCAGACUGUGGCUGCUAACUGCCCUACCCAAUAUUGCUUCUGCCCUUCUUCCUCCUGAACAUAAUUCAGAUAUCAUUCUGAUUAGUAAAGUGCCCAACUGAAAUACCUUCCCACAGUACCCUGAGGCUUGAGGUGGCCAUGUGACAUAGUGCUGGCCAAUGAGAUGUAAGCUGAAGUACAAUGGGGGUCUCCUAACUAGAAUGCAGAUGUCAUAUUGCAGGAGCACCAAUAAUCUUACCAACAAGAACAAGAGCCAGACACCGAAGAUGGCACAACUAGAAGACAGAAGGAGCGGGACAACUUUGCUCUCUGGACUUGAGCUUGCUGCCUUCUGGACUUGUUAUGUGGGAGAGUAAAUCCCUUCCUUGUUUAACCACCGUAGCAAGAUUUCACUUAAAGGCAGAUGACCCUCAGUUCUAACCCAGACAUUAGGCUUAAGUCCUCGGGGUCGAUAGUGUUUCUGAUGGAGGCUUUCCCUGCUUAUUAGACAGAACGUGAAGAAAACUUCCUCAAAACUGGAAGAGUUGCAAGAUGGACUUAGUUCCAGGGGAGUGAGUGACCUCUGACCACAGAGGAAGGAGUACAGGGACUGGCAGGCACUGUCGCAGCUGGGAUGGUGUGAAGCAGGACUGAGCAGAGUGACAGGCUUUGUUCAGUGAUCUUUUCUUUAAAGUCUUUUCUAAUGCAAAAAAAAAAAAAUUAUAAUGAUCAGAAAGUUAAAAAAAAAAAGACAAAGUAGGUGGACACAGGGGAUACCAAAUUUGGUUCACUGGCCAUAGAGUGGUGUUGGUGGUAUUUGCAUUGAGAUGCAUGAUUUUGUUACAAUUUCUAAAAAUGCAUUUUCCCUCAACCAACCCUCCCCCCAUAACUAAAUUGUGGCAAUUUUAAGUUCCUAAUGGAAUUUUUGUUUGUAUUUCAUCUGUAGUCAUGUAAUUUAUCCUACUUUUUUUACUACUAGGAUUUUUUUUUUAUCUUAGAUUCAUAAAAGUAACAUGGCAGUAAAACAUAGCAGUGUUUUGAUUCUCAGAUACUAAUAGAUUUAUUAUUGUUUUGUGUGUUUACAGCCAUAAUAAUAAGGCACAUUUUCCCAACUGUGUUAUUAAAAUGCUAGUAUCCUAUAAACUAAAUACUAGGGAUUGAUUUAUUGGUGAAAAUUCUGUAAAUAUAUGAAUACUUUUAAUGGGAAAAUGAGAUUAUUUUCCUCUCAUGCUGGAAACCAUAUUCUUUGAUGGGGUAGAUAUAAGAAAGUUUGAACUUUACUGGAUUCCAUGACGGAUCCCUGAUGGUAAUCUCAAACUUGAGACAGCAAGGAUGAGCUGUGUGACCUUGUGGAAGUGUCCAAUGGUGACUGGUAAGAUGUAAAGGCUCAACAGAUGUCUGUUGAAUGAAUGAACAAUGAUUCUCUUUGCAGCCUGGUUAUCUCUGUGUCAAGGCUAUUAGAUGACAAUAAAUACUGUGCAUAGGGAACCAAUUAGGGUUUCUGAAAGUGCUUCACAAUAGAGGAUUCAGGGAGGGUGAAGGGUGAUACUUAAAAUGGAAAUUACACAGAGCCUCACUCCAUGCUUAUUAAAAUCAGAAUCUUUUCAGUUAGGGCGCAGGCUCUGCAUUUUCACAUACACCUCCAUCCCAGAGGCUUCUCCUGUAUAAUAAACCUUGAGCACUCUGGACAUGCAUGCUAGUUAUUGCCAGGGAAGCUUUUGCAAACUGACUGGAAGAAGACUACCACUGGAGAAGGAUUUUUCUUUGAUCCUUGAGUUGGCAGUCGUAGCAAAUGUGCUUGUCUCCGGCGACACCUGCUGGUUGAGAGCAAUAAUUAGCAAACAGUCCUUGAAACUACCCAAGUAUUUUCUCUUUUGGGACCUGCAAUACUCGGGAUAGGAUGAAGCAUUUUAGUGUUUGAAUUCUAACAGUGAUAAUCAAUAUAUCCAAAUAUCCUGAUAUCUGGGGGAAGGUAGGUUUAGGUUUGUAUCUCCUUUUUAUAGCUUUCAAGUAGAAUCAAUGUCUAGUAGAAGAAUAUUGCCCUUCAAUCACCUUACAUGUUUUUAGAACAAAUGUUUCUGUGUCAUGCUUAUUCGAAAAACUACCAACUUUUGGAAUUCCACUGAAAGUAUAUUCUGAAAUUUUCAACUAGGGAAUUUAUUCCUUGUAUUUAUGUUAGGGAGAUAGUUUAAGAAGUCAAUUCUUAUCUCUCGUUGAAGAUUCCAAACAAGAUAAAGAAAAAAAUUUCCAUGGUAUGGUAGCCAUGGAAGUGUGUUUGGUGGGUCACACACGACAUUGGGGAAGGUGGUGACACUUCAUCCUGUUUGGAGAGAGUGGGGUCAAGGAACAAGAUGGGGCAACAGAUGUUACCAGGUAAGACGUUCCCAGAAGAAAGACACUCUCUGUAUUAAGGAGAGGUGUGAAAUAGCAUUUGUGGUACAUCCAGUUGGAAAGGGAUCACCUCCCAAUCAUUUGCUCUUAUGAAGUAUAGGGCUGACAGGUGAGGCUAGGGAGUCAGGCCAAGCCUCACCCGCCUACCAGGAAGAUUCUAUUUUAUCCUAUGGGUGGUGAGUAACCUCAGAAGAGUUUAAAUUUAAGAUUUGCUUUUUACUGAAUUGUUGAUCCCAUUGGAAAUAUCAAUGCCCAAAGUAUACCCCCCCUCAUUUAUCUGACAGUGAUCAAAUCCAAGUGGGUUAGAAUUCCUGACUAAUACUGGGUCUGUUAGUUAAAUAUUUUAUGCAGAUUCAACACAAAAAUCACUAGUCCAUUUGUCAAGUCCCUUAGCAUUCUGGAAAUUAGAUUUGAACUGUGUGCUGGAACAGGGGGUUCUUUUAUGUAGAUAUUUGACAGAGAUGGAUGUCUGUGCCUUUUAUCUUAGAGGUUCUGCCUCCUCUCCUCGUCUUAGCACUGCUACACAAAGCAUUCCCAUCACACAGACCCUAGGAAAACUGAUGUCCUUAUUGGAUCCAAGAAUUUAUUCAGAAACUGAGGUAUAAAAUAGACAAACUCGUAAUUUUCUGCAUAAUUUUGCACCCUUUAAAAAUAAGUGAUAAUGCUGGGUACAGUGGUGCAUGCCUGUGAUCCCAGCGGCUCAGGAGGCUGAGACAGGAGGACUGUGAGUUCAAAACCAGCCUCAGCAAAAUCGAGGCCCUAAGCAACUUAGUGAGACCCUGUCUCUAAAUAAAAUACAAAAUAUGGCUAGGGAUAUGGCUCAGUGGUCGAAUGCCCCUGAGUUCAAUCCUUAUUGUUUUCCACAGCAGAGUGAACUGCUCACUUUGUGAUCAUACACACUCUCAAGACCUGCCCUCAUACAGGAUAGCUAAGUGGUCCCUUUGUCUCUCUCUCCUGCUUAGUCUUCAGCCAUACCAUGCAUAUCCUGGUCUAGUAGGAAAAGCAUGGGAUUCGGAAUCUGAUGGACAUGAAUUUGGAUCUUGCCUGCCCCAUUAUGUUGACAAGUCACUUCUCUCUUUCUUUACCUGGCAAAAGGAACUAAUGAUACCUUCUCUUGAGGAUUGAAUGAGAAAAAUGUGUGUGAAAUCCUGACACCAGUGCCCAACAUGCAUAGUCCUCAAAAAAGGUUAGUUCCUUUCUCUUCUUUUUCUGUUCUUCCCUUGAUGCCAGUGAGUCAUCAAAAGACCCAGAAACACACAGGCUCAGACUGCAACAGUGAUAAGUGGUCACUAGUUCAUGCUGUUCUGUGCUGUCCUGUGGAGCUUACUCCUAGAACAGGUUAAUUAAAUAAAAGCACUCUUCUUACUUACAGAAUUUCUCUCCCAACCCCUCUGUAAAGAUUUUGAGCUCUUUCAGGUAUGGAACCUGACAGUCAUUAACCAAUCUGUCCCCCACCCCACCCCACACAAGAGGACUGUCAAUAUUUGCUCACCAGAUGUGAGCCUCAACGCUGAUGUGAUCCCCAAAGCCAGGAUUUCCUGGCCUAUGGGCUGGGCUGUCCUAUCUGCGCAGAUAAGCAGCUUCUGCCUGACUGGCCCAGCCCCAAAUCAGGAGAGGGCCUCAGCCACUCCUGCCAAGGUCUGACUUUCUUAUUGGCAGAUAUUGCCUAACAGAAUGUGGCUUCUUGCUCAUUAGCUAAGUCAGCAGCCUAAAGGACAUUACUCUCAAAGGUUUGGUCCAAAGUUAAUCUUUGACUUAGAGGGAUAACACUUGGAGGAACAGUCCACUUUGCACAUGGUCUAUUUAUCUACUCUUAAUAGCCUGGAAAUGCCAAAAUGUUGGCAAACUGUGACUGAAAAAAAAAAAAAACUUUGGCAGUAAACAUGACAAUGAAAAUAGAGCCAAGCAACAAAAGACUAAACACAAAAGAAAAAGAUUUACAAGCUGAAGAACCCUAGUGUUAGCACAGACAUGCAGUAGGAAGCUAGGCAAAGCUUUAGUAUUUCUGAAUAGCAGUACCCAAAUAGAAGUACCUGCCCACGGGCGGCUGCAAGACAAAGCUGGUGCCUGAUAUGGGAGGGAAAAAUGAUCAUCCUGAAAUAUUUCCCUGCUUUGUUUGUACUCAGAGAAUUUAAAAGUAUGUCCAAAGUAAUUUUUAUUUUAGUGUUUCAAUAAGCUUCCCAGGGUGGGAAAGGGAUUGUGCCUUCAUUGUAAUUUUUACAAAGAGAAUAUCUUGCAGGAAAUACACAUCAGGAGAAAAAGCCUUGGGGUAGAUCACAUGUCUCAGUCUGGGAUUUAGAAGGAUUGAACAUCUUGCACUCUGGGAAGCUUCUCGUUUGCUUUGGAACACAUGACUUACAGGUCAUGUGUUCCAAAUUUGCAUAAUGUUCUAAAGACUUACUAUAAAAUGGUACUCUCUAAAUCAAAAUGGUUUGGGGCAAAGCCUAAUCUCAGUGUCCUAUUUGUAGUAUGCCCAAAAGUAAACAUUUUAUUUCUUUUAAACUCUUAGAGUGACAUCACCAACCUGAAUGAAGAAAAAAAUUCAAUUUUUUAAAAAUUUUGGCCUGAUAUUCAAUGCCAAACCAGUUUAUGGGUCAGAUAUCCAAGUUACCCAAAUUCAAAACUUCAGUCUGAUGCAGCCCUUUCUUUUCCCCAGUCGUCUCCCAGCCCCAAUAAGGAGCAAAGGUAGAUUUAUGUCAAGCCUUGUAUAAGAUAUGGUAGGUACUUAACAAAAGUUUGAUUUUGAAUGGUCAAAGAAAACAUGGGAUAGAAGGGAAGUGGGAGCGAUGGAGAGUUUGAACUCAAAUAUUCAAAUCUAUCCCAAUAUUAGCAUUAGCUUAAUGUUAACAGCUCCUUUAAAAGUCAUUUGGUGGGCUAGGGUUGUUGCUCAAUGGUAGGAGUGCUUGCCUGGCAUGUAGGAGGCACUGGGUUUGAUUCUUAGCACUGCAUAUAAAUAAAGAAAAUAAAGGCCGUUUGACAACUAGAAAAUAUAAAUACUUUUUAAAAAAAAAAAAAGUCAUUUGGCACUCCUGUUCUUUACCCAGAAACUGUUUAGAAAUUAGUGAUGUGAUUUUGCUACAAAUCAGAGUAUUUUUCCUAGUUAAACAACCCAAGUGUCCAAGAAUAGGAAACUGGAUGAAUAAGUUGUGUUCCAUCUACACCAGCUUUUUCCAUCUCAGCAGAUAGUACCACUGUUGAACAAACUGCUCAAACUGGAAACCUAGAUUUAUUCUUAAAUUUAUCCCUGUCUUUUUCAACAUGUCAUUCCAAGUCUUAUCAUUCUCCAAAGUAUACAGGAAGAUACAGAUGUAUUAAAGUGGGCAUUAAAUGCCACCAAGCCUAAAAGACCACAUAUAAAGAAGGUAUUACUAAUUGUAAGGGUUCGCUUACUGGGGAUACAGAAGGAAACACGUUGUCCAAGUAGCCAGGUAAGUGAGAGUUGACUCCACCAAAUUCAUGGUAGGUUAAAUUGAACUGAGAGCCAUAGAGAAACAUGGACCAGGAGGAAAAAGAAAACAAUGAUAUCGGUUCACAUAUAUUCAACAUAUGUGCAAUACUGCAUGGAUGACUUAAGAUUAUUUUUCACAUUUAAUGUUAAUGAGCUGCAAUCAGUGCCCACCUCUAGAUCCUGAACAGUAGGAUCCCUGCUCUUGUCCUCUUCUUUCCAAUCUCCUUCCAUGGGCAAGAAGAGAUAUCUUGAGAAUGGGACCCAAGUCUAAAUAUAAAAUUCAUUUAUGAAUUAUACACAUAGCUAAUUAUACACAUGGGGUUAGGGAAUGUGCCCACAUUCCAAGAUCACAUUCAAGAAGCCCGGGAUCCUAGAAUUUCCCUCUCCCCCAGACAAGGCAUGAUUGGGUCUCUUAGGAACUUCCUCCUGAGCGGAUUCUAGCUGUGGCUAUGGUAGGUGAUGUGGAUAAAGCAUGGAUCUGAGGGCUCAGGUGUCCACAAGUGAGACCCCUCACCGUGUGGGCUAGAGCAAGGGGUGAGGAGAGAAUAGGAGUGGGUUCUUCUAUUUUUCCUCUUAUCUCAGAGCCCAUAAAUAUUAGCAGCAAUCUUGAUGCAGUGUCCACUGCUAACUAUUAGGACUAACCAACUUCCCCCACUCCAAUGUAAGAUACCACUCCUUUAUAUCUUGAGUUAUCCAUUAUGUCUACCCUGAUUCAUUCCCCCAUCAUCUCAUUUGGAUUAUUGCAGUAUUCACCUAACUAGUCUCCCCACCACCACCACUCUUGCCUCUCACUCCAUUCUCCAACACAUAAUAGGUGAGUGAGCUUUUUAAACCAUCAUUCAUUAUGUUACUCCCACAGAUUAAAAUAUAAUACACCUUACGAGAGCACAGAAGGCCUUCAGCUUCACCUCUCCCAACCUCACCAUGGUAGCCACAGUAACCAUCUUUUAGUUUCAAUACUAAGAAUUUUUCUACCUGAGGUCUUUCAAAUAUGCUGCAUCCUCUGUCUAGAAUGUUCUUCCAGUUCUUCAUUCUUGAAGUCCAGAUUUCCUCUUUUCCCUCAGACCUUCUGCAACCAACUUGUAUAUCCCUGUUAUUUUCUCUCAUAGUAUCCUGUUUUCUUCAUGGUGUUUAAUAGAAAUUUAUGCUUAUGUAUUUUUCCCUGUUUAUUUAUAUAAUGCCUAUUUCCCCCAUCAUAUUGUAAACACCAUGUUCAACAAUGAAUAAAUCAGAGCUUAGUACUGUGCACUGCAUCAUUUUUGUGUGUGUAUUAACUAAUCUAGAUAACAAGUACUGGAGCUGGGGAUGUAGCUCAGUGGUAGAGUGAUCACCUAACACUCAAAGCCCUGGGUUCAACCCCCAGUAGUGAAAGAAAAUAUUCAAUCUAUAUAAUGAAAUAUGAUUUAGUCAAUAAAUAAUGCUUUCAAUUAUCAUAACUGACAAAAAGUUAUAUGUGAUAUAAUUUCAAGUGAAAAGGCAUGUUCUAGUAAUAUAAUCCAACUUUUGUUUUAAAAUGUCAAUAUAAACUAGGUAUGGUGGUGCACACCUAUAAUCCCAGAUACUUGGGAGACUGAGGCAAGAGGAUCACAAGUUCAAGACCAGCCUGGGCAACUUAGUGAGAACCUGUUUCAAAAUAAAAUAAAAAGGGCAGAGGGUGUAGCUCUGUGGUGGAGCACUUGCCUAGCAUGUAGAAGGCCCUUGGUUCAAUCCCCAGUACAAAACAAAGUCAACGUAUACUCUCUAUGUUGUAAAAUAUCUUCAGGGUGUUAAAGUAGUUAUCUGGGUUGGGAAACUGUGACUGUAGUUUGUUUUCUUAUUUUUGCUUAUCUUUUAAAAUACUAAUAACACAUUACUUUUGUAAUCACACAUUUUAAUUUUAAAACUAAGUAGAUUAAUAUCUACCUAAACAAUAACUAUCAAAAUAGGCUCCUUUUUGUUGGAAGCAGUCUAGAUGUCCAACAUUAAGGGACUAUUGAGUCAAGGUCUGGCACAUCCAUUCGAUACAGUGUCGUACAGUCAUUAAAAAUCACUAUGAAGAGUGCAAUAGCAUGAAAAAUUCUAACAAUAUUAUAUUAACUUAAAAAUAAAAUGGGAUGAAAUAAAAAUAAUUUUCAAAUGAUGUUAUUGCAAUGAUAGGAUUAUGGCAAUUAUCUUUGUUUGCCAACUUCCUGUAAAACCACUUUCUAUAAUGAAAGAAAAUUACUUUAAAAAUGAAUAUGGGGGCUGGGGAUGUGGCUCAAGUGGUAGCACGCUCGCCUGGCAUGCGUGCGGCCCGGGUUUGAUCCUCAGCACCACAUACAAAACAAACAUGUUGUGUCCGGCGAUAACUAAAAAAUAAAUAUUAAAAUUCUCUCUCUCUCUCCCCUCUCUCACUGUCAAAAAAAAAUGAAUAUGGGCUUGAUCGAUUUACAUAUGAUCUUGCUGUAUUAAAUACUAUUUUUUAACAUGAAUAUUUGUAUAAUUUAGCCUUUCUAUAUAUUUUGCUUCAAAAUAAAAUCUCCGUGGGAUAUGUAAUGUGUCACUAAUUCCACAAGGUGGCAAUGUGAGAGUUACUAAACAUCUUUGGACAAUUUGCUGGUGUUACCCAGUGCAUUGCAUUAUUCCUAACAGUGUUUGGUUUUUGGUUUGAUCUUUGGUAUAAGUUGACACUGGCACUCACUUUAGGUUACAAGAAUGUAACAUAUUUUAUAGCUCUUGUUUUGACAUUACUUAAAAAUAAUCCCCCUGACCACACAUUUUCAGUUCCUCACUACUUCUUUGCUUCUUAAAUCUUUUUCCACUUUAAAAACUAACAAUAAUCAAAUAAUACCAACUGCUGUUUCUUGAAUGCCUUUUAACAGUGAGUCAUCAUGCAGAGUUUUUUGUAUACAUUACAUCAUGUACUCUUGCAGAUCAGGUAUUACUCUUUCCAUUUUGUGGAUGAGAAAAGAGGCUAGAGAAGAUUGGUAAUUUGUCAAAGUCAUAUUUAUUAUCUGCCACAGCCCAAUUCAAACUCAAUCUUCUUACACGAAUUAUUAUAUGGAUAGAUUAAAAAGUAAGUAAAGAAAUGAAUAAGUAAAUAAAAUGACUAUACAUAAAUAAAUGUACCGUGCAUGUUUGAGUUUGUCAGGAUGAACCCAAUUAAUGUGUAUAACCAUAAAGAUCUAAUAUAAAUAAAUAAAUGGAUGGAUGGAUUUAGAAAAUCACUUAGCUCAUUAUGGAUAAUAAAAAUUACCAAUCACAACACUAAAGUUAAAAAUACAACCAAGGCAGAUGUGGUGACAAACACCUAUAAUCCCAGUGGCUCAUGAGGCUGAGGCAGGAGAAAUGCAAACUCAAAGCCAGCCUUAGCAAUUGAGCAAAACCCUUAGCAAUUUAGCAAGACCCUGUCUCGAAAGAAAGAAAGAAUGAGAGAGACAGAGAGAGAAAGAAAGAAACUAUAGCCCAAAAUAUACAUGUAAAAAAAUAGUCAUAUUCUUUUUUUAAUUUUUUUAGCUGUAGUUGGACACAGUACCUUUAUUUCAUUUAUUGAUUUUUAUGUGAUGCUAAGGAUCGAACCCAAUGCCUCGCACAUGCUAGGCAAGCGCCCUACCAAUGAGCUAUAACCCCAGCCCCCCCAAAAUAGUCGUAUUCUUAUAAUCGCCAAAUAAUAACUAUUUUCAUGCUCUGUCAUAAUUUCUUCAUAUGUGUAUCUGCCUAGUAUAUCUUGCUUAAUUCAGGUAAUGCUAAACAUAAAAAGUUAGAGGAAAUAAAAUAUAUUAACAAUUUUCAAUCUUCUGUUUCCUUAAUAAAUCUAAUAUGUGAGAGAUUCCUCGUGUUUUUAUUAAGAGUUCUUUGAAAGCAGGACUCAUAGAUUUAUAAUAUUUUUCAUUAAAAUGUUCUUUAUUUUAUUCAAUCAUUCUCCUAUAAUUGAAUUUAGCAAUUUUCUCAAAAAAUUAAGGGGUUGUUGAUAUUGCUACAGUGAUUAUCCUUGUGUAGAAAUCUUUGUUUAUCUCAGCACCUCUUUUUGUUAAGUGUACGUUCCUGGAAUCUCAAUGACUUAUUGGGUAAAAAGAAAUUGACUUUUAGGGGCUGGGGCUGGGGCUGGGGCUGAGCGGUAGAGCACUUGCCUGGCAUGUGUGAGGCACUGGGUUUGAUUCUUAGCACCACAUAUAAAUAAAUAAAAUAAAGGUCUAUCAACAACUAAAAAAUAUUUAAAAAAAAAAAAAAGAAAAAAAGAAAUUGACUUUUAGAUGAUACUUAUUUUUGUUAUAAUUUUUUUAUUAGUUACACAUGACAGUACAAUGAUCUUGACAAUUCAUACAUUUGAAUCAAAUGGGGUAUAAUUUCACGUUUUUCUGAUUGUACAGGUUGCAGAAUCACAUUGGUCAUACAGUCACCUAUAUACAUACAGCAAUAAUAAUGUCUAUUUUAUUCUGCUGCCCUUCCUAUUGUUAUAAUUUUUAACAUGAUUAUUAAUACAAGUUCAUUUUUAAAAACAUAACGAACCCUCCUUUUCCUACUCCAAAAUCCUUCCUUAACCCUCAAAUCAGUAAAAUACUCACCUAUAUUUUCUCCUAUUUUAAAUUUUUUUCUUCUCUUUAUUUAUUUAUUUUGGGGGUGCUGGGUCUUGGACUCGGCUUCAUACACUAGGCGAGCCACUCUACCAUUGAGCUGUAUCUUCAGCUCAGCAAAGUUUCUCUUUUUUAAAAAUAAGGUAAGAAUUUAUAUUGUAUUUUUAAUAGUUUCGUUUCCCUUACUUUCACUUUCCUUAUGUGUUAUUAGCUGGAAAUAAUUCAUCAUAUGAUGAGGAGUGAGGCCUAGUUAUUAAGUAAUUUUAUCCCUUCCUCUGUUGAUUUGUGGAGAUGUUUUAUCAUGUGGUAUAGAUUCUUAAUAUUCCAAGAAGCCUACCAAUUAAGAGUUGGGGCUUUGUGAUUGGCCACAUCUGGGUUCAGAUCCUGGCACUACUAUUUUUUUUCUGGUUGUGAGCAAGUUACUCAGUCCAUUUCAUCCUCAGUUUUUCCACCUAUAAAAGGGUGAUUUUAGGGACGGUUCCAUUGAAGGAUGCAUGUGGGGCAGUUAGCAAGGAGUGAGCUGCCCAGGAAACAUCACAUUGAGUAUGCAUCAGCUGCUAUGACAGUGACUAUGAUAUUAAUAAAGUUAUUCCAUAACUUUAACAAAUGGUGUAGAAAGCAUUCACUUCAAAUCUUUAGUGAAUUACUUGGGAAUAUAAUUGAAAACUAAAACAAAGCUGCAUUCACACCUCCACAGUGUGGACCUUCGAUUGGUGCACUCACAGCUGAGUUAUACACAACCACAUCCACAGGGCACACAAUUCACAUCUUGCCUUAGAAGAAAGAUUUGGAAGGAUAUUAAGGUCAGACUAUCUCAAAACUUGGAGGGUUGGUAGUCUGCAUUGGUUUAAUUUUUUGAACAAUGAUUAUGUAUAUCAAGGGAAAACAAGAUUUUCCAUUGGAAAAAGUGCUCAUCUCAACAAGGUUAUGAAUCAGCAUCCAAGAUUUAGGGCUUAUCAAAAAUAGCAAAAACAUCAGCACUUAAAGCUGCAAGUGCAGAGAGGACCUGAGGAACUGUUUCAAGGUGAAUCUCUUGUUCCAUCCAUCUCUGUUCUUUCUUUUCCACUUUAUUUAUUGUAAUUUUAGAUUGCACGUCAUCAUCUGUAAAGGCAAUGCCCUGCAUUCAUUUACAUUUUGAAUUUUACUUAGCAACUUUUUCCCCUUAGUUUCCAGAUGAAAUUUAGAUUCCCUUAAGCCUUCCUAAUUGCCUACUGCUGUCUCCACUUGGAUUUAAUAAGAAUGUCAGAUGUAAUAUUCCCAAGCCAAACUCCACUCUCAGUAACUGGCCACCCUGCCUUCCCGUUUGCUGACAGUGAAACCCUGUGUUCAUCCUUAACCUUACUUUUUCUCUCAGACCCCGUAUCCCGCCCAUCGGGUAAUGUAGUAGACUGUUUUUUCCACGGAGAUCCAUAACCCAAUCACUUCUCACUUCUUCCACUGCCUUCAUCCUUUAUCCCUUGCCUAAAAAAAUUCAACAGUCUAAUAAUUUGUACCAAUUUCGUCCCGUUACACAUUAUUCUUAACACAGGAGUCAGAGUGAUCCUUUAAAACCCAAAUGGGGUCUCAUUACUCCUCUGCUCAGAACUCUCCAGCAUCUCGCCAUCUCACUGAGAUCAAAAUGCAAAGCCUCCACAUGAUUCAUCUCCUACCCACCUGCCUAUGACUGCUCUCAACUCAUUCCCUGCUACUCGCUCUGCUCUAGCCAUAGGAUCACCUGGACCCUGGCUUUUCCAUAUUUAUACCAGGCAUAUCUCAGCCUGUGACUUGCUUCCACAGGUGUCUGCCCUCAGUUGUUUCAGAGCUCAGCACAAAUGUAGCCCAUCCCAGAGGUAUACCCCGAACUACUUACAGAAUUCAGUACAUUCCCUGUCUAGGCUAAUAUCCUUUAUUUUUCUACGUUAGCACCUAUUACCCUUUGAUAUAUAAAACCACUUAUUAACUAUUGUUCCCUGUCAAAGAAGAUUUCUGUGAUUUGAUUUAGAAGACUCUUCAUUACAAAAAUUAAUACGGAAAAAAAUAAUUUUUGAAAUUAUUAUUCUUCCCAUGGAGAACUUUGCUGCCUUUAAUUGUAUUUAAGUCUUUUGUGUCCUCUAAUGUGUAUGAAUCCUAAUUAUAGGUCUUCUCAUGUGGAAAUCAAUGACAAAAACUUUCUCACUAAAGUUUUUCAUAAUUUAUUUAAAAAUUGAGACGUAAUUCACUAUUCUAAAGUGAACAACUUGUAUUUUUUUGGCACAUUCACAAAGCUGUGCAACCAUGACCACUAACUCCAGAACAUUCUCACCCCCAAAAAGUAACCCUACGCCAUUUAGCAGUCAAUGCCUAUUUCCCUUACCCAGUACCUGGCAACUGUUAAUCCUCCUUUAUUUCUCUAUAAAUUUGCCUGUUCUGAAUAUUUCAUGAAAAUGAAAUUACAUAGCACAUAGACUUUUUUUUUUGCCUGUUUUCUUUCACUUAGCAUAACAUUUUCAAAGUUCAACCAUAUUGUAGCUGCAAUGGUUUGAAUGGUUUGAGUGUAUCCCCCAAGGGUUCAUAUGUUGAAAAUUAAUCCCGGUUGUGAGAGAUAAAGAGGAGAGGUGAUCUGACUAUGAUGUUUGGAGAUGGGGCCUUUGGAAGGUGAUUAGGAUCAGAUAAAGUAGUCAGGAUGCAGCCCCCAUGAUUGAAUAUCAGGGGCCUUGUAAGCAAAGAUAAAUCAGAGGAGACAAAACACAUGUACACACUCUCUGUCUCUUGCCAUGUGAUGUCGUGGACUGACAGCAACCAUCACCAGAUGUGGUCCUUCAACCUGGACCUCCAGAACCAUGAGCCAAAAUAAAACUCUUUCAUGAAAACUUAUUCAGUCUGUGGUAUUAUGUUAUUGGCAACAAAAAACAGAUGAAUACAGUGGUAUAUACCAGUAGUCUAUUCUUCUUUAUGGCUGAAUAAUAAUCCACUGUAUGAUACACCACAUUUUGUUUUUUUUAUACAUUAAUUGAUGGAUACUUCAAGUUGUUUGCAUCUUUCAGCUAUUAUGGAUAAUAAUACUAUGAACAUUCAUGUGUAAGUUUUGGUGAGAUAUGUGAUUUUAGUUCUCUUGGGGACAUAUCUAAGAGUAGAAUUGCUAGGUCAGAUGUAACUCUAUGUUUAACCUUUUGAGGAACUGCCAAAUUGUUUUACACAGCAGCUGCAAAUAGCAAUGGUAGGAUUUCAAUUUCUCUAUGUCCUUGACAACUUGUAUUAUUUCCCAUCUUUUCUAUCAUGUCCUUUCUAGUAGUUAUGAAGUAGUAUGUUUUUGUGGCUUGGCUUUGCAUUUUCCUAAUAACCAAUUUUUUUAGAAGUCCAGAACAACAGUGGCUCUAGUUUUGGAAUGAUAUUAAUUAAGUAACUUGUCAUAUAUUUAUUAAAUGUUCUUUGGAUAAAUGUCUAUUCAAGACCUUUUUUGUUGUUGUUUUUUAAAUUGGGUUGUCUUCUCGUUGAGUGUAAAUAUUCUUUACGUAUUCUAGACACUACACCCUUAACAGAUAUAUGAUUUGCAAGUAUUCUCUCCCAUUUUGUGGGUUAUCUUUUUGUUCUUUUAAUGGUGUUCUUUGAAGCAUAAAAGUUUUUAAUUUUGGUAAAGUCAAAUUAUUUAUCUUUUCCUGGGGUACUUACACCUUUGUUUUCAUAUCUAAGAAAACAUUGUUCAAUCCAAGGUCAUGAAGCUUUAAUCCUAAAUUUUCUUCUGAGAGUUUUAUUGUUUUAGUCUGGGUAUUUAUGUCUUUGAUCUUUUUGAGCUAAUUUUAUGUAUGGUGUAUAUAAAGUGAGGUAGGUACCCAACUUUCUUCUUUUGCAUGUAAAUAUCCAGUUGUCCCAUUACCCUUUAUUAAAAGAUUUUUUUCUUCCAUUUAAUAGUCUUGACCCCCUUGACAAGGUCAAAACCAAUUGACCACAGAUGAAUGGGUUUAUUUCUAGACUCACAGUUCUAUUUCAUUGCUUUAUAUUUAUUAUCUGGAUUCUUGACAUACUGCAGUGAAAUGAGUGUAUUUUAUUCUCUAACAAGCACCAAAAUUAUACUCUUAUACCAGUUCAUGCUUGUUCCUUGUUUACUGGUAUGGGGAGGAGAUUGACCUCCUCUGAGACGUGAGGACUAUAAAGGAUAUUCACCUGAAAAGAAGAUGGAGCUCUAAAAUACUCUUUAAAUACAAAGCUCAAAUUCAAGUCCAUUGAGCUUGACUAAAAGAAUUCAAAACCUAGUAAUUUUAGGGUAGGAAUAACUCUGUAGACCCAUCACCCUUAAAUUCAUGUGAGGAAAUAUUAUUGAAUGCUGUCUUUCUGUUCUGCUUUGUAGAAGGUUAAAGGUGGGGAAUUGCAUAAAACUUACCUAAAUUGCAGAAGACUUACCUGUCUGUGAUGCACAUGAUAAAGCAGCUUUGAUUUAAGGAUUUUUAUUUCCUUGCAUACUUCCAACAUAAACAAUUUGCAACAAGUUACCAAAAUAGUAAAUUGAUUAUAUGAAAUUAUUUUUUUAGAGGUCCAGAACAAUAGUGGUUCUAGUUUUGGAAUGGUUAAUUUACAGCCCUUCUCUUUGUCAAUAAUUAACUAGUAGGCCAACGAUCUCUUUAGGCCACUCCUUGUUAAAGAUAAUAAACAUUAUUGGUGUAUAAUAAAAUGCUGUCUUUCUGUUCUGCUUUGUAGAAGGUUAGAGGUGGGGAAUUGCAUAAAACUUACCUAAAGUGCAGAAGACUUACCUAAAAUUACAUUAGUUUGUUAGCAAGCAGGCUAUAACAAGGGGUACAAAAACAAAUGAUUUCCUGGACUGAAAACUGUCUUUCUGUCUUUAGAGACCAAAGCUAUGUUGACAUAAUUUCCAUCAACCCAAGAUUGAUCUCUUUCUUCCUGUGUACUGGUACUAGAGAGCCUGGAAGAGCCAUAGAUUUUAUAUUUUUACUGUGUUUAAGCUAUAACAAAACUUUUAAAAGCAUUUUUUAAAAAAGCAUUUAAAAAAUCAUUUUCUAGCUACCAUACCCCUAUUCUGUACAAUCAGGCAAAUGCCACUUGUCAUCUUCAGCAGAUUAGAGAGUACUCUCUAAAGAGGAUAAAGUAGGACUUGCGGAGGCAUCAGAAAUAGGGGACCAUAUUACGUCAAGGGGAUUAAGGAGAAGUCUGAAAGUAGAAGAGGCCUUCUCCCACUCCCACUUCCCAGAAGUCUAGCAAUGAUAUCUUUUCCCAUUAAGUGGGAGACUAGGAAAUCAUUCUCUGGAGAAUCUGACUAGCCCAAGAAAACACCAAAAAUAGGUGUAUGGGGUAGGGCGGGGGCUCCAAUUAAGACUCAGUCAUGUCACCUGUAGGGAACUAUUUCAAUGACCAAAUUUAUCUACAAAUAAAAAACUUCCAGUUAAUUUUAGUGGUCCCAUUCUUAAAUAAAAACGACCAGAUCCUUGAGGCAAGUCUCUACUAUGAAAGACCAAAACAAAGAAGAAAAGAAGAAUAAAACAACUUGGGGGAAAUAGAUUGCAAGGUAAAGAAAAUGUUUCUAAAAAUUACUAAUUCCACUCGAGGGAAAGAUUGUAUCCAUGAAAAUACUUGGCUAUUUGAGAGGAAGAUUCUGAAAACAAAAAGGAGCUCUCAAAAAUUAAAAAUGAGGGACUGGGGUAUGAGCUCAGUGGUAGAGUGCUUGCCUAGCAGGUGUGAGGCACUGGGUUCCAUCCUCAGCACCACAUAAAAAUAAAAUAAAGAUGUUGUGUCCACUGAAAACUGAAAAAUAAACAUUAUAAAAUUCUCUCUCUCUCUCUCUCUCUCUCUCUCUCUCUCUCAAAAAAAAAAAAAAAUGCCUACUGAUUGCCUAGACGAAUAGGUGAAUAUAGACCCAUAACAAUUGUGUCAUCAAGUUAUCUCAAAACACCUGGGCAAACCUUCCAGGAAGACAGAGACAGUGAGAAGGGUGAUGGUGCUGUGUAAGCAGGGGAUGUUACAUACAACAAAAGUAUCAAGAGUCAGAAUGACAUCGGCUUUCUCAAAAGAGUCCUGGGAUGUUGCCUUCACAUUUCUGAGGGGACAUAAUUUCCAUCACAGAAUUCUCUAUCUAUCCAAGCUAUGCAAUACAUGUGAGGGUAGGACAAAGACAUUUCAGACAUGCAAAGGAUUUCCAUGGAAUUGUACCAGUCAUACCAAGAUCACAAUCAAAGGAAACUGAUCGAUGUUUUCUGUUUGUUUGUUUUUUAAUCAAAAGGUGGCCAAGAAAGAGUAAGUAACCAAAAAAAGUAGGACACAUUAAAAAUAAUACAUGAGAAUAAGAAUUCAAAGCCAUUGAAGUUCACUUUUUAUUCAAUUAUGUCAUGAAUAUCUACUUUCCCUCCAUUAAAUGCUGAGUGUACAGUGGUGAGGAAAAAAAAAGACAUUUAUCUUUGCCCUCAUACAGCACAUUAGUGAAAUGUUUAAAUGAUUAUACAUACACUUAAUGGAAUAUUAUGUGAACACUAAAAAUACAUUGAAAAUAGAAAUGUAGGAUUGGUUUACAGUAUAAUGUGAGGCAAACAGAAUGCAUAGUAUAACCAAACAUGAACAAGAAGUCAUAAAACUGAAAAUAAGUGUGGGGAUGGUACACUUAUGAAUACAUUUUUUUCUUUUUUCAAAAAGCCCUUGGAUUUUGUAUUGUGUUUUCAAAUAAUUGAUGGAAGCAUCAAAACAUAGAAUUGAUGAAAGUCCUAAUUGCCUGUUUAAAAUUUUAUAGCAAAUAUUUCAUUUGGAAAAAGUUGUUGCCACUUUAAAAAAUAUUUAAUUUUUUCUGAAAGCUGUGUAACUCUUCAUCCUUGACAGGAUCUUAUAUUUGAUUCCCCACUUCUGGUAGGAGAAACAGGGUCCCUUGGUGAGAUGAACUUGUUCUAGCUAUGCAGAGAAACAGGCAGAUAUGAGAAGGCAUGCAGAUCCAGAAUCAGAGGCUAGAAAAGCCGAUUAGACCUCAUCUGUUAAUUAGCUCUCUGAAUCUCUAAGCAGGUGAAUAAAAUGCCUGCCUGUGACCAAAUCAGAGAAAAGUCACUGGCAGUAUGAGGGCAGUUGAUGCCAGAUGAUGUAUUUUACUAUUCCUGGCCCCUGAGGUAUGAAUCAUGCCUGAAGGGAUGUUACUGAAGUACUUUCCUUAGUAGUUAGUGAACGCUCAUUUUAGCGCUGAGUGUUUGUGUCAAAUACGAGAUUCCAAGAAUCUCCAUAUGAAUUGCUGUUUACAGAAGUCUUUUAUACUCUAUAGGAAAUAAAACUGUCUAGGACCAGCUCAUUAGAUGUAGCCUUGGACUUUAAGUCCAGGAAGAGACUUUGAACUCUCAAAGAGACUGACACAAAGAAAAUUCAGGAAUCCUGGAAAUGAGUGUUCUAAUCAUUCCUUGGGACGAGCUGGAGUAUGUUGUAAAUUUUUUCAUGUUCAAGGGAAGAGGAAAAGAUAGAGAAUCAAAGUAUCUUAUUUUUAAGUGUAGCAUUUGGUUUUUUACAUAUUUUUAAAUUUAAAAAUAGGAAAGCUAGAUGUAAUAUGGUCUUCUGGAUGGGAGCCUGAAACAGAAAAGGACAUUGUGGAAAACUGACAAAAUCUGAAUAAAGUAUGGAACUCAUUUAACAGCUCUCCAACACUGUUGGUCCACUAGUUGUCUUAGUGAUGUCAAAAGUUAACAGCAGGGGUAACCAUGUGUAGGGUACAUGGGAGCUUUCUAUAUUAACUUUUUAAAUUUUCUGCAACCCAAAACUAUUCUAAAAUAAAAGUAUAUUUAAAUUUUAAAAAAAGAAUAAAGAACUUUUAUCUCAAUCUCAGUCAAAUCACAAUUUUGGCAUAAGCCUAGAGUCCAGCCAUGUGACCCUAACUAAGCAACAACCAGUAUUGAAUGUCAGUCUAAUUAUAGGACCUGUUAUUUUCAAUGGUCAGGGGGAAAAAAUCAUAAAAGUUGAAACUGCAAGUCAAAAUAUGUAAAAUUAUCAAAAAGAAACUAAUAAGAUAGCACCAUUUAGAUGAGGUAUUGUAGAAAACAGGAAAUCAUUGUAAUGUCCUUGGUGAGGAACUGAUAUAGUAAAAGCAGUGGGUUAGGGAUUGGUUCUAUCUGCAGUUUGCCAAAUGGAAUGAAGUUGGAAAGAAAUCUGAGGUAGGAGGAUCAGCAAAGAGGCAGUACGUGGAAUUUAAAAAUAAAAUUUCAACAUUAACCCUGAAUAAACAGAGCCUGUUGUGGAGACGGAUGCCUCUGGAGAUUUUAGCCUGACACCAUUAGAUAAUUGAAUCACUGAAUUACUUCAUAUUCUCUUGUUCCAAGUCUGAGCUCUCCUGGCACUGCCUGGUCAGAACUAUCUGGUCACCUCUUGUCCUGCAGUGGCCCCAUGCUUGCUUGAGAGUCAAGCUGAGUCUACACUUCUUUCAUUAUUAACCCAUCCUAAUGAGUUUUUUAACAAGUUAUUAAAAAAAGAGAAUUAUCAUUAAAAGAAAAUUAUCUCAAGCUUAUAGAAAAGCUGUUAAAUAAGAAUGGUUCACAGGACACCAGGUGAUAUAGAGUCACACCUAUUGUUAAACAUUCAUUUCAUUUCAUUUGCAUCUUCUUUUUCCAUCUCUCUCUGCCUACCCCUCCCCCAUUUUGAAUCACCUGAGCAGAAUGUACGCACAUCGUGGCCCUUCUCUUCUAAAUACUCAAUGUGUAUUUCCUAAGAUUCAGGAUAUCCUUCUGCAAAACCACAGUAUCAUUAUUAUCUUCAGUUAGUUUACUCAGUCACUGUUCCAUGAAUUGACCUGAACUAUGGGAACACCCAUUAUCCUGGUCUGACUUGUCCCACGGCUAACUGAAUUACAGGAGUGAAAAACCCAAAGUUUCAUGUGGACUUUCAGGUUUGGGUCUUUGAGAGUACCACAGAAUCCUCAGAAUAGCUUCAAAUUUGAUUCAUGGUUCAGCCUCUAAAAAUCUCUUUGUUAAAGAAUAAUGCUGAUACCAAUACUGAUGAACCCGGCGCUAGCAUUCCUUACCACGUGUCAGGCAUUGUUCUAAGCACUUUGUAUUUAUUAAUGUAUUUAAUCCUUAAAGGAACAUACCAUGAUUAUCUUCGUUUUAUACUUGGGGAAGUGUAGGCACAGAUGUUAAAUACCUUGACCACCAAUACACAGCUGAUAAGGAAGUAGUAUCAAGUCUUGAACCCAGGCUCUCUCAGAUAUUCCUUUUAUUUGUUAAUCUGGGUAUUAUGUAUGUAUGUGUGUGCAUUUAGCCCUCUUACAUUUCUUAAUGUCUAAAGAUUAUCCCACGUUAUUUCUGGUUACUGAUUGAUUCUCAUUGUCAUGUCCCCCUAGGAGAGAAGCAUUCAUUUGCUUGAUGUGUUUGUUUUCAGCUAAAGAGAAGAUGACUGGGUUCAUGAGACCGGAAGAAUGAACUCAAAGGAGGCUGUCUACAUUGGGUUCUCCCACUCAGCAGCUGUGGAGCGUCUGAGGAUGAAGAGCAGGAUCUUAUUACUUGAACAGAGGCAUGCGACGAGGUUCCCCAGCCAUGAACAGCCAAGUGGAUUUGCUGCAGUGGGGCAGUCUAAUAAAUGAUUAACCAGAAGCUUUGGUAAUAAUCUGUCUUGCAGCAGUGUCUUCAAACUUCUCUUCUAAUCUUGUGCAUGUUUAGAGAUUCCAUUCUAGAUUCCACCUAAUGCCAGUACUGCUACAGUCUGCAUCUGCAAGGGAAUUCUCUUGGUGCAGGCUGGGUCUGUCCUCUUUGACUCUACUAUUUAUAGAGCUGAUGUGGGUUAACAGCUAUUAUUUAUUCAGGGCCUCUUCCAGGCCAAGCAUUAGGAUGAGUGCACUACAUACAUUUAGUCCUUACAACAGCUCUGUAAAUUUGCGCCUAUUAUUUUCAUUUUGCCCAUAAGGAAAUGGAGGCUCAGAGAGUUUGUGUGCUAUGGUAAGAUCAAAAGGUUGCCAGGGUUAGUAUUCAAAUCAAGGCUCCUACACUUUAACACUCUGCUUUACUCAUUAUUGUUUCAGAGAAAAUUACUCUACAAUACCAUCACAGGUAUUACUUCCUCUCUGAGUAAGGGUGGGGAUGGUGAUGCAUGUAUGUGGGAAGUGUCUUCAAGGGAGCAUCAGUGAGACCAUAGAGGUGCACAAGAAUCACAGAGUGAUAUUCUAAACAAAAUAAUUCUUAACGUGCUUUUAUGGCCUGAGUCAAAUCCAGCCCCCAAUCUAUUUUUGUAAAUAAAGUUUUAUGGGAACACAGCCACACCCAAUCCUUUGUAUACUGCUUAUGGCUACUGUCUUCUAUAGUGGCAGAGUUGCAUAAUUGUAACAGAGACCAUGAAUAAAAUAUUUACUAUAUAGCCCUUUCAGAAAAACUUUACCAAUUCCCAAUUUAAUGAUUUUGGAAGAAAGUCAUCCAUUUUCAUUAAGACCUUUUUCUUAUUUUUUCCAUUUGACUGAAAACUAUUUAAAAAUUUAUGACGUUUAGAUAAUCCCUAUAUUCUAAUGGAUGUGGUGGUAGUGGUGGUGGAGUGGGGGUUGUGAGCUAUAAGGAUCUAACUAGGGAAAGGAAGGGGCUGGGGAGGGACCUGGGCCUCCUGGUCCCCCUAAACUCUUCACCCCAGACUCCUCCCACUCGCUUCCUUCCUAUUCCUCCUGCCAAAUUGUGUCCUAAAAUAACUUUUGGUUCAUAAACAUGUAAGUGGCUUCCCACAUACUACUUGCUCAAAUCCCAGCGCCUUGGUCAGGAAUUCAAAGACCAUGACAGUCUGAUCUCUACUAAUCUCUUUUCUCAACCCCCUCUCCCCACCUUUUCUUUUUAACCGUGAGGAAAUCAUGCCAAAUUAAUUUAAAUUUAAUAUGUAAAUUUAUAUAUUUCAAAGCCAACUUGUCAUCGAUUCACUUUUAUGAAAAACAGAAGAAUAAAUACAAAUACA
Molecule: long non-coding RNA, 185369 nt
Filed under: Marmota monax (woodchuck)
Lineage: Eukaryota; Metazoa; Chordata; Mammalia; Rodentia; Sciuridae
Rfam family: tRNA (bases 105096-105167)
Source: RNAcentral